AUCUAUUUCAACAUAAGGUAUAUGGGUUAACAAGUCCCAAUAUUGUCCUCCAUCCUUUCUGCACUUCUCUUCUAUCAACCGACAUCUCCAGAUGUCUAAUUGCAAAAGUGAGGAAGGCAGGCCCUUCUCCGGAAAGUAUUUGAGCUUGGGACAUUCCCAGAGAUACAAUUCAGUGAGGUUUUGAAGAUCAACAAUUGAAGAAGAUAGGCGUUCCAGAUUUGGAAAUUUAUAAAUGCUCAGAGAUGUUAGAGAGGCAGGAAGAGGAAGCGCGGUCCCUAAUCUUUUGUCCUCUAGUGGAAAUGACGCCAUGUCGUCAUCGCAUCCUCUGAUUUCAAGACGUCGCAGAGAGGAGAAUCUGUGAAAUCCCCGUCCCCGCUCAAUCAUUGACUUCCAAAUCUCCAUAUUACCCCAAAUAUCAAGUGACUGAAGGUUGGUGGGGAGGCCAUCUUCUUCUUCAAGGCUUGGAAGCGCACCUCCUUUUCCUAUUGUUAAUUCUUGAAGAGAGCUCAGAUUGUGCAUUCCCUUGGGUAAGGCCUCUAGUCUCUUACAAUUAGAUAUCGCCAGCCUCCUGAGUUUCGCACAAGGCAAUCCCCCUUCGGGAAAGGACACCAGAUUUUUACAACUAUCUAUGCUGAUUGUUUCAAGAGAUGUGUUGUUGUCCAACCUUUCUGCUAUUGACUUCAACUUUGAACAACUCCAAACAACGAGGGACUUAAGAGACGAAGGUGGAUUGCCAACUUCAAGGGACUCAAGCGUGGCAGGUAACUCGUUUUUUGAAAAUAUACAUGUCAGAGAUGGACAACUAAUAAUUUCUAAGUGCUCGAGAAGAGAUGAGGUGUACCUUCUGCUGCUGCUGCUACACUGGAUGCCCUCUUCCACUGUCAAAGUCCUUAUAUUAUCACAAUCUCUGAUGCUCAACUUCUUAAGGCUCGGUGGCAGCUGGACAGCAGCAACAUAUGUCAACGAAUGGCAAUUCAGAAUAUUCAAGAUCUCGAGAGACGAAUUGGUGUCGCACAUCCAUGCCUCUGGUAACGAUUUCAGUGCACCACAAUACCUAAUCUCAAUUUCCUUCAACUUGGAAGGCAGAGCAACCUCAGGAAAGGAAACAAGGGAACUGCACUUCCAGAUUUCUAUCUCUCUCAAGGAACUGAGGCUGAACGAUGAUUGUGGCAGCUUCACAAGGCCUUCGCAAUUACUCAAUCUUAGAUAUUCAAGUCUGCAUGACAACUCGCAGAGCUGCUGUUGUUGGUCUUUCUUUUCCUCCGCCACCAAGGAUUGAAGUUUGGGACAGCUUGUAAUCGUCAGUCUUUUGAGAGAGCAAAUGUCUUGCAGUAAUUCGUUAUGACUCUUCCAUAUAUGUGUUUCAUUUUUAAUAUUUUUUAUCUCCAAUUCUUCCAGUUUUGGUAUUCGCGGCUUCAAUGGCCCUGCGAGAAACACUUGAUUUGAUGUAUCUCUACAAACCACUGCAUUCUGUGAGCCGAGAUGAUCAAUUGCACUUCUCCACACAACCUUUUUACAUCCACGAAUUACCAAUUUGCAAAGAGCUGGAAGACUCCUAAUUGAAAUUGACAAUUCUUCGCAUUGUUCAAUAACAAGCAUCUCCAAUGCAGGAAGCUGCUCUGGAAAUGUUCCUUGCAGUUUAGAACAUCUUAAAAUGUGAAGCUCUCUCAAUUUAGGAAACCCUUCAACUCCCUGACUGGAUCCAUGAGGAAACCACUCUUCCCACUCUUGCAGGUCUUCAAAAUGAAGAGUCUCCAAGCAUGUAAAUGGAAUUUGAGAGUCAUCCCCAUAGAACUCUGAACCCAAUCUCUUUACUCUACUCAUUCCACGCACUGUAAGAUGCUUCAGAGAGGGCAGUUGGCCGACUGACGGCAGGGCAGUACACAUGCCGCAAUCUUCAAAUUUAAGUGUUACUAAAUUUAAGAAUGAGGAAUCUCCUAACCAUGUUGGAAAUUUUGUACCUCCAUAGCCACAGAUGCCAAAUUGUUCCAGAUUUUUAUGGGGUUUGAGCAUGUCAAGCACACCCAUUUCAGUUUCUGCCUCCCUUGAAGAUGAACCAUCGGUGCUGCAAGUCCAAUUAAGCGAUAAUUCUCUAAGAUUCUUCUUUCCAUCCAACCGAGCCUCCUUUGCAUCACCAAUGUCUUUUACAUUCUCUAAUUUUGAAAUUUUAAGUGUCCCCUGAAGAUGUAUCAAUGACUUUAGCUCUCGUAACCCAGAACCAUUGUCUUUUCCCACAGCAAAAUUACCCAGCGUUUGAAGACAAGUCAGCUUACCAAUUCCUAGUGGCAUUUCCUCCAAGGAAUCUGUAUUUGAAUUAUUGAGAUGAUGCAAUUUGAUGAGAUUUCCCAUGUCUGCACACAACUUCUUCAGUCGUCGACAGCCCUCCAAAAGAAGGGUGUGCAAGUUGUAAAGCUUGCUGACUGAUUCAGGCAGAGUUUUAAUCUCAGUUCCAGACAGGUUAAGGUGCCUUAAAUACCUCAAAUCACCAACUGAAUCCGGCAGCUCGGCGAUGCAAUAUCCACGCAGAGAGAAGACCCUUAAGCUUUGGAGUUUGAACAACUUAGGAAGAAUGCUAUGAGCCAAGUAUCCAUGCCGACUAUUUAACAUCACUGGUAAAAAAGUUCUCAAAUGUUGGAUAUCAUACAAUUUCUCAAACCUUUGAACGCCAUCAUAAUCUCCACGAAUGUACGACAGAUAACGAAGAUUUCUAGAAAAACAUUGUUGCUUGUUAACCUCCGAGGUAUACUCCAGUGUGAAGUAUGUCUCCCCUGCAGCCCAACGGGCAAGGUCGUUGAUAAGAUCGUGCAUAACAAAUCGUGAUAUACUGUUGCUCGAUUGCUGGAAAAAAGAUCUUCCACGUAGCUCUUGAAAGAACUUUCGACCGAGAUCUUCACUAGGAUUCCCACUCUCUCCGUGAUUCAAGAAACCCACAGCACUCCAUAAUAAAAUUAUCUCCCCCUCUUCAAAUUCAUAAUCCUUUGGAAACAAUGAGCAAUACGCAAAGCAUUGUUUCAAAGGUGCCGAAAGAUAAUAGUAGCUCACUCUAAGCGCCGGCAUAAUGUCACAUCUCUCUUCUUGCAAUUCCCAUAUCUUGGUACUGAGCACUCUCUCCCAAUCACAUCUGUCAUCUUUUCCUCGCAAAAGUCCUCCAAGUGUUUGCGCUGCCAAGGGCAAGCCAUCGCAUUUGGCCACUAUCUUCUUGCCAAUUUCCUCCAAUAACUUAUCUGACCCCAAAGAGUGUUGAGCGAACACAGACAGACAAUCAUCAUUUGACAACUUUUUCAAUUGAUAAGCCCGAACAGUCCCCAUGAUGGCUGCAACCUCUUGAUUACGAGCUGUGACAAUAAUCUUACUUCCCGGUGCGCCAGCUUCAAAUGGAGGUCUGAGUCGAUCCCAAUCAUUGUAAUUCUCAUUCCAAACGUCAUCUAAAACAAGCAAAAAUUUUUUUCCAGAUAACUUCUUCUUCAGCUCCUCUUGAAGCUUAUUCAAGUUGUGAUUAUCCACGUUCUGGUCAGGAACAAUGGAUAUCAAGAUUGUUUUUGUUAGCCUGAAAACAUCGAAAUCAUCAGAGACACAAGUCCAUGCCUUGAGAUCAAAAUGAUCCUGCACUUGCUUAUCAUUGUAGACAAGCUGAGCAAGAGUGGUUUUGCCCAGCCCGCCCAUACCUAUGAUAGGAAUAACAGAGAAUUCACCAUCGUUGCUUAAAUCAUCCCUCAAAAGCAGUUCUACAACAUCCUUCUUUUCUGUUUCUCUGCCAUAUGCUUUGGCUUCCUUCACCAAAGAAGUUGUCUCUCGCCUUUGCCUGUCUUUUAUGGUCCUCCCACCUGAACUUACGUUCAAACCCAGCGAAUCCUUCUGAGUUACAAUUUCUUGAAAUCUGCCGUUGAUCUCUUUGAUUUUGGACAUUAUGGCGUAAUCGAACUGAAUCGAUUGUGGAGCAAAAGUGGUGCAGCAAGUGGGAAUGAGCUUCCGAAACUUACUUGUUCUUGUACGACUGCUACUGGGUUGAUCAAGAGCAGCAGCAGGUUCUCCAUUUCCAAGCAGCAACUUCCUCCGGAAAACCUCAGUUUGAAACUCAUCCAACAGGUCCUCAACAUCAUAAGCCAAGUUCUGAAGCUCGCCAAGCCACAACUUCACAGACUGAUCAGUCGUUUUCUUCUCCUCAGCAUCAGCAAGCACCGCCUUGAUCAUCACCAACAUAUUCUUCCACUUCUUUAGGUCGGCCUGGAUUUGCUCUUGGCGUGCAAACAACCGAAUCCCCUCUGAAGCUAACUUAUUGACCAGCAAAUCAACGGAAGCCGUAAGGAUUGCCUCUCCGAUGAUUGACAUUUUUUUUUUGUUUUUGUUUUGCAAAGAAAGAAACAGAAUUUUGAGUUUUGAAAAGCAAAAUGAGAAAAUUGAACAGUAAGUGUGGAGGGUCAAGCAAAAUGCGCGUAACAAGUCUUCCGCUUGUUGUUUAUUCCAGUAAAGCUAGAAUAAAAACAGAGCCCACCACCCAUUAAUAAUAAUUGAGCAAUUCACCAACCACCAAUCACCAGUCACCACUACUCGUUACCAUGAAUAUAAUAAAUUGCAACUUGAUAUUUGCAGGGUCCAGCAACAUUGACCCAGUGUCCGGGUAAAUGCUGAUAAAUCAAAACGUUUAUCUCUCUCUCUCUUUUCCAUAAAAUUACUUUAUUUAUUGAAUUAAUUUCCAUGCUAAAACGAAGACUUAAAAGUGCACUACAAUUUUUUAUAAUCACAAUGAUAAUUCUUACUAUCAUGUUAUCUUAAUGUCGUGUCAAAAUAAAUUAUAACAAAGUUUUUUCUAUAUGAAUACUCUUUUCAUUUAUAAAUUUUUCAGUUUUUAAUAUUUUUCUCACUCUUUUAGUCUUAAUAUUUGUAUUCCUCUCUUCAAACUUUCUUAAUUAUUUAAUUUUUAAAGAAAAAUCUAAAAAAAAGUAAGAAAAACAUUAUACUUAGAAAAUAAUGAAUAUUUUAUGGGUAUAAUACAAUUUUGUCUCACCUAUAAAUUUGUUGUUUAGCAAUUAGUUUGAGAAUUUUAAAAAAUUAUUUACAGUAGGAUAAAUUUUUAUUUAAUUUAUUUUUUCACAAUAUUGUAUCUUAAUUAAUUAAGUUGUUAUGUUUAUUACAAAAAUUUUGUUUUGGCUUAGAGGAUUACUUCUUAAAUUCAAAUUAUUUUAAUGAUAAUAAAAGAUAUUUAUAUUGUGUAAACAAAAUAAAAUUGAAGAGAGAAAGAAAAUAUAAAUGACUUAAUUCUAUUUAUAUUUGUCCUUAAAAUGUAAUUGUAAUAGAAUAAGGGUUUUAUAAGAUUAAUGAAGGGAUACCGAUAGUCCUACUCUUAUGGAAAAUGGCAGUAAAAAUGGAAUGUAUCCACUACAAACCUUCGCUUUACAAGUCUUCAAUCAAACAUGUAUUGAUUUGUAAAAGGAUCACUAGCAUCCGAUUAUUGGGAGGUAUUAUGGAGAAGUCACGCUUAGUAUUUACAAUUCAUGUAAGAUGAAUUUGUAAGACUUAUUAAUUUCGAUGAAAAUAUAGAUUUAUUAAGUUACUAAUUCAUUAAGUUAACAUGAGAUAUUAAUAUUUACUAAUUGUGGCGAUUAAUUUAUUUAACUUGUCAUGAUUUUCAAUUAAGAAGGAAGUUCAGUCAAUUUAUGGAAAGAAGGAUAAUUUUUUUUUUCAGAAUUUUAAUUUCUAGGAUUUUAUUUCACUUUGUUUCGAUUGUUGAUGUUGCUAAAGAGGCAGUGAAAGUUUGCUGAAUGCCAUCAGAUGCUUGUAUCUUAUCUCACAAAAUGUCAAUAUCGGUUUGUUUCCCUAUAGGCGCAGCCAUCAUGAAUUGAAAGUAACAACGUGAUGAGCAUAUAACAUAUACAUAUUUUACCAUUAAUUAUAUAAUUGUUAGUUAUUUUUAUUUGUUAUUUUUAAUUAAUUAAAUUAUUUUGUUGAAUAAAAAAUUAAUUAGAGAUUCUAGAUAAAAAGGGCAUGAAGAAGUUUAAUUUGGGAAGCAAAAAAAAAUAAAUUGAAAGAUAAAAAUACAGACAAGGAUUAAUGGAAUCCAAGCCGAAAAAAUCAAAGCACAAGGAUUUUCUUAAUGUCAUUAUUUAGGCAAGGGUUUUGAUGCAGCGGAAGUUUAAGAGAAUCAAAUCUGAAGAAUUUAUUAAGAGAAUCAAAUUGGAAGUUUUGAUGCAGCAAAAAAAAACUGAAGUUUGAAUUUCACUCACAUAGGUAAUAAGAGAAUUAAAUUAUUGUUAGAUUAAAUUGAUUAAAAAAAAUUAUCUGAUAUCCAAAACAGCAUAUCAACAAAAUUGAAAUAAAAGAAAAUUGAAGAGAAAAACCAUCGAGAGAACGAAAAUUAACACACGAAAAUUUCGAUAACUUCACUUAUUAAAACUUGGUUAUUUCAUUUUCAUUGAUAAUCAUUUUGACACCGGUCAAAUUUAAAAGUUUAAAUAAUGGGGGCGCUAUUUCUUUCCAGCUAUGCCCAUCGACUAAUUAAAAUACCGCCGAAACAGUUCAGGGAUAGUAUAGUAAUUUCAUUUAACAGUUUUCGUGCUUCAAAUCAUCAAAUCAAACUCACGGUUUCCGACUUGUAAUGGGUGCAACUCAUGUUUUUCAAACAUUAAGAUCUUUUGCCAUUCUGUUACUAUCCCAUGGUUAUUUAAGUUACAAGAGACAGUAAAAAACAUCAUCAUAUUUUAACGUCCUUUGAAUAUUUGAAGAGGUUAAAAUUUAGGCAGUGUUAUAUAAAAUAUAAUGUAAAUUAGUCUCAGUAAUUGUGUAGUUGUAUGUGAGAAAACAUACAAUGUAAAAGUGUGUGUGAGAAAACAAAAAAUAUGAAUCACCUUUGAUGUAGUUGUAUGGUUGUAAAGAAUUAGAUGGAGAAAUAUAGUAUAUAAUUAAAUUUAUUUUGUUCUUUAAAACGGAUAGGUUUUAUGCAAAUUUUUCAGAGGAGUGCCAAUAUUUCAACUCUAUCAUUGCUAUUAGUUUGUCUUGUAAUUCAAUCAUUGCCGACAAGUAUUAAUUGUGACUAUUAUUAUUUUAAAAAUAUUAUUAUUAUUAUCGUCGUUAUUCUUAACAGCAAUGACUAGAAUUAUAAUAAUAACAAUAACGUCAAUACAAUAAUAUAACAACAUAAUAAUAUUUUAAUUGGGGUCUUCCACCUGGGUAUGCAUGAUUCCUUGUGACAUGAUAUAGGGUGCGUUUGGGAUUGAGGUUAGGCAGCUGUAGCUUAAAAGCUACAGCACUAAAGUGUUUGAUAAACACUAACUGCUGUAGCUUUUAAGCUAUAUUGAUAUGAUUUUUCACUUGUAUAAUACAAAAUCUAUUAUAUCUUUAAAAAUUUUAUCAAAAUUAUUAUUUAAAAUUUAUAUUUACUAUAUAUUAUUAAAUUUUGUUUCAUAAUUACAGUUUUUUUUUCACAGCAGCUGUAGCUUAAAAGCUACAACACCUCAAUCCCAAACGCACCCAUAGAGCCAAUUAAAUUCUGAAAUGCGUGCAAUAAAGACUGUAAAGUGACCAGUUAUUCCGGUUGAAUUCACAAGAGCUCUUGUUUGUGUGUUUAUGUUUCAAGUUGUGUACUCUGUGUUACGAGUUCUCUAAUUAGUCUGAUAUUAUCGCAAUUAUUGCUCAAUAAUGUUACAAGUAUUAUAAUAUAUGUCACUAGUACGGUCGUUGUCUCGAGUGGUACACAUUAAGGCACAAAUUUAGAACGAAAAGCUUCCCAGUAAAAUAAGUUAUUUAAUUAAUUAAAUAAGAAUAAAAUGAAUUUGUGAAAGAAAUUUAAAUUUUAUUUUGAAUUAUUUUGACCAAAAUUUAAGUUUUUUUUUUUUAAAUUUGUUUAAGAAAAUGCAUUGUAAUUGUCUUGUUUUAAUUGGAAAAUCAAUAAAAAAAAUUAUGUAACAGAAAAAAAAAAAAAAAAAAGCAAAACGGUUUGUUUUGGAUGGAGUCCAUAGAUUCCAAUAUUUCCUUCACGAAAACUACAAAAAAUUAUCAAAGCCAUCAAUUUCUACACUCUCACCGAGCAAAUACUCUCAACCUAGAUGAAAGUGUAUAAAUCAACCCCAAUCAGUCCAUCAAUGUCGUCAACCUCAUACAGCAUAAAAAAAUCUGUGUCCAUUAAACCGCCAUCUUGCCAUCUCGUUGUAGUAUUUUACUGUUCAAAUCUAGUUAUCAAUUGGGCAAAAUGGGGACCAAUCUGCAAGUCUUUAAAAUAGAAAGAAACUUUAAUUGAGCACUAUGUUCACGGUGGUGGACCCGGCGGCAGUAAUCUUUAGGGUGGAGUUAUUUAUAUUUUAAAAAUUAUUUUAAACACUCUAAUUUUAAUAAGAAUAUGUAUUACAAAAAUAUUUAUCAUAUAAGUUACUAUUAAGAAUAAUAUAAUAUAUUAUAAGUCAACAUUAUAUAAUUAUUGUGAACACUUGUAUAGCACAAUCCUUAUUUAUUUUAUUAUUCUCAUGACUUAAAUAUAAAAAUUUUUAUUUCCAACAUCUUAAUUAAUAUGUAGAUGAAUAAUAAGGAAAUUAACUUUGAGAAAAAAUUAAAUACAAAAUAUGUGUAAUACUUUUAAAAAAUAAAAUAAAACAAAAGUAUUGCACAAGAUUUUUUUUUGGGAGGGAUUUUGCCAUUCUUCUUCUUCUUCUUCUCCUUCUCUCUCUCUCUCUCUCUCUCUCUCUCUCUCUCUCUCUCUCUCUUUUGGUAGUAUUUAUGGAACAUUUUCUCUUGUUAUGUUCUCAUUGCAAGUUAUUUUGGGUGCAAAAGUCAAUAUUAAAAAUAAAUUAAAUAAAAAAUUAGUAACUAAAAUUAUGUUAAAUUAUUUUUUUACAACUUAAUUUUUAAUUAUAUUUUGUGAGUAUAUGCUAAAUCUCUUAAAAAUAGAGUGUUGAAUAAUUUUAUUAGUUUUUUUAAAUAAAUGAAGCUAAGUAACUUAAAAAGUUUAGUAAGGAUAUUUUUGAAUUUUAAAUAAUGUACAAAGUAAAAUUUAAUUUUUUUAUAAUUAAGCUACGAGCGUGCAAAGUAAUAUUUAGAGUGCUAAUAGUCCUACCCUAAUCUUUAUCAUCACAUUAUUUUCCAUAAAAAGUUUACAAUUAUCUCUUUAUUGGAUAAUUUUGUUCCCUCUCUUACCGUUAUGUUCCCCUACAUUCUCAUAUCUGCAUCACCAUUUAAAUUGUAAUCAUAACGUUAAUCUUUAUCAUUUCACAUAUUUUGCCAAAUUUAUACGCACUGCAAAGCUCUUUCCUUUUUUUUUUUUUUCCCGUUAAGUUUGCUAUAAUGUACAUGAAGAAUAGUUAAAGAGCUCUUUCGAGUCCUUAUCCUUUCUUUCGAGUUUACUUUUGCUUUUUUUUUUUUUUAACGUUUCUCUGGAAUUCACUUCAACAUCACUGGCGCGUUUUCUUCUUUCUCACUGCAACAUCAACUGGGCCACCACCUCUUGCCUCUCCCGGUUCCCCUCAAUUUUCGUAUUCAAUGUCCACCGUUGAUUGUACAUUUAUUAAAAUUCUGUGGUUAUUAUUUUUUGCAUAUAUUUAAUUCCACACGGUCUAGAUCGUAGUUGUGUCCUUUUAAUUGAGGAUGAGAAUGAAAUUAUGAAAUUUAAGUUGGGUAAAAAUGGUGAGUAUGAGGAAAUUAAAUUACAAUUCUUUAAGAUAAAUAAUUUGUAAAUCCCACAUAUUUCAUUUUUAUUUCUCUAGUUAAAUUAUAUUUUAAUAAAUAAAUAUAAUCAAUUAUUUUAAUAUUUUAAUUAAUAAACACGACAUUAACUACGGAACUAAAAAAUCCAAAAAAAAAAAAACAGAGGCGUGUGUGUAUUGCUUGUGACAAAUGUCACCCAUGGAAAACCUUGUGAAAGGCAUUUGAAUGUGUGGCCACAUUUAAUGAACGAAACGAUAACUUUAAAAGAAAGUAUGUACUGUGUUAAUUAUUAGGCUUUAGCUUAAUGAUUUCAAUUAGUUUGUCUUUUAAUUAAAUUAUUGCCGACAAACACUAUCACGACCCACGUCCGCUACUUGUGUGAAUGUGUGUAUAAAUAUCCGCAGCAUAUUAUCAAACUUGAUGCGUGAUCAUCUUUAAGUUUUGGUUACGGUUCAUCAGACGUUAGAAGACAUCUUUUUUAAUUUGAAGAAGAUGGAAACUCCGCAGGUUCUUAUGCCAUGUUCAAUUGAAUGUCAUUUAUAAUUUUUAUUUUAAUAUUAUGUAUUUAUGAAUAUAAUUAUUAUUAUGAUUUUUUCAAAUAAAAACGGAUGGUCUAAGGGUAAUUCAAUAACUAUGUACAGUAUUAUUAAUGAUGAGAGCGUGAAUGAUAAUUUAGAUUUUAUUCUCUUCUCUCAAUACAGAAGAAAUCUCGACUGUAGUAGUUAAGUGUUAUGUAACUCUUUCGUAUUAUGUUCAAUUAAUAAUAAAAUGAUGAGUUAUUAUUACCUGUCAAUUAUGUGAGUGUCUUUGUUUGAUUUAGUUCAACUUAUAAAAUCUCUUGAGAUAUAUAAGAGAUUUUCUUUGUUUACUUUCAUGUACCGCGUCUUCUUGUAAAAAGUAAUUAAUAAAAAAAAUAUCAUUGUGUGCCAUGUAUUGACUAAGUUAGUGUAUUCAUGUUAGGUUAAUUGUGCUCUCUCUUCUUGAUUUUUUUUUAUUAAAAAAAACUCCACGUAUUCUUGGUUAGCUAAUUCUUGCAGGUAGCAAGUGAUCGAUCCUUUUCUUUCCCCUACUGCUGUACCACCAAAUCCUUACAAUUACAUAUCAAGUGGUAUUCGAGCCGUCAAAGGAUCCAUGGAAACACGCAACAAAUCAAAUGCUGAAUUUUGCGAAGAGAUUCACGAAAUCCUUGCUAUACAUGAGUCUAGUUUUGACCAAGUUCACGUCACGCAUCAGCUGCGGGUUUGAAUGGUACCUAGUGGAUAUUUUGUGAGUUCCCACUAAUAAAAUCACACUUGCACAAAACUUAAAAAUUUAAAUUACGUAAUUCAAAUUAUAAAUUUAUAAUGGUAGCCUAAAAAAUCACAUAAAAUACUUAAUUCUAGAUUUUAUCAAUGUAAAUGAGAAAUGACAGUUUUAACAUUAAAAUAAAUACACAAAAUAUAUCAAUUUAACAUAAAUUUUUAAAUUUAAUUACCAAAUACAUAAGUCUAUCGCAACUCAAAGUGCUUUCAAUUGAAAACGAAAAAAGAGAAAGAAAAAAAAAACAAAGAACUACAAAUCAAAAUAGCAGCCAUGACCCAUUUUACAGUCUCAUUCAAUACCACUAGCACCCAUCAAACACGAUUUUUCUAAACAAAGUAUAAAGUACAAAAUUACAAUAAGCAUAUCAUACUCCAUGCUUUAAGUUAAAGAUCCUUAUAUCUUUUUAUGAAUAAUUUUUUAAUGAAAUUUUAUGAUUAAAAUUAAAAAUACAAACAUUCAAAUAAGAAUGUCGGACACUUGCGCAACUAUUCACCAAAUUUUUUCUCUAUAAAAAUCGACCUGCAACUUUCAAUAGGUUUAAAUUUAUAAUAUCAAACCUGAUUGCAGCUCGCAAAAAUUAUCCGUUGCGGCCAAGACUUUGGAUUUGCGAUGAUUUUGCCACCCUAAGUGUAGUUAGUAUUGUAUAUCAUGUGGCUCUUAUAAAAAGCCUAGAAGUUGUUUGAAUAACGGGGUAGACACAUAUCUCCCAAAGAUUUUCUCUUUUUCAAAUUAUUAUUUUUUCUCUAUUAUUGUAACUUCGAAUCCUUAUAAAUUACAGAUUGGAGACAUGAACACAAUGUUUUGACAUAGUGGACUUUUGGCUUGUCCAAAGAAAUUUAGGAUAGAUUUUUACGCACUAAGGUUCUAUUUACUAUUGAAGUUUUAGAACUUUUAAGCCACACCAGAAAUUUUUAUUGUUUUGAUAGAGUUGUAGUCUUUGAUAUGUGAUUAGUAUUAAUUAAGUGUUAUGUUUACAAUAGUUAAAGGCAUAUUGAAUCAAAAUCCACUUCUAAGGGCUUGAUUGAGUGAUUGUAAAGUAGGUUUUUAGUUUGCUAGCCACUCAAGUUCAAAUAUUGGAACCACAUAGCUUUAUAGCCAAGUGAGAGAACUUGUGCCCUAAAAAUUGAGGGGUGCAUAUCGAGUUUUACCACCAAUAAAAGUUGGUGUUAAAACUUUAAUUUCCCUCCUAUUAAUGGAUAUGGGUGAUUAGGAGUUUACAUCCCCUCCUAUUAAUAGACAGGGAUUAUUAGGAAUAUUAAAAAAAAGUUCAAAUAUUGAAAAUGUAGGUAUGGGUUAUAAAAUUCAUAAUAUAAAGACACAAAAUCAAGAUAAAGAUUUAAAAAUUUAGAACCAUGAGAGCGUGACUUGUAAGUUUCAAAGAAGCAUGUGCAAAUAUAUGCAUUAUCGAUGCCCAAUUAAGGGUGGGCAUUAAGAUCGGGUUAACCCGAACCGAACCGAAUCAAACUUAAAAUUUAUUUUGGAUUUAAUUUGGUUAUAGUUGAAGCUUUCAACUGAGUUCAAAACUUAAAAAUGAUUGGGUUGUAUUUCUGUUCGAAUUUAACUCCAGAAGACUAAUCAAUCCAAUCGAGUUAAGUAAGCAAAUUAAGAAAAAAAAUCCCAAAAAAUUAAAACUAACCCUAACUAAAAUAUUCGACCGGGGCCUCCUCGUUUUCUUUUCUUCUUCCUCCUCUCGCUCACCCCUAAUGCCCAUUCAUGGAAAUCCAACAGCUCCAAACGCGUUUCAGCCGCUCGCACGUGUGAGAAAUUUUCCUUCUCAUAGGAUUAUUCGUUUCCUUCGCUUGCAUGCCAGCAGAAUAUUCAGGCCGAGGAUUUUUCCGGGCCUAGCCCAACUAUAAGCUCUCCCAAAACCCAAUCAUAAGUUCAUAACGUUUAGCGUUUGCUAUUACUAUAAUAUUUUUUAACGAAUUUUCACAUUCAUCAACAUAGGCUGACAGAUUUUGUAGAAAAUAAAAUUAAAUAAAAAUACAAGCUCACGAAAUUCCUUUUCCGAUGUGGGAAUCUAUCUACACCUUUCACGUGCUUUUUUUUUUUUGGUGGUGGGGGAUUCCCUUGCUUUUGUUUGCAUUGCCUUAUUGGAUAAAAGUUUGUACAACAUCGUCUGUUUGGUUAAAGCCGAGCAUGAGUGAAGAAAUUUUUUUUAAAAAAAAUUUCCCAUUAAUUUGCAACAAGUAUUAAUAAAGUGCAUGAGAAAAGACACCGGGAUAUGCCUUUUUUAAAAUGAAAAUAAAUGUGUUAAUUAGUCAAUUUAAAUGGUAUGACAUUUUGAAAUGAUAGAAGUGAUCUAAAGUUUAAAUCUUACACUUAAUUUAGGGGUGGGGAUUAAUUGAUGUAAUAUAUAAUAACGAAUUCGAAAGAUAAUUAAAAAUUAAAAGAAAAUAAAAAAGUGCUUUCUUUUUUAUGAUGGUAAUUUGUUUAGAUGAUGAAAACUCUUAGAGUGGUAUUAUCAAUACAUAGUAUUUAUUUUAUUAUAUUUUUAAAUUAAUAAUAAUUAUUAAUAUUCUUAACUAUGUAAAUCACAAUUAUUUUAUUAAUUUUAAUUUAAAUUAUAUAAAUAAAAAAUUAAUAACAACAACACAAAUGAAACAUUAUUAUUGAUAAUAUAGUACAAAUUAAUUUUUUUAGAAUAAAAUAUUUAUUAUUAUUAAUUACUAAUAUUAAAUAAAUAUAAUAGUAUUAUUUUUAAAUAAGUAUAAUAAUAUUAUAUUUUCAAAUAAAAAUAGAAUAUAGUAAUAUUAUUAAUUCUUUAUGAAUAUAAUAAUAUUAUUUUUAAGUAAUUUUAACUUAGAAUCAAUAUAAAUUAUUAUUUUUAACCAAAAAAUUAAUAUUAUUUUAAAUAUGUUUAAUAUUAUUAUUUUUAAUAAAUUUAAUUUAUAAAAUAAUAAAAUAUUAUUAUUUAAAUAAAUAGGAUUUUACUUAUUUUAUUAAAUUUAAUAAAAUAAAUAUGUUUAAUAUUAUUAUUUUUAAUAAAUGUAAUUUAUAAAAUAAUAUAAUAAUAUAAUUUAAAUAAAUAUGAUAUUAUUUAUUUUAUUUUAUUAAAUAUAAGGGUAAAAAAUGAAGAGAGGCGAGUGAAUUCCCACUCCCACCUUCCUCCAUGGGAGUGGGAAUCCUACUCCCCACUCCAAAAUUAGGUGGGAUCCACACAGUGGAAUUCUCACUCCUCCUUUGAAAAUUAUAAGUAAACAUUGGAGUAAAAGUAAUCCACACUCCUCACUCUCACUCCUUAAAAUAAACACUACAUUAAAGAAGCCACUGACUCAUAAGAAAACCAUGAUUAAGUACACGACGAAACAUGUGAGCUCGUUUUUCAAUUUCUUUGAUCACUCAUAAGCUUUUCUAUACCACUCACUAUAUCAUCCUUUUAAGUCAAUUUUGACUGAUCAUAAGAGAUUAUGCACCCCACCUUGAGAUGAUUGAUCACCAAUUUGGCAUUGUAACGUUGAUCACCUCUAAUUGGCCAUGCUAAAAUUGGGACCCCAUUGCCAAUUACUUCUACAGUUAAAUUUUAUCUACAGUGAGAUAAAAAUCCACCUAUUAAUUGAUAACUUAGUAUCAAUAAUUAUGGCGCCGUUCCAUCUAUUAUCAAACCCUUUUUACCGGCUCUACUAUCUAAACCACUACGAAAAUAAGCUGGUUAAAAAUAAAAAAUCCCCAGUUACUCUGCUCAAACUCGUUAAUAUUUGUUUCCACCACCAAAGCAGCCACUCGUAUCUUUUAUUAAGCAUAAUGUUUUUAAACAAAUAUGAUGAAAACUCUUAGGGCCAGUUUGGUAAUGCUGCAGCUUUUAAAAUAAUUGCUGUUAGCUGUGCUGUAGAAAUAAUCAGCUGUGAAGAGAAUCAGUUAAGUGUUUGGUAAAUUUUAUUUUCAAAAGUACUGUGAAUUUUGAAAGCAGUUAUGGGUGUUUGGUAAAUUUUAUUGUUAAACUGCUGUAAGAAAAUAAAUGACCAAAAUGUACAUAAUGUAAGAUGAAAUUUACCUAUACAUAUAAAAAUGUUGUAAGAAAAUAAAUUUACUUGCACUAGAGAAGUUUUGAUAGAACACAAAAUAUGAAGAAAUAGGGUAAACGAAAGGUGUGCGUUAAUUAUAAUAAAAAUUUAUUAAAAUAUUGAUUUUAUUUCUAAUUUAACUAAGGAUAAUUUCGGGUUUAAGUAAUAAUUGUAAGGAUAUUUAUGAAAUUAUAUUAAAGGAUAAAAUUGAUUCUCAAAAUCAGAAUCUAAAAGUUACUAUUUCCCUGCUUUUCAAAAUCAGUUGUAGGAGGAGCUGAUUCUGGCAAAAGUGAUUUUGAUUUUCUUUUACCAAACACCAAAAUUAGCUUUUAGAUUUUUAAAAUCACUUUUAACCCUCCCAAAAGCAAUCCCAAACGGGGCCUUAGAGUGGUAUUAUCCCAUGUUUACUCCAAUGAUUUGGUAUACGCACAUGUAUUUUGGUAUACGCACAUGCACGCUAUAAAUUUAGUCAAGAAAAGUGAAUGUAUCUACAUACAAAUACUUAUCCCAUAUAACUUCAUUUCUUCAACUGAAGAAUCGGUCGUCUCUCAUUUUUUAUUUAUUAUAUAAAGAUAAAUAUAUAAAUUUAAAUGGCGAGAAGAGCGGACGAGGAAUACGAUUACUUGUUCAAAGUGGUAUUAAUCGGCGAUUCGGGAGUCGGCAAAUCGAACUUACUCUCCCGAUUUACUCGUAACGAGUUCUGUUUGGAGUCCAAAUCCACUAUUGGCGUCGAAUUCACCACCCGCACUCUUCAAGUAACUAACUUUUCCUCUUUCACUUCUCUUCAUUUUUAUUAGUUAAUUAAGAUCCAGUUAAUGUAAUUAAUUUUAUUUAAUCUUUUAAAUAAAGUUCUAGAUUAGGCUAACUUAGAUUCAUGUCAAGUUGAAGUGAUUUACUUUCGAUCUCUUUUUCGUCCUAUGUUUAUUUGUACUUACUAUUACUUUUUUUUUGGGUAUUUUCGUUUUUGAAGUGUUUACUGAAUAAAUUUCUGAGCUUUAUUUGUGUAUGCUGAUUGAUUUGUGAUUUUAAUUUGUGAUUUUUUUUUUGGCAUUUAAAUUUGAAUGCUUUUUAAUUUGAAUCUGAAUGUGUUGGGCUGCGAUUUAAUUAAGUCAUGUGUGAGCACCAAAUUGUGAUAGCUAUAUAUUGGGGUGAAAAUUUGGGAUUUAAAGCUAUGUAUUUAAGAUGCAGUUAAUUGGCAAGUGAAAAUUAUGGGCCGGCAGAUUUUGUCAUUGGAAGACUGUUCUCCACAUGUUGAAGUUAGUGAUGCAAGUUGAAACCAAUCUGUUUAAGCUUGGGGUUUCAUGUCUUGAAUCAAGGCUGUGACUUGGGGUGGGUUGAAAGUAUUAUAGCUUUAGCUAUUCCUGAAGUGAUCUGUUUAGACUCACCGUGAUGAGACCGAGUGCUGUACAGUAAAAUGAAAGGAAGUUGGAAAAUAUUUACUUAGCAUUUCGCGUUACUAAUGUUGAACUAAUAAAACCUAGCCCCUAUCCUAGUGAAUUUAUGUUAAAAAGCUAUGCACGCAUUAAGUUAGUGCGAGAGUCUGCUGAAGCAUAUGUCAGCUGUGUGUUUGGAGCUGAGUAUUCUUCAUUCCACAUUUUGGGUUUUGGUUGACCUCCAGCAUGACUCAACCCACUUGAGUUAAAAGCCCUAGAGUUACAUUCUACCCAUGAUAUUUGAGUUUAUCAAGUCACCUUAUUUUAAUACUUCUCUGGAAAACAAAUAUAUAUGUUAAAUCAGGUAGGAAAAAUAAAAAGUUAAUUAUUUUAAUACUAAGGUUUUGAAACAUUAAGAUCUUUAGCCAUUAUGUUACUAUCCCGUAGUUAUUUAAGUUACAAGAGAUAGUAAAAAAUAACAUCAUAUUUUAAUUACUUACACUAAUCCUACAAGUGCUGAUGGUCUAAAGUUGCUGCUGCUUGCACUGAAUCAGUGGUCAUGGGCCAGCCAAGGUUAGGUGAGGCCAACUCAUUAGCUUGUGAAACUUAAAGAAGUCUUAGGUUUGGAAAAGAUGGGGCACAGGUUACAAAAAUUUUUUGAGUUUUGGAUUGAAGGAACAAAAUUGUUGAUGUCUAGCUCACAAUAUUUGAAGUCACUCUGUGCUUCAUCAUGUCAAAUGGAUUGAAUUGCUGUAAGAUCAGGUCAAAUUAAAAUGUUUAAACUCAUUUUUAAGAAACGAAUUCUCAAUUGGACCAGCCUUUCACAGAAGCUGAUAUCACAGAAGCUUUGAGUCAGAUGCAUCCAACCAAAGCCCUUGGCCCAGAUGGUCUCCCAGUAGUAUUUUUCCAAAAGCUUUAGAAUUCAGUAAGCGAAGGAGUUAUAGCCACUUGUCUGCAUAUCCUCAAUGAUGGAGGUAAUAUUGCUCCUUUGAAUCAUACAUACAUUGCUUUAAUCCCCAAGAUAGCAAAACCUAGGACUCUGAUGGAGUAUAGACCAAUCAGCAUAUGUAAUGUAAUUUAUAGGAUCAUUGCAAAGACUAUAGGGAAUAGGCUGAAGCUAAUCUUAGAUCAUGUUAUUUCGCCAACUCAGAGUGCUUUUAUGCCAAAUAGGUUCAUAACUGAUAAUAUAAUUAUUGGGCAUGAGUGUCUUCAUAAGUGGACAAAGCUAUGUUCCAGAGGUGAGAUAGGAAAUUCUCCCGCACGACACAGCAGAAACAAACUUUCCCUUUCAUUUUCUUUUCUCUUUCUCGCUCUCCAAACAGAGCAAAAGGACCGUCGGAAGAUUCUUCACUUCCAUCCAAAAUCAUGAGCAACGAAUAGUGAGCCUCCCUGUUUCCUUCCUUUUUUUGAUAUUAACAUUGUUAACAUAUACUCAUUUUAAUUUGACAAUACUUCAACUUUUUUUAUUUUUUUGCCUUUUCAUUUUUUUUGUUGAAGCAAUUAUCUGUUCAAGCUGUUGCUUAUCGAAGACUCGUCCUUCGGAAAGUCCUGCCUGCUGCUCCGAUUUGCUGUCUGUUGACUUUUCCUUUCCCUUCUUAUUUUCUUUUUUUAUAUUAAUUACUUUCUAUUUUAGCUUUUUGUUCUCUGAAUUUGUGUUAUUAAAAUGAUAAUUUAGAUGACAAAUAAUUGUUAUUCUUGUAAAUUUAGGUUUUCAUUACGUUAAUUGUUAGUUUUUAGGUUUAUUAAUGUAAUUUUUUUUGUUUUUUUUUUUUCAAUUUUUCAGGAUGAUUCUUAUGUCACCGCUACAUCAGUACCAUUGGAGUUGAUUUUGUGAGUCUCUCUUCUAUAUAUAUGUAUAUAUGUGUAUAAGUUAUAAUAUGAGUCUAUGUACGUGUAUGUAUGUAUGUGCAUGUAUAUGUGGAAAGAAAUGUUGGCAGACUUCAGCAUUUUACUCUUUUUUUUUUUUUUUUUUUGGGAGAAAAUAAGAACUGUGGAGUUGGAUGGGAAGACGAUCAAACUGCAGAUUGUGAGUCAAAAUUUCCUUUUAUCUUGUAUUGAGAGAAAUUCGAUUUGUCUUAUUUAGUGAAGGUUAUGUUCAAGAACCUUGUCUUAUUUUCUUUGUUUGAAGAGUGAUAUGUUGAAAUGAGUGUAUUUGUCUUAUAAACAUCAUUUAGGUAAUGUCUUAUGUGUGAUUGUUUUGCAUCUGUUGAGUGGGACACUGCUGGACAGGAGCGAUUCAGGACUAUAACUAGCAGUUAUUACCGAGGAGCCCAUGGAAUCAUAGUAAGGAGCCUUUCCGGUUCUUGGUUUAAAUCAGAAAGUUUGUGAUUUACAUGUGACAUCUUAACAGCAUUGUAUGUGUUUAUUAACUUAUUUUUCAUCUUUCGUUAAGCAGUACAUUUUCCAAUAAAUCUGUAUACAAGAUGAUGUAGUCCAAGAAUGGGAGCGAUAAUAUGAUGCAAAUUGUCUAAUAAAUUCUUAUGACAUAUGAUGUUGUCGGAAGUAAAAGUCUUGCAAUGCUGUAUUCUCUUUUAAGAAAGAAUAAGUGGUAAUCUUAUUUUUCCAAUUUUUUAAUUGAGCAACUGUGUGAGAUUAAUUAAAUGUGUUGGGAUUUCAACAGAUUGUCUAUGAUGUAACUGAGAUGGAGAGCUUCAAUAAUGUCAAGCAGUGGUUGAAUGAGAUUGACAGAUACGCAAAUGACAGUGUAUGCAAGCUUCUAGUGGGGAACAAAUGCGAUUUAGUUGAGAACAAGGUUGUGGACACACAGACAGCCAAGGUAUAUUCGUGACUUCUGUCGCCUGAACUUUGAAUAUAAUUUUAAACUCUUCUCAAGUGCAUUUGCUUGAUAAGUUUCUGCAUACCCAGGACACUCAAACUUUGGACAGUUUGUAUCUCAAGCUGGAAUCUUUUUUGUCAAUACGACUUGUUAAAAUAAGGGUUAUUAUCGUUUGAAUCCUUCAAGAAUUGCAAUAAAUCUAAAGUCCAUAAAAAAAUAUGAUUCCAUCUUUUUACUAUUAUAUCUAGACAAAACCCAUUAUUUUACUACAUUUCAUUGGCACGGAUAGUUGACCUGUUGGCUGACUGAUAAAAUAUCAAUUUUGCACUUUAUAUUAAUUCUUUUUUGGUUAAAAAAUAACACACAAAGUAUUACAAUAUUAUAAAUUCAAAAUAUAAAGUAGUUACAAAUAAUUCCUAUUAGCCUAUGAAUAUAAUAUUUGAUACCUCUAUUUGUGUAAUUUUUUUCCAAUGGUGAAAUUGUUAUUUUUUUUUGUACUAACGGAAAUGUAGUAAAAUCAUAAGUUUUGUAAAGAUAUAGUAGUAAAAUGAUAGACUAAAAUACUUCUUGUAGUUGUUUGAUAUAUUGUAAUUCUUAAAGUAGUCAAUUGAUAAUAUCCCCUAAAAUAAAUGUUCGUAAUAUGUUCUCAUUUUAAUGCAACUGAUUGUUUAAUAAAAUUGUAUUUCUUUGUUAAUCUUUUAUCAUGUGCAUGCUCAGUGAGAAUUUGACUUACUAGAACACAAGUUUGACUCUUCAUUUAAAUGUCUCUUGUAUCAUAUCCUUUAAUGUUGAGUGUGAUUCCAAUAAAAUUGAGUAGGGAGAUCCUUAAAUACCUUUUCCUUUUUUCCAAGGGCCUGCCAAAUUGCUCUAAGUGGUUCUACCCUUUAUCAAUGAAUAAUGAAAAUAAAAUUUUUAUUAAAGCAUUUUGUUCCUUAAAUGGUGACUAAUAGUACCCCUUUUUUUUGGAGAGGAAAGCCAAACAUGCCCAAAGAGAAUCAUUUACUUUCCUCUAAUGUAUUUUCUAAUUCGUUUUGAGCCUUGAAUGUCUGUUUUGGUGCGUAUUCUCAUUCCAUGUUGAAUCUUAUCCAUAUGGACAACCCCACUUACAAAAAAGUCUAAUGAAUCUAUUGAAGUUCAUAUGAGGUUUGUGCUUUAGAUUUAGACCUCUCUCUCUCUCUCUCUCUCUCCACUUACAUGUCUUUCACUUACCUGUCUUUCACUUACCUGUUUGCAUGCAUGCCCAUGCACACACUUUCACGAUAAUACUGUAGGGGAAAAAUCAUGUUUUUAAAUUUUAUAAAACCUUUUGAAGAUCGCUCUCAUAUAAUAUAUAAGAAUUCGUAUUCUAGAAAUCGUACCUUGAAAAUCCGAGUUGGCUUUUCCACUGAAGUGAUUUAGGCUCCUAGAUCACGAUCUGCCACCACCACUCCUGUUAGAUCACGAUCCGUCAUCACCACGCUUGUUAGAUCACGAACUGUCGCCAAUGAUCUUCCAGGUUAUGACUCAGGUUCGAUCUGCACUUGACGUGUGGGCGCCUUUAUCACUGCCAAAGCAACUAGCACGAGAAAAUUUUUCUCUCAAUCAUGGAGAGAAAAAUCUUAUUCUCUGAUUUGUAUAAAGUGGCUUCUUCCUUUUUCUUUUGAGAAAAUAAGCCUUAUAUAUCUCCCUUUAGUGAAAACCCUAGGCUCCAAAUAAUGCCCUAAAUAAAACUCACGUUAUUUUCUUUUUCAAUAGGGAACCCACCUUGUAAAAUAACAUAAGGCCCCUUAUACAAAAGCUAAUUAAAUGGAGCCUCCCACUAAAUGAUAUAUUUAGGCUUUUGACCCAAAUAGCUAGUUAUCUUACUUAUUAGUCCAGUGGUGGUGCAGUCAAUUAAAUGAGCUAACCCGGGGAUCAUUUGGGAACAUACAAUAGUGGCUACAAUAAUUAGGCCUGUAAUUAAACUAGCCUAAUUAUUUAAUUCCAAAUCUACUCCACUAAAAGAUUGGAACUGACUUCCAUAAUUGUAUGCUCGAAUAAUAAUUCGUCCCAAGCCACAUUGAUUUCUUUAGUGCACAAUCCUUUGUACCACAUCGUUAAUUAAAUUGAUAUCUCAACUGUCCAAUCAAUUUAAUAACAUCUUAUUCCUUGAUCCUUACUGGUUUUCUCUAAUGAUCAUUUUCAACAUACUAAAUAUGUUGACACACUCUGGCCAGAGAAUUCUAUGAUCAAGUGCCGAAAACCCAUCAAGAGAUGUGUUGUACAAAUUCUAUAUUGUUAAUCCAUAACUCCAAUACUCAUAAUUGCUCCCACCAAGAUACCGGGUAAUCUUGACCACAAGUAUGUGUUGUGUCCAUUGGUAACUCAAAUGGAAUAACAAUUACAAUCAUGAAAUCAUAAUUAACUCAAGAUUAAGAUUACAGUAAAAUCAACGCCUAUGAGAUUUAAUAAGUCUGACAGUUAUUACAAAGUUAAUUAAAUCUCACAUGUGAUCCUGUUCAAUGUAGUCGUACUACAUCAAUAAAUUCAUACAUGAUUAAGACAAAUCAUUCAAUGAAUUUAUUACAGUCUAUACCUAAAUAAAGUGCCCAACUUUAUUUAUCAACUGCGAACUAAAUUUAUUUAAUCAUAAGAUAACUUGUAUUUAUGUCUUCUGUGAAUCCACAUGGUGAUCACAUAAAUACAUAUAAUAUGAUUAAAUGGACUUUAAUACAAAUAUUAAUGCAAUUAAGAUAUUUGAAUAAAAUACCUCAUUUAUUUUAUUAAUCAGAAAAACUGUUUAUUACAAUUAAAUAAACACAUAUGCUUUUAAAGAGCAUAUUUUCCCAACAAAUACACGGUCACUCGUACUUGUGUUUUGGUUGAAUUACUGGCUGCUAACCUCUGUAAUUCAGUUUGAAACUUGCCACCCUUAGUGCUUCACUCAAAUGGUUGGUUAGGGUGAGAUCUGUAUCGUUUUCUUGGUCUCUUUCCAAGGUUAUCUAAAGGGAUUUGGCAGUCUGAUUCUUUAGGGAAUAUCAUUGCAUAAGAUAUCUAUUGUUUGUUAAUGAAUAAUUUCUAUUUAACUAGUUAUCUAUAUAAAUUGGUAAAUUUUAACUGCAUAAUUUGCAUGCAAUAAGAUUUUAUAAGAAUCUUGUUUUCAACUCAUGACUUAGACUAAUGUGAUAUGUUGAGCAUUAAGCUACAAGAUCUGCACAUCAAAGUGCUUCACAAUGUUAAGGAGAAAGCAUCUUUUUCUGCUUCUUCAUGUGAUUUAAAGUUUCCAAGGUACUUAUCCAAUAAAAUAUCUUUCAAGACUUUGGAAAUGCUUUUAUAUAUGACUGAGAGAAACUUGUUGGGUUGGUUUUUAGCAACAGACGGAGUUAUGGACUUUGUGUUGACUUGUUAUUGAUUAAGACAGUACAUCGGCUGAUCUAUUGGCAUCAAGCAGCAGAUGCAGAAAUUAUGGGUGGCAUACCAUUGUAUCCAAAUAACAUACUACAUUGAUUUUUCUGACUUUCUGUUGGUCUCCGAGUGAAAUGCAGGCAUUUGCAGAUGAACUGGGGAUUCCUUUCCCGGAGACGAGUGCCAAAGAUGCAAUCAAUGUGGAGCAGGCUUUCUUGACCAUGGCUGGCGAGAUUAAGAAAAAGUAAAAUCACUUAACUCUUUCCUUCUUGCCGACUGUUCUUAUUUAACAAUCACUAUUAUUGCUGGUUAUAUGCAUUGUGAUGAAAAUUCUGCAAUGAGUAACUUUUUACCUAAUGUUUUCUGUUGGAACAAAUUACUCUGGUAGAAAAGCCCUACAGGGUUUGAGAAAUCCCAUGAUGUGAUGAUUGUGAGCAUUUUAGACACCGUCUAUGGGUUUAUUUUGUGACUAUAAAAUGUUAAGAUUGUUUCUAGUUUUGGUUUGUAGUGCAUAAAAGGAUUCAAAAUUUGACAUCUGUCUAAAUCAGAUUAAUAACAUGAUAAUGUACAUAUGCAAGAUGUGAGGAAUUGUUUUAUCUCACCCCUAAACUUUAAGAAAUUGAAACAGUAUUAUUCAAAAUAUUUAACAUUUCCAGAAUUGAUAGUUGUCUAUUUGAGCAGUGACUGGUGGUUAUCAUGAACUGAUGUGCGGUUGUGGUUUCAAAUCUUGGUGAAACCUGUUGUCCUAUGCUGAUUAACAUAGUUAGUCUCUGAAACAAUUUGUUGAUUCACUAAUUAUGAGUUAAAAUUUGAUGCAGAAUGGGCAACCAGCCUACUGCAAACAAAUCUUCUGGAACAGUUCAGAUGAAGCGAAUGCCAAUCCAGCAAAACAGCGACUGUUGUGGUUAGCCGAGCAUCUUAUUUUACUUCUACAUGUUAGCUGACUGAUUGUAGACAGUUUUAACUAUGUUGACUGCAUUAUCUUAUGAAUCUUUUAAUCUGUCAAAUAUUUAUUUCCUGCUUUAAGUUCUUUCCCGUUUAUAACAAAUUUAAUUUCUUGCUCCAUUGGAUUCCAAAUUCCUGUCAAUUUACGAGGGAAAAAGAAAAGAGAGACGAAAUGGGAGAAAAUGGUCAAAUUUGUUAGGCGGAGAGAGCUGUUUAAGUAGUUUUUGUUCUCGUUUAUUGUCGUGACCCUCAUGUCGCUUAUCGAUUACCUGGAAGUCCGGUCGUAUCGGAUGGGUAAAGUUACCGAAUCGGCAUCAUUUUGGGUGAAAUAUCAUAUUUAUGUGACACUUUUGAUAAUAUUUUUAUGUGUUACAGAGUAUGAUAAUAUGGUACAGCUGAGAGCAUCUGAUUAAAUGGAGCUGCUGAUGCUUACGUGUGUUGUUGAGUUAGUUAUCCAGCUCAGCAGUAAAGAUAACGAACUGGACUGCAUGCAUAUUAGAUUCAACAAACUGACAAGCUACGAGAUGCCUCUGAUCUUUUACUAUAAAUAACAAGUUGUAAUCAUCAGUCAAAUAAUAAGAAUAUGAUCAUUUUCAGAUCUGAUUCUUUAUGAUUUUCUUUCAUUUUCUUGUUAGUUUCUCUUAAACCAAACACUAUAUACAAACUCUUUCAUGGUAUCAGAGCAAACAAAUGGCAAAUUCGAAUCAAAAUUCUGGAUCCUAUAGUUUUAUUACUCCGAUAAAACUAGAUCAUAAUAACUUCAUUGUUUGGCGAACUCAGAUUCUCACAUCCAUUAAAGGAAAUGGUUUAGAAGAUUUCAUCAAUGGAAAUCAAGUCUGUCCGGAAAAAUUUUUCUCUGCUACAAGCUCUGCUGCUGGUUUCUCAUCUGGAACAGAUAAUCAAGAGAUCAAUCCAGCUUACACAAUGUGGAUAAAGACGGAUCAAUUGAUUCUGAGCUGGAUGCUCUCAUCUAUUCAACCGAAUUUGCUGACAACUGUGAUCCACUGCUCAACUGCAAAGGAACUGCUGGAUACACUUACAAGUAUGUUUGUUUCCCAGUCACAAGCUAGAAUAAUGCCUCUAAAAAUGCGAAUCCAAACUCUUAAAAAAGGCUCGAUGUCCAUAACUGAUUAUUUUGCAAAAAUGAAAAGGAUAUCUGAUAGCUUAGCUUUAGCUGGAAAACCUGUUGAAGUGAAUGAUUUCGUUCAACAUGUUUUGACUGGAUUGGAUUCUUCUGAUUAUGAGUCACUAGUUACUACUGUGUUAGCUAGAGGAGAUAAUAUCAGUCUUGAUGAGUUUUAUUCAUUGUUAUUGAGUCAUGAAAAUCGUGUGGAACAAAAGAGAGGAAAAAUUGCAAGUGAUGUUACACAUAACUUGUCAGCUAAUGUUGCUCAAAAGCAGUUCAAUCCUGGUAAAAACACUAGUGGUAAUCAGAAGUUUAACACUGGAUCGUAUGGAGGAGGUUAUAAUUCUGGAGCUGGAUCUAGUGAUGGUAACUUCUCACAAAUUGUAUGCCAGAUCUGCUUCAUUCCUGGUCAUGGUGCCAAUAAAUGCAGGAAUAUGUUUAACUCAGCUUUUGUUCCUUCAAGAAAUCAAGGAAGAGGUAGUUUUAAUGGAAAUUUUAGGCCUGGUCAGAGGCAGUAUGGUAGAGGUUUUGGCUAUGCUAAUGGAAAUAGGUCUUCUAUGGCUUAUGGAAAUUUUGGUAAUUUUGGUAGAAAUCUUAAUCCUCAAUAUGGUGCUGGAAUUGGUAACUCUCAGUUUGGUAAUUUCAACAUACCAAGAGCACCUGGUUAUCAAGGUCAUUUGAUGUAUUCAGAUCCAACUGCUUUCAAUGUUUAUCAACCAUCUAACUCUCAUGGUGGUUACUCUCCUGCUCAUGUUUUUGUUCCUACUGGAGAUUACUCUGGAUCUCCUUCAGUCCCUGUUCCAACUCAUGCACCUGAGAUGAUUGAAGAUCCAGCUUGGUACAUUGACAGUGGUGCUACUAACCACAUCACAAAUGACUCAGGUAAAUUACUGGAUCUCAAGCCAUAUGUUGGCACUGACAAAUUGCUUGUUGGGAAUGGUUCUGCAUUGCAUAUUAAACAUAUUGGAUCAGUAUUGCUAGCUACUACUGCAAAUAAACCCUUGUGUUUAAACCAUGUUCUUCAUGUUCCAAAUAUUAAGAAAAAUUUACUCAGUGUUUCAAAGCUCUUAGUAGAUAACAAUGUGACACUUGAGUUUUUUGCAAAUGUCUGUGUUGUCAAGGCCAGGAACUCAGGGAUCACUUUGCUUAGAGGAAUUGCAACAGGGGGAUUGUAUCAAGUCCAAUCUGCAACUCAAGUCUCUGAAACUAGCUCAGCCUUGUCAUGUCAACUUUCUUCCAAUAAACCUCAGUCUUUGUUUGCUUUUCAUUCUCCUUUGUCUAGUGAUAUUUCUCCUGAAAUAAGUAAGAGUACUUUGUCUCAUCAUUUGCUGUGUAAAUCAGCCUUGGCUGUCAAUACUAGCUCAGUCGAUGUCAAUGUUUUCCAUAAAAGGCUAGGACAUCCUGCCUUACACACACUCAAAUCUGUAUUGAAAGCUUGUAAUAGUUUCAAUGUACUCAAUAAAACUCCAAACUUUUGCAAUGCCUGUCAACAUGGUAAAAGUCAUCUUUUACAUUUUGGAUCUGUUCCAACAAAAACAACUGCACCAUUACAACUUAUAUAUGCUGAUUUGUGGGGACCAUCACAUGUUGCAUCCACUCAAGGCUAUAUAUACUAUCUGUCCAUUUUAGAUGAUUUUAGCAGAUUCACAUGGAUUUUUCCUUUGACUGCUAAAUCAGAUGCUCUCCAAGUCUUCACAGAAUUCAAAUCCUUUAUUGAAAAACACUUACAACAACUCAUCAAAAUAGUUCAAACAGAUUGGGGAGGGGAGUUUAGAACCUUUGCAUCAUAUCUCACUCAAUUUGGAAUUCAGUUCAGGCACCCUUGUCCACAUAUCCAUCAUCAAAAUGGAAGAAUUGAGAGAAAACAUAGACACAUAGUUGACAUUGGCCUCACUCUGUUAGCUCAAGCUAAUUUACCACUUAAGUUCUGGUGGAAUGCCUUUCAUACUGCUGUAUUCCUUAUCAACAGACUACCCACACCAACUUUGAAUAACAUUUCACCUUAUCAAAAACUUUUUCAGCAAGUACCAGAUUAUGCCUCUCUUAGGGUCUUUGGUUGUGCUUGCUUUCCUUAUCUCAGACCUUAUAACAGACACAAGCUCAGUUUUAGAUCAAACAGAUGUGUUUUCAUUGGGUAUAGCUCUUCUCAUAAAGGGUAUCAGUGUCUUCAUUCAUCUGGUCGUGUGUAUGUGUCCAAUCAUGUCAUCUUUGAUGAACAAUCCUUUCCAUAUGUAUCUGGAUCAGACUUCUCUUCCAUUGCUCAGUCUUGCAGUCCCUUAGAUAUUUCUUCAGAGUCCAAAGUUACUCUUGUUCCAAUCCCACAAGUACAAUCCCCCCUGCAAGAAUCUCCAGCAAGUGAUUACCUACCUGCUGACACUCCACAGGUAUUCUCUCCAUCUUCAACCUCCUCUUCAUCAUCUACUUCAACAUCACAUACACAUCCUAUACAUCAUACACAAUCUCCUCCUCAUAUAUUACCUGCUGCACCACCUAUAGGUCAUCCCAUGAUAACCAGAUCCAAGGCUGGUAUCUUUAAGCCUAAAUCUUUUUUAGCUGCUUUACUAGCCAUACCUUCAGAACCUACUUCUGUUUCAGCUGCUUUAUCUGAUCCAAAAUGGUUUAAGGCAAUGCAAGAAGAAUUUCAAGCACUUCAGAACAAUCAUACAUGGGAUCUGGUCUUGCCAAGUGAACCAGUUAAGGUAGUUGGAAACAAAUGGAUAUUCAAGAUAAAAUAUCAUGCUGAUGGAACCAUUUCUAGAUACAAAGCCAGGUUAGUGGCUAAGGGGUUUCAUCAGACACAAGGAGUUGAUUACACAGAAACAUUCAGUCCAGUUGUUAAAGCAUCCACAGUCAGAGUUAUUUUAAGUUUAGCAGUUCUGAAUAAAUGGGAGCUCAGACAAGUGGAUGUGAAUAAUGCUUUUUUGAAUGGCAUAUUAGUUGAAGAUGUGUACAUGGGGCAGCCAGAGGGCUUCAUUGAUCCAUCUCGACCUCUUCAUGUCUGUAAGUUGAAAAAGGCUCUCUAUGGUUUAAAACAAGCCCCCAGGGCAUGGUUUGAGAGACUGAAAGAUGCUAUGGUUGUGAAAUGGGGUUUCCAAAAUUCAAGGUCAGACAACUCCCUUUUCUACAAGUGGAUAGGUGAUCAAGUAAUUUUUGUUCUUGUCUAUGUGGAUGAUAUAAUCAUAACAGGCUCAAGUGAUAAAAUGGUGCAGCAAGUGAUCACAAAUAUGCAAAAUGCUUUUGCUUUGAAGGAUCUGGGAAAAUUGAGUUAUUUUCUUGGGAUAGAAGUUACCAAAACAGCAUCUGGAAUUUAUCUAUCUCAAUCUAAAUACAUAGCUGAUAUUCUAACCAAACACAAUAUGGCUGACUGCAGUCCAGUUCCUACUCCCAUGGCCACUGGUCAUUAUCUUACAAAGGGGUCAGGAAGUGUUAUUUCAAAUAGUUCUCAAUAUAGAAGUGCAGUUGGAGCCUUACAGUAUGUGACUCUCACUAGGCCAGAAAUAGCUUUCUCUGUAAACAAACUUAGUCAGUUUUUAGCUUCACCAACAGCAGAGCACUGGGAGGCUUGUAAGAGGCUUCUUAGAUAUUUGAAAGGAACAAUUCAUUUUGGAUUACAUUUUUAUCAUUACGGCACUAUGCAGAUAAAUUGUUUUAGUGACUCAGAUUGGGCAUGUGAUAAGGAUGAUCGCAAAUCAGUGGCUGGUCAUGCUGUUUAUCUUGGUUCAAAUUUGGUUUCUUGGUCGUCUAAGAAACAGGCAGUAGUUUCCAGAUCAAGCACUGAAGCUGAAUAUAGAGCUUUGGCUCAAGCUACAGCUGAGGUUACUUGGAUUCAGUCCUUACUGAAAGAGCUACAUAUUCAUCUUGUCACAGCCCCCAUAAUGUGGUGUGAUAAUCAAAGUGCCAUAGCUUUAGCUCACAAUCCUGUUUAUCAUGCUAAAACUAAGCAUGUUGAGCUUGAUAUUCACUUCAUCAGAGACAAAGUAACAGCUAAGCAAAUUACAUUUCAGUUCAUUCCCAGUGAAGACCAAAAUGCCGAUGUUCUUACCAAGGCAUUAACUUUUAAUCAGUUUCACUAUCUAAGAAGCAAGCUGAAUGUCCAUCCAGGUCAGUUCAGCUUGAGGGAGGAUGUUACAGAGUAUGAUAAUAUGGUACAGCUGAGAGCAUCUGAUUAAAUGGAGCUGCUGAUGCUUACGUGUGUUGUUGAGUUAGUUAUCCAGCUCAGCAGCAAAGAUAACGAACUGGACUGCAUGCAUAUUAGAUUCAACAAACUGACAAGCUACGAGAUGCCUCUGAUCUUUUACUAUAAAUAACAAGUUGUAAUCAUCAGUCAAAUAAUAAGAAUAUGAUCAUUUUCAGAUCUGAUUCUUUAUGAUUUUCUUUCAUUUUCUUGUUAGUUUCUCUUAAACCAAACACUAUAUACAAACUCUUUCAUUAUGCAAUAAAAAAAUGCUCAUGGUACCCGUUUCACAUUGUGAAGCGCAUGAUCAGAUCAGAGCAGUCUGGAUUCUGGCAUCACAAGCGGAUGCUUUGACUUGCUUAGUUUGUUUUUUGUUUCUGAUAAUUUCUCGACAUUGGGUGGGAUAUUGUUUCUCUUUUGAGUUUCUCUUUUUAUUUUUUAUCUUAUGGAAUUUGGAGAUAGUGUAAAUGUAUGAAGAUGACGUAAUCAAGUUGUUUUGAUAAAUUCCCCUGGUCGGUUUACUUCACUAACCAUUAAUGCGCAAAACCUCCUAAUGACCCUCAAAAAUCCCGUACAUAAUUAAAGAAUUUCAAUUUUAUAUGUACAAAAAUAAAUAACUCUCAAAUAUAUUAUUUGAUAAUUCUCAAAACAACAAUUCGCUCUAAUAAAUCUCGUAGGAAAUACAUAGUCUAUAUUGUAAGUCUUUUCGAGACUAAUUCAAAGAGAAAAUACGAAGGAUAUAUAAUUGACCUUUAUCUGUCAUAAAGAACUCUAAAUAAAUUCAUAUACGCAUCGCAACUAAUUACAGUUUUGAUACUUCAUUUGGUUUUUGUUAAUUUUCUAUACGGUUGUGCUGUGCAUAAAAGUUUUGUUAAAUGAAAUCGGUGAGGGUUAAUUAAUCAAUUAAUUAAGAUCCAGUUAAUGUAAUUAAUUUUAUUUGAUUUUUUUAAUUCGAGUUCUAAAUUAAUCAAUUAAUUUAGAUUCAUGUGAAAUUGAAGUGAAUUAGUUUUGAUCUGUUUUUCGUCCUAUGUUUGUCUGUGUUUACUCUUACUUUUUUUUUGUUUAAAUUUUUGUUUUCUUAUUGUUUACUGAAUAAAUUUAUGAGCUUUAUUUGAGUAUGAUGAUUGAUUUGUGAUUCUAAUCUAAAUGUGUUGGGCUGCGAUUUAAUUGAGUGAUGUGUGAGCGCCAAAUAUUCAAUAACUGAUAAAUUAUAUUUAUAAAUAUUAAUAGCGAUGGCACAUAAACAAUUAAUUCAAGAACUUGCCCAUAGUGAUUAAUUUAAAGAGUAUAAGUAACAUUGCAGUACAGUUAGCCCUUACGUGUUUAAUUAGCAAUUGAAAACUACUGUUGCUGAUGAGGUAGAACAUUAUAACACUGUUGCUGAUGAGGCAGCUGGUAAUUCUUUUGGUGAAGAUAUUAAGACUAUUAAAGCUGAAAUGUAAUUAGAGAAAUAUAAUGAUUAAAGAGGUGAGCUUUGAUAACCAUCUCUUUAACUAUAUCACUUAAAUAACUAACUUUUUAAUAUUAAAGCUGAAAUUUAAUUUCCACUAUUUUUGAUAUUUGUUUGGCUAAUGCUUUGCUUAGAUUACUUUUUGUUUUUGAGAUUUUAUUGGCUUAGUCAUGGGAUAUUGUUUUCUCUUCUAAUUUCUAUCUUUAUUGUUAUGGGAUUUGAUUGUAGUGUUCAUAUACGAAAAUUAUGUAAUCAAGUGCUUUCAAUAAAUCAUGAUCGAAUUACUAUUAAUUAAUUAAAUUAAAUUUACUCAAAUUACUCAUGUACACGAUCAAAAUAAUUUUAAUUCUAUGAUAUAUAUACACGCGCGCACACACAAACAAAAUGUAAUUAAUUUUGAAAUACAAAAUAUUUAAAAUAAUCACCGUACUAACAAUUCACAAGUUAGAUUUUAUAUGAAUAGACAGAAAUAAUGUUAAUCUAGCAAAUCCAAUCAUAAUAAAUUGAUUUUUAUUUAUAUUAAUUAUGUCGAACCAUGCUAUUUUAAUAAAGAACACUCCGGUGUUUAUAUAUCCAACAGGUAAAAUUUCAAAACAAUAUUUGCCAAAGUCCGAUGAAAAGAAUAUACACGCACACACAUAUAUAAUCAUACAACAGAAGGAUAAAUAAAAAAAAAAAUGAAGUUUCAACAACUGAAUAAUGCAAACUCAUUUUUUUUAAACAAGCAUUUUAUUGUUUAAUUAAAAAAUUCGAAAACCCAUUAGCCUUAUAUACAUGAUAAAGACUCACCGACGCCGAACCAUAUUAAUUUAACUUAGUUUUCAACUGAAAUUUAAAUUUUGAAAUCACAUACACAAACACGCCCAAUUUGAAAAAAAAAAGUAGUAAUCAUAAAAUAUUUCAAUCGUCCAUUGUUCAGUCACCAAAAACCAAUUUACGAUCUAUUUCAACGCCUAAUUUGAAAAAAGAAAAUACUAAUAAUAAAAUAUUACAGUCGUCCAUCCUUUCACAAAUAAAAAAUAUCACCAUAAACAUCGGGUAUAUGGGCUAACAAGUCCCAAUAUUGUCCUCCAUCCUUUCUGCACUUCUCUUCUAUCAACGGACACUGAUUGAUACUUAAUUGCAAAAGUGAGGAAGGCAGGCCCUUCUCCGGAAAGUAUUUGAGCUUGGGACAAUUCUGGAGUCGCAAUGAAGUGAGGUUUUGAAGAUCAACAAUUGAAGAAGAUAGGCGUUCCAGAUUUGGAAAAUUGAAAAUCUCCAGAGAUGUUAGAGAGGGAGGAAGAGGAAGCGCGGUCCCUAAUCUUUUGUCCUCUAGUGGAAAUGACACCAUGUCGUCAUCGCAUCCUUCGAUACGUAGACGUCGCAGAGAGGAGAAUCUGUGAAAUCCCCGGCCCCGCUCAAUCAUUGACUUCCAAAUCUCCAUAUUACCCCGAAUAUCAAGUGAAUGAAGGUUGGUGGGAAGGCCAUCAUCUUCUUCAAGGCUUGGAAGCGCACCUCCUAUUCUUAAUUCUUGAAGAGAGGUCAGAUUGUGCAAUCCCUUGGGUAAGGCCUCUAGUCUCUUACAAUCAGUUAUCUCCAGCCUCGUGAGUUUCGCACAAGGCAAUCCCCCUUCGGGAAAGGACACCAGAUUUCCACACCUCAUUAUCCGUAUGUCUCGAAGCUGGCGGAGAUUAUGUAAACCACUCGGUAAACUUUUCAGAUUUUCACAAUCAGGAAUGUAGAUUGUUUCAAGAGAUGAGUUGUUGUCCAACAUUUCUGCUAUUGACUCCAGCUUUGAACAUCCCCGAACUAAAAGGGACUUAAGAGACGGAGGUAGAUUGCCAACUUCAAGGGACUCAAGCGUGGCAGGUAACUCGUUUUUUGAAAAUAUACAUGUCAGAGACGAACAACUCUCAAUGUGUAAGUGCUCAAGAAGAGAUGACGUGUACCUUCUGCUGCUUCUGCUGCUGCUACACUGGAUGCCCUCUUCCACUGUCAAAGUCCUUAUAUUAUGGCAACCGCAGAUCUUCAAAUUCUUAAGGCUCGAUGGUAGCCUGACAGCAGCAAUAUAUGUCAACGAACAACAAUAGUGAAUAUUCAAGAUCUCGAGAGACGAAUUGGUGUCGCACAUCCAUGCCUCUGGUAACGAUUUCAGUGCAUCACAUGCUCCAAUAUGAAUUUUCUUCAACUUGGAAGGCAGAGCAACCUCAGGAAAGGAAACAAGGGAACUGCACUUGUAGAUUGCUAUCUCUCUCAAGGAACUGAGGCUGAACGAUGAUUGUGGCAGCUUCACAAGGCUUUCGCAAUCACUCAAUUCUAGAUAUUCAAGUCUGCAUGACAAUUCGCAGAGCUGCUGUUGUUGGUCUUUCUUUUCCUCCGCCACCAAGGAUUGAAGUUUGGGACAGCUGUCAAUCGUCAGUCUUUUGAGAGAGCAAAUGUCUUGCAGUAAUUCGUUAUGACUCUUCCAUAUAUGUGUUUCAUUUUUAAUAUUUUUUAUCUCCAAUUCUUCCAGUUUUGGUAUUCGCAGCUUCAAUGGCCCUGCGAGAAACACUUGAUUUGAUGUAUCUCUACAAACCACUGAAUUCUGUGAGCCGAGAUGAUCAAUUGCACUUCUCCACACAACCUUUUUACAUCCAUCAAUCUCUAAUUUGCAAAGAGCUGGAAGACUCGUAACUGAAACUGACAAUUCUUCACAUCCUCGAAUAACAAGCAUCUCCAAUGCAGGAAGGCAUUCUGGCAAUGUUCCUUGCAGUUUAGAACAUCUUAAAAUGCUAAGCUCUCUCAAUUUAGGAAACCCUUCAACUCCCUGACCAGAUCUAAGAGGAAUCCAGUCUUCCCAUUCUCGCAGGUCUUCAAAAUGAAGAGUCUCCAAGCAUGGAAAAGGAAUCCGAGAAUCAUUCCCAUAGAACUCUGAACCCAAACUCUUUACUCUACUCAUUCCACCCACUUCAAGAUGCUUUAGAGAGGGUAGUUGCCCGACUGACGGCAGGGUAGUACACACGCCACAAUCUUCAAAUUUAAGUGUUACUAAAUUUGACAAUGAGGAAUCUCCUAACCAUGUUGGAAAUUUUGUACCUCCAUAGCCACAGACACAAAAUUGUUCCAGAUUUUCAUGGGGUUUGAGCAUGUCAAGCACGCCCAUUUCAGUUUCUGCCUCCCUUGAAGAUGAACCAUCGGUGCUGCAAGUCCAAUUAAGCGAUAAUUCUCUAAGAUUCUCCUUUACAUCCAACCGAGCCUCCUUUGCAUCACCAAUGUCUUUUACAUUCCCUAAAUUUGAAAUUUUAAGUGUCCCCUGAAGAUGUAUCAAUGACUUUAGCUCUCGUAACCCAGAACCAUUGUCUUUUCCCACAGCAAAAUUACUCAAAGUCUGAAGACAAGUCAGCUUACCAAUUCCUACUGGCAUUUCCUCCAACGAAUCUGUAUUUGAAUUAUUGAGAUGAUGCAAUUUGAUGAGGUUUCCCAUGGCUGCACACAACUUCUUCAGUCGCCGACAGUCUUCCAACAGAAGGGUGUGCAAAUUGUAAAGCUUGCUGACUGAUUCAGGCAGAGUUUUAAUCUCAGUUCCAGACAGGUUAAGGUGCCUUAAAUACCUCAAAUCACCAACUGAAUCCGGCAGCUCGGAGAUGUGAUAUCCACGCAAAGAGAAGACCCUCAACCGUUGGAGUUUGAACAACUUAGGAAGAAUGCUACGAGCCAAGUAUCCACGCGAACUCUUUGUCAACAUUACUGGUAAAAAAGUUCGCAAAUGUUGGAUAUCGUACAAGCCCUCAAACCUUUGAACGCCAUCACAAAAUCCGCGAAUGUAUGACAGGUGACGAAUAUUUUUGGAAAAACUUUGUUGCUUGUUAACCUCUGAGGUAUACUCCAUUGUGAAGUAUAUCUCCCCCGCAGCCCAUUGAGCAAGGUCGUUGACAAGGUCGUGCAUCACAAAUCGUGAUUUAUUGUUGCUUGAUUGCUGGAAAAAAGAUCUUGAACGUAGCUCUUGAAAGAACUUUCGACCUAGAUCUUCAAUAGGAUUCCCACUCUCUUUGUGAUCCAAGAAACCCGAAGCACACCAUAAUAAAAUUAUCUCCUCCUCUUCAAAUUCAUAAUCCUUUGGAAACAAUGAGCAGUAUUCAAAGCAUUGUUUCAAAGGUGCCGCAAGAUAAUAGUAGCUCACUCUAAGCGCCGGUAUAAUGUCACAUCUCUCUUCGGGUAAAUCCCAUAUCUUGCAACUGAGCACACCUUCCCAAUCACUCCGGUCAAGUUUACCACGUAAGAGACCACCAAGAGUUUUCGCAGCUAAGGGCAAGCCGUUGCAUUUGAUCACUAUCUUCUUGCCAAUUUCCUCCAAUGACUUGUUUGAACUGAAAUCUCUUGUCCCCAAAGAGUGUUGAGCGAACACAGACAGACAAUCAUCAUUUGACAGCUUUUUCAAUUGAUAAGCCGGAGCAGUCCCCAUGAUGGCUGCAACCCCUUGAUUACGAGCUGUGACAAUAAUCUUACUUCCCGGUGCGCCAGCUUCAAAUGGAGGUCUGAGUCGAUCCCAAUCAUUGUAAUUCUCAUUCCAAACGUCAUCUAAAACAAGCAAAAAUUUCUUUUGAGAUAACUUCUUCUUCAGCUCCUCUUGAAGCUUAUUCAAGUCGUGAUUAUCCACAUUCUGGUCACUAGCAAUUGAAAGUAGGAUUGAUUUUGUAAGCCUGAUAACAUCAAAAUCAUCAGAGACGCAAGUCCAUGCCUUGAGAUCAAAAUGAUCCUGCACUUGCUUAUCAUUGUAGACAAGCUGAGCGAGAGUGGUUUUGCCCAGCCCGCCCAUACCAAUGAUAGGAAUAACAGAGAAUUCACCAUCAUUUCUCAAAUCAUCCCUCAACAACAAUUCAACAAUUUCCUUCUUUUCUGUUUCCCUCCCAUAUACCUUGGCUUCAUUCACCAAAGAGGUUGUGGGUAGUCUUUGCCUAUCUUUUUUGGACCUCCCAACUGAACUUACGUUCAAACCCAGCGAGUCUUUCUGUGUUACAAUAUCUUGAAAUCUGUCGUUGAUCUCUUUGAUUUUGGACAUUAUGGCGUAAUCGAACUGAAUCGAUUGUGGAGUAAAAGUGGUGCAGCAGGUAGGAAUGAGCUUCCGAAACUUACUUGUUCUUGUACGACUGCUACUGGGUUGAUCAAGAGCAGCAGCUGGAUCUCGAUUUCCAAGCAGCAACUUCCUCCGGAAAGCCUCAGUUUGAAACUCAUCCAGCAAGUCUUCAACAUCAAAAGCCAAGUUCUGAAGCUCGCCAAGCCACAACUUCACAGACUGAUCAGUCUUCUUCUCCUCAGCAUCAGCAAGCACCGCCUUGAUCAUCACCAACAUAUUCUUCCACUUCUUUAGGUCGGCUUGGAUUUGCUCUUGGCGUGCAAACAGCCGAAUACCCUCUGAAGCUAACUUAUUGACCAGCAAAUCAACGGACGCCGUAAGGAUUGCCUCUCCGAUGAAUGACAUUUUUUUUCUUUUUCUUUUUUUUUUUGGUUUUGCAAAGAAAGAAAGGAGCAGAAUUAUGGGUUAUGGAAAGCAGAAUGAGAAAAUGGAACAGGUGAGAAAAUGGAUAAUUAAUCAGAACGAGUUUGUGAUUGUGAAGGGUCUGGCCCAGCAAGCUUAGUAGAAAUCACGCGUUUAUACUUUAUUGACCAAUGACUAAUAAUUUGGCAAUUCACUCAUCACCAUUCACCGCCACUUGGUAAGCAAAAUGAAAAUGCUUGGUAAUUAAGUGUGGUCAAGCAAAAUACGACGUAAAAUGUGUCAAGGGUCUCCCCACUUGUUGUUCCUUGCAGCUUAGAAAAGAAAAACAGAGCCCACCACCCAUUAAUAAUUUAGCAAUUCACCAAUCAUCACCACUUGUUACGAAACCAUCUCAUAAACCAAGUUCGUAGGUCGAGCGGUUAAUCCAGUGUCUAUUUCCUAGAACCUUCAUCUCAUAAACCAAGUUCAAUCAAAACGUUCCUCUCUCUAUUUUUUUUUUUUUAAAAAACUCCUAAAACGUUUCUUUUUAGAAAUAUUUUACUUUAUUCAACUAAUAUGAUAUCUAACAAAUAGACACAAUUGAAUCACUCUAAAGUGAAGAUGAAAGGGGAAAAAAAUAACCUUCCAACUACCAGUAAUUUAGCAAGCUUCACUUUAUUCCACCAAAGUGUAAAUAAAGCCAGCCCCCACCACCAUCAAUAAUUUUGCAAGCUUCACACGCUUGUUGUCUUCUCCUUGACGAACUGGACAUGAGUGGACCAAGAACCAAUGACAGAAUUUUAAAAAUAAUAAUAAGAGAAAAACCUACACAUUUUCGACUUAGAGUAGAACCAUAAUUAAUGCUAAAAUCUACUCAGCUAACAUUUUCAAAAUAUUGUUCUUUAUGAUUUUCAAAACCUUGAUUAAGGUUCAUCUCAAAUGUUUGAAGAGAGUCUAUCAAUUCUUCUAUGCUAAAAAUAUCAAAAUUCUUACUUUUUCUUCAAACAUUGAAUAAUAAAAAAAAAAGUUGAAUAUGGAGGAAAGUAGAAUGCAUCCAUCUUCGCUGUAGAAGUCUUCUACUUAUUAAAGCAAGUUAGAAUAAAAGAUUUUAAUCUCUCUUUUUAUUCCUGUAAGUGCACUACAUUUUUUUUUAAUCUCAAUGCGAAGUCGUAUCAUAAUGUUAUAUUCCUAUUGUAAAACAAAAUUUUAGAUAAAACAAAUUCGACUCAUUUUUUAAAGGUAUAUAUUUAGUAGGUUACUAACAAAACUAACAAAACGUGAUUAUUACACUAAAUGAAAUAAAAGACAGUACUAUCACCAAUAAUUUAGCAAGUUUCGCAUGCAUGUGUUUCUAAAAACAUUAUAUGGAAUCAAACAACAGUGAUACAAAGAGAAAAGUGGAAAUCCUCUGAUUGUAUUUUUCUUUUUCUUUUUCAAAAGAAAUGGUGGGGUUGGUUUGUUUGCAAAGUUAUUAGCGUGGGUCUAUUUGUUUUUGUUUUAACUUUAUUAAUCAAUAAGCAAACGUGUAAUGAUUUGUAUAUAUCACUAGCAUCACAUUAUUGGGAGGUAUUGCGCUUAGUAUUCACAAUUUUUAUAAGAUGAAUUUGUAAGACUAAUUAAUUUUGAUGAAAAUGUAUUGUUACUAAGAUAUUAUUUAAUUCAUUAAGUUAACUUGAGGUAUUAAUAUUCACUAAUUGUGGUGCUGAUUAAUUUACUUAACUUGUCACCAUUUGCAAUUAAGAAUGAAGUUCAAUCAAUUUAUUGAGAAAAAAAAAUAAAGAUACCUUUUUUUCUUUAGAUUUUAAUUCUUAGGAUUUGAUUUCACGCUCUUUUAUUUUUUUACGUUGCUAAAGAGGCAGUAAAAAACUUGCUGAAUGUCAUCAAAUACUUUUAUCUCAUCUCACAAAUUGGUAAUAUUUGUUUGGUAUUUCAUCUCAACAGACGCAGUAAGGAUUACCUCUCCAAUGACUGACAUUUUUUUUUUUUUUUGGGGCAAAGAAAGAAACAGAAUUUUGAGUUUCGAAAAGCAAACUAAGAAAAUUGAGCAGCAAGUGUGAAGGGCAAGCAAAAUGCAUGUAGCAAGUCUUCCACUUGUUGUUUAUUCCAGUAAAGUGAAAAUAAAAACAGAGCCCACCACCCAUUAAUAAUUGAGCAAUUCACCAAUCACCAGUCACCACCACCCGUUACCGUAGGAUAAAAUUUUAUUUAAUUUAUUUUUUCACUGUAUUUUAUCUUAAAAAAUUAUUUACAGUAUGAUAAAAUUUUAUUUAAUUUAUUUUUUCAUUGUAUUGUAUCUUAAUUAAUUAAGUUGUUAUAUUUAUUGCAAAAAAUUUAUUUUGGCUUAGAGGAUUACUUCUUAAAUUCAGAUUAUUUUAAUGAUAAUAAAAGAUAUUUAUUUUGUGGAAGCAAAAUAAAUUGAAGAGAGAAAGAAAAUAUAAAUGACUUAACUCUAUUUAUAUUUGUCCUUAAAUAUAAUUGUAGUAUAAUAGGGGUUUUAUAAGAUUAAUGAAGGGGUGCCAAUAGUCCUACUCUUAUAGAAAAUGGCAAUAAAAAUAGUGGAAAUUUAGUGUAAUAAAAAGGAUAAACCAUAAGAAAUUAAUGUUUACAUCAAGAUACGUUAUAAAUAUUGUUUUUCUUAAGAUGUUAUUUGCCUCCACCAAUCGAAUAAUACACAUGAAUUAAACAAAUAUGACUCCAUGAUACAAUAAAGCGCUUAUUUAUUUGUUUAAGUUAUAUGUCGACGAAGCAAAUUUGAAUACUUUUGAAUGUUGUAAGCAUGUCAAGAAUCAAUAUAUUAUUUCUACAAAAAGAAACAAUAUAUUAGAUAUUUAAAGCAUAAAAAAUAGAUGUUAAUUGAUUAAAUUUGAUUUAGGAAAGAAGGCUACGAAAAGAGUGGUGUAAGGUCAUUUUAUUCAUGUCUACAUAGCCCUAUUAUUUGGGUUGUCAUUUUUUUAUAAUACUCCUUCAUGGCCAUUAGAUCAAACACUCAAAUCCCUACUAUAGCUAAUUAGCUUAUUGACCAGUAACUUACAGGAUGCCAUAAGGAUUACAUCUAUGAUGAUUGACCUUUUUUUUUUUUGGGUGGGGGUAGGGGGGAAGAAACCGAAUUAUGAGUUUAUGGAAAUUAGAGCAAAUAAGAAAGUGAAUUACAACAGAAUGAGUUUGUGAUUGUGAUAGGUCGAACAAGUCUAGAAAUCAAUUAGGCAAAAACCACCACGAAAGUUAAAAAGGAAAAAUAGCGCCCACCACAAAUAUAAAAUUGGAGGAGCUUAGGAUCAUGCCUUUGCUUUACAAAUUAAAUUAAAUAAAAGCCAAACCAAGAACCUUGCUUUUGCUUAACAUGAUUAAUUAGGCACUAUUUCAGAAAGAACACAAAAAUAAUAAACCCUUUUAUUGAUCUUAAAUGUCAAGAAUAAAGUAACAUUUUCUCCUCUUACCGUUUCUUCAGGUUCAUUUCAAAAGUUUGAAGAGAGUUUAUCCAUUCUUCUAAACUAAGAAAAAGAAAAUCAACAUUAUUGCUUUCUUCUAUUCUUGCUUUCUUCAGAUGUUGAAUAAAAAAAAAUAUAUUGUUAAAUAUGUAGGAAAAAAACAAACAAAGUGAGUUAAACAAAUAAAACCUAGGUAAAUUAACUGACGCAACACUGGAAAUCACAACUGAAAAUAUAGGAGGGAAAAGAAAAAUCGAAACAGAAAAUGAAACCCGAGGCCUGCACAGGACAAUUUCCUUAAAACAAAUUUACCACCUACUGAAGUGCUUUAGGUCUGCUGGUAACUGUUUCUCAGGAUACAACGAGCACGAAUUUUCGGUCAAUCACAUACAGGUAAUGUCGGCGAACUACAACAGUGGCAAACUCAAUAAGAAAAAACAAAUGAAAGAAGGAGGAAAGGAAAAUUUUCAAGUGCUCUGUGUGCUGGUUUCAGUGUGUAUAAAAAACAGAAGAGGAUGUGCUUUUUUAUACUCAUGUGAGGAUAUAACAGCAGCAUUGUAUUGAAUUUCGGAAUUCAAUAUAUGCCAUUAAAUAGUUAUAACAGCCAAUUCAAUUCCAUCAACUGAUUUCAAAAUUGAAUUCAAAACCAGUUAAAAAAUAAUUGUUGUGAAGUUGUUACAACAAAAAAUUCAAAGGAAAUUAAAAAUGUGCUAUGCAAGCUUGGAUGAUUUUGGACUGACAUUCGCGUACGCAGGACGCACACGAGUUUAACCAAAUCGGUCUUGGAUUUGCACCCCCUACGCACGCGCGUGUAGAGAGAGUCUCUAUCCUUAUAAUUAUUACUCAUGCAUGGUUAAAUGUUUAUAUAUAAACACUAAUCCUUGGGCUUCUUUUUCUCAUGUGGGAAAAGUUUCAUUUGCUUUCAAAUUUCCAACUUCAAUAGUGAACUUUGAGAGACAAUUUCUCAUUCACCCAAGCACUAUUUUGAGAAAAUAAAAUUAUAUUUUUGAAGUAUUAACAUAAUAGAAUCCAAACCUCACAAGAUUUCUCACUUUCGCUAAGUGAGACCCACUCAAAAUGUGCCCUCAAAAUAUCAUAUAGACAUGCUAUUUUUUCAACAAAAUAAGGAGGAAAUUAGAAUGUAUCUACCUUUGCUAACCUAAAAUAAAAGAAAUUAAUCUCUCUUUUAUUACUAAAGUACACUAUUUUUUUAAUAAUUGUAUUGACAAUGACAACAUGUAUCAUCGAUUAUAUUCUUGUUGUGUUGAAAUAAGAUAUAAAAAAUCUUGGAUCAAGAGGAAUUCGACUCAUUUGUUAAAGGUACAUAUUUUAUAUACUAAAAACAAAAAUUAACAUAACACGAUUAUUACACUAAAGUGAAAUGAAAGCCAGUACCCACCAGUUCACCAACAGUAAUUUAGCAAACUUUGCAUUCUCGUGUUUGAGGAAAUGGACAUUGGUGAAUUAACCAAAGGACCAAUGAAAGAAUUGUAAAUAACAAAAUGGAGAUUACACUUUUUUUCCAUAUAAUUGUUCAGGCAAUGAAACUAAUUUUGAGACAUUUUCAAAUAAACUUAUUUUCAAAAGCAAUACAAAAUGAUUUCGUUUUAUUUUGAAACAUUUCAUGGAAUCAAGUAGUAGUAAAAUAAAUAGAAAAGUGGUAAUUCCCUCAUUUUAUUAUUUUCUUUUUUAAAAGGAGAUGAUGGGGUUGGGUUGUUCACAAAAUUAUUGGUGCGGGGUCUGUUUGUUUUUGUUUUAACUUUAUUAAUUAAUUAGCGAAGCAAACAUGUAAUGAUUUGUAAAAGGAUUACUAGCAUCAGAUUAUUGGGAGGCAUUAUGGAGAAGUCACGCUUAGUAUUUACAAUUCAUGUAAGAUAAAUUUGUAGAUUUAUUAAGUUACUUGAGAUAUAUUUAUUAAUUGUGGAGAUUAAUUUAUUUAACUUGUCAUGAUUUUCAAUUAAGAAUGAAGUUCAGUCAAUUUAUGGAAAGAAGGAUAAUUUUGUUUUCAGAUUUUUAAUUCUUAGGAUUUGAUUUCACUUUGUUUCGAUUGUCGAUGUUGCUGAAGAGGCAGUGAAAGUUUGCUGAAUGCCAUCAAAUGCUUGCAUCUUAUCUCACAAAAUGUCAAUAUCAGUCUGUUUCCCUAUAGGCGCAACCAUCACGAAUUUAAAGUAACAACAUGAUGAGCAUAUAACAUAUACAUAUUUUACCAUUAAUUAUAUAAUUGUUAGUUAUUUUUAUUUAUUAUUUUUAAUUAAUUAAAUUAUUUUAUUAAAUAAGAAAUUAAUUGGAGAUUAUGGAUAAAAAGGACAUGAAAAAGUUUAAUUUGGGAAGCAAUAAAAAUUAAAUUGAAAGACAAAAAUACAGACAAGGAUUAAUAGAAUCCGUGCCGAAAAAAUCAAAGCACAAUGUUUUUCUUAAUGUCAUUAUUUAGGCAAGUGUUUUGAUGCACUGGAAGUUUAAGAGAAUAAAAUCUGAAGAAUUUAUUAAGAGAAUCAAAUAGAAAGUUUUGAUGCAGCGAAAAAAAUCUGAAGUUUGAAUUUUGCUCAUAUAGAUAGUAAGAGAAUCAAAUUAUUGUUAAAUUAAAUUAAUGAAAAAAAUUAUCUGAUAUCUAAAACAGCAUAUCAACAAAAUUGAAUUAAAAGAAAAUUGAAGAGAAAAACCAUUGAGAAAUUUCGAUAACUUCACUUAUUAAAACUUGGUUAUUUCAUUUUCAUUGAUAAUCAUUUUGACACCGGUCAAAUUUAAAAGUUUAAAUAAUGGGGGCGAUAUUUCUUUCCAGCUAUGCCCAUCGACUAAUUAAAAUACUGCCGAAACAAUUCAGGGAUAGUAUAGUAAUUUCAUUUAACAGUUUUCGUGCUUCAAAUCAUCAAAUCAAACUCACGGUUUCCGACUUGUAAUGGGUGCAACUCAUGUUUUUCAAACAUUAAUGUGUUUCAAACAUUAAGAUCUUUAGCCAUUCUGUUACUAUCCCGUGGUUAUUUAAGUUACAAGAGACAGUAAAAAAUAUCAUCAUAUUUUAACGUCCCUCGAAUAUUUGAAGAAGUUAAAAUUUAGGCGGUUUUAUAUAAGAUGUAAUAUAAAUUGAUAUCAGUAAUUAUAUGAUUGUAAAUAUCAUGAUCAAUAGUCUCUUAUAAAAAAAAAAAAAGAACAAGUGUCAUGAGCCCAUUUAGAUUAACUUAUAUUUGAGGGGGAAAUCUUUGUACACCAUGGUAUAUAUUAUAUAUAUAGACAUUGAUGAAUUCGCACAGUACAACUAAGUAUUUUUUUUUUUUGAAUACUGGUUACACACCAGAUUACUGGCAAUUGCUAUUAUAGCAGACAUUACACUGAUAUUUACAAUCAAAUAUACAUAAUUGAGACUUAUAUUAUUACAUUAAAUUCUAUGAAGUACAUUUCCAAACAAAUAACCCUUAUAGAGCAGAGAUGUCCUUGCUCCACUCGCAUUUCGCAGGGAGAAGAACUUAUAAAAAUUUAGCCCCCACAAUACUUUUGUGGAGGGUUGAACCGCUGCUCUCACGCUUGUGAGGGCAGCAGUCCAACCCGCAGACCAAGGGCCCAAUGGCGUACAACUAAGUAAUUGCAUGCGCCAUUUGUGCCAAUGUGUAUAUAAAUAUAUAUAUAUAUAUAUACACCCUGCUUGCAUUGCAUUAACUACGUCCCUAGUCACCCACGUCCGCUACUUGUAUGAAUGUGCAUAUAAAUAUACAUAUCCGCAGUGUUAGGAAUUUAGAUCUAUUAGAAAUAGAUAUAGGUAAUUAAAAAACCAAAAAUUAAGAACUUCAUUUUUUUUGGAAGUACUAUUCACGGUUACUGUUCACGACUACUGUUCAUCAUCAUAAAAAAUAUUAAUUUUCAAAAACAUAAUAAAAUGCAGAAAAUAAAUGACACAGAGAUUUUUACGUGGUUCGAAUUAACCAAUCAUACAUCCAUGAGGCCACGCCCAGAUGAAAAGCAAUUCAUUAAGUUGAGAUGUUACAACCUAUGGAUUUACCAAACUUAAGACUCUCAUUUACAGUUUAUCACCAUACAGUUUACUCAACCUUAGAAUGAAUCUGCUUCUCUUGAAUAAUCACUACCCCUCUUGAUCCGCGAUCUUCAAGGCACUUCGCAAAGUGAUCAAUAGCAAUUCUUCAAUUCUUCAAUGUCUAGUGAUACAAGAUACACAUAGACUCUCCAUAGAGAUUAACAGAAGAUGAGAAAAAAAAUCAACACAACAUGAUGCGCCAGAUCCGGAUUCUUUGGGGAGGAGGCCGAAUCUUACUUCUCUGCUUUAUGCUCUGCGUUAUAUGAUCUUCAAUUGUGAAAUACCUCUCUUUAUAUAGGCACUAGAGUUUUACCAAAAUAGCAAGUCUUAAAAGACUUGGAUUCUUUCCAAAUAAGAGUUGCAUUCCUCUUAUAAUUCCCAUGAAUCUGAAUAGGAAUAAAUCUAACCUUCUUACCUUGCUUGUCUCCUAAGAAAUAUUUAGAGCAUUUAAUGAACUCUCUGUUUGAACCAACUUCUUGCUCUAAAUAGAUCUCAUGCGCUAAAUAUAAAAUCUCACCAUUAAUUAACUUGCUAAAUUAAACAUCUAAUUAAAUUAAGAAACAAAUAUUCCUAAUACUAAAUUAGUGAAUUAAUAAAUUAAUCCAUAUUACAAUAUAUGCAAUAAAUAAAUUUUCAAUUUAACUAGACUUGCCAUAAAAUAUCAACUUUAUAAAUAUUGGACUUAACACGCAGCAUAUUAUCAAACCAGAAUCAGAAGCAACUUAAGUUUUGAUUACGGUUCACCGGAAGUCACAGCUAGCAAGUGAUCCUUGCAUCAUUUUACUAAAUAUACAAUGAAAUUAACCCCCGCAAUUUCGGCCUUUGCCAUAGUCGUUUUGUUUAUUAGGUUUAUGUUUAUCAACAUGAUUGUCAACCAUAAUCACAAUCAAGUUGUUAAUUAUUUUUAAAUAAUGUGAAGGAACAAGAUUUUGGUCUUUGAAUGUGGAGUUAGAAAUAUCUCACCUCAAUAUACGGUAUUGUGCUCUCAUCAUCUUAACAUUAUUUGUUAAAAAUUAUGUCAAAGAGGAAAGCAGAUUCAAACAUUACUUCAAUUUUCUUUAAGAGCAUCAAAAAAUCGUUAAUAGGCUACUGUUAUUUGAUAGUACGAUUUCACAAAAGGAAGCUGGAGGAAGAUGAAGCUUUCAAGUCAUGUGUGCAUCAAAGUAAGAAACAGAGCUAACGAGAGAUGGACAAGUAUUAACCACUGUUAUCAGAAAUUAAAUAUAUCAGCAUUUUGUUAUAUCAGCAGAGACGCGUGUACGUAUUGCUUGUGACAAAUCUCACCCAUGGAGAACUUUGUGGACGGCAUUUGAAUGUGUGGCCUCAUUUAAUGAACGAAACGAUAACUUUAAAAGAAAGUAUGUACUGUGUUAAUUAUUAGGCUUUAGCUUAAUGAUUGCAAUUAGUUUGUCUUGUAAUUAAAUUAUUGCCGACAAACACUAUCACGACCGACGUCCACUACUUGCGUGAAUGUGUGUAUAAAUAUCCACAGCAUAUUAUCAAACCUGAAGCGUGAUCAUCUUUAAGUUUUGGUUACGGUUUAUCAGACGUUAGAAAAUAUCUUUUCUAAUUUGAAGAAGAUGGAAACUCCUUAUCCAGGUUCUUAGGUCAUGUUCAGUUGAAUGUUAUUUAUAAUUUUUAUUUUAACAUUAUGUAUUUAUAAAUAUAAUUAUUAUUAUGAUUUUUUCAGGUAAGAAUGGAUGGUCUGAAAGUAACCCAAUAAUUAUGUACAAUAUUAUUAAUGAUGCGAGCGUGAAUAAAAAUUUGGAUUUUAUUCUCGUCCCUCAAUACGGAAGAAAUCUUGACCAUAGAGGCUAAGUGUUAUGUAACUCUUUCGUAUGUAUUAUGUUUAAUUAAUAAUAAAAUGAUGGGUUAUUAUUAUGUCAAUUAUGUGAGUGUCUUUGUUUGGUUUAGUUCAACUUAUAAAAUCUCUUGAGAUAUUUUCUUUAUUUAAUUUUGUGUACCGUGUCUUCUUGUAAAAAGAAAUUAAUAAAAAAAAUAUCAUUGUGUAUAAUGUAUUAACUAAGUUAGUGUAUUCAUGUUAGGUUAAUUGUGCUCUCUCUUCUUCAUAUUUUUUUUUUUUAAAAAAAAACUCCACAUAUUGUUGGUUAGCUAAUUCUUGCAGCUAGCAAGUGAUCAUUUUCUUUCCCCUACUGCCGUAGCAUCAAAUCCUUGCAAUUACAUAUCAAGUGGUAUUCGAGCCGUCAAAUGAUCCAUGGAAACAAGCAACAAAUCAAAUGGUGAAUUUUGCGAAGAGAUUCACGAAAUCCUUGCUAUACAUGAGUCUAGUUUUGACCCAGUUCACAUCACCCAUCAGCUGCGGGUUUGAAUGGUACCUAGUGGAUAUUUUGUGAGUCCCCACGUAUAAAAUCACACUUGCAACAAAACCUAAAAACUUAAAUUACGUAAUUCAAAUUAUAAAUUUAUAAUCAUAGCCUAAAAAACCACACAAAAUACUUAAUUCUAGAUUUUAUCAAUGUAAAUGAAAAAUGAAAGUUUUAAUAUUAAAAUAAACUCACAAAAUAUAUCAAUUUAACACAAAUUUUCAAAGUUAAUUACUAAAUACAUAAGUCUAUCGCAACUCAAAGUGCUUUCAAUUGAAAACGAAAAAAGAGAAAGAGAAUAAAAAAUAAAGAACUACAAAUCAAAGUAGCAGCCAUGUCUCAUUUUGCAGUCUCAUUCAAUACCACUAGCACCCAUCCAACACGAUUUUUCUAAACAAAGUAUCAAGUACAAAAUUACAAUAAGCAUAUCAUACUCCAUGCUUUAAGUUAAAGAUCCUUAUAUAUUUUUAUGAAUAAUUUUUUAAUGAAAUUUUAUGAUUAAAAUUAAAAAUACAAACAUUCAAAUAAGAAUGUCGGACACUUGCACAACUAUUUACCAAAUUUUUUCUCUAUAAAAAUCGACCUGCAACUUUCAAUAGGUUUAAAUUUUAUAAUACCAAACCUGAUUGCAGCUCGCAAAAAUUAUCCGUUGCGGCCAAGACUUUGGAUUUGCGAUGAUUUUGCCACCCUAAGUGUAGUUAGUAUUGUAUAUCAUGUGGCUCUUAUAAAAAGCUUAGAAGUUGUUUGAAUAACGGGGGAGACACAUAUCUCCCAAAGAUUUUCUCUUUUUCAAAUUAUUAUUUUUUCUCUAUUAUUGUAACUUCGAAUCCUUAUAAAUUACAGAUUGGAAACAUGAACACAAUGUUUUGACAUAGUAGACUUUUGGCUUGUCCAGAGAAAUUUAGGAUAGAUUUUUACGCACUAAGGUGGCGUUUGUUUUUUUGUCUGAAAUCUGAAUAGACUUGAAUUAGUCUGAAUUCUGAACAGGUCUGAAUGUUUGAAUCUGAAUAAUAUGUUUGUUUUUUCAUCUGAAUCUUGAAAAAUAAGUAUUAAGUUGUUUGUUUUUUUCAACUUAAAAAGCUAAAAAUAUGUACUUUUACAUUUGUAUCCUUAUUAAAUUUAAAUGUCAAAUAAAUAAUAUAUUAAAUACCACAAUAUUUUAACAUUUAUAAGUAAAACUAUAUUCAAGUGAAUACAUAAUUAUUUUAAAAUUUUAAUAUAUAAAAUACCAUAAAUUUCAAAUUUUAUCGUAUAUAAUAUAAGAAAGAAAAAACAGGGAUAUUUUUAUGUGGGGUAAAUAUCUAUGGGUGAGUUUUGGGAUAGACAUGAAAAAUAAAUUAUAAAACAGGGAUAUUUUUGACAUUAGCAAGUAAUUGACUUAAUUCAGAUUUCUCCAUUAAGUAAAAAGCUAAAAAAAAUUAGCUUAUUUUAUUAAGUCAAAAUUAUCUAAAAAGUCUCAUUAAGUUAUAAAAACAAACACCUCUAAUUAACUUAAUUAAUUAAGUUAAGUCACUUUAAGUCAUUAAGUUAAAAAACAAACGCCACCUAAGACUCUAUUUACUUUUGAGGUUUUAGAACUUUUAAGCAACACUAGAAAUUUGUAUUGUUUUGAUAGAGUUGUAGUCUUUGAUAUGUGAUUGGUAUUAAUCAAGUGUUAUGUUUACAAUAGUUAAAACACAUAUUGAAUCAAAAUCCACUUCUAAGGGCUUGAUUGAGUGAUUGUAAAGUAGGUUUUUAGUUUGCUAGCCACUCAAGUUCAAAUAUUGGAACCACAUCGCUUUAUAGCCAAGUGAGAGAACUUGUGCCCUAAAAAUUGAGGGGUGCAUAUCGAGUUUUACCACCAAUAAAAGUUGGUGUUAAAACUUUAAUUUCUCUCCUAUUGUGGAUAGGGGUAAUUAGGAGUUUACAUCCCCUCCUAUUAAUAGAUAGGGGUUAUUAGGAAUAUUAAAAAAAAGUUCAAAUAUUGAAAAUAUAGGUAUGUGUUAUAAAAUUCAUAAUAUAAAGACACAAAAUCAAGAUAAAUAUUUAAAAAUUUAGAACCAUAAGAGCGUGACUUGUAAGUUUCAAAAAAGUAUGUGCAAAUAUAUGCAUUAUUGAUACCCCAAUUAAGGGUGGGCAUUAAGAAAAAAAAUCCCAAAAAAUUAAAACUAACCCUAACUAAAAUAUUCGACGGCGGCCUCCUCGUUUUCUUUUCUUCUUCUUCCUCCUCUUGCUCACCCUCAAUGCCCAUUCAUGGAAAUCCAACAGCUCCAAACGCGUUUCAGCCGCUCGCACGUGUGAGAAAUUUUCCUUCUCAUAGGAUUAUUCGUUUCCUUCGCUUGCAUGCCAGCAGAAUAUUCAGGCCGAGGAUUUUUCCGGGCCUAGCCCAACUAUAAGCUCUCCCAAAACCCAAUCAUAAAGUUCAUAACGUUUAGCGUUUGCUUUUACUAUAAUUUUUUUUAACCAAUUUUCACAUUCAUCAACAUAGGCAGACAGAUUUUGUAGAAAAUAAAAUUAAAUAAAAAUACAAGAUCACGAAAAUUCCUUUUCCGAUGUGGGAAUCUAUCUACACCUUUCACGUACCUUUUUUUUUUUUUUUUGUGGUGGGGGAUUCACUUGCUUUUGUUUGCAUUGCCUUAUUGGAUAAAAGUUUGUAGAACAUCGUCUGUUUGGUUAAAGCCGAGCAUGAGUGAAGAAAAAUUAAAAAUAAACAAUUUUCCAUUAAUUUGCAACAAGUAUUAAUAAAGUGCAUGAGAAAAGACACCAGGAUAUGUCUUUUUUCAAAUGAAAAUAAAUGUGUUAAUUAGUCAAUUUAAAUGGUAUGACAUUUUGAAAUGACAGAAGUGAUCUAAAGUUUAAAUCUUACUCACAAUUACUUUAGGGUUGGGGAUUAAUUGACCUAAUAUAUAAUAACGAAUUCGAAAGACAAUUAAAAAUUAAAAGAAAAUAAAAAAGUACUUUCUUUUUUAUGAUGGUAAUUUGUUUAGAUGAUGAAAACUCUUAGAGUGGUAUUAUCAUUACAUAGUUUCGAGCGUUGCCAACGUGAAUAAUAUUUAAUUUCGUUUAUAUAGUUAUAUCUCAACUAACAUUUAAACAGAAGUAAGCUGUAAAAAAAAAAUGAACCAUUGAGAUUUGAGAGAACGAAAAACUAAAAAAAAAAGUUAAAAAAUUAGAUCUCAAUAAAUUUACUUGAGAACUACUUUACUUAUUAGUGACGAGAAAACACAAAGAAUAAUGAUGUAUCUCAAUUAAUAAGACAGUUUUUGUAUUUUUCAUUUAUUCAAGAAUCACGAAACUUCAUUGAAAUUUGUUAUUUCAUUGAUAAUAUAUUAAUAUUGAACAAUUAAUGUAGGAGACAUUCCUUUUCAAUUAUACCCAUAUAUUAAUUAAAGACUACCAAAAAGUUCAGGGAUACUAUAGUAAUUUAAGUUAACAAUUUCUGUGCUUGAAAUCAGCCGAUCAAACUCACUUUAAAAUAAACUGAGAAAUCAAAAUCACAUUCUCCGAUUCUACGAUUUCAAUUCAUCUUAUUUCUUCAACUGAAAAAUUGGUUAUAUUUCGUUUUAUUUUAUUUUUAUUUUUAUAUAAAGAUAAAUAUAAAAUAUUUUUUUGAUUACAUGAGACUAUUGCUCAAAUUACAACUCAUAUUACAUGAGAAUAUAACUGAUAUGUACAAAUCAGACUAUAAUUAGGACCAACAUACAUCAAAUCUAAUGGAGCGUUGCCCAAAUUUUAACCCUCUCAAAUAUUCGAGGGAUGUCUACUUCUCGCACUGAGACAAAAAAAUAGACUGCCUUCACUCAAUUUUAUUUAAGAAAAGAAAUACUCCCACAUACAUUGUGGGGGCUCGAACUGUUGCUCUCCAACUUGGAGAGCAGCAGCUCUCACCACUCGGCCAAAGGCCGAGUGGCUGAUUUAUAUUUUGGCCGAGUGGCUGAUAAAUAUAAAAUAUAAAUGAAGAGGAAACUGUUAAAGUAAAAUCAAAAGAAGGACACGAGUUUUAUUGAAAAUGACUCUUUUCAUCAUUUUACCGGAUUGAAUGUAUCUACAUAUAAACUAAAGAAGCACAUUUGUUUCCGACUCUACGCUUUAAAUUUAGCUUCAUUUCUUCAACUGAAGAAUCGGUCGUCUCUCAUUUUUUAUUUAUUAUAUAAAGAUAAAUAUCUAAAUUUAAAUGGCGAGAAGAGCGGACGAGGAAUACGAUUACUUGUUCAAAGUGGUAUCAAUCGGCGAUUCGGGAGUCGGCAAAUCGAACUUACUCUCCCGAUUUACUCGUAACGAGUUCUGUUUGGAGUCGAAAUCCACUAUUGGCGUCGAAUUCGCCACCCGCACUCUUCAAGUAACUAACUUUUCCUCUUUCACUUCUCUUCAUUUUUAUUAGUUAAUUAAGAUCCAGCUAAUGUAAUUAAUUUUAUUUAAUCUUUUAAAUAAAGUUCUAGAUUAGGCUAACUUAGAUUCAUGUGAAGUUGAAGUGAUUUACUUUCGAUCUCUUUUUCGUCCUAUGUUUAUUUGUACUUACUAUUACUUUUUUUUGGGUUUAAAUUUUCGUUUUUGAAGUGUUUACUGAAUAAAUUUCUGAGCUUUAUUUGUGUAUGCUGAUUGAUUUGUGAUUUUAAUUUUGUGACUUUUUUUUUGGAAUUUAAAUUUGAAUGCUUUUUAAGUUGAAUCUGAUUGUGUUGGGCUGCGAUUUAAUUAAGUCAUCUGUGAGCGCCAAGUUGUGAUAGCUAUAUAUUGGGGUGAAAAUUUGGGAUUUAAAGUUAUGUAUUUAAGAUGCAGUUAAUUCGCAAGUGAAAAUUAUGGGCCGGCAGAUUUUGUCAUUGGAAGACUGUUCUCCACAUGUUGAAGUUAGUGAUGCAAGUUGAAACCAAUCUGUUUAAGCUUGGGGUUUCAUGUCUUGAAUCAAGGCUGUGACUUGGGGUGGGUUGAAAGUAUUAUAGCUUUAGCUAUUCCUGAAGUGAUCUGUUUAGACUCACCGUGAUGAGACCGAGUGCUGUACAGUAAAAUGAAAGGAAGUUGGAAAAUAUUUACUUAGCAUUUCGCGUUACUAAUGUUGAACUAAUAAAACCUAGCCCCUAUCCUAGUGAAUUUAUGUUAAAAAGCUAUGCACGCAUUAAGUUAGUGCGAGAGUCUGCUGAAGCAUAUGCCAGCUGUGUGUUUGGAGCUGAGUAUUCUUCAUUCCACAUUUUGGGUUUUGGUUGACCUCCAGCAUGACUCAACCCACUUGAGUUAAAAGCCCUAGAGUUACAUUCUACCCAUGAUAUUUGAGUUUAUCAAGUCACCUUAUUUUAAUACUUCUCUGGAAAACAAAUAUAUAUGUUAAAUCAGGUAGGAAAAAUAAAAAGUUAAUUAUUGAGUUGUAAUGGUGCAACUAAGGUUUUGAAACAUUAAGAUCUUUAGCCAUUAUGUUACUAUCCCGUAGUUAUUUAAGUUACAAGAGAUAGUAAAAAAUAACAUCAUAUUUUAAUUACUUACACUAAUCCUACAAGUGCUGAUGGUCUAAAGUUGCUGCUGCUUGCACUGAAUCAGUGGUCAUGGGCCAGCCAAGGUUAGGUGAGGCCAACUCAUUAGCUUGUGAAACUUAAAGAAGUCUUAGGUUUGGAAAAGAUGGGGCACAGGUUACAAAAUUUUUUUUGAGUUUUGGAUUGAAGGAACAAAAUUGUUGAUGUCUAGUUCACAAUAUUUGAAGUCACUCUGUGCUUCAUCAUGUAAAAUGGAUUGAAUUGCUGUAUGAUCAGGUCAAAUUAAAAUGUUUAAACUCAUUUUUAAGAAACGAAUUCUCAAUUGGACCAGCCUUUCACAGAAGCUGAUAUCACAGAAGCUUUGAGUCAGAUGCAUCCAACCAAAGCCCCUGGCCCAGAUGGUCUCCCAGCAGUAUUUUUCCAAAAGCUUUAGAAUUCAGUAAGCGAAGGAGUUAUAGCCACUUGUCUGCAUAUCCUCAAUGAUGGAGGUAAUAUUGCUCCUUUGAAUCAUACAUACAUUGCUUUAAUCCCCAAGAUAGCAAAACCUAGGACUCUGAUGGAGUAUAGACCAAUCAGCAUAUGUAAUGUAAUUUAUAGGAUCAUUGCAAAGACUAUAGCGAAUAGGCUGAGGCUAAUCUUAGAUCAUGUUAUUUCGCCAACUCAGAGUGCUUUUAUGCCAAAUAGGCUCAUAACUGAUAAUAUAAUUAUUGGGCAUGAGUGUCUUCAUAAGUGGACAAAGCUAAGUUCCAGAGGUGAGAUAGGAAAUUCUCCCGCACGACACAGCAGAAACAAACUUUCCCUUUCAUUUUCUUUUCUCUUUCUCGCUCUCCAAACAGAGCAAAAGGACUGUCGCAAGAUUCUUCACUUCCAUCCAAAAUCAUGAGCAACGAAUGGUGAGCCUCCCUGUUUCCUUCCUUUUUUUGAUAUUAACCUUGUUAACAUAUACUCAUUUUAAUUUGACAAUACUUCAACUUUUUUUAAUUUUUUGCCUUUUCAUUUUUUUUGUUGAAGCAAUUAUCUGUUCAAGCUGUUGCUUAUCGGAGACUCGUCCGUCGGAAAGUCCUGCCUGCUGCUCCGAUUUGCUGUCUGUUGACUUUUCCUUUCCCUUCUUAUUUUCUUUUUUUAUAUUAAUUACUUUCUAUUUUAGCUUUUUGUUCUCUUAAUUUGUGUUAUUAAAAUGAUAAUUUAGAUAAUAAAUAAUUGUUAUUCUUGUAAAUUUCUGUUUUCAUUACGUUAAUUGUUAGCUUUUAGGUUUAUUAAUGUAAUUUUUUUUUUUCAAUUUUUCAGGAUGAUUCUUAUGUCACAGCUACAUCAGUACCAUUGGAGUUGAUUUUGUGAGUCUCUCUUCUAUAUAUAUGUAUAUAUGUGUAUAAGUUAUAAUAUGAGUCUAUGUACGUGUAUGUAUGUAUGUGUAUGCAUAUGUGGAAAGAAAUGUUGGCAGACUUCAGCAUUUUACUCUUUUCUUUUUUUGGCAGAAAAUAAGAACUGUGGAGCUGGAUGGGAAGACGAUCAAACUGCAGAUUGUGAGUCAAAAUUUCCUUUUAUCUUGUAUUGAGAGAAAUUCGAUUUGUCUUAUUUUCUUUGUUUGAAGAGUGAUAUGUUGAAAUGAGUGUAUUUGUCUUAUAAACAUCAUUUAGGUAAUGUCUUCUGUUUGAUUGUUUUUCAUCUGUUUAGUGGGACACUGCUGGACAGGAGCGAUUCAGGACUAUAACUAGCAGUUAUUACCAAGGAGCCCAUGGAAUCAUAGUAAGGAGCCUUCCCGGUUCUUGGUUUAAAUCAGAAAGUUUGUGAUUUACAUGUGACAUCUUAACAGCAUUGUAUGUGUUUAUUAACUUAUUUUUCAUCUUUCAUUAAGCAGUACACUUUCUAUUAAAUCUGUAUACAAGAUGAUGUAGUCCAAGAAUGGGAGCCAUAAUAUGAUGCAAAUUGUCUAAUAAAUUCUUAUGACAUAUGAUGUUGUCGGAAGUAAAAGUCUUGCAAUGCUGUAUUCUCUUUUAAGAAAGAAUAAGUGGUAAUUUUGUUUUUCCAAUUUUUUAAUUGAGCAACUGUAUGAGAUUAAUUAAAUGUGUUGGGAUUUCAACAGAUUGUUUAUGAUGUAACUGGGAUGGAGAGCUUCAAUAAUGUCAAGCAGUGGUUGAAUGAGAUUGACAGAUACGCAAAUGACAGUGUAUGCAAGCUUCUAGUUGGGAACAAAUGCGAUUUAGUUGUGAACAAGGUUGUGGACACACAGACAGCCAUGGUAUAUUCAUGACUUUUGUCGCCUGAACUUUGAAUAUAAUUUUAAACUCUUCUCAAGUGCAUUUGCUUGGUAAGUUUCUGCAUACCCAGGACACUCAAACUUUGGACAGUCUGUAUCUCGAGUUGGAAUCUUUUCUGUCAAUACGACUUGUUAAAAUAAGGGUUGUUAUCGUUUGAAUCAUUCAAGAAUUGCCAUAAAUCUAAAGUCCAUAAAAAAUAUGAUUCCAUCAUUUUACUAUUAUAUCUAGACAAAACCCAUUAUUUUACUACAUUUCAUUGGCACCGAUAGUUGACCUGUUGGCUGACUGAUAAAAUAUCAAUUUUGCACUUUAUAUUAAUUCUUUUUUGGUUAAAAAAUAACACACAAAGUAUUACAAUAUUAUAAAUUCAAAAUAUAAAGUAGUUACAAAUAAUUCCUAUUAGCCUAUGAAUAUAAUAUUUGAUACCUCUAUUUGUGUAAUUUUUUUCCAAUGGUGAAAUUGUUAUUUUUUUUGUACUAACGGAAAUAUAGUAAAAUCAUAAGUUUUGUAAAGAUAUAGUAGUAAAAUGAUAGACUAAAAUACUUCUUGUAGUUGUUUGAUAUAUUGUAAUUCUUAAAGUAGUCAAUUGAUAAUAUCCCCUAAAAUAAAUGUUCGUAAUAUGUUCUCAUUUUAAUGCAACUGAUUGUUUAAUAAAAUUGUAUUUCUUUGUUAAUCUUUUAUCAUGUGCAUGCUCAGUGAGAAUUUGACUUGCUAGAACACAAGUUUGACUCUUCAUUUAAAUGUCUCUUGUAUCAUAUCCUUCAAUGUUGAGUGUGAUUCCAAUAAAAUUGAGUAGGGAGAUCCUUAAAUACCUUUUCCUUUUUUCCAAGGGCCUGCCAAAUUGCUCUAAGUGGUUCUACCCUUUAUCAAUGAAUAAUGAAAAUAAAAUUUUUAUUAAAGCAUUCUGUUCCUUAAAUGGUGACUAAUAGUACCCCCUUUUUUUUUGGAGAGGAAAGCCAAACGCCCAAAGAGGAUCAUUUACUUUCCUCUAAUGUAUUUUCUAAUUCGUUUUGAGCCUUGAAUGUCUGUUUUGGUGCGUAUUCUCAUUCCAUGUCGAAUCUUAUCCAUAUGGACAACCCCACUUACAAAAAAGUCUAAUGAAUCUAUUGAAGUUCAUAUGAGGUUUGUGCUUUAGAUUUAGACCUCUCUCUCUCUCUCUCUCCACUUACAUGUCUUUCACUUACCUGUUUGCAUGCAUGCCCAUGCACACACUUUCAAGAUAAUACACGGUCACUCGUACUUGUGUUUUGGUUGAAUUACUGGCUGCUAACCUCUGUAAUUCAGUUUGAAACUUGCCACCCUUAGUGCUUCACUCAAAUGGUUGGUUAGGGUGAGAUCUGUAUCGUUUUCCUGGUCUCUUUCCAAGGUUAUCUAAAGGGAUUUGGCAGUCUGAUUCUUUAGGGAAUAUCAUUGCAUAAGAUAUCUAUUGUUUGUUAAUGAAUAAUUUCUAUUUAACUAGUUAUCUAUAUAAAUUGGUAAAUUUUAACUGCAUAAUUUGCAUGCAAUAAGAUUUUAUAAGAAUCUUGUUUUCAACUCAUGACUUAGACUAAUGUGAUACGUUGAGCAUUAAGCUACAAGAUCUGCACAUCAAAGUGCUUCACCAUGUUAAGGAGAAAGCAUCGUUUUCUGCUUCUUCAUGUGAUUUAAAGUUUCCAAGGUACUUAUCCAAUAAAAUGUCUUUCAAGACUUUGGAAAUGCUUUUAUGUAUGACUGAGAGAAACUUGUUGGGUUGGUUUUUAGCAACAGACGGAGUUAUGGACUUUGUGUUGACUUGUUAUUGAUUAAGACAGUACAUCGGCUGAUCUAUUGGCAUCAAGCAGCAGAUGCAGAAAUUAUGGGUGGCAUACCAUUGUAUCCAAAUAACAUACUACAUUGAUUUUUCUGACUUUCUGUUGGUCUCCGAGUGAAAUGCAGGCAUUUGCAGAUGAACUGGGGAUUCCUUUCCUGGAGACGAGUGCCAAAGAUGCAAUCAAUGUGGAGCAGGCUUUCUUGACCAUGGCCGGCGAGAUUAAGAAAAAGUAAAAUCACUUAACUCUUUCCUUCUUUCCGACUGUUCUUAUUCAACAAUCACCAUUAUUGCUGGUUAUGUGCAUUGUGAUGAAAAUUCUGCAAUGAAUAACUUUUUACCUAAUGUUUUCUGUUGGAACAAAUUACUCUGGUAGAAAAGCCCUACAGGGUUUGAGAAAUCCCAUGAUGUGAUGAUUGUGAGCAUUUUAGACACCGUGUAUGGGUUUAUUUUGUGACUAUAAAAUGUUAAGAUAUUUCUAGUUUUGGUUUGUAGUGCAUAAAAGGAUUCAAAAUUUGACAUCUGUCUAAAUCAGAUUACUAACAUGACAAUGUACAUAUGCAAGAUGUGAGGAAUUGUUUUAUCUCACCCCUAAACUUUAAGAAAUUGAAACAUUAUUAUUCAAAAUAUUUAACAUUUCCAGAAUUGAUAGUUGUCUAUUUGAGCAGUGACUGGUGGUUAUCAUGAACUGAUGUGUGGUUGUGGUUUCAAAUCUUGGUGAAACCUGUUGUCAUAUGCUGAUUAACAUAGCUAGUCUCUGAAACAAUUUGUUGAUUCACUAAUUAUGAGUUCAAAUUUGAUGCAGAAUGGGCAACCAGCCUACUGCAAACAAAUCUUCUGGAACAGUUCAGAUGAAGGGAUAGCCAAUCCAGCAAAACAGCAACCGCUGUGGUUAGCCGAGCAUCUUAUUUUACUUCUACAUGUUAGCUGACUGAUUGUAGACAGUUUUAACUAUGUUGACUGCAUUAUCUUAUGAAUCUUUUAAUCUGUCAAAUAUUUAUUUCCUGCUUUAAGUUCUUUCCCGUUUAUAACAAAUUUGAUUUCUUGCUCUAUAGCAUUCCAAAUUCCUGUUAAUUUACGAGGGAAAAAGAAAAGAGACGAAAUGGGAGAAAAUGGUCAAAUUUGUUAGGGGGGGAGAGCUGUUGAAGUAGUUUUUGUUCUCGUUUAUCAUCGUGACCCUCUUGUCGCUUAUCUACGACCUGGAAGUCCGGUCAUAUCGGAUGGGUAAAGUUACCGAAACGGCAUCAUUUUGGGUGAAAUAUCAUGUUUAUGUAACACUUUUGAUAAUAUUUUUAUGCAACAAAAAAAUGUUUGCAGUACCCUUCUCACAUUGUGAAGCGCAUGAUCGGAUGAGAGCAGUCUGGAUUCUGGCAUCACAAGCUAAUGCUUUGAUUUGCUUAGUUUGUUUUUUGUUUCUGAUAUUUUCUCGGCAUAGUGUAAAUGUAUGAAGAUGAAAUUGCUGGGUUGGUUUUGUUAUGGAAUUUGGUUUAGUUCACUAACCAUUAAUGCGCAAAACCUCCUAAGACCCUAAAAAAUCCCGUACAUAAUUAAAGAAUUUCAAUUUUAUAUGUACAUAAAUAAAUAACUCUCAAAUAUAUUAUUUGAUAAUCCCAAAAACAACAACUCACUCUAAUAAAUCUCGUAGUCAAUACAUGGUCUAUAUUGCAAGUGUUUUCGAGACUAAUUCAAAAAGAAAAUACGAAGGAUAUAUAAUUGACUUUUACUUGUUAUAAAGAACUCUAAAUAAAUUUAUAUACGCAUCACAGCUAAUUACAGUCUUGGUACUUCAUUAGGUUUUUGUUAAUUUUCUAUACAGUUGUGUUGUGCAUUAAAGCUUUGUUAAAUGAAAUCGGUAGUGAGAAUUAAUUAAUUAAUUAAUUAAUUAAGAUCCAGUUAAUGUAAUUAAUUUUAUUUGAUUUUUUUAAUUCGAGUUCUAAAUUAAUCAAUUAAUUUAGAUUCAUGUGAAAUUGAAGUGAAUUAGUUUCGAACUGUUUUUCAUUCUAUGUUUGUCUGUGUUUACUCUUACUGUUUUUUUUGUUUAAACUUUUGUUUUCUUAUUGUUUACUGAAUAAAUUUCUGAGCUUUGUUUGAGUAUGAUGAUUGAUUUGUGAUUUUAAUCUAAUGUGUUGGGCUGCGAUUUAAUUGAGUGAUGUGUGAGCGCCAAAUUGUGAGCGCCAAGUAGUAAUUAUAAAAUAUUUCAGUCGUCCACUGUUCAGUCACCAAAAACCAAUUUCUAAUCUAUUUCAAAACAAUUUUUGCCAAAGUCCUCCUGGGCUAAUUAAUUCAUACAUUAAUACAGUCCUCCUCUGCUGAAUAAUGCAAACCCGUUACGUUAUUCUACCAUUUCUUAAAUUUAAAGCAUUCCACCAUUUAAUAAAAAAAUUCGAAAACCCAUUAUAUACAAUACAAAAAGCCCACCGACACCAAACCAUAUUAAUUUAAAAUAGUUUUCAAUUGAGAUUUGAAUUUUAAAAUUACAUACACAAACACACCCGAUUUUAAAAAAUAAUAAUAAUCCUAACAAUAAAAUAUUUCAGCCGUCCUCUGUUCAGUCACCGAAAACGGAUUUCCAAUCUAUUAGAACAACCGGUAUAUGGGUUUCCAACCAAUAUUGUCCUCCAUCCUUUCUGCACUUCUCUUCUAUCAACGGACAGCCCACGAUGUAUAAUCGCAAAAGUGAGGAAGGCAGGCCCUUCUCCGGAAAGUAUUUGAGCUUGGGACAAUCCGCGAGAUACAAUUCAGUGAGGUUUUGAAGAUCAACAAUUGAAGAAGAUAGGCGUUCCAGAUUUGGAAAAUUAGAAAUCCCCAGAGAUGUUAGAGAGGCAGGAAGAGGAAGCGUGGUCCCUAAUCUUUUGUCCUCUAGUGGAAAUGACACCAUGUCGUCAUCGCAUCUGCUGAUUGUAAGACGUCGCAGAGAGGAGAAUCUGUGAAAUCCCCGUCCCCGCUCAAUCAUUGACUUCCAAAUCUCCAUAUUACCCCAAAUAUUAAGUGACUGAAGGUUGGUGGGAAGGUCAUCUUCUUCUUCAAGGCUUGGAAGCGCACCUCCUAUUCCUAUUGUUAAUUGUUGAAGAGAGGUCAGAUUGUGCAAUCCCUUGGGUAAGGCCUCUAGUCUCUUACAAUUAGAUAUCGCCAGCGUCCUGAGUUUCGCACAAGGCAAUCCCCCUUCGGGAAAGGACACCAGAUUUUUACAACUAUCUAUACUGAUUGUUUCAAGAGAUGUGUUGUUGUCCAACCUUUCUGCUAUUGACUCCAGCUUUGAACAUCCACCAACACGAAUGGACUUAAGAGACGGAGGUAGAUUGCCAACUUCAAGGGACUCAAGCGUGGCAGGUAACUCGUUUUUUGAAAAUAUACACGUCAGAGAAUCACAACAGUAAAUAUGCAAUUCCUCAAGAAAAGAUGAGGUGUACCUUCUGCCGCUGCUACACUGGAUGCCCUCUUCCACUGUCAAAGUCCUUAUAUUAUCGCAACGGCAGAUCUGCAACUUCUUAAGGCUCGAUGGUAGCUGGACAGCAGCAAUAUAUGUCAACGAACGGCAACCCUCAAUAUUCAAGAUCUCGAGAGACGAAUUGGUGUCGCACAUCCAUGCCUCUGGUAACGAUUUCAGUGCAUCACAAUACCUAAUCUCAAUUUUCCUCAACUUGGAAGGCAGAGCAACCUCAGGAAAGGAAACAAGGGAAUGACAAUCGCAGAUUUCUAUCUCUCUCAAGGAACUGAGGCUGAGCGAUGAUUGUGGCAGCUUCACAAGGCCUUUGCAUUCGCUCAAUCUUAGAUAUUCGAGUCUGCAUGACAACUCGCAGAGCUGCUGUUGUUGGUCUUUCUCUUCCUCCGCCACCAAGGAUUGAAUUUUGGGACACCGUCUAAUCGUCAGUCUUUUGAGAGAGCAAAUGUCUUGCAGUAAUUCGUUAUGACUCUUCCAUAUAUGUGUUUCAUUUUUCAUAUUAUUUAUCCCCAAUUCUUCCAGUUUUGGUAUUCGCGGCUUCAAUGGCUCUGUGAAAAACACUUGAUUUGAUGUAUCUCUACAAACCACUGAAUUCUGUGAGCCGAGAUGAUCAGUUGCACUUCUCCACACAACCUUUUUACAUCCACCAAUUUCAAAUUUGCAAAGAGCUGGAAGACUUGCAACUGAAACUAGCAAUUCUUCACAUCCUUCAAUUGCAAGCAUCUCCAAUGCAGGAAGGUGUUCUGGAAAUGUUCCUUGCAGCUUAGAACACCUUAUAAUAUGAAGCUCUCUCAAUUUAGGAAACCAUUCAACUCCCUGACCAGUUCUAAGAGGAAUCCAGUCUUCCCAUUCUUGCAUGUUUUCAAAACGAAGAGUUUCCAAGCAUGGAAAAGGAAUCGGGGAAUCAUUCCCAUAGAACUCUGAACCCAAACUCUUUACUCUACUCAUUCCACGCACUGCAAGAUGCUUUAGAGAGGGUAGUUGCCCGACUGACGGCAAGGUAGUACACACGCUGCAAUCUUCAAAAUUUAAGGUCGCUAAAUUUGAGAAUGAGGAAUCUCCCAACCAAGUUGGAAAUUGUUUACCUUCAUAGCCACUGAUACAAAAUUGUUCCAGAUUUUCAUGAGGUUUUAGCAUGACGAGCACAUCCUUUUCAGUUUCUGCCUCCCUUGAAGACAAACCAUUGGUACUCUGUGUCCAUUGAAACUUUAACACUUUAAGAUUCUUCUUUCCAUCCAAUUGAGCCUCCUUCGCAUCACCAAUGUCUUUUACGUUCUCCAAUUUUGAAAUGUUAAGUGUCCCACGAAGAUGCGUCAACAAUUUUAGCUCUCGUAUCCCGGAACCACUGUCUUUUCCCACAACAAAAUUACACAGCGUCUGAAGGAAAGUCAACUUACCAAUUCCUAGUGGCAUCUCCUCCAAUGAAUCUGUCUUUGAAUUAUCGAGAUGAUGCAAUUUGAUGAGGUUUCCCAUGUCUGCACACAACUUCUUCAGUCGCCGACAGCCCUCCAGCAGAAGAGUGUGCAAAUUGUAAAGCUUGUUGACUGAUUCAGGCAGAGUUCUAAUCUCAGUUAGAGAUAGGUUAAGGUACCUUAAAUACCUCAAAUCACCAAUUGAAUCCGGUAGCUCAGAGAUGUGAUAUCCACGCAAAGAGAAGACCCUCAACCGUUGGAGUUUGAACAACUUAGGAAGAAUGCUAUGAGCCAAGUAGCCGGGCCGGCUACUUAACAACGUUACUGGUAAAAGAGUUCGCAAAUGUUGGAUAUCGUACAACUCCUCAAACCUUUUAACACCAUCGUAAUCUCCACGAAUGUACGACAGAUGACGAAGAUUUCUUGGAAAACUUUGUUGCUUGUCAACCUCUGAGAUAUACUCCAUUCUGAAGUACAUUUCCCCAGCAGCCCAUUGAGCAAGAUCAUUGAUGAGGUCGUGCAUCACAAAUCGUGAUAUACUGUUGCUUGAUUGCUGGAAAAAAGAUCUUGAACGUAGCUCUUGAAAGAACUUUCGACCUAGAUCUUCACUGGGAUUCCCACUCUCUCCGUGAUCCAAGAAACCCGAAGCACACCAUAAUAAAAUUAUCUCCUCCUCUUCAAAUUCAUAAUCCUUUGGAAACAAUGAGCAGUAUGCAAAGCAUUGUUUCAAAGGUGCCGAAAGAUAAUAGUAGCUCACUCUAAGCGCCGGUAUAAUGUCACAUCUCUCUUCUGGUAAAUCCCAUAUCUUGCAACUGAGCACACCUUCCCAAUGACUCCGGUCAAGUUUACCACGCAAGAGACCACCAAGAGUUUUCGCAGCUAAGGGCAAGCCGUUGCAUUUGAUCACUAUCUUCUUGCCAAUUUCCUCCAAUGACUUGUUUGAACUGAUAUCUCUUGCCCCUAAAGAGUGUUGAGCGAACACAGACAGACAAUCAUCAUUUGACAGCUUUUUCAAAUGAUAAGCCCGAGCAGUCCCCAUGAUGGCUGCAACCUCUUGAUUACGAGCUGUGACAAUAAUCUUACUCCCCGGUGCGCCAGCUUCAAAUGGACGGCUCAUGUCAACCCAGUCAUUGUAAUUCUCAUUCCAAACAUCGUCUAAAACAAGCAAAAAUUUCUUUUGAGAUAACUUCUUCUUCAGCUCCUCUUGAAGCAAAUUUAAAUCACUGUCAUCAGUAGUCUGCUUAGUAAUGGAUCUUAGAAUUGUUUUUGUUAGCCUGAUAACAUCAAAAUCAUCAGAGACACAAGUCCAUGCCUUGAGAUCAAAAUGACCCUGCACUCGAGCAUCAUUAUAGACAAGCUGAGCGAGAGUGGUUUUGCCCAGCCCGCCCAUACCUAUAAUAGGAAUAACAGAGAAUUCACCAUCAUUUCUCAAAUCAUCCCUCAACAGCAAUUCAACAAUUUCAUUCUUUUCUGUUUCCCUCCCAUAUACCUUGGCUUCAGUCACUAAAGAGGUUGUGGGUAGUCUUUGCCUGUCUUUUCUGGACCUCCCAGCUGAACUUACGUUCAAACCGAGCGAGUCUUUCUGUGUUACAAUAUCUUGAAAUCUGUAGUUGAUCUCUUUGAUUUUGGACAUUAUGGCGUAAUCGAACUGAAUCGAUUGUGGGGUAAAAGUGGUGCAGCAAGUAGGAAUGAGCUUCUGAAACUUACUUGUUCUUGUACGACUGCUACUGGGUUGAUCCUGAGCCGCAGCUGGAUCUCCAUUUCCAAGCAGCACCUUCCUCCGGAAAGCCCCAGUUUGAAACUCAUCCAACAAGUCUUCAACAUCAAAAGCCAAGUUCUGAAGCUCGCCAAGCCACAACUUCACAAUCUCAUCAGUCUUCUUUUCCUCAGCAUCAGCAAGCACCGCCUUGACCUUCAAAAGCAUCGUCUUCCACUUCAUUAGAUCGGCCCGGAUUUGAUCUUGGCGUGGAAACAACCGAAUCCCCACUGAAGCUAACUUAUAGACCAACAACUCAACGGACGCCGUCAGGAUUGCCUCUCCGAUGAUUGACAUUUUUUUCUUUUUUUUGUUUUGCAAAGAAAGAAACAGAAUUUUGAGUUUUGAGAAGCAAAAUGAGAAAAUUGAACAGUAAGUGUGGAGGGUCAAGCAAAAUGCGCGUAUCAAGUCUUCCACUUGUUGUUUAUUCCAGUAAAGUGAAAAAAAAAUAGAGACCACGACCCUUUAAUAAUUUAGCAAUUCACCGGUCACGAGUCACCACCACUCGUUACCAUGAAUAUAAUAAAUUGCACCUAGAUAUUUGCAGGGUCCAGCAACAUUGACCCAGUGUCCGGGUAAAUGCUGAAUAACGAGGAAAAUGGAAUGUAUCAACUACGAACCUUCGCUUUACAAGUCUUCAAACUCAUAAACCAAGUUAAAUCAAAACGUUUAUCUCUCUCACCCUUUUUGCCAUAUAAUUACUUUAUUUAUUGAAUUAAUUUCCAUGCUAAAACGAAGACUUAAAAGUGCACUACAAUUUUUUAUAAUCACAAUGGUAAUUCCUACUAUCAUGUUAUCUUAAUGUCGUGUCAAAAUAAAUUAUAAUAAAAUUUUUUUUAUAUGAACAUUUUUUUUAUUUAUGAAUUUCUUAAUUUUUAAUAUUUUUCUUACUCUUUAGUCUUAAUAUUUGUAUUUCUCUCUUCAAACUUUCUUUAUUAUUUAAUUUUUAAAGAAAAAUAUAAAAAAAGUAAGAAAAAUAUUAUACUUAAAAAAUAGUGAAUAUUUUAUGGGUCUAAUACAAGCCUGUAUUAUUUUUGACAAUGAAAGAGCACGCGAAAAAUCUCACUCAUAGAAAACUUUGUGAAAGGCAUUUGAAUGUGUGGCCACAUUUACCGAACGAAACGAUAAGGCUUUAGCCCUAUAAUUGCAAUUAGUUUGUCUUGUAACUAAAUUAUUGCCGACAAGCAGCCAUGCAUGUAAUUAGUCACAAGUUGCUUUGAAAUAAAUAGGUACUUGACAUUUGGCUCACUGAUUAUGUGUGCAAUAUUCCCGUAUUUCCCAUUACUUCCCGUACUUUAUGCAUUAUUGUUUUGUAUGUCUUUCGGUGUUUACGGUGUAGUUAGGGAUGGUAGCGGGUAGGGUCUGGUACGGGUUUGACAUCACCAAACCCGCAUCUACAAAAAAUUUUAAUUACGUAAUUCAAAUUAUAAAUUUAUAAAUAUUGCCUAAAAAAAAAUCACAUAAAAUACUUAAUUCUAGAUUUUAUCAAUGUAAAUGAAAAAUGAAAAUAUCAACAUUAAAAUAAAUACACAAAAUAUAUCAAUUUAACACGAAUUCUCAAAUUCAAUUAGCAAAUAAAUAAGUCUAUCACAACUCGAAGUGUUUUCAACUGAAAAAGAAAAAAAAGAGAAAGAGAAAAAAACAAAGAACUACAAAUCAAAGUAGCACCCAUAACCUAUUUCAUAGGCUCAUUCAACACCAAGAUUCAUUCAUUACCACUAGCACCCAUUCAACGUGGUUUUUCUAAACAAAAUAUAAAGUACAAAAUUACAAUAAGCAUAUCAUACUCCAUGCUUUAAGUUAAAGAUCCUUAUAUAAUUUUAUGAAUAAAUUUUUAGUGAAAUUUUAUGAUUAAAAUUAAAAAUACAAAUAUUAAAAUAAGAAUGUUGGACAUCUGCGCAACUAUUUGCUAUUUUUUUUUCUCUAUAAAAAUUCACCUGCAACUUACAGCAGAUUUAAAUUUAUAAUAUCAAACUUGAUUGUAGCUUGCAAAAUUUUUGGAUGUACGAUAAUUUUGCCACCCUAAGUGUAGUUAGUGUGUUUCCAAUUGGCUCCUAUAAAAAGCCUAGAAGUUGUUUGAAUAAUGAGGGAGGCAAAUAUUUCCCAAAGAUAUUCUCUUUUUCAAAUUCUUUUCUUUUCUCUAUUAUUGUAACUUCAAAUCCUUGAAAUUACAUAUUUCAAAUCCUUGACAUGAACACAAUGUUUUGACAUAGUGGCUUUUGGCUUGUCCAGAGAAAUUUAGGAUAGAUUUUGAUGUAUUAAGGCUCGUUUUACUAUUGAGAUUUUGGAACUUUUGAGCUACACUUGAAAUUUGUAUUAUUCUAAUAGAGUUGUACCCUUCGAUAUGUGAAUGGUAUUAAUCAGGUGUUAUGUUUACAGCAGUUAAAGGCAUAUUGAAUCAAAGUCCACUUUUGAUUGAGAUUUUAAAGUAGGUUUUUAAUUUGAUAGCUACUCAAGUUCAAAUAUUGGAACCACAGUGCUUUAUAACCAAGUGGGAGAACUUCUGUCCUGAAAGUUGAAGGCUGCAUACCGAGUUUUACUACCAACAAAAAUUGGUGUUAAGACUUUAGUUGCCCUCCUACUUAUAGAUAAGGGUAAUUAGGACUUUACAUCCCCUCCUGCUAAUAGAUAGGGGUUACUAGGAAUAUUAAAAAAAUGUUCAAAUAUUGAAAAAAUAGGUAUGGGUUAUAAAAUUCAUAAUACAAGAACAGUAAAUCAAGAUAAAAUUUAAAAAUUUAGAACCAUGAAAGCGUAACUUGUAAGUUUCAAAGAAGCAUGUGAAAACAUAUGCGUAUCGAUACCCAUUAAGGGUGGGCAUUAAGAUCGGGUUAACUCGAACCGAACCUUAAAUUUAUUUUGGGUUCAAUUUGAUUUUGGUUGAACCUUUCAACUGAGUUGAAAACUUAUAAACGAUUGGGGUNNNNNNNNNNNNNNNNNNNNNNNNNNNNNNNNNNNNNNNNNNNNNNNNNNNNNNNNNNNNNNNNNNNNNNNNNNNNNNNNNNNNNNNNNNNNNNNNNNNNNNNNNNNNNNNNNNNNNNNNNNNNNNNNNNNNNNNNNNNNNNNNNNNNNNNNNNNNNNNNNNNNNNNNNNNNNNNNNNNNNNNNNNNNNNNNNNNNNNNNNNNNNNNNNNNNNNNNNNNNNNNNNNNNNNNNNNNNNNNNNNNNNNNNNNNNNNNNNNNNNNNNNNNNNNNNNNNNNNNNNNNNNNNNNNNNNNNNNNNNNNNNNNNNNNNNNNNNNNNNNNNNNNNNNNNNNNNNNNNNNNNNNNNNNNNNNNNNNNNNNNNNNNNNNNNNNNNNNNNNNNNNNNNNNNNNNNNNNNNNNNNNNNNNNNNNNNNNNNNNNNNNNNNNNNNNNNNNNNNNNNNNNNNNNNNNNNNNNNNNNNNNNNNNNNNNNNNNNNNNNNNNNNNNNNNNNNNNNNNNNNNNNNNNNNNNNNNNNNNNNNNNNNNNNNNNNNNNNNNNNNNNNNNNNNNNNNNNNNNNNNNNNNNNNNNNNNNNNNNNNAGAUAUCAAAAUCACAUUCUUCAAUUCUACAAUUUCAAUUCAUCUUCAUAACUUCAACUGAAGAAUUGAUUGUAUCUCGUUUUAAUUUUUUUUUAUGUAAAGAUAAAUAUAAAAUAUAAAUGGUGAGGAGACUGAAAAAGUAAAAUCAAAAGAAGAGCACGAGUUUUAUUGAAAAUUACUUUUUUUUCAUCAUUUUGCCAGAGUGAAUGUAUCUACAUUUAAACGAAAGAAGCACAUUUGUUUGUAUUAGCUUUUUUAUUGUAUUUUUAAUAAUAAGUAAUUUUCAAUUAACUUAUAUCAUUUUUUACGAAAAUAAUAGGUGUUAGUUAGUUGAUUCAAAUGGCAAGACCUCUUGGGAUAGAGUUUGUAAUUUAGUGGCUUAUCAAUUGUUUAAAUAGGGCAUUAUUAGAGCCAAAUUAUUGUAUUUGGUUAAAAAACUCCUACUUUGCUUACAACUUUAUUAUCCUAUUAUGUUUAUUAAUAAAUAACAAUUUUAUUGAAAAAAAAACAAGAUAUGUUGAAAUGAUACAAAAAAUUUGGGUUGUAAAUCUUACUCGAAUUUAGCUUGAGAUUGGCAUUGUUAGCAUAAUAUUUGAAGAUAUAUUUUUUAAAUUAAAAAAAAAAAGAAAUUGGGUUCACACUAGUUAGUUUUAACUCAUAGUGAGAUUUAAACAAAAUCGGAAUAAUAAAUCUUGAUAUCCUAACUCAUGGAUAACAUCUACAUAAAAUAAUAAAAUCUAUUGUGUCGAAAAUAAGGGGUCUAAAGUUUGAAUUUCACUCACAUAGGUAGCAAGAGAAUCAAAUUAUUGUUAGAUUAAAUUAAUUAAAAAAAUUAUCUGAUAUACAAAACACAGCAUAUCAAAAAAAUUGAAAUAAAAGAAAAUUGAAAAGCAAAACGAUUGAGAGAACGAAAAACUAACACAAGAAAAUGCCGAUAAUUAAUUGCCUCAGCGGGCACCAACUUAAUUAUGCUUAUUAAAGCCUGGUUUAUUGUUAGAGUGCAAUUUAUGCACUAGUUUUGCAUUAUUUACUUCCCUUAAUAUCAAUGUUUUGCACUUAAUAAUAGUGAUUUACUUGUGUUUUACUUUUGUAGGUGCAAUUCUAUUAAUUGGUGAUAAAAUUAAGCUAAAAGAUGAUGUUUAAGGAGGAUUGUUCUCUUGGAGAAAUUAUGAGCGUCGAAGAACUUUGUUGAUAAGGCAUGGGCACGUGCUGUCAACUGCGGACCUGCAGUUUUUAGUUUAAACGUGUUUUGUAUUUUUGGCUAUUUUUGUAAUUACGAAUUUAAUAUUUCAGAUAUUAGUAUUUUAUUUUAAAUAGAACUCUAAAAGAGAAGAGAGAGAGAGAGUAUUUAAGAGAGGAAUCUAUUGUGAAAAAUGUAUUUACGCUUUAAUUUUUAUGUGAGCUUUGAUUAUCUUACAUUAGGGACAAUGUAAGUUCUUGGUGUGGGGGAGGGAUUUUUGCAUUAUUGAUGUCUGGAAGUAUUAUUUUCACUCUACUCAUCUAUUUUCAUUCUACUCAUCCUUAAAUGAUUUUGGAGUUAGUAUGCUUCAUAUAUUAUUAAUUUUCUUUUCUUUUCUUUCUCACUACUCUUUUCCCAUCUAUUUUUUUUACUACAUACAUCUUUCUCGCUUAUUAUCCUUUUUACCUUUCCUUUUAUUUCUCACUCAUACCUUCUUCUCAUUCUAUACCACUAUUGAUGGUUGAUUCAUUUGAAGAGUGUACAUGAUUUGAUAACAAAUUUACCAACUUUGUGAGGAUUUGAGCCUAUGAGCAACCACUUUGCUCUAAUAUUUUUGUUAUGUGAAUAUCAAUCUUAGUUUUUUUAUUCUAGAACUUGCUUUGUUAUGCAUGUUGAAGCCGCAUUACGGGAUUUUAUGCAUUAAAAUGAUAAGGGCAAACCCUUUUCCAUUUUUCUAUUCUCGCAUUUUUUUUCUCUACCCGAAGACCUUUAUUUGCUAUCUUUGUUUGAGCCUUAACCAUUACCCAUCUAAUCCUCUCCGUCUACUUAACCAUUUUUCUUCUUUUUGAGCCUCAAUUUAAGGAGAUUUUUGGACUCAUUGUGUGGAUAUAUUUUGUGUUUUUUUUACCUUGUAUUAAAGUUUCUCAAUUAGAUCAACAAGCAUUAUGCUUGAAUUAAAUUGUGCAAGGUUCGUUUCUUUUGUUUGAUUAAAAAAAACAAAAAAUAAAAAACAAAAAAAAGGAAAAAGAAAAAAAAGAAAAAGAAAAAAAAUCGAAAAAAAAUCGAAAAAAAAAAUUAAAAGUUUACAUUCUUGGUGACUUGAGUAGAAAUAAGCAUUUUGAUAUCAUAAGUUCAUUCAAUGAGUUCAUUCUUCUCAUUUUGAUAUCUUUUUCUCUUUCAUGGACCUUUCUUUUUCAUUUAACCUAUUUAACCCCAUUGCAACCCUUUUAAGACCCUUAGAUUUUUGCAUUUUAUUCAUGUUGUGGAUUGAGAUGUGAUAUAUGAGCAAGCUUAUGGUAAUAGCAUUCUUUGAUUUGAUUUGAGUGAAUAAAUGACACCCUAAACACUUUGAGUGCAUGGAGUGAAGUCAUUGAGAGGGCUAUUAAAUCUUGUUGCACUUGAAUUUUGAAUGUAUCUUCUUGGUGGUUGAAUGUUCUUAUUCUAUCUUAUGAGAUUCUAUGCUUUAAAAUCCUUGUCUCUCGAAUGUUGAUCGACUUAAUUUCUUGAGGUAUGGUUGCUUAGAAUUAUUUAUGGAUGAGUUGAGAUGAGAAUUGAGUGGAGAUUUGGGAUUAGUCUUGAGUUAUAUGCUUGAGGACAAGCAUCAUCUUGGUGUGGGGGAAUUUGUUAGAGUGCAAUUUAUGCACUAGUUUUUAAUUAUUUACUUCCCUUAAUAUCGAUGUUUUGCACUUAAUAAUAGUGAUUUACUUGUGUUUUACUUUUGUAGGUGCAAUUCUAUUGAUUGGUGAUAAAAUUGAGCUAAAAGAUGAUGUUUAAGGAGGAUUGUUCUCUUGGAGAAAUUAUGAGCAUCAGAAGAACUUUGUUGAUAAGGCGUGGGCGCGUGCUGUCAACUGCGGACCUGCAGUUUUUAGUUUAAACGUGUUUUGUAUUUUUGGCUAUUUUUGUAAUUACGAAUUUAAUAUUUCAGAUAUUAGUAUUUUAUUUUAAAUAGAACUCUAAAAGAGAAGAGAGAGAGAGAGUAUUUAAGAGAGGAAUCUAUUGUGAAAAAAAUGGGGAUUUUAGAUUGAAGAAAAGAAAGAAACCCUAGAUCUAAUUUUUCUCUUCUCUCUAUGAAGAACUAAACUUAUUUUUCUGGUUGAAGGUUAAUGAAGCUUUGAUUCAUCACUACUGUGAGAUCUUUCUUAUGCUUUAAUUGUUUUAUUACUCUUUGGGUAUUUGUUUAUUCUCUGAAUUAGUUUCAUGAUUAUGUUUGUUAAUUAGGUAAUUGGCCACUAUUUAAUUAUCAACUUAAUCUAUUGUCAAUUAAAGGAUUCAUCGUAUGAAGAAUUUAAUGUUUGUGACAAAUAACAUAGCAGAGAGUUGUGUUGUGAGAAUAAACAAUCUAAUUUAAAUGAAUCAUCAUAUGUGUUGAUUAGGAUUUGGGUCUCUUUGGUUUUUCAGGCUGUCAAUUGAUUAAAUCCUAUGAUCGUAUCUAGGAUUGUCUAUUGAUUAGGGAAAUAACCAACGGUCGUACCUUGGUUAUCGACUAGUUAAGGAGAGAUUGGCUAUUAGAGGGUCUCAGUAGUUAUAACCGGUCUAUUCAUAAGUAAUAAUAAUCUAUAUUUGAAUCAAUGAUCAGUAGUCGAAUCAAGCUGAGUUAAUUCCUUCAACCAGAGCUUUCUCCAAUUUGAAUCACAACUUUAAUUUACAUUCUCGUUAUUUUAAUUUAAUUUUUAUUAUUGUCAACAAAACCCCCAUUUUAUGUUUUACGUUUUAAAAGGAUUUAAAUAAUUACCGAUCUCUGUGGACACGACCCUGCUCAAUCACUAUACACAAUUUAUUUAGAGUAAAAAUUUAUUUUUGUUGGCUUCGACACCCACCAGUUAUUUCAUUUUCAUUGAUAAUCAUUUUGACACCGGUCAAAUUUAAAAGUUUAAAUAAUGGGGGCCAUUUUUCUUUCCAGCUAUGCCCAUUAGCUAAUAAAAGAACCGCCGAAAGGGUUCGGGGAUAAUAUAGUAAUAUGAUUGAUAAUCAUUUUGGAGCUGAGUAUUCUUCGUUCCACAUUUUGGGUUUUGGUUGACCAUAUUUUAAUACUUUUUCUGGAAAACAAAUAUAUAUUUAGUGACUUGUAAUGGGUGCAACUCAUGUUUUUGAAACAUUAACAUCUUUACUUACUUACACUAAUGCGGCAACUGCUGCUUGCUUUUUUUUUUUUCCUUUUGCUUUUGGUUAAUAAUAAUAAUAAUAAUAAUAAUAAUAAUAAUAAUAAUAAUAAUAAUAAUAAUAAUAAUAAUAAUAAUAACAACUUUUUAAUUUAAUAUAUUAUUAAAUAAUAUUUUUAUUUUUAUUUUUACAUUAUAAUUUAUUAUAACUAAUAAUAAAUAUUUAAUUUUGAAUAAUAUUAAUUUAAAAUUAAUAAUAUUAUAAAUAAUAAUAUAAACUAUUAAUACAAUUUAAAUAUAUCAAUAUAAUAUAAUAUUUAAUUUAAAUUAAUCACAAAAAAUUAAUACAAUAUAUUAUAAUACCAAAUAUUAUACAAUAUUACUAUAAUACAAUUAUGAUACAAUUUGAGGGAGAUUGUCAGCUUUUUCGGAUUAAAAAUAAUAUAUACCACUUACUCUAUUGUUUUUAUAAUGUUCAACAAUCCCCUUGAGAAAAAAAAAAAACGAAAAGAAGGAAUAAAUAGAUGAUUUGCUUGAUAUUGUAUCUUAGAAAUAUAAAAUAUAUAUUUAUUAUUAAAAGUAUUUAAAAAUAAUAAAGAGUACAUAAAAAAUAUCUUAUCCUCAACAACAAGAUCAGACGACGUCAAUUCAGCAAAAUGACUUGUACAAUUUGAAAGUCCAGCAACGGUCACCUCUUAAUGUUAUUUUUACUAUAUUAUAUUGAUAUUUUGUUUUGUUAAUCAUAUAAGUCAAUCAAUAAUUAUUUAAUCAUUAGAAUUAAAACUAAUGUAUUAAUUAAAAUUCAAAAUCUAUUAUAAAAAUAGUAAAUAUUAAUACAAAGAGAUGGACAUAUUACAAAAUACAUUCACCAAAAGUUCUAUUAUACUUAAAAUUCUCAUUCACAAAAAAAUAAUAAUAGUUGAAUACAUGUACAAAAAAAGGGGAUAAAUAAAAAAUAAUAAUAAUAAAUAAUAAAAGGAUAGUUUAUAUAAUAAAAAAUAAAUUUAUUGAAUAGGGAUGUUAAUAAUAAAGAAUAAUAGCCGAUCAAACUCACUUUACAAUAAACUGAGAAAUCAAAAUCACAUUCUCCGAUUCUACGAUUGACUCUUUUUCAUCAUUUUACUGGAGUGAAUGUAUCUAUAUGUAUUGGGGACCAUAAUGGAAACUGAUAGAACCUACAAGGGCUAAAAUUAGAACAACGAACGAUAUCUCAAAGUCGCCGAAACGUAAGUAAUUAAUCUUAUCUUUCAAUUGAUUUUUUGUGGAGACAGAGACAAACCCGAACAGCAAAUAGCCAUAAAUGAUAGGACAAUUAAAUUGGAACUCUCCGCGGACCCACGAUUUAAUAUCUUUAGAUUGUAACGGUUUAACCAAAAAAAAAACAAUUUUAGUAAAAUAUUUCUUAAAAAAUGAAAAAAAAUGUUGAAAAGAAGAACAAAAUUGUGGUCCACGUGUCAUUUCAAAAUAGGUUGCUGGCAUAAACAACCGUCCCCAUCUCGGACAGAUGUUAUUUGAGUGGUUGGUGCGCGUUUCCACUUUUUUGUUUUAGAUGCAACGACUCAUGCACUAUAUAUAUAUAUAUAUACGUAAUUUCUAUCUUAUAUAUGUAUAAGAUACAUUCUUUAUCUUUUAUCUCCCUUAUAGAAUAAUAUAUGUGUGGAAUUUAUAUAUAUUGUUCAUAUGAAAAAAAUAUAUCUUAUAUGCAUGAUAGAAUAAUCCAUGAAUCUAAUGUUAUUAGUUUAAAUAAUGGGUGCAACUCAUGUUUUUGAAACAUUAAGAUCUUUAGUCAUUCUGUUACUAUCCCGUGGUUAUUUAAGUUACAAGAGACAGUAAAAAAACAACGUCAUAUUUUAAUUACUUACACUAAAUAAAUUACUCACACUGAUGCCGCGUCUGCCGCUUACUUUUUUUCUUUUUUUUUAUCCUUUUGCUUUUGUUUUUAACUUUUACUUUUACUUUUUGACUUUUGCUUUUGGUUUAUUAUAAUAAUAAUAAUAAUAAUAAUAAUAACUAUUUUUUAAUUUAAUAUAAUAUUAAAUAAUAUUUUAUUUUUAAUUUUACAUUAUAAUUAUUAAUAUAUAAUUUAUUAUUCAAUAUUAUUAUAUUAUGUUUUUUAUUUUUAAUUAUAAUUUAUUAAUAAAUUUAUAAUUUAUUAUAACUAAUAAUAAAUAUUUAAAUUUAAAUAAUAUUAAUUUAAAAUUAAUAAUAAUAUAAAAUAUUAAUACAAUUUAAAUAUAAAUUAAUAUUUAAUUUAAAUUAAUCACAAAAAAUUAAUACAAUAUAGUAUAGCACCAAAUAUUAUAUAUUAUUAUUAUAAUACAGUACUAAUACAACAUAAUAUAAUAUAAUACAUUAAUAUUAAAAUAAUAUAAUACAGUAUGCGAAAUGAACCGAAAUGGUAUUACUUUGUUUGUCUUGUUAUUUACAAUUAUUUAAUCUGUAGACCCACUCAUGCUCCUUCUAUGCAACAUAGAUACAAUUUGAGGAAGAUUAUCAAUUUUUUCUGAGAAAAAAUAAUAUAUACCACUUACUCUUUAUUGUUUUUAUAAUGUUCAACAAUCCGUUUGAGAUGAAAAUAAAUAAAUAAAAAGAAGGAGUAAAUAGACGAUUUGCUUGAUGUUGUAUCUUAGAAAUAUAAAAUAUAUAUUUAUUAUUAAAAAUAUUUAAAAAUAAUAGAGAGUUCAUAAAAAAUAUCUUAUCCUCAACAACAAGAUCAGACGACGUCAAUUCAGCAAAAUGACUUGAACAAUUUGAAAGUCCAGCGACGGUCACCUCUUGGCACACAUACGGCAACGUGUGUAGCAUUGGCAAGAGGUCUCCCAGAAGGACGAUUAAGGAAAGAUUGCAAGACAAAAUCAUGAAAAUAGUAGUACAGAUAUGCAAUAUGCUAAAUUGUCCUCGAUUGAGUCAAUCGCAAUCAAGUCUUAGAAAUCGCACCCCUGUAUUAAUUUCCAGAAAUAUGUUUGUUCCAUAUUUAUCGUGCACGUAUACAUUGUAUGUAUUGGGAAUAGAAAGAGUGUAUGAAAAAAAAUUCUUCAUUCAUCGAUUAAAACUUAAAUUAUGUACGAGGGUUAAGCGCAGCGUUUUUAAAUUUAAAAAGCACAAGUGUCAAUCCACUAAGGUUUGGUCCAAUGGCUAGAGUCACUCCCUCGCGAAAUGAUUAGAGCUCCCACAAAUGUAUUGUACAAGUUUAAUUUAAAUUUUCUUCCUCAAAACUUAAGUGAAGACAUUAUUUUUCAUAGAAGUAGAGUUUUUCUAGGAGUUUGACAUCCCUCAAAUAUUAAAAGAAUUAAAAUCUGAACGAUACUAUAUAAAAUAUAAUUUAAACUGAUCUUAAUAAUUAUAUAAUUAUAAAUAUAAUGAGCAACAGUCUCGUUAAAAAAACAGAUCAAGUGUCAUGAGCCCAUUUAAAUUAACUAAUAUUUGAGGGGGAAAUCUCUGUAUACCAUAGUAUAUAUUCUAUAUCCAGUCAUGGGACCCAUACACGGAUGGUUCCACGUAAUUCGCAGAGUUGAACUGGAGACACUGAUUAGUUCGUUGUCUACUUACCAACUUAUGUACAACUAAGUAAUUGCAUGCACCAUUUGCGACUUAUCUAUCCACCCUGCUUGCAUUGCAUUAACUACGUCACCAAUCACCCACGUCCGCUACUUGUGUGAACGUGUAUAUAAAUACAUAUAUCCGCAGCAUAUUAUCAAACCAGAAUCAGAAGCAACUUAAGUUUUGUUCAUUAGGUUUAUGUUUAUCAACAUGAUAUAUUGUCAAUCAUAAUCGCAAUCAAGUUGUUAAUUAUUUUUUAAAUAAUGUGAAGGAACAAGAUUUUGGCCUUUGAGUGUCUGGUUAAAAAUAUCUCACCUCAAUGUACGGUGUUGUGCUCUCAUCAUCGUACUAUUAUUUGUUAAAAGUAUGUCAAAGAGGAAAGCAGAUUCAAACAUUACUUCAAUUUUAUUUAAGAGAAUAAAAAAAUCGUUAAUAGGCUACUGUUAUUUGUUAGUACGAUUUCACAAAAAAAUCGGUUUCUUAAACAACUCCAACUACAAUUUUUUUUUUACAAAUUUUUGAAUUAUUAAAUCAUAUGUGUGUGUAUAAAUUGAAUAGAAUUAAAAGUGGACUCAAAUGGCUAUUAUGUAAUUUUUUUAUAAUUAAAGAAAAGUUUAGAAUGUAAAAGUGUGUGUGAGAAAACAAAAAAUAUAAAUCACCUUUGAUGUAGUUGUACGGUUGUAAAGAGUUAGAUGGAGAAAUAUAGUAUAUAAUUAAAUUUAUUUUGUUCCUUAAAACGGGUAGGUUUUAUAAGAAUUUUCCAGAGGAGUGCUAAUAUUUCAACUUUUUUUCAAAUGAAGUGAUGUCCUGGAAUAAAAUCACUACUCUAUCAUUGCUAUUAGUUUGUCUUGUAUUUCAAUAAUUGUCGACAAGUAUUAAUUGUGAAUAUUAUUGUUUUAAAAAUUUUAUUAUUAUUAUCGUCGUUAUUCUUAACAGUAAUGACUAGAAUUAUAAUAAAAACAAUAACGUUAAUACAAUAAUAUAACAACAUAAUAAUAUUUUAAUUGAGAGGAUAAGAAUGAAAUUAUGAAAUUUAGGUUGGGUAAAAAUGAUGAGUAUGAGGAAAUUAAAUUACCAUUUUUUAAGCUAAACAAUUCAUAAAUUCCACAUAUUUCAUUCGUAUUUCUCUUAUAUUUUAACAAGUAAACAUUAUCAAUAAUUUUAAUAUUUUAAUUAAUAAACACGGCGUUAACUACGGAACUAAAAGAUCAAAAAAAAAAAAAAAAACAGAGACGCGUGUAUGUAUUGCUUGUGACAAAUCUCACCCGUGGAAAACUUUGUGAAAGGCAUUUGAAUGUGAGGCCACAUUUAAUGAACGAAACGAUAACUUUAAAAGAGAGUAUGUACUGUGUUAAUUAUUAGGCUUUAGCUUAAUGAUUGCAAUUAGUUUGUCUUGUAAUUAAAUUAUUGCCGACAAACACUAUCACGACCCACGUCCGCUACUUGUGUGAGUGCGUGUAUAAAUAUCCGCAGCAUAUUAUCAAACCUGAAGCGUACUAAUAAAGUAUUGGUUCCACUACAAUAGAGUCUCCUUAAGUGGUUUUGAUUGGGUUUGCUCCUCAGUUCGAGUCGCAGAAAAGUCACCUUUGUUGGGAGAACCUGUGCCUCUCAGUUCGAGCGGGGAUUUCUAGUCUGGAUUGUGAUACAGGCUUAAAGGUGCCUCCCACAGUUGGGGCCCUCCCCAGAAUACCUCGUUGUCAAAACCAAAAAAAAAAAAAAAAUCAAACCUGAAGCGUGAUCAUCUUUAAGUUUUGGUUAGGGUUGAUCAGACGUUGGAAGAUAUCUUUCCUAAUUUAAAGAAGAUGGAAACUCCUUAUCCAGGUUCUUAGGCCAUGUUCAGUUGAAUGUCAUUUAUAAUUUUUAUUUUAACAUUAUGUAUUUAUGAAUACAAUUAUUGUUUAUUUUAACAUUAUGUAUUUAUGAAUACAAUUAUUGUUAUGAUUUUUUCAGGUAAGAAUGGGUGGUCUGAGGGUAACCCAAUAACUAUGUACAAUAUUAUUAAUGAUGAGAGUGUGAAUGACAAUUUGGAUUUUAUUCUCGUCCCUCAAUACAGAAGAAAUCUUGACCAUAGCGGUUAAUUGCUAUGUAACUCUUUCGUAUUAUGUUUAAUUAAUAAUAAAAUGAUGGGUUAUUAUUACCUGUCAAUUAUGUGAGUGUCUCUGCUUGAUUUAGUUCACUUAUAAAAUAUCUUAAGAUAUACAAGAGAUUUUCUUUAUUUACUUUCAUGUACCGCGUCUUCUUGUAAAAAGAAACUAAUAAAAAAAUAUCAUUGUGUGCAAUGUAUUGACUAAGUUAGUGUAUUCAUGUUAGCUUAAUUGUGCUCUCUCUUCUUGAUUUUUUUGUUUUUUUUGGUUAAAACAAACUCCACAUAUUGUUGGUUAGCUAAUUCUUGCAGCUAGCAAGUGAUCCUUUUCUUUCCCCUACUGCCUGCCGUAGCAUCAAAUCCUGACAAUUAUAUAUCAAGUGGUAUUCGAGCCGUCAAAUGAUCCUUGGAAACACGCAACAAAUCAAAUGCUGAAUUUUGCCAAGAGAUUCACGAAAUCCUUGCUAGACAUGUCUUUUGUCCAGUUUAUUUCAAACUACGCGAGCAAUGUUCCCGUUACUGUUUAGUAUGUCUUUUGUUGUUUGCAAUGUAGUUAGGGAUGUUAGCGGGUAGGGUUUGGUACGGAUUUGACAUUACCAAAAGCCGGAUCUGUAAAAAAAAUUUAAUUAUCAAAUUCAUUGUGGGUUUUAUUUAUUCAUUUUUUUCCUCUUAACAAAGCCCAUCAGCUGCGGGUUUGAAUGGUACCUAGUGUAUAUUUUUGUGAGUUCCCACGUAUAAAAUCACACUUGCAACAAAACCUAAAAGUUAAAAUUAUGUAAUUCAAAUUAUAAAUUUAUAAUCGUAGCCUAAAAAACCACAUAAAAUACUUAAUUUUAGAUUUUAUUAAUGUAAAUGAGAAAUGAAAGUAAAACAUUAAAAUAAAUACACAAAAUAUAUCAAUUUAACAAAAAUUUUAAAUUUUAAUUACCAAAUACAUAAGUCUAUCGCAACUUAAAGUGCUUUCAAUUGAAAACGAAAAAAGAGAAAGAGAAAAAAAAAGAACUACAAAUCAAAGUAGCACCCGUGACCCAUUUCCCAGUCUCAUUCAAUACCACUAGCACCCAUCCAACGUGAUUUUUCUAAACAAAGUAUAAAGUACAAAAUUACAAUAAGCAUAUCAUACUCCAUGCUUUAAGUUAAAGAUCCUUAUAUAUUUUUAUGAAUAAUUUUUUCAUGAAAUUUUAUGAUUAAAAUUAAAAAUACAAACAUUCAAAUAAGAAUGUCGGACACUUGCGCAACUAUUUACCAAAAUUUUUCUCUAUAAAAAUCGACCUGCAACUUUCAAUAGGUUUAAAUUUAUAAUAUCAAACCUAAUUGCAGCUCGCAAAAAUUAUCUGUUGCGGCCAAGACUUUGGAUUUGCGAUGAUUUUGCCACCCUAAGUGUAGUUAGUAUUGUAUAUCAUGUGGCUCUUAUAAAAAGCCUAGAAGUUGUUUGAAUAAUGGGGGAGACACAUAUCUCCCAAAGAUUUUCUCUUUUUCAAAUUAUUAUUUCUUCUCUAUUAUUGUAACUUCGAAUCCUUAUAAAUUACAGAUUGGAGACAUGAACACAAUGUUUUGACAUAGUGGACUUUUGACUUAUCCAGAGAAAUUUAGGAUAGAUUUUUAUACACUAAGGUUCUAUUUACUAUUGAGGUUUUAGAACUUUUAAGCCACACUAGAAAUUUGUAUUGUUUUGAUUGGUAUUGAAUCAAAGGCAUAUUGAAUCAAAUAUUGUUUACAAUAGUUAAAGGCAUAUUGAAUCAAAAUCCACUUCUAAGGGUUUGAUUGAGUGAUUGUAAAGUAGGUUUUUAGUUUGCUAGCCACUCAAGUUCAAAUAUUGGAACCACAGAGCCUUAUAGCCAAGUGAGAGAACUUGUGCCCUAAAAAUUGAGGGGUGCAUAUCGAGUUUUACCACCAAUAAAAGUUGGUGUUAAAACUUUAAUUUCCCUCCUAUUGUGGAUAGGGGUAAUUAGGAGUUUACAUCCCCUCCUAUUAAUAGAUAGGGGUUAUUAGGAAUAUUAAAAAAAAGUUCAAAUAUUGAAAAUAUAGGUAUGGGUUAUAAAAUUCAUAAUAUAAAGACACAAAAUCAAGAUAAAGAUUUAAAAAUUUAGAACCAUGAGAGCGUGACUUGUAAGUUUCAAAAAAGUAUGUGUAAAUAUAUGCAUUAUUGAUGCCCCAAUUAAGGGUGGGCAUUAAGAAAAAAAAAUCCCAAAAAAUUAAAACUAACCCUAACUAAAAUAUUCGACCGCGGCCUCCUCGUUUUCUUUUCUUCUUCUUCCUCCUCUUGCUCACCCUCAAUGCCCAUUCAUGGAAAUCCAACAGCUCCAAACGCGUUUCAGCCGCUCGCACGUGUGAGAAUUUUUCCUUCUCAUGGGAUUAUUCUUCGCUUGCAUGCCAGCAGAAUAUUCAGGCCGAGGAUUUUUCCGGGCCUAGCCCAACUAUAAGCUCUCCCAAAACCCAAUCAUAAAGUUCAUAACGUUUAGCGUUUGCUAUUACUAUAAUUUUUUUUAACCAAUUUUCACAUUCAUCAACAAAGGCUGACAGAUUUUGCAGAAAAUAAAAUUAAAUAAAAGUACAAGCUCACGAAAUUCCUUUUCCGAUGUGGGAAUCUAUCUACACCUUUCACGUGCCUUUUUUUUUUUGGUUUAUCACAUGUUGAAGUUAAACAGUUGAAGUUAGUGAUGCAAGUUGAAGUUAGUGAUGCAAGUUGAAAGUUGAAAGUUGCAAAAGACUUGGUUGUGAUUUCUCCAAAGGAGAUUUUGAAAAUUUGUUCUGUUGAUUGCAGGUGGAUGAGUCUGUGACCAAGCUGGACUGCCGUGUGCCUCCAGUCCUCAAGCAAGUCCCUGCCCAAGCUCUCUCCGCGGCUCAAAUGGCUCCAGUAGUGGCACGAUCCGUGGCUUCUGAAGUGAAGACUGCCGGUGUAGCCGGCACCGCCUCAGGAAUGGCAAAAUCCGUUUACACCAAGUACGAGCCAGCAGCCAAGGAACUUUACUCCAAGUAAGAACCAAAAGCGGAGCAAUAUGCUGUAUCAGCUUGGCGCAAGCUCAAUCAGAUGCCACUAUUCCCUCAAGUAGCUCAAGUUGUUGUGCCAACUGCUGCCUAUUGUUCCGAAAAAUACAACCAAACAGUGGUGAGCGCUGCAGAGAAGGGGUACAAGGUCUCCUCAUAUUUGCCUUUGGUCCCUACUGAGAGGAUUGCUAAGGUGUUCAGCAACGAGGUUGUUGAAUCGCAGCCUCUGGCUUCUGCUGGACGUGAAGCUGAUGUUGCUGUGUAUUGAUAGCUGUGUUUUCUGUUUUCUGGCCUCACAAUUUUUCUUGCAAGCUGUGGAGUGAAAAUGUUUUCCUUUCUGGAUAUGGGUAUUGGGUUGAAAAUGGAGUGGAUUACGAUUAUUUAAUUUUUAAAGACAUUGCUUAAUUCUGUGGCGUCAGCAUAAUACUUUCUGUUUUUGACUUUUCUUCUGUGUUUAGAUUUUUAGUUCAUUGCUCUUAAUAGUGUUAAAAGUUGGUCACUUUCCUAAAGAAACUCUAAUGAAGGAAAUGAACUUUGGAAUUAAAGUAGAAAUUAUAUGAAAUAUUAAAUUUUAAUUAAAAUAAAAAAUAUAUUAAAAACAUCGUAAAGCAAAAAUUGAGCCAGCUAGAUCCAUUAAGAGUGGCUGGCCCAACCCAACGUCCCAACCCAACAUAACACAAUCACCAGAACUUGUGCUGAGUAUGAUUGUUAAUAUUAUAGCGUGUUUACUAAUAUCAUUCAAAUGUAAUAGUAAUGUAUAAUUAAACAAAAUCAAAAGUCUAUGAUUCCGCUAAUUUGGGGCUAGGGUUUUUCCUUUUCCCAUCCCUUGACUUAAUGAUUUUUAAAAAAUGAAAAUAAAACCCGCACGACAUGACGGGUUCAGUUCCGAUUUGGAUCAAAUUAAGUCCAGUUCGUUAUUGUGAAAUCGUAAUAAACAAAUAAAUUGGGGGCUGAAAAAUCUGGUCGGAAUUUCAAUUUGUAUUAAUUAAUUGACUUUUUGAAUUGCUUUCCAAUAAAAUUAAGCUAUGUUCAAGUGUUUGUAUUUUGGUAAAUUGUGCUGCAUCUAUUUUGCUCAUGUGAUUGUUAAUUUAUUUUGUUUUUCUAGGUUUUGUGGGUAUGAUUGUUAAUUUAUUUUGUUUUUCUGAGUUUUGUUCAUAUGAUUGUUAAUUGAUUUUGUUUGUUCUUUUCUUUACGUGCUGUAAUUUCAUUUUCCGUUGGGGUAAAUUCAAGAAUUAUGAUUUAUGAGUCUAAAUUGUUUUGAACGUAUAAUAUGCGAGGGUUCUGCCUACAAUUACUUUGGCUAGUGUGUCAACUGCAGGCUCUGUGGAGGGUAAGGUAAAAUAGUUUAUGAAUAAAUUGAAAAAUUGGUGAUAUAGGUGGUUACGGCUGAAAUUGUAGAAGAGUUUUAUUCAAUUUCUACCUAGUAAAUGUGAUAUUUACAAUCUCAGCAGAUGAGAGAGUAAGCUUUGCUAUUCAAUACAUGUUUCAUUAAUUCACUUGGGUAUUGAAACCCCGAAGCUUUUUUUUUUUUUUUGAGCAAAGGGAACCUUAUUCGGACUGUUCAACUAAGAAAAAAUGAUACAAGGAAAUGAAAUUAAGUGCCAUGAGGCAUCAGUGCCUACCUCAAUGCUUUCUUCUAUAUGUAACAUUUCUAAUACAUAGUAUGUACAUGAGUGAAAACCUUUGAAGUAAAUAAAUAUAUGUUUACUCUAUCAAAAUUGGACUUCCCUGCAAAUGCAAUCCCAUGAUUGACAAAAAAUGGCCAGCAUCGCUGUGGUGCCAUGUCUGAAAUUUGCUAAAACAACUCGGAGACGGCAUGGGGCACAAGAAGAGAGUUCUUAAGUUCCAAAAUUGUCUACGAUCAAGUGUUGGGAUGGUGAAUGCUUUCACCAUUUAUGCAACUGAGCGGUGAUACUUUUCACCACAGGAUAAUAUUCUGUGUGCACGUGCUUUUUAGCUUUCUCUGAACCAGGUUGCUCAAGCCACUCAUCAUACAAGCUUUUCACCAGAGAAUUUUUGAAAGGAUCAGCUACCAUUACAUUUUCCAAAUAUAUGGUUUCCAGUGUCUUAAUCAACUCCUUCGGUGAUUGCCCUGGCUUAGGCUUGACCUGACGUCCACCAUUCAUGCAACCUGAAGGGCAUGCCAUGAUCUCCACAAAGUGAUAAUCACAUUUUCGCAUUUUCACUCUCCUGACAAUGUUUUGCAGGUUCUGGAAGCCAUAACAUAGGGCAAAUUUCAACAACGUUUUUCCCUCCACUUCCAGAGCCACCUCUCGGAAAUCAGAGUUUCUGAUGGUUUUAAAUUCUAGACGACCUUCAAUAACUUUUCCAAAUAGUGUUUUAGCAGCAUGUCUGAAUACUGUUUCUGCAUAACCACCAGAACUUCCAGCGACCCCAUAAAGAUGUCCUUCAUCAUCAACAUUGGUCAAGAUAAUGCCCCAUAAUAUAGAAUAUCCAACAAUAAAACAUGCAUGAAAAUAAAUGCAAGUAAAUCGAGAUUAUGAAAAUCAUUCACCCACAAAAUGAGAGUGCCACAAUGAAUACCCAAAGCAGGCCACCAACAAAAUUUAAAACAAAAGUAAUUCGUGUAAAAUAUUAAUGGAGCCAAGCAAAGAAAACACAAGAAAUAAGAGUUUUGUUAUUUUACCUGUAGCACUAGGGUGCCAACUCUAACGUCUCCAACUAAAACAAUAAUACAUUUAUUGGUGGAAAAGGCAGAACGUUCAAGACCUUCGUAGCUAGUUUCAAUGGCAAGGGGAACGCUUGCAACCUCAACUCCAUACAUCAGUUUGUUAUUUGUUUAAACACAUAAGUCGUAAAAAUAUUUUCAACUUACUACAUGUGUUUUUUUACUAAGCAGUUGUUCCCCUCCAGGUGACUGGACAUAAACUCUAUUUAAUUUUUUAUAUAUUUUAUAUUUUGAAAAUUUGAUUUAUUGUAGACAAACAAGGGAGUUUGACAUAAUAAAUUCUUAAUUCUUAAUAUAAGGUAUGACAAAAUGAUAUUUUCAUUUAUUCUAGACAAAUUAAAUUUUGUCACAAUAAAUAUUAAUCCAUCAUAAAAUUAAAGGGAAAAUAAUGAUAAUUUAUAUAAUUAAUCUUUUCGGCAAUAAAUCUAAAUAAAAAAUGGUGAAAAGAAUUUAUUAAAUUUUAUUUACUACUAAGGGUGGAUCCAUAACCUUAGCCAUUUUUAGCAAAAGUAAAAUAAACAAAUAAAUAUUUUUUUGUGUAUCGACCUCGAACUCACCGAACUAUAAUAUAACAAGACACUCUUAUACUUGAGAGUUAAAAAUUACUUUUAAGUUGUGUCACCUAGAAGACUCUCUGUGUGUUAUUAUAUUAGGAGAAUUAUAUGCUUUCUACUUAAUAAAUUAAGAUUUACAAUAAAAUAUACUGACUAAAAGGGAUGCAUAUAUCCAACACAAUUUCUUUCGAACACUAAAAUUAUUAUUUUUUAUUUCACACUUAUUACUUUAAACUCUUAUACGAAACAAAUAAGGGCUACUAAAUAACAUGUCAGAUAAUUUUAUUACUUCUUUAAUUAUUACAAUUUAAUUCGGGCUUCUUCUGUAACAAACUAUACAACUCAUACUUUCUAUUACUUACAACAAAUAAAAUAGAGUGUCGAAUAUAUUUUUCUCUUUCUUUUUUAUUGUUUGAACUUAUCUUUCAUCUCAAUUAAGCCGCUAUUUCUUGGUUGAUGAUUUACUAUUUUUAAAUUUAUUGUUGUUAUUAUUACGCAAAUUAUCAUCACGCAAAUUAACAUGUACCAAUUUUUCCAUUUUCCAAUUGCAUAUAUAUUUACUAAAUGCUUCGGUACCGAUGUAAAGCAUCUCCUCAUACUGUCGUCAUCUUAUUUCUUCAAAUUAAUUAAAUCUAACAUGUAAUUUCAUUCCUGUAAAUUUACUUUAAUCUCAUCGCAUACAUUACAUUAUUUUUUAUUUUAAUAAAUAAUUUCUGCUAUAAUUAUCCUAUUACUUAAUUUUGAAAUUGUCAACAAUGAAUAUUAACCUACAUUAAUAGAUUAUGGGACAUUCUCCUAUCAAAUUACUGUUUUCUAAGGAACUAUCUUUUAUGCCUUCUAACGUAACCCUUUUAUCUUCCCUGAUGAACAUAAGAUUCGAAAGUCCUGUAACAUAUUUAGGUACGAGGCAGCAAUUUCACCUUCUAAUUUGAAAAGGAAACUGUAUUAUUCUUACUUUAAAUAACCCUUCAUACCUUAUUGAUGGGUAGAGAGACAUUUUGCAUCCCGUGCGUUACAAUUUUCUUAUUGAUGCCGACAUUCGUGCGAUUCACAUCUCGGUGUCCGAUUGAUAUUGUUUAUCGCCUCCAGCCGGCCGGGGGGGGGGGGGGGGGGUGCAUCUGUCACUAUACAACAUAAUCAGGCCUUCAUUCUUCUCAUCCGCCGCCAAUAUCGUUCAUCUUUGUUCUUUACCACAUGUUCUUGUUCAUUUAAUUUGGAUAUGUUGGUCCACAUCCCCCUGCACACGAAGGUUCACUUUUACGGGUGUUCGCGUCUCAGAUUUUGCGGAUUGCACAUCAAUCCAUAUAUUUUUAAUUCAAUAUAUACUAUUUCUCCUGAUUUCAUGAGUUUUUCCAGAUUUAGAGACUUAAAUCCUUUUCCAAUCCAUCUAAUACGGAAUUUUUUAAUUAUGCUAAUUUAUUAGGGUCUUAUUCUGUAACAAACUAUAAAACUCAUAGUUUCUAUACUUACAACAAACAAUUGAGACUGUCAUAAAAAAUAGUUAAAAUAGAGUGUCGAAGAUAUUUUUCUCUUUCUUUUUUCCUCUUUUAAUUGAUCAAUCAUCUCAAAAAAGCCUCCAUUUCUUGGUUGAUGAUUUACUAUUUUUAAAAUUAUUAUUAUUACACAAAUUAUCGUCGUCGUCGUCGUCAUAAUUAUAAUAUUAACCAUUACUAGUUUUAUUAUUAUUGUUGUUGUUAUUCAAAUUUGGAAAUGACAUGGCCUAUUAUUUAAACUCUAAGGAUAAAAUUAAAAUUACAUAUUAUUCAGGUUAAAUGGAAUUUUUCCCUUUUUUUCCCCACCAAUUACUUUUGCAAUGCAUUGCCUGAUCAUUUUUUUAUUAUUUAUUUAUUUAUUAUUAUUAUUAUUAUUAUUAUUAUUAUUAUUACACGCUACAUAAUUUUUCUUCACAUUUUUUUUAUAUGGUUUUCAUUUACUCAACUCAUACGCAAAUUUCCCACAAAAUCGAAUUAUACACUAACUCAACUGUAAAUUCAUGCCAGGCUACUUUUAAAAUUACAGUUGAUAUUUCGCAUUUUUUUUCCCACCAAGCACGCAAUUCAUUACCUUAAAUCCACUUCCAAAUGUUUUCGUCACUAUUUUCGAAAUUUUCAAAUCAUUCUAACCCCAACCCAUACUUGCACGCUUCCAACUUCUUGCUUUUAACCAAUACUUGCAUGCACUUUUUUUAAUUAUUUUACAUGCGUUACUGUUACAACUUCCAACUACUACAGGCGUUUUUUUGGUCAAAAAGUUGAUUCCCUGCAGUGUUACCGGCCCAUUACCUUUAUCUCAGGUUACUCUCUUGCGUCUGUGUGUCUCUUCUGCAGCCACGAGAUGAAAUCUAACGGUGACCAUGCUACAAGACAAACGACUUGGGUACGAAACCCAUGACGCAAAGUAGCUGCGGCCUAAAUCAGGUAGGAAAAAUAAAAAGUUAAUUAUUGAGUUGUAAUGGUGCAACUAAGGUUUUGAAACAUUAAGAUCUUUAGCCAUUAUGUUACUAUCCCGUAGUUAUUUAAGUUAUAAGAGAUAGUAAAAAAUAACAUCAUGUAAUUAUUUAAGUUAUAAGAGAUAGUAAAAAAUAACAUCAUAUUUUAAUUACUUACACUAAUCCUACAAGUGCUAAUGGUCUAAAGUUGCUGCUGCUUGCACUGAAUCAGUGGUCAUGGGCCAGCCAAGGUUAGGUGAGGCCAACUCAUUAGCUUGAGAAACUUAAAGAAGUCUUAGGUUUGGAAAAGAUGGGGCACAGGUUAUAAAUUUUUUUUGAGUUUUGGAUUGAAGGAACAAAAUUGUUGAUGUCUAGCUCACAAUAUUUGAAGUCACUCUGUGCUUCAUCAUGUAAAAUGGAUUGAAUUGCUGUAAGAUCAAGUCAAAUUAAAAUGUUUAAACUCAUUUUUAAGAAACGAAUUCUCAAUUGGACCAGCCUUUCACAGAAGCUGAUAUCACAGAAGCUUUGAGUCAGAUGCAUCCAACCAAAGCCCCUGGCCCAGAUGGUCUCCCAACAGUAUUUUUCCAAAAGCUUUAGAAUUCAGUAAGCGAAGGAGUUAUAGCCACUUGUCUGCAUAUCCUCAAUGAUGGAAGUAAUAUUGCUCCUUUGAAUCAUACAUACAUUGCUUUAAUCCCCAAGAUAGCAAAACUUAGGACUCUGAUGGAGUAUAGACCAAUCAGCAUAUGUAAUGUAAUUUAUAGGAUCAUUGCAAAGACUAUAGCGAAUAGACUGAAGCUAAUCUUAGAUCAUGUUAUUUCGCCAACUCAGAGUGCUUUUAUGCCAAAUAGGCUUAUAACUAAUAAUAUAAUUAUUGGGCAUGAGUGUCUUCAUAAGUGGACAAAGCUAAGUUCCAGAGGUGAGAUAGGAAAUUCUCCCGCACGACAUAGUAGAAACAAACUUUCCCUUUCAUUUUCUUUCUUCUUUCUCGCUCUCCAAACAGAGCAAAAGGACCGUCGCAAGAUUCUUCACUUCCAUCCAAAAUCAUGAGCAACGAAUAGUGAGCCUCCCUGUUUCCUUCCUUUUUUUGAUAUUAACAUUGUUAACAUAUACUCAUUUUAAUUUGACAAUACUUCAACUUUUUUUUAUUUUUUUGCCUUUUCAUUUUUUUUGUUGAAGCAAUUAUCUGUUCAAGCUGUUGCUUAUCGGAGACUCGUCUGUCGGAAAGUCCUACCUGCUGCUCCGAUUUGCUGUCUGUUGACUUUUCCUUUCCCUUCUUAUUUUCUUUUUUUUAUAUUAAUUACUUUCUAUUUUAGCUUUUUGUUCUCUGAAUUUGUGUUAUUAAAAUGAUAAUUUAGAUGAUAAAUAAUUGUUAUUCUUGUAAAUUUCGAUUUUCAUUACGUUAAUUGUUAGUUUUUAGGUUUAUUAAUGUAAUUUUUUUUUUCAAUUUUUCAGGAUGAUUCUUAUGUCACAGCUACAUCAGUACCAUUGGAGUUGAUUUUGUGAGUCUCUCUUCUAUAUAUAUGUAUAUAUGUGUAUAAGUUAUAAUAUGAGUCUAUGUACGUGUAUGAAUGUAUGUGUAUGUAUAUGUGGAAAGAAAUGUUGGCAGACUUCAGCAUUUUACUCUUUUUUUUUUUUUGGCAGAAAAUAAGAACUGUGGAGCUGGAUGGGAAGACGAUCAAACUGCAGAUUGUGAGUCAAAAUUUCCUUUUAUCUUGUAUUGAGAGAAAUUCGAUUUGUCUUAUUUAGUGAAGGUUAUGUUCAAGAACCUCUUCUUAUUUUCUUUGUUUGAAGAGUGAUAUGUUGAAAUGAGUGUAUUUGUCUUAUAAACAUCAUUUAGGUAAUGUCUGAUGUUUGAUUGUUUUUCAUCUGUUUAGUGGGACACUGCUGGACAGGAGCGAUUCAGGACUAUAACUAGCAAUUAUUACCGAGGAGCCCAUGGAAUCAUAGCAAGGAGCCUUCCCGGUUCUUGGUUUAAAUCAGAAAGUUUGUGAUUUACAUGUGACAUCUUAACAGCAUUGUAUGUGUUUAUUAACUUAUUUUUCAUCUUUCAUUAAGCAGUACAUUUUCCAAUAAAUCUGUAUACAAGAUGAUGUAGUCCAAGAAUGGGAGCCAUAAUAUGAUGCAAAUUGUCUAAUAAAUUCUUAUGACAUAUGAUGUUGUCGGAAGUAAAAGUCUUGCAAUGCUGUAUUCUCUUUUAAGAAAGAAUAAGUGGUAAUUUUUUUUUUCCAAUUUUUUAAUUGAGCAACUGUAUGAGAUUAAUUAAAUGUGUUGGGAUUUCAACAGAUUGUCUAUGAUGUAACUGAGAUGGAGAGCUUCAAUAAUGUCAAGCAGUGGUUGAAUGAGAUUGACAGAUACGCAAAUGACAGUGUAUGCAAACUUCUAGUUGGGAACAAAUGCGAUUUAGUUGAGAACAAGGUUGUGGACACACAGACAGCCAAGGUAUAUUCGUGACUUCUUUCGCCUGAACUUUGAAUAUAAUUUUAAACUCUUCUCAAGUGCAUUUGCUUGAUAAGUUUCUGCAUACCCAGGACACUCAAACUUUGGACAGUGUAUCUCGAGUUGGAAUCUUUUCUGCCAAUACGACUUGUUAAAAUAAUGGUUAUUAUCGUUUGAAUCAUUCAAGAAUUGCAAUAAAUCUAAAGUCCAUAAAAAAUAUGAUUCCAUCAUUUUACUAUUAUAUCUAGACAAAACCCAUUAUUUUACUACAUUUCAUUGGCACCGAUAGUUGACCUGUUGGCUGACUGAUAAAAUCUCAAUUUUGCACUUUACAUUAAUUCUUUUUUGGUUAAAAAAUAACACACAAAGUAUUACAAUAUUAUAAAUUCAAAAUAUAAAGUAGUUACAAAUAAUUCCUAUUAGCCUAUGAAUAUAAUAUUUGAUACCUCUAUUUGUGUAAUUUUUUUUCCAAUGGUGAAAUUGUUAUUUUUUUUGUACUAACGGAAAUGUAGUAAAAUCAUAAGUUUUGUAAAGAUAUAGUAGUAAAAUGAUAGACUAAAAUACUUCUUGUAGUUGUUUGAUAUAUUGUAAUUCUUAAAGUACUCAAUUGAUAAUAUCCCCUAAAAUAAAUGUUCGUAAUAUGUUCUCAUUUUAAUGCAACUGAUUGUUUAAUAAAAUUGUAUUUCUUUGUUAAUCUUUUAUCAUGUGCAUGCUCAGUGAGAAUUUGACUUACUAGAACACAAGUUUGACUCUUCAUUUAAAUGUCUCUUGUAUCAUAUCCUUCAAUGUUGUGUGUGAUUCCAAUAAAAUUGAGUAGGGAGAUCCUUAAAUACCUUUUCCUUUUUUCCAAGGGCCUGUCAAAUUGCUCUAAGUGAUUCUACCCUUUAUCAAUGAAUAAUGAAAAUAAAAUUUUUAUUAAAGCAGUUUUUUCCGUAAAUGGUGACUAAUAGUACCCCUUUUUUUGGAGAGGAAAGUCAAACAUGCCCAAAGAGAAUCAUUUACUUUCCUCUAAUGUAUUUUCUAAUUCGUUUUGACCCUUGAAUGUCUGUUUUGGUGCGUAUUCUCAUUCCAUGUCGAAUCUUAUCCAUAUGGACAACCCCACUUACAAAAAAGUCUAAUGAAUCUAUUGAUGUUCAUAUGAGGUUUGUGCUUUAGAUUUAGACCUCUCUCUCUCUCUCUCUCUCUCUCUCUCUCCACUUACAUGUCUUUCACUUACCUGUUUGCAUGCAUGCCCAUGCACACACUUGCAAGUUAAUACACAGUCACUCGUACUUGUGUUUUGGUUGAGCUACUGGCUGCUAACCUCUGUAAUUCAGUUUGAAACUUGCCCCCCUUAGUGCUUCACUCAAAUGGUUGGUUAGGGUGAGAUCUGUAUCGUUUUCCUGGUCUCUUUCCAAGGUUAUCUAAAGGGAUUUGGCAGUCUGAUUCUUUAGGGAAUAUCAUUGCAUAAGAUAUCUAUUGUUUGUUAAUGAAUAAUUUCUAUUAACUAGUUAUCUAUCUAAAUUGGUAAAUUUUAACUGCAUAAUUUGCAUGCAAUAAGAUUUUAUAAGAAUCUUGUUUUCAACUCAUGACUUAGACUAAUGUGAUAUGUUGAGCAUUAAGCUACAAGAUCUGCACAUCAGAGUGCUUCACGAUGUUAAGGAGAAAGCAUCUUUUUCUGCUUCUUAAUGUGAUUUAGAGUUUCCAUGUUACUUAUCCUAUAAAAUAUCUUUCAAGACUUUGCAAAUGCUUUUAUUUAUGACUGAGAGAAACUUGUUGGGUUGGUUUUUAGCAACAGACGGAGUUAUGGACUUUGUAUUGACUUGUUAUUGAUUAAGAUAGUACAUCGGCUGAUCUAUUGGUAUCAAGCAGCAGAUGCAGAAAUUAUGGGUGGCAUAUCAUUGUAUCCAAAGAGCGUACUACAUGGAAUUUUUCUGAUUUUCUGUUGGUCUCCGAGUGAAAUGCAGGCAUUUGCAGAUGAACUGGGGAUUCCUUUCCUGGAGACGAGCGCCAAAGAUGCAAUCAAUGUGGAGCAGGCUUUCUUGACCAUGGCUCGCGAGGUUAAGAAAAAGUAAAAUCACUUAACUCUUUCCUUCUUGCCUUAUGAUUGAUUCUGUGAUCCAUCACCCAUUUGUAAAUGCUGACUGUUCUAUUCAACAAUCACCAUUAUUGCUGGUUAUAUGCAUUGUGAUGAAAAUUCAGCAAUGAGUAACUUUUUACCUAAUGUUUUCUGUUGGAACAAAUUACUCUGGUAGAAAAGCCCUACAGGGUUUGAGAAAUCCCAUGAUGUGAUGAUUGUGAGCAUUUUAGACACCGUGUAUGGGUUUAUUUUUUGACUAUAAAAUGUUAAGAUUGUUUCUAGUUUUCGUUUGUAGUGCAUAAAAGGAUUCAAAAUUUGACAUCUGUCUAAAUCAGAUUAAUAACAUGAUAAUGUACAUAUGCAAGAUGUGAGGAAUUGUUUUAUCUCACCCCUAAACUUUAAGAAAUUGAAACAUUAUCAUUCAAAAUAUUUAACAUUUCCAGAAUUGAUAGUUGUCUAUUUGAGCAGUGACUGGUGGUUAUCAUGAACUGAUGUGUGGUUGUGGUGUCAAAUCUUGGUGAAACCUGUUGUCAUCUGCCGGUUAACAUAGCUAGUCUCUGAAAUAAUUUCUUGAUUCACUAAUUAUGAGUUCAAAUUUGAUGCAGGAUGGGCAACCAGCCUACUGCAAACAAAUCUUCUGGAACAGUUCAGAUGAAGGGACAGCCAAUCCAGCAAAACAGCAACUGCUGUGGUUAGCCGAGCCUGUUAUUUUACUACUACAUGUUAGCUGACUGAUUGUAGACAGUUUUAACUAUGUUGACUGCAUUAUCUUAUGAAUCUUUUAAUAUGUCAAAUAUUUAUUUCCUGCUUUAAGUUCUUUCCGUUUAUAACAAAUUUAAUUUCUUGCUUCAUCGCAUUCCAAAUUCCUGUCAAUUUACGAGGGAAAAAGAAAAGAGAGACGAAAUCAGAGAAAAUGGUCAAAUUUGUUAGGGGGAGAGAGCUGUUCAAGUAGUUUCUGUUCUUGUUUAUUGUCGUGACCCUCUUGUAGCUUGUCUAUGACCUGGAAGUCCGGUCAAAUCGGAUGGGUAAAGUUACCAAAACGGCAUCAUUUUGGGUGAAAUAUCAUAUUUAUGUCACACUUUUGAUAAUAAUUUUAAUGCAACAAAAAAUUGUUCGCGGUACCCUUUUCACAUUGUGAAGCGCAUGAUCGGAUGGGAGCAGUCUGGAUUCUGGCAUCACAAGCUAAUGCUUUGAUUUGCUUAGUUUGUUUUUUGUUUCUGAUAUUUUCUUGUCAGUGGGUGGGAUAUUGUUUCACUUUCGAGUUUCCUUUUUUUUUUUUGUUAUGGAAUUUGGAGAUAGUGUACAUGUAUGAAGAUGACGUAAUAAAGUUGUUUUGAUAAAUUCUCCUGGUCGGUUUACUUCACUAACCAUUAAUGCACAAAGCCACCUAAUGACCCUAAAAAAUCCCAUACAUAAUUAAAGAAUUUCAAUUUUUUUUGUUAUGGAAUUUGGAGAUAGUAUACAUGUAUGAAGAUGACGUAAUAAAGUUUUGAUAAAUUCUCCUGGUCGGUUUACUUCACUAACCAUUAAUGCGCAAAGCCACCUAAUGAUCCUCAAAAAUCCCAUUCAUAAUUAAAGAAUUUCAAUUUUAUAUGUACAAAAAUAAAUGACUCAAAUAUAUUAUUUGAUAAUUUCAAAAACAAUAAUUCACUCUAAUAAAUCUCGUAGCAAAUAUAUGAACUGUAUUGCAAGUCUUUUCGAGACUAAUUCAAAGGAAUACGAAUGACAUAUAAUUGACAUUUACCUAUCAUAAAGAACUCUAAAUAAAUUCAUAUAUGCAUCGCAGUUAAUUACAGCCUUGAUACUUCAAUUGGUUUUUGUUAAUUUUCUGUACAGUUAUGCUGUGCAUAAAAGUUUUGUUAAAUGAAAUUGAUAGGUGAAGAGAAUUUUUAGAAGCAGUCAUCAAAGUAAUGAUCAAUAUAAAUAUUGAUUGUCUCAAGUUAGAUUAUACAAAGAUGAAAUAAUGCUAAUAUAGUAAAUUCAAUCAUAAUAAUUUGACUUCCAUUAUAUUAAUUAUGUCCAAUCAUGCUACUUUAAUAAAGAACGCUCGAGCAUUUAUAUGUAUACAACAUACGAAAUUAAUUACAAAACUAUCUUUGACAAAGUCUGACCGGUCAACUAUCCAUCAAAUUUUGUAUUGUGUUACCGUUGAGCUCUUAUGUCAAAUAUGGAUAGACAGUGCUUUGGCUAACAGUGAGAUAUAUGCGAGCAUAAGAGCUUCGUUCUCUGUUUUUACGGUGUUUCUCUUUGUGGUUGUUGGACGAACUCUAAUGUGAAUUUCUAUCUAGUGGGUAUCCUGAUACUCUUAGUUAGUUUGGGAUUGUUGUUUUAUAUAUAAUAUUCAGUAUCCAAAAUUCAUAUGAUGAUAACCUUCAUUACUUUUGUCAUAUUUUCUUUCGUGUUGGUGUUAGUAUCUUAAUUUUGUACCCGAUGUUAAGGACAAUAUAUAGCUAAUUUGAAACUUCUAUAAUUUUACAUAUAUAGACGCAAAUUCAUUUUUAAGAGUGCAUUUAAUCAAGCAGUCCAGAUGUUUAUACUGAGUAAGUGGUUCAAUAUUAAUACAAAACUAUUUUAAGUAACAUGUGGCAUAUUCCAAUUCCAGUGAGCUUCCAACUCAGAUUCCCAAUUCAAAAGAAACGUUUUCAAUUUUCUCCAGAACAUUCUACAAAACGUUUCUUCUAGUCUCUACGCUGUGCUAGAAUUUUCUCUAAGUUUCUUUUGCAAAGACUUUUAAAGAAUUAUCCAAAUACCGAGCUUUCUUAGGGGGAGAGAGCUGUUCAAGUAGUUUCUGUUCUUGUUUAUUGUCGUGACCCUCUUGUAGCUUGUCUAUGACCUGGAAGUCCGGUCAUAUCGGAUGGGUAAAGUUACCAAAACGGCAUCAUUUUGGGUGAAAUAUCAUAUUCAUGUAACACUUUUGAUAAUAUUUUUAUGCAACAAAAAAAUGUUGUUUCACAUUGCUUAGUUUAUUUUUUGUUUCUGAUAUUUUCUUGGCAUUGGGUGGGAUGUUGUUUCUCUUUUGAGUUUCCCUUUUUUUUUUUUUAUUAUGGAAUUUGGAGAUAGUGUACGUGUAUGAAGAUGACGUAAUAAAGUUGUUUUGAUAAAUGCCCCUGGUCGGUUUACUUCACUAACCAUUAAUGCGCAAAACCUUCUAAUGAUCCUAAAAAAUCCCGUACAUAAUUAAAGAAUUUUAUAUUAUUUGAUAUGUACAAAAUUUUAUAUGUACAAAAAUAAAUAACUCUGAAAUAUAUUAUUUGAUAAUUUUAAAAACAACAAUUCGCUCUAAUAAAUCUCGUAAGAAAUACAUAGUCUAUAUUGUAAGUCUUUUCGAGACUAAUUCAAAGAGAAAAUACGAAGGACAUAUAAUUGACCUUUAUCUGUCAUAAAGAAUUCUAAAUAAAUUCAUAUACGCAUCGCAACUAAUUACAACCUUGAUACUUCAUUUGGUUUUUGUUAAUUUUCUAUACAGUUGUGCUGUACAUAAAAGUUUUGUUAAAUGAAAUCGGUAGCUGAGGAUUAAUUAAUCAAUUAAUUAAGAUCCAGUUAAUGUAAUUAAUUUUAUUUGAUUUUUUUAAUUCGAGUUCUAAAUUAAUCAAUUAAUUAGAUUCAUGUGAAAUUGAAGUGAAUUAGUUUCGAUAUGUUUUUCGUCCUAUGUUUGUCUGUGUUUACUCUCACUUUUUUUUUGUUUAAAUUUUCGUUUUCUUAUUGUUUACUGAAUAAAUUUCUGAGCUGUAUUUGAGUAUGAUGAUUGAUUUGUGAUUUUAAUUUGUGACUUUUUUUUUUGGAAUUUAAAUCUGAAUGCUUUUUAAGUUGAAUCUGAUUGUGUUGGGCCGCGAUUUAAUUGAGUGAUGUGUGAGCGCCAAAUUGUGAGAGCCAAAUAUUNNNNNNNNNNNNNNNNNNNNNNNNNNNNNNNNNNNNNNNNNNNNNNNNNNNNNNNNNNNNNNNNNNNNNNNNNNNNNNNNNNNNNNNNNNNNNNNNNNNNNNNNNNNNNNNNNNNNNNNNNNNNNNNNNNNNNNNNNNNNNNNNNNNNNNNNNNNNNNNNNNNNNNNNNNNNNNNNNNNNNNNNNNNNNNNNNNNNNNNNNNNNNNNNNNNNNNNNNNNNNNNNNNNNNNNNNNNNNNNNNNNNNNNNNNNNNNNNNNNNNNNNNNNNNNNNNNNNNNNNNNNNNNNNNNNNNNNNNNNNNNNNNNNNNNNNNNNNNNNNNNNNNNNNNNNNNNAUAAAUAACAUUGCAAUACAAUCUAGCCCUUACGUGUUUAAUUAGCAAUUACACGAACAUUAUAACACUCUGUUGCUGAUGCGGCAGCUAGUAAUUCUUCUGGUGAAGAUAUUAAGGCUGUUAAAGCUAAAAUGUAAUCAGAGAAAUAUAAUGCAUUCCCUUAGUUUGCUUUUUGUUUUUGAUAUUUGUUUGGCUAAUGCUUUGCUUAGAUUGCUUUUUGUUUUUGAGAUUUUAUUGGCUUAGUCAUGGUAUAUUGUUUUCUCUUCUAAUUUUCUAUUUUUGUCGUUAUGGGAUUUGAUGAUGGUGUACACAUACGAAAAUUAUGUAAUAAAGUGCUUUCAAUAAAUCAUGGUCGGUUUACUAUUAAUUAAUUAAAUUUAAUUAACUCAAAUUACUCUUGUACACAACCAAAAUAAUUUCAAUUCUACGAUAUGUAUACACACGCGCACACACAAACAAAAAGUAAUUAACUUUCAAAUAUUUGCCAUGCUAUUUUAAUAAAUAGUACUUGAGAAUAUAUAUAUCCAACAGGUAAAAUUUCAAAACAAUAUUUGCCGAAGUCUGAUGAAGAGAAUAUACACGCACACACAUAUAUAACCGUACAGCAGAAGGAUAAAUAAAAGAAAAUAAAGUUUCAACAGCUGAAUAAUGCAAACUCAUUUUUUUUAACAAGCAUUUUAUUGUUUAAUUUAAAAAAUUCGAAAACCGAUUGGUCUUAUAUACAUGAUAAAGACUCACCGACGCCGAACCAUAUUCAUUUAAAUUAGUUUCAACUGAGAUUUGAUUUGAAAUUACAUACACAAACACGCUCAAUUUAAAAAUAAAAAAUAGUAAUUAUAAAAUAUUUCUGUCGUCCUCCAUUCAAUUAUCAAAAAACGACUUUAUAAUCGAUUUUAACAUAAGGUAUAUGGGUUAACAAGUCCCAAUAUUGUCCUCCAUCCUUUCUGCACUUCUCUUCUAUCAACGGACAUCUCCAGAUCUGUAAUUGCAAAAGUGAGGAAGGCAGGCCCUUCUCCGGAAAGUAUUUAAGCUUGGGACAUCCAUGGAGUCGCAAUUCAGUGAGGUUUUGAAGAUCAACAAUUGAAGAAGGUAGGCGUUCCAGAUUUGAAAAUAAAAGAAUGCUCAGAGAUGUUAGAGAGGCAGGAAGAGGAAGCGCGGUCCCUAAUCUUUUGUCCUCUAGUGGAAAUGACACCAUGUCGUCAUAACAUCCUCCGAUUUCUAGAUGUCGCAUAGAGGAGAAUCUGUGAAAUCCCCGACCCCGCUCAACCAUUGACUUCCAAAUCUCCAUAUUACCCCUGAUAUGAAGUGACUGAAUCUUGGUGGGAAGGCCAUCUUCUUCAAGGCUUGGAAGCUCACCUCCUAUUCUUAAUUCUUGAACAGAAGUCAGGUUGUGCAAUCCCUUGGGUAAGGCCUCUAGUCUCUUGCACCAACGGAUACAGAGCUUAGUGACUUUCGCACAAGGCANNNNNNNNNNNNNNNNNNNNNNNNNNNNNNNNNNNNNNNNNNNNNNNNNNNNNNNNNNNNNNNNNNNNNNNNNNNNNNNNNNNNNNNNNNNNNNNNNNNNNNNNNNNNNNNNNNNNNNNNNNNNNNNNNNGAGACGUGUUGUAGUCCAACCUUUCUGCUAUGGACUCCAGAUUUCCACACAUCUGUAUACUAAUCUUUCGAAGCUGGCGGAGAUUAUGUAAACCACUCGGUAAAAUUUUGAGAUUUUCACAAUGAUAAAUGUUGAUUUUUUCAAGAGAUGUGUUGUUGUCCAACCUUUCUGCUAUUGACUCCAGCUUUGAACAAUGAGAAACAUAAAGGGACUUAAGAGACGGAGGUAGAUUGCCAACUUCAAGGGACUCAAGCGUGGCAGGUAACUCGUUUUUUGAAAAUAUACAUGUCAGUGAUGGACAAUCCCUAAUUUCCAACUCCUCGAGAAGAGAUGAGGUGUACCUUCUGCCGCUGCUACUCUGGAUGCCCUCUUCCACUGUCAAAGUCCUUAUAUUAUCGCAACGCCAGAUCUUCAACUUCUUAAGGCUCGAUGGUAGCUGGACAGCAGCAAUAUAUGUCAACGAACAACAAUACUGAAUAUUCAAGAUCUCGAGAGACGAAUGGGUGUCGCACAUCCAUGCCUCUGGUAACGAUUUCAGUGCAUCACAAUGCCCAAUCUGAAUUUCCUUCAACUUGGAAGGCAGAGCAACCUCAGGAAACGAAACAAGGGAACUGCAGUUGUAGAUUUCUAUCUCUCUCAAGGAACUGAGGCUGAACGAUGAUUGUGGCAGCUUCACAAGGCCUUCGCAUCGGUUCAAUUCUAGAUAUUCAAGUCUGCUUGACAAUUCGCAGAGCUGCUGUUGUUGGUCUUUCUCUUCCUCCGCCACCAAGGAUUGAAGUUUGGGACAUCUGUCAAUCGUCAGUCUUUUGAGAGAGCAAAUGUCUUGCAGUAAUUCGUUAUGACUCUUCCAUACAUAUGUUUCAUUUUCAAUAUUUUUUAUCUCCAAUUCUUCUAGUUUUGGUAUUCGCGGCUUCAAUGGCCCUGCGAGAAACACUUGAUUUGAUGUAUCUCUACAAACCACUGAAUUCUGUGAGCCGAGAUGAUCAGUUGCACUUCUCCACACAACCUUUUUACAUCCAUCCAUCUCUAAUUUGCAAAGAGCUGGAAGAGUCGCAAUUGAAAUUGACAAUUCUUCGCAUUCUACAAUAACAAGCAUCUCCAAUGCAGGAAGGUGCUCUGGAAAUGUUCCUUGUAGUUUAGAACAUCUUAAAAUGUGAAGCUCUCUCAAUUUAGGAAACCCUUCAACUCCCUGACUGGAUCCAUGAGGAAUCCAGUCUUCCCAUUCUUGCAAGUCUUCAAAACAAAGAGUCUCCAAGCAUGGAAAAGGAAUCGGGGAAUCAUUCCCAUAGAACUCUGAACCCAAACUCUUUACUCUACUCAUUCCACUCACUUCAAGAUGCUUUAGAGAGGGUAGUUGCCCGACUGACGGCAGGGUAGUACACACGCCGCAAUCUUGAAAAUCUAAGGUCGCUAAAUUUGAGAAUAAGGAAUCUCCCAACCAAGUUGGAAAUUCUUUACCUCCAUAGCCACCGAUACAAAUUUGUUCCAGAUUUUCAUGAGGUUUUAGCAUGUCGAGCACAUCCUUUUCAGUUUCUGCCUCCCUUGAAGACAAACCAUCGGUACUCCGUGUCCAUCGAAACCUUAACACUUUAAGAUUCUUCUUUCCAUCCAAUUGAGCCUCCUUCGCAUCACCAAUGUCUUUUACGUUCUCCAAUUUUGAAAUGUUAAGUGUCCCACGAAGAUGCGUCAACAAUUUUAGCUCUCGUAUCACGGAACCACUGUCUUCUCCCACAACAAAAUUACACAGCGUUUGAAGGCAAGUCAACUUACCAAUUCCUAGUGGCAUCUCCUCCAAUGAAUCUGUAUUUGAAUUAUCGAGAUGAUGCAAUUUGAUGAGGUUUCCCAUGUCUGCACACAACUUCUUCAGCCGCCGACAACCUUCCAAUAGAAGUGUGUGCAAAUUGUAAAGCUUUUUGACUGAUUCAGGCAGAGUUCUAAUAUCAGUUCCAGAUAGGUUGAGGUACCUUAAAUACCUCAAAUCACCAAUUGAAUCUGGUAGCUCGGAGAUGUGAUAUCCACACAAAGAGAAGACCCUCAAGCGUCGGAGUUUGAACAACUUAGGAAGAAUGCUAUGAGCCAAGUAUCCACGCGAACUAUUUGUCAACAUUACUGGUAAAAAAGUUCGCAAAUGUUGGAUAUCGUACAACUCCUCAAACCUUUUAACACCAUCGUAACCUCCACGAAUGUACGACAGAUGACGAAGAUUUCUUGGAAAGCUUUGUUGCUUGUCAACCUCUGAGAUAUCCUCCAUUCUGAAGUACAUUUCCCCAGCAGCCCAUUCAGCAAGGUCAUUGACGAGGUCAUGCAUCACAAAUCGUGAUAUGCUGUUGCUUGAUUGCUGGAAAAAAGAUCUUGCACGUAGCUCUUGAAAGAACUUUCGACCUAGAUCUUCACUUGGAUUCCCGCUCUCUCCGUGAUCCAAGAAACCCACAGCACUCCAUAAUAAAAUUAUCUCCUCCUCUUCAAAUUCAUAAUCCUUUGGAAACAAUGAGCAGUAUGCAAAGCAUUGUUUCAAAGGUGCCGAAAGAUAAUAGUAGCUCACUCUAAGCGCCGGUAUAAUGUCACAUCUCUCUUCUGGUAAAUCCCAUAUCUUGCAACUGAGCACCCCUUCCCAAUCACUCCGGUCAAGUUUACCACGCAAGAGACCACCAAGAGUUUUCGCAGCUAAGGGCAAGCCGUUGCAUUUGAUCACUAUCUUCUUGCCAAUUUCCUCCAAUAACUUGUUUGAACUGAAAUCUCUUGUCCCCAAAGAGUGUUGAGCGAACACAGACAGACAAUCAUCAUUUGACAACUUUUUCAAUUGAUAAACUGGAGCAGUCCCCAUGAUGGCUGCAACCCCUUGAUUACGAGCUGUGACAAUAAUCUUACUUCCCGGUGCGCCAGCUUCAAAUGGAGGUCUGAGUCGAUCCCAAUCAUUGUAAUUCUCAUUCCAAACGUCAUCUAAAACAAGCAAAAAUUUCUUUCCAGAUAACUUCUUCUUCAGCUCCUCGUGAAGCUUAUUCAAGUCGUGAUUAUCCACAUUCUGGUCACUAGCAAUUGAAAGUAGGAUUGAUUUUGUAAGCCUGAUAACAUCAAAAUCAUCAGAGACGCAAGUCCAUACCUUGAGAUCAAAAUGACCCUGCACUUGCUUAUCAUUGUAGACAAGCUGAGCGAGAGUGGUUUUGCCCAUCCCGCCCAUACCUAUAAUUGGAAUAACAGAGAAUUCACCAUCAUUUCUCAAAUCAUCCCUCAACAACAAUUCAACAAUUUCCUUCUUUUCGAUUUCCCUGCCAUAUACUUUGGCUUCCUUCACCAAAGAGGUUGUCUCUCGCCUUUUCCUGUCUUUUUUGGACCUUCCAACUGAACUUACGUUCAAACCGAGCGAGUCUUUCUGUGUUACAAUAUCUUGAAAUCCGUCGUUGAUCUCUUUGAUUUUGGACAUUAUGGUGUAAUCGAACUGAAUCGAUUGUGGAGUAAAAGUGGUGCAGCAAGUAGGAAUGAGCUUCCGAAACUUACUUGUUCUUGUACGACUGCUACUGGGUUGAUCAAGAGCAGCAGCUGGAUCUCGAUUUCCAAGCAGCAACUUCCUCCCGAAAGCCUCAGUUUGAAACUCAUCCAGCAAGUCUUCAACAUCAAAAGCCAAGUUCUGAAGCUCGGCAAGCCACAACUUCACAGACUGAUCAGUCUUCUUCUCCUCAGCAUCAGCAAGCACCGCCUUGAUCAUCACCAACAUAUUCUUCCACUUCUUUAGGUCGGCUUGGAUUUGCUCUUGGCGUGCAAACAGCCGAAUCCCCUCUGAAGCUAACUUAUUGACCAGCAAAUCAACGGACGCCGUAAGGAUUGCCUCUCCGAUGAAUGACAUUUUUUUCUUCUUUUUCUUUUUUUUGGUUUUGCAAAGAAAGAAAGGAGCAGAAUUAUGGGUUAUGGAAAGCAGAAUGAGAAAAUGGAUAAUUAAGCAGAAUGAGUUUGUGAUUGUGAAGGGUCUGGCCCAGCAAUCUUAGUAGAAAUCACGCGUUUAUACUUUAUUGACCAAUGACUAAUAAUUUGGCAAUUCACUCAUCACCACCACUUGGUAAAGCAAAAUAAAAAUGCUUAGUAAUUAAGUGUCAAGGGUCAAGCAAAAUACGACGCAAAAUGUGUCAAGGGUCUCCCCACUACUUGUUCCUUGCAGCUUAGAAAAGAAAAACAGAGCCCACCACCCAUUAAUAUUUAGCAAUUCACCAAUCAUCACCACUUGUUACGAAACCAUCUCAUCAACCAAGUUCGUAGGUCGAGCAGUUAAUCCAGUGUCUAUUUCCUAGAACCUUCAUCUCAUAAACCAAGUUCAAUCAAAACGUUCCUCUCUCGCUAUUUUUUUUUUUUCAAAACUCCUAAAACGUUUUCUUUUUAGAAAUAUUUUACUUUAUUCAUCUAAUAUGUUAUCUAACAAAUAGACACAAUUGAAAUCACUCUAAAGUGAAGAUGAAAGGGGAAAAAAAUAACCUUCCAACCACCAGUAAUUUUGCAAGCUUCACUUUAUUCCACCAAAGUGUAAAUAAAGCCAGCCCCCACCACCAUCAAUAAUUUUGCAAGCUUCACACGCUUGUUGUCUUCUCCUUGACGAACUGGACAUGAGUGGACCAAGAAUAAUCAAUGACAGGAUUUUCAAAAUAAUAAUAAGAGAAAAACCUACACAUUUUCGGCUUAGAGUAGAACCGUAAUUAAUGCUAAAAUCUACUCAGCUAACAUUUUCAAAAUAUUAUUCUUUAUGAUUUUCAAAACCGUGAUUAAGGUUCAUCUCAAAUGUUUGAAGAGAGUCUAACAGUUCUUCUACGCUAAGAAUAUCAAAAUUCUUACUUUUUCUUCAAACGUUGAAUAAUGAAAAAAAAAAUUGAAUAUGGAGGAAAAUAGAAUGCAUCCAUCUUUGCUAGAAGUCUUCUACUUAUAAAAGCAAGUUAGAAUAAACGAUUUUAAUCUCUCUUUUUAUUCCUGUAAGUGCACUACAUUUUUUUUUUUAAUCUCAAUGCGAAGUCGUAUCAUAAUGUUAUAUUCCUAUUGUAAAACAAAAUUUUAGAUAAAAUAAAUUCGACUCAUUUUUUAAAGGUAUAUAUUUAGUAGGUUACUAACAUAACUAACAAAUCGUGAUUAUUACACUAAAUGGAAUAAAAGACAGUACUAUCACCAAUAAUUUAGCAAGUUUCGCAUGCACGUGUUGCUAGAAACAUUAUAUGGAAUCAAACGACAGUGAUACAAAGAGAAAAGUGGAAAUCCUCUGAUUGUAUUUUUUUUUCUUUUUCAGAAGAAAUGGUGGGGUUGGUUUGUUUGCAAAGUUAUUAGCGUGGGUCUAUUUGUUUUUGUUUUAACUUUAUUAAUCAAUAAGCAAACAUGUAAUGAUUUGUAUAUAUCAUUAGCAUCACAUUAUUGGGAGGUAUUGCGCUUAGUAUUCAUAAUUUUUGUAAGAUGAAUUUGGAAGACUUAUUAAUUUUGAUGAAAAUGUAUCGGUGUUAAGAUAUUAUUUAAUUCAUUAAGUUAACUUGAGGAAAAGCAAAAUGAGAAAAUUGAGCAAUUCACCAAUUGGCAAUAUUUGUUUAAUUCAUCAAAUACUUGUAUCUCAUCUCACAAAUUGGCCAUAUUUGUUUGGUAUUUCAUCUCAACAGACGCAGUAAGGAUUGCCUCUCCGAUGGAUUGACAUUUUUUUUUUGUUUUGCAAAGAAAGAAACAGAAUUUUGAGUUUUGAAAAGCAAAAUGAGAAAAUUGAACAGUAAGUGUGGAGGGUCAAGCAAAAUGCGCGUAACAAGUCUUCCGCUUCUUGUUUAUUCCAGUAAAGCGAGAAUAAAAUCAGAGCCCACCACCCAUUAAUAAUUGAGCAAUUCACCAAUCACCAGUCGCCACCACUCGUUACCAUGAAUAUAAUAAAUUGCACCUCCAUAUUUGCAGGGUCCAGCAACAUUGACCCAGUGUCCGGGUAAAUGCUUAAUAACGAGGAAAAUGGAAUGUAUCCGCUACGAACCUUCGCUUUACAAGUCUUCAAACUCAUAAACCCAGUUAAAUCAAAACGUUUAUCUCUCUCUCUCUCUUUUUGCCAUAUAAUUACUUUAUUUAUUGAAUUAAUUUCCAUGCUAAAAGGAAGACUUAAAACUGCACUACAAUUUUUUAUAAUCACAAUGGUAAUUUCUACUAUCAUGUUAUUUUAAUAUCGUGUUAAAAUAAAUUAUUACAAAGUUUUUUUUAUGAACACUCUUUUUAUUUAUAAAUUUUUUAAUUUUUAAUAUUUUUCUUACUCUUUUAAUCUUAAUGUUUGUAUUUCGCUCUUCAAAUUUUUAUUAUUAUUUAAUUUUUAAAGAAAAAUAUGAAAAAAAAAUAAAAAAAAUAUUAUACUUAAAAAAUAGUGAAUAUUUUAUGGGUCUAAUACAAACCUGUAUUGUUUUUGACAAUGAAAGAGCACGCGAAAAAUCUCACUCAUAGAAAAUUUAGUGAAAGGCAUUUGAAUGUGUGGCCACAUUUUCCGAACGAAACGAUAAGGCUUUAGCCUUAUAAUUGCAAUUAGUUUGUCUUGUAACUAAAUUAUUGCCGACAAGCACCAUCAUGCUGACAAACCGUGCAUGCACGUCCUCAAUCACCCACGUCCUCUACUUGUGUGCAAUAUUUCCCAUUACUUCCCGUACUUUAUGCAUUAUUGUUUUGUAUGUCUUUUGUUGUUUACGGUGUAGUUAGGGAUGGUAGCGGGUUGGGUCUGGUACCGGUUUGACAUCACCAAACCCGCAUCUAAAAAAAAUUUAAUUACGUAAUUUAAAUUAUAAAUUUAUAACCGUUGCCUAAAAAAACCACAUAAAAUACUUAAUUCUACAUUUUAUCAAUGUAAAUGAGAAAUGAAAAUAUCAACAUUAAAACAAAUACAUAAAAUGUAUCAAUUUAACACCAAUUCUCAAAUUCAAUUACCAAAUAAAUAAGUACAGUGUAGCACUAAAAUAUAAUAUUUAAAUUAAAUUAAUCACAAAAAAUUAAUACAAUACAGUGUAGCACCAAACAUUGUACAUUAUUAUUAUAAUACAGUACUAAUACAACGCAACAUAAUACAAUACACCAACAUUAAAAUAAUACAAUCUAAUAUAAUACAAUACAGUGUGCGAAAUGCACCGACAUGGUAUUACUUUGUUUGUCUCGUUAUUUACAAUUAUUUAAUCUGUAGACCCACUCAUGCUCCUUCUAUGUAACAUAGAUGCAAUUUGAGGAAGAUUAUCAAUUUUUUCUGACUAAAAAUAAUAUAGACCACUUAUUUUUUAUUGUUUUUAUAAUGUUCAACAAUUCGCUUGAGAUCAAAAAAUUAAAUGAAAAGGAGUAAAUAGAUGAUUUACUUGAUGUUGUAUCUUAGAAAUAUAAAAUAUAUUUAUUUAUUAUUAAAAAUAUUUAAAAAUAAUAAAGAGUACAUAAAAAGUAUCUUAUCCUCAACAACAAGAUCAGACGACGUCAAUUCAGCAAAAUGACUUGAAUAACUUGAAAGUCCAGCAGCCGUCACCUCUUGGCGCACACAUGGCAACGUGCGUGGCUUUGGCAAGAGGUCUCCCAAAAGGACGAUUAAGAAAGAUUGCAGGACAAAUCAUGAAAAUAGUAGUACAGAUAUGCAAUGGCUAAAUUUCCUCGAUUAAGUCCAUCACAAUCAAGUCUUAGAAAUCACACCCCUGUAUUAAUUUCCAGAAAUAUGUUUGUUCCAUAUUUAUCGUGCACGUAUAUAUUGUAUGUAUUGGGAAUAGAAAGAGUGUAUGUAAAAAAUUCUUCAUUCAUCGAUUAAAACUUAAUUUAUGUACAAGGGUUAAGUGUAGUGUUUUUAAAUUUAAAAAGGACAAGUGUCAAUCCACUGAGGCUUGCCUCAAUGGCUAGAGCCACACUCCCUCACAAAGUGGUUCGAUCUCCCACAAAUACAUUAUAGAGGUUUAAUUUAAAUUUUUUUCCUCAAAUUUUGAGUGAAGACAGUUUUUCUUCCAGAAAUAGAAUUUUUCUGAGAGUUUGACGCCCCUCAAAUAUUUGAGAUGAUUAAAAUUUGAGCGGUGCUAUAUAAAAUAUAAUGUAAACUAAUCUAAAUAAUUGUAUAAUUAUAAAUAUAAUGAACAAUAGUCUCAUACAAAAAAAUGACAAGUGUAGUAAGCCCAUUUAAAUUAACUUAUAUUUGAGGGGAAAAUCUCUGUAUAUCAUAGUAUAUAUUAUAUAUCCAGUCGUGGGACCCAUACAUGGUUCCAUGUAAUUCGGCACAGUUGAACUGGAGACACUGAUUAGUUCGUUGUCUAUUUGCCAACUUAUGUACAACUAAGUAAUUUCAUGCACCAUUUGCGCCUUAUCUAUCCAGCCUGCUUGCAUUGCAUUAACUAAACAUACAAUGAAAUUAACCCUUGUAAUUUCGGCCUUUGCCAUAGUCGUUUUGUUUAUUAGGUUUAUGUUUAUCAACAUGAUAUGUUGUCAACCAUAAUCACAAUCAAGUUGUUAAUUAUUUUUUAAAUAAUGUGAAGGAACAAGAUUUUGGUCUUUGAGUGUGGAGUUAAAAAUAUCUCACCUCAACAUACGGUGUUGUGCUCUCAUCAUCUUAACAUUAUUUGUUAAAAAUUAUGUCAAAGAGGAAAGCAGAUUCAAACAUUACUUCAAUUUUCUUUAAGAGCAUAAAAAUAUCGUUAAUAGGCUACUGUUAUUUGUUAGUACGAUUUCACAAAAGGAAGCUAGAGGAAGAUGAAGCUCUCAAGUCAUGUAUGCAUCAAAGUAAGAAACAGAGCUAAUGAGAGAUGGACAAUUUUAAAUAUGUCAGCAUUUUGUCAGUUCUGGCCAUAUUUUGAAAGAUUAGAACCCUAAUUUUCUUUUGAAGCUCCUUUUAUGUCGAAAUCUAUUUUAAUUUCCAAAAUAUCUUUUUCCAUUUUUUUAGUUUCUUUCUGAUUAAAAAAAAAAUCAGUUUCUUAAACAACUCCAACUACAAAUAUUUUUUUACAAAUUUUUGAAUUAUUAAAUCAUAUGUGCGUGUAUAAAUUGAAUAGAAUUAAAAGUGGACUCAAAUAGAUAUUAUGUAAUUUUUUUAUAAUUAAAGAAAAGUUUAGAAUGCAAAAGUGUGUGUGAGAAAACAAAAAAAUAUAAAUCGCCUUUGAUAUAAUUAUAUGGUUGUAAAAAGUUAGAUGGAGAAAUAUAGUAUAUAAUUAAAUUUAUUUUGUUCCUUAAAACGGGUAGGUUUUAUAAGAAUUUUCCAGAGGAGCGCCAAUAUUUCAGCUUUUUUUUUCAAAUGAAGUGAUGUCCUGGAAUAAAAUCACUACUCUAUCAUUGCUAUUAGUUUGUCUUGUAUUUCAAUAAUUGCCGACAAGUAUUAAUUGUGAAUAUUAUUAUUAUUAUCGUCGUUAUUCUUAACAGCAAUGACUAGAAUUAUAAUAAUAACAAUAACGUUAAUACAAUAAUAUAACAACAUAAUAAUAUUUUAAUUGAGAGGAUAAAAAUAAAAUUAUGAAAUUUAGGUUGGAUAAAAAUGGUGAGUAUGAAGAAAUUAAAUUACUAUUUUUUAAGUUAAACAGUUCAUAAAUUUCACAUAUUUCAUUCUUAUUUCUCUUAUAUUUUAACAAAUAAACAUUACCAAUCGUUUUAAUAUUUUAAUUAAUAAACACGGCAUUAACUACGGAACUAAAAGAUCCCCAAAAAAAAAAAAAAUAGAGACGCGUGUAUGUAUUGCUUGUGACAAAUCUCACCCAUGGAAAACUUUGUGAAAGGCAUUUGAAUGUGUGGCCACAUUUAAUGAACGAAACGAUAACUUUAAAAGAAAGUAUGUAAUGUGUUAAUUAUUAGGCUUUAGCCUGAUGAUUGCAAUUAGUUUGUCUUUUAAUUAAAUUAUUGCCGACAAACACUAUCACGACCCACGUCCGCUACUUGUGUGAAUGUGUGUAUAAAUAUCCGCAGCAUAUUAUCAAACCUGAUGCGUGAUCAUCUUUAAGUUUUGGUUAGGGUUCAUCAGACGUUGGAAGAUAUCUUUCCUAAUUUGAAGAAGAUGGAAACUCCUUAUCCAGGUUCUUAGGCCAUGUUCAGUUGAAUGUCAUUUAUAAUUUUUAUUUUAACAUUAUGUAUUCAUGAAUACAAUUAUUGUUAUGAUUUUUUCAGGUAAGAAUGGAUGGUCUGAUAGUAACCCAAUAACUAUGUACAAUAUUAUUAAUGAUGAGAGUGUGAAUGACAAUUUGGAUUUUAUUCUCAUCCCUCAAUACGGGAAAAAUCUCGACUAUAGUGGUUAAAUGUUAUGUAACUCUUUCGUAUUAUAUUUAAUUAAAUAAAAUGAUGAGUUAUUAUUACUUAUCAAUCAUUUGAGUGUUUCUGCUUGAUUUAAUUCAACUUAUAAAAUCUCUUGAGAUAUAUAAGAGAUUUUCUUUAUUCACUUUCAUGUACCGCGUCUUCUUAUAAAAAGAAAUUAAUAAAAAAAAUAUCAUUAUGUGCAAUGUAUUGACUAAGUUACAAGAAAUUAAUAAAAAAAAUAUCAUUCUGUGCAAUGUAUUGACUAAGUUAGUGUAUUCACGUUAGCUUAAUUGUGCUCUCUCUUCUUGAUAUUUAAAAAAAAAAAAAAACUCCACGUAUUGUUGGUUAGCUAAUUCUUGCAGCUAGCAAGUGAUCCUUUUCUUUCCCCUACUGUCGUAGCAUCAAAUCCUUACAAUUACAUAUCAAGUGGUAUUCGAGCCGUCAAAUGAUCCAUGGAAACACGCAACAAAUCAAAUGCUGAAUUUUGCGAAGAGAUUCACGAAAUCCUUGCUAUACAUUGAAAUACAAGUAUGCAACCCAAGAGGGGGGGGGUGAAUUGGGAUUCUAAAAAAUUAUUCAAUUUAUUAAAGAAAAUCUUAAUGCAAUUAUAAAUCAAAUUCAAAGCAAUAACAAUUAAGAUGAUCACAAUUUAAAAAGAUAAGGGAAGAGGGAUUCGAACACCGAGAUUUUUACGUGGUUCGGCCAACCUCGCCUACGUCCACGCCUCCAAGCUUUCCGGGCUUGAGGAUUCCACUAAGCAAGCCUCCAAGGCUUCAAAUGCUUACACUUGACUUCCAAGGUGUCAAUGGACCUUUACAACAAGAGAUUAUCCCCAAUCUCUUAACCCAAGUGUAUCCCAACACUUACAAUUACUCAAAGUAAAAGAUUACAAAUUGUUUUUCUCUCACACAAUAUUUAAGAUUACAAAUCAAUGCCCAAUUUGUGAAUAGAUGAAGAGAGAAUGUGUUUUAAGCUCUAUGAAGAUUGUAUUCUCAAAUAUUUGCUCAAUGGUCGUGUUGUGUUCAAUCUUUGUUUGAAUUUGAAUGAGCUUAUUUAUAGAUGCAGCUGAAAACUAGCCGUUAUUGACUUUCUGCACACUGUCGGAUCACCGUUAGCUAGAUGUCGGAUCGCCGUUUGACUGGUCAAUAUGACCGUUGGGUUGAUUUUUCAAAUUGUCGGAUCGCCGUUAUCUAGAUGUCGGAUCGCCGUUUAGGUCCAGAGGCUACUGGUUGAUAUCGGCGAGCCGUUUAUCACACAUGUCGGUUCGCCGUUAAUGUCCAGAGACUACCCUUCAGUUCUGGUUGAUAUCGGCGAGCCGUUUUAUCAACAUAUCGGAUCGCCGUUUAGGUCCAGAGGCUACUGGUUGAUAUCGGCGAGCCGUUUAUCACAAAUGUCGGUGUGCCGUUUUCGUCCAGAGGCUAAUCUCCAUUUCUGCUUGAAAUCGGCGAGCCGUUUACUACAGAUGUCGGAUCGCCGUUUUCCACAAAAACUGCUGCAGUGAACUAUUUUGCAAGAUGACUGUUUUGUCUCCAAAUCUUUAUAAAAAUACUUUAUGAAACUUGUCAAAAUAGAUGAAAAUUAUGUUGAGCUUUUAAAACAAUUAAUCAAUCUUAAUCAUGUUUGUUAUCAUCAAAAUCAAUAAGGAAUAAUUUAUGUCAACAAUCUCCCCCUUUUUGAUGAUGACAAACUUUUCAAGAAAAUAUUUGUGCAAUUUUGCUCCCCCUAAAUAUGUGCUCCCCCUAAGUGAAAUUUUGAAAGACUUGUUAACUCCCUUAAAAAAAAUAUUCAACUGUUAAUCUCAAAAUUUUAAACACGAAAUUUAUGCCAGUAAACUCAUGCAUGCCAAUACUAUUUUGCCAAAACCAAUUUCGCAUUUUGCCAAUUGCCAAUUUCUCUCCCCCUUCAUCAUCAAAAAGAAAGAGACGCGAUGAAUGACUUAUGUUUGGAGAAAUUUGGGCAGAGUCUCCCCUGAAAUAUGAGCAUUUCCUCAACAACACACUAAGUUUAAAAAGAGAAACACUUCCAUAUAAAUAUACCACCAUAUCAACCAACCUCCAUACCAACAAAUUCACACUUCCAGAAAGAGCAAUAUAAUCAAUAUAAUACCAAAAACAACUUGAGCAUAAAUCAAGAGCACAUGUCCAACAUGAGAUAUCAGAAGCAUAAACACAAAAUAAAUAACAUCAUAUGCAUAAGGCAAAUAACAUGAAAUGAGAAAUGUCUGUGCGAAUAUCAUAGGGACAGAGAAAACUAAGAUGGAGGCUGUGAAGACGAACUGCCGGGGUCAUAUCCAAGGUGGCCGAGAAUGCGACGCUGUCCUGCAAUUAACUCCAUCUGCUGAUCAGAAAUUUGCUCCCGAAAGGUUGCAAAAUCAGAUCGAAGCUGCUACUGCUGCUGGGACAGGGCAUCUACUCGGUCGAGAAGCUGCUGGAAGCGAUCCUCAGGAACAGCUGAUGCCGCAGGAGGGACGGCAGUCUCGGUAGGCUCGUCAUCCUGAGAUGCAUCUGCUGCUGGUGAAACAGGAGCUGCUGGUGCUGCUGCUCGGCGAGGAACACGCGGUCUAGCCCCAAGACGGAAAUCAGGCAGCUCAUCCUCGGAGUAGACAUCAUUCAGCAUGCGAUCAUCCUCGGGUGCAAUCAGUGUGGCUUCGUUUUUGGAGGAUGUGGUCUUUUCCCAUUUCCCACGCUUCUUAAAGAAACCAAUGGCAGAAAUAAUGUCUCGACCGAGCUUACGAGUUUCGAGAAAAACAGGCUCGACGAUAGGAACAUGAAAGUGGUUCAGGAUCCUAGUGAUGAUGCUGCCAUAAGGAAGGGAUCGGUUGGAGACUUUAGGAGUGGACAGCAUAUGACACAUAAUAGUGUAGGAUAGGCUCACAUGGCGUCUACGGAUGAGAGAGUCUAAAAGACCAAUAUCAAGCCUAGUGACCUCAUCAGUGUGCCCCUGUCUAGGAGUGACCAUGUGUUGGAGAAUAAUGUGAAGUAUUCGAAUCUGAAAAGGGAGGAGUUGAGACCUAAAGGACAAAGAGCAGAUGUCAUCGGAAAGAUCCCGACGACGACAAAUGUUCCGUACACCAUCCACAUGACGAAAAUUACUGAACUCUAGUUCUUUCCUAGAGGUGUACAGAUCUAAUCCUCCAUAAGCGAUUCCUAGAAUACUACAUAAUUCGGGUUCAUCAAGCUCAAUACGAAUACCUCCUACAAAUGUAUGAAGCUCGUCACGACUAGAAGAGGAGAAAUCUAUGUUUGAAUAAAAGACUCGAACAAGAUUUUCAUAAAUAGGUUCAUCAACACUUAAAGCUUGAUUCCAAUGACUAAGCAUUUGAGUAAUUGAGUGACCACAAACAGAAAUAUCCGAGAACUCCGAAAUGUUAAGAGAAAAAGAGGGAGUUACGGGUUUACCCAUAAACUUCUCACGGAAUCGCUGAGCAGAGGUAGCAUCGGGAAAAUGAAGACUUUCGAAGUCUUGAGGAGGAGACCUGGGUGGACUGGAACGGCGUGAAGCAGUGUGCUUGGUUCGAACACGCCUUGGAGGUCGUUCCGCCAUGGAUGAGAAAAAUUGUGAAAAUGAAGUUUUAGAGAUGAGAUAGUGAUUUGUGGGUGAAAAUGUGGUUGGAAAGACGAAGAAAUUUGGGUCAAAGUGAACGAAUGAGAGUCGGCUGGUUCUAGGGUUUCAAGAUGAGAUUUUUCAAAAUUUGAAGAAAAAAAAAAAAGGAAUUUGAAUCGGUUAAAAGGUGUUAGAGAUGAUAGAAAUGGUUUGUAAUGCUUCAAUUUGGUGAAAAAAAUGACAAGAAAAGUGAUGGAUUUGAGAGGAGAGAACUGGUGCAGUCGCGGGUUGAAGUGAGAGAGAGAGAGAAAGAGAAGCCGAAAUGAGGAGGAAGACGAAGGACUGUUCAAUUAACGCGUGAUAACGGCGAGCCGUUAUAAAGAAAACGGCGAGCCGACAGAGUCCAGAGAGUCCUCAAAACAAAUUCAUAAAAACGGCGAGCCGCUUAUAUCAAUAACGGUGAGCCGAUAGGGUCCAGAGAGUCCACACAAGAAAAAUGUAACAGGACGGCGAGCCGAUAGACAGAUAUCGGCGAACCGAUAGCUUCCAGAAAGCGUUCCAUUGUUUCUGCCCAAAACGGUUAGCCGUUUAUUUAAAUAACGGCGAUCCGUUUUCUACAACCUAUGAUUUCGCACAUGUAUUUUGAUAUUUGGCUACUUAUUAAUACAUUUCAAGAUCAUUUUAUUGAUCCAAAAUGAUUUGAGUGCCAUUUCAAUGCAUAAUUCAUGAAUAUAUAUAUAUGUAUUGCAAUAAUUAAUUCAUACAUUUUCAAAUAUACAUACACAUUACAUGCAUAUUACGAUUGAGCAUUCCAUAGAAAUUAAAGCAUCAAGUCAUAGAUCAAUCAAUAAUAAUAGACUCAAUAGCAUGAAUGAAGAUGUUAAUGUGAAAAUUUCAUCAUCCCAAGUUCAUGCCGAAUUUUGGAAAAUUGUUCUUCGCAAAGAGGUUUUGUAAAAAUAUCGGCAAGUUGUUUUUCCGUAGAAAUAAACUCUAGUGCAAUGUCUCUCUUUUGAACAUGAUCUCUCAAGAAAUGAUGUCUUAUUUCUAUAUGCUUGGUUCGAGAGUGUUGAAUGGGAUUCUUUGAAAGAUUAAUAGCACUAGUAUUAUCACACUUAAUAGGAAUUUGUUCAAGAUUAAUGCCAUAAUCUCUAAGUGUUUGUUUCAUCCAAAGAGCUUGUGCACAACAACUUCCGGCAACUAUAUAUUCAGCCUCGGUAGUUGAAAGUGCGACAGAAUUUUGUUUCUUGCUAAACUAUGAAACAAGAGAGUGUCCUAGAAUAUAGCAAGUUCCACUAGUGCUCUUCCUAUCCACUUUAUAACCAGCAAAAUCCGCAUCCGAAAAACAUGUUAAAUCUAUAUGAGUUCCCCUAGGAUACCAAAGGCCAAUAUCUAUGGUUCCACUCAAAUAACGGAAAAUUCUUUUAACAGCGAGCAAAUGAGAUUCCUUGGGACAUGACUGAAAUCUUGCACACAAACAUACACUAAACAUGAUAUCGGGUCUACUUGCAGUCAAAUAAAGUAGGGAUCCGAUCAUACCUCGAUACAUUUUGAUGUCCACUUCUUUACCUUUUUCAUCUUUGUCCAGCUUGGUUGUUGUGCUCAUUGGUGUAUUUUUGGUCUUUGAGUCAUUAAUGCCGAAUCGUUUGAGUAGAUCUUUUACGUACUUGGCUUGAUUUAUGAAGAUUCCUUCCUCGUUUUGUUUGAUUUGAAGUCCAAGGAAGUACUUCAACUCUCCCAUCAUACUCAUCUCAAAUUCUUUGCUCAUACACGAUGAAAAUUCUUUACACAACAACUCAUUAGUAGAACCAAAAAUAAUAUCAUCAACAUAAAUUUGAACAAUAAGUAUGUCUUGGUUCUUAUGCUUAACAAAUAGAGUAGUAUCCGCUUUACCCAUUGAAAAGUCAUUUUCCAACAGAAAAUUCUUAAGUCUAUCAUACCAUGCUCUAGGUGCUUGUUUUAAACCAUACAAAGCUUUAAGCAACUUAUAAACAUGAUUUGGAAAUUUUUCAUUUUCAAAACCAGGGGGUUGUUUUACAUACACUUCUUCCAUAAUAUGCCCAUUUAGGAAAGCACUUUUCACAUCCAUUUGAAAUAAAAUAAAAUCUUUAUGACAUGCAUAUGCUAAUAACAUCCUAAUGGAUUCUAACCUUGCUACAGGAGCAAAGGUUUCAUCAAAAUCAAUUCCUUCUUCUUGGUUGUAGCCUUGAGCCACUAAUCUAGCUUUAUUUCUUACAAUCACACCGGAUUCAUCCAUCUUAUUCCUAAACACCCAUUUAGUACCUAUUACAGAUUGAUAUUCAGGUUUAGGAACUAAUUCCCACACAUUGUUUCUUUCAAAUUGAUUUCACUCCUCUUGCAUUGCCAUAAUCCAAGAUUCAUCAUUUUCUGCAUCCUCAAAGGAUUUUGGUUCAAUUUGAGAGAUGAAUGCAUUAUGCUCACAAGUAUUUCUAAGUGAUGAUCUAGUUGUAAUACCUCGUGAGGGAUCUCCUAAAAUUACAUCUUUAGGGUGAGAAGAGACAUACCUCCACUCCUUGGGGAGUGUUUGAGAAGUACCUUUAUUUUGCUCUGCAUUUAGUUCUUCAUGAUGUUCCUCUUGAAUUUCAUGUGGUGCAUCCUCUUGUUUGUCAUUUGAUGCUUCUUCUUCUUGUUCUUCUUCUCCUGCAUCAUCAUCAACAACGACUUUCUCCGUAGAGGAGGGGUUAGACUCAUCAAAUGUCACAUGCAUAGAUUCUUCCACAACUAAGGUUCUUUUGUUAUAGACUCUAUAAGCUUUACUAGAAUUUGAAUAACCAAGAAAAAUACCAACAUCGGAUUUUGGAUCAAAUUUACCAAGAUUGUCUUUUGUGUUCAAAACAAAACAUUUGCAUCCAAAAACUUUAAAAUAUCCAAUGUUGGGUUUUCUAUCUUUCCAAAGCUCAUAAGGAGUUUUGUUAAGAUUAGGUCUAAUCAACACCCGAUUUAAAACAUAACAAGCGGUGUUGACGGCUUCGGCCCAAAAAUAUUUUGGUAAUGCAUUUUCAUUUAAUAUGGUCCUAGCCAUUUCUUGAAUAGACCUAUUCUUUCUCUCAACAACUCCAUUUUGUUGUGGAGUUCUAGGUGAUGAAAAUUGAUGCUCAAUGCCUAGAUUAUUGCAAAAACUCUCAAAUGCAUGAUUUUCAAAUUCUCCUCCAUGAUCACUCCUAAUGCAUACAAUACCAUGCCCUUUUUCAUUUUGUAAUUUCUUACAAAGCACUUUAAAAGCAUCAAGAGCAUCAUCCUUAUUGGCUAAGAAUAAUACCCAUGUAUAUAUAGAAUAAUCAUCCACUAUCACAAAUGCAUAAUAUUUGCCAUUUAGACUUGCAUAUCUAGAUGGCCCAAAAAGAUCUAUGUGAAGAAGUUCAAGUGGUUUUGAAGUAGAAAUAUGGUUUUUAUUCUUGAAAGAAGUUUUAAUUUGUUUUCCAAAUUGACAAGCUUCACAAAUCUUAUCCUUUUGAAAACCAAUUUUCGGAAGACCUUUAACUAAAUUAUCUUUCAAAAUUUUUGAAAUCAAAUCCAUACUUGCAUGUCCUAACCUUCUAUGCCAUAACCAACAAUCAUCAUGCAAUGCCGAAAAACAUUUAUCAAGAGUAGAUGCACAUUCUAUGUCAAUGAUAUAAACAUUACCACAUCUAUUUCCAACAAAUAAGGUUUUGCCAUCACAUGAGUUCUCAAUAACACAACUAAAUUUAUCAAAGAUAACUUUAUAACCUUUGUCACAUAAUUGACUAAUGCUAAUUAAGUUGUGUUUCAAGUUUUCAACCAAACAUACAUUCUCAAUUAGAGUUGAAGAAACUUUACCAACAUUUCCAAUUCCAAGGAUUUUUCCUUUUGAGUUGUCUCCAAAGGAUACGUCUCCACCAUUUUCAAUUUUGGUAAAGCUUGAGAACCAUGCAUAGUUUCCGGUCAUGUGCCUUGAACAACCGCUGUCCAAGUACCAUUUAUUCUUCUUCUUCUUCAAGCCCUACAAGAAAAAGUCUCAAGUUUUAGGUACCCAAAGCUUUUUGGGUCCUUGAGAGUUAGCAACUGUUCCUUUUGGAACCCAAAUGCACUUGACACCAUAAUAUGCAUUCCUUUUCACGGGACAUCUAAAUUUCAUGUGACCAUUUUGAUUACAAUAAUGACAUACAAUCUUAUGAUCAUUUGUGGAGGUAGCUUUAACAAAAUAAUUCUUAUAAUACUUUUGCUUCAAGUUUGGCUUAUAUCCAAGUCCUCCUUUAUCAAAAACACAUUUUUGUGAGUUAAGCAUAUUAUCCAACAUCUUUUGCCCAUUUGUAAAUUUCAAAACAAUUUCAUUUAAUUCAUUAUUCUUUUUCUUGAGCAAUUCGUUCUCAUUUUUCAACUCAUCUAUGUGUGAUUUCAAAUGCUCAUGUAAGAUGCUAGGUUUUUCAUUUGAUAAUGCAAUUUCAUCAUGCAAUGUUUUGUUUCCUACUUCUAGGCAUACAAUUCUUGCAUUUAGAGAUUCAUUUUCAUUUUUAAGCUUUGCCAUUUCCUUUUUAAGACAUACAUUCUUUUUACCAAUUUUCAUCAACUCAUUAUGCAAAUCUUGAAAAGCAUCAUAUAAUUCAUCAUAGGUAGGAUCACUUACCUCAUUGAGAUCAUCAUCCCCUCCUAUAGCCAUGAGUGCUAGGUUUGAUACUUCUUGCGAUCCUUCUUCAUCAUUUGUUCUUCCUCACUAUCAUCCCAAGUUGCAACCAUUGCUUUCUUCUUGAGUUUGUUGAUGAGUGGGCACUCCGAUCUUAUAUGUCCAGGCUUCUUGCAUUCAUAGCAAGUGAUUGCCUCCUUCUUCUCCCUAUAGUUCUUGAAGUUUCUGAAAUUUCUUCGCUCUCCGGUUUUCUUGAAGAAUUUUUUGAACCUCCUUGCUAGCAUGGCUAGUUCUUCAUCAUCCGGUUCACUCUCCUCAUCACUCUCAUAUUUUGAAGCUUUGAGAGCAAUGCUUUUCUUCUUCUCCUCAUGUCCUUUUUCUGCAGCUAAAUCCUCUUCAUACGAAAUAAGAGAACCAAUUAAAUCAUCAAGAGGUAAAGUAUUUAAAUCUUUGGCCUCUUCAAUAGCGGUUCUUUUAGGUCUCCAUUCUUUUGGAAGUGACCUAAUGAUUUUCUUAACUUUCUCACUAUUUGAGAAGGUUUUCCCUAAGGCACCUAGGGUGUUCACUAUGUCCGUGAAUCUAGUGUACAUAGAAUACACAUUUUCAUUUUGUUCCAUUUGGAACAACUCAUAUUGGCGAGUGUAUCUACUGAUUUUAGACUCUUUCACUUGAUUUGUCCCUUCAUAGACAACUUCAAGUUUGUGCCAUAUCUCUUGUGCACUUUCACAACUAGAUACUCUAUGGAAUUCUUUCUUAUCAAGGGCACAAAACAAAGCAUUCAUAGCCUUGGAGUUUAGAGACAUCUUUCUCUUUUCUAACUCACUCCAUUGACUCGAUGGUUUAGGAAUAUCAUCUCCUAUUUCAUCUUUGAACAUAGGCAUGAAUGGACCAUCACAAACAACUUCCCAAAUUUCAUAAUCUAAGGCUUGCAAAUAGAUUCUCAUUCUAGUUUUCCAAUAAGCAUAAUCAUUACCAUAAAAAAAUGGUGGUCUAGUUGUGGAUUGCCCUUCUCUAAAGGUUGAGUCAUUUAGGGUUGCCAUGGAUCUUUUACUCUAGACGAUUAAGUCUUAACAAGAGAACAAGGCUCUGAUACCAAUUGAAAUACAAGUAUGCAACCCAAGAGGGGGGGGGGUGAAUUGGGAUUCUAAAAAAUUAUUCAAUUUAUUAAAGAAAAUCUUAAUGCAAUUAUAAAUCAAAUUCAAAGCAAUAACAAUUAAGAUGAUCACAAUUUAAAAAGAUAAGGGAAGAGGGAUUCGAACACCGAGAUUUUUACGUGGUUCGGCCAACCUCGCCUACGUCCACGCCUCCAAGCUUUCCGGGCUUGAGGAUUCCACUAAGCAAGCCUCCAAGGCUUCAAAUGCUUACACUUGACUUCCAAGGUGUCAAUGGACCUUUACAACAAGAGAUUAUCCCCAAUCUCUUAACCCAAGUGUAUCCCAACACUUACAAUUACUCAAAGUAAAAGAUUACAAAUUGUUUUUCUCUCACACAAUAUUUAAGAUUACAAAUCAAUGCCCAAUUUGUGAAUAGAUGAAGAGAGAAUGUGUUUUAAGCUCUAUGAAGAUUGUAUUCUCAAAUAUUUGCUCAAUGGUCGUGUUGUGUUCAAUCUUUGUUUGAAUUUGAAUGAGCUUAUUUAUAGAUGCAGCUGAAAACUAGCCGUUAUUGACUUUCUGCACACUGUCGGAUCACUGUUAGCUAGCUGUCGGAUCGCCGUUUGACUGGUCAAUAUGACCGUUGGGCUGAUUUUUCAAAUUGUCGGAUCGCCGUUAUCUAGAUGUCGGAUCGCCGUUUAGGUCCAGAGGCUACUGGUUGAUAUCGGCGAGCCGUUUAUCACACAUGUCGGUUCGCCGUUAAUGUCCAGAGACUACCCUUCAGUUCUGGUUGAUAUCGGCGAGCCGUUUUAUCAACAUAUCGGAUCGCCGUUUAGGUCCAGAGGCUACUGGUUGAUAUCGGCGAGCCGUUUAUCACAAAUGUCGGUGUGCCGUUUUCGUCCAGAGGCUAAUCUCCAUUUCUGCUUGAAAUCGGCGAGCCGUUUACUACAGAUGUCGGAUCGCCGUUUUCCACAAAAACUGCUGCAGUGAACUAUUUUGCAAGAUGACUGUUUUGUCUCCAAAUCUUUAUAAAAAUACUUUAUGAAACUUGUCAAAAUAGAUGAAAAUUAUGUUGAGCUUUUAAAACAAUUAAUCAAUCUUAAUCAUGUUUGUUAUCAUCAAAAUCAAUAAGGAAUAAUUUAUGUCAACAAUUAGUGGACUAAAAAACGCGCAUACGGUACAUGCAACACAUGCGAUUAUUUUACUAGACCUGCGUUCACCAAAAACAGAUCAGAGACGCCGGUGGUUUUGCCGGCGUAAACCCUCCGAUGCCUAAGUUAGCACAAGGUGUUUACGGGAAAACAGUACAAUUUGGAUUCAAGAAGUUUGUUCGAAAUUUGUAAGAAAAUGGCCUGGUUGCAAUUUGGCAGCGUUUUCCCCUCUUUUCCUUUUCCCUUUCUUCAUCCAUUUCUUCUUCUUUUAUAGCCAUUGUCCCACGUUUUCGUUUACCUUUCAUCCCUCCUUUUUUGGGUAGUGGCGGCCCCUCAUGGGACUCUAACUGCUACAUUAUGGGCAAACGCAAGGCCCCGCGUUUCCCGUAACGGUUCUGGGAAAAGCGCAACUACCGUGAUUCUGUGGGAUCGUGUUCCCGCUUUUUUGGGAGAUGGGUGUUGGCUCGGCAUAUAACCCUGGUCGGUGUAUUUCUCCGGUUGGCACUCGUCUCUGGUCGGCUCGUGUUUGUCCCCGCAUUCUGUUCGUACCACUUGGCUGAGGUGAUUUUAUGAUUAAAAUAAAAAAUACAAACAUUUAAAUAAGAAUGUCCGACACUUGCACAACUAUUUACCAAAUUUUUUCUCUAUAAAAAUCGACCUGCAACUUUCAAUAGGUUUAAAUUUAUAAUAUUAAACUUGAUUGCAGCUCGCAAAAAUUAUCUGUUGCGGCCAAGACUUUGGAUUUGCGAUGAUUUUGCCACCCUAAGUGUAGUUAGUAUUGUAUAUCAUGUGGCUCUUAGAAAAAGCCUAGAAGUUGUUUGAAUAACGGGGGAGACACAUAUCUCCCAAAGAUUUUCUCUUUUUCAAAUUAUUAUUUUUUCUCUAUUAUUGUAACUUCGAAUCCUUAUAAAUUACAGAUUGGAGACAUGAACACAAUGUUUUGACAUAGUGGACUUUUGGCUUGUCCAGAGAAAUUUAGGAUAGAUUUUUACGCACUAAGGCUCUAUUUACUAUUGAGGUUUUAGAACUUUUAAGCCACACUAGAAAUUUGUAUUGUUUUGAUAGAGUUGUAGUCUUUGAUAUGUGAUUGGUAUUAAUCAAGUGUUAUGUUUACAAUAGUUAAAGGCAUAUUGAAUCAAAAUCCACUUCUAAGGGCUUGAUUGAGUGAUUGUAAAGUAGGUUUUUAGUUUGCUAGCCACUCAAGUUCAAAUAUUGGAACCACAGAGCUUUAUAGCCAAGUGAGAGAACUUGUGCCCUAAAAAUUGAGGGGUGCAUAUCGAGUUUUACCACCAAUAAAUGUUGGUGUUAAAACUUUAAUUUCUCUCCUAUCGAUGGAUAAGGGUGAUUAGGAGUUUACAUUCCCUCCUAUUAAUAGACAGGGGUUAUUAGGAAUAUUAAAAAAAAGUUCAAAUAUUGAAAAUAUAGGUAUGGGUUAUAAAAUUCAUAAUAUAAAGACACAAAAUCAAGAUAAAGAUUUAAAAAUUUAGAACCAUGAGAGCGUGACUUGUAAGUUUCAAAGAAGCAUGUGCAAAUAUAUGCAUUAUCGAUGCCUAAUUAAGGGUGGACAUUAAGAUCGGGUUAACCCGAACCGAACCGAACUUAAAAUGUAUUUUGGAUUCAAUUUGGUUAUGGUUGAAGCUUUCAACUGAGUUCAAAACUUAAAAAUGAUUGAGUUGUAUUUCUGUUCGAAUUUAACCCCAAAAGACAACUAACCCUAACUAAAAUGUUCGACCGCGGCCUCCUCGUUUUCUUUUCUUCUUCCUCCUCUCGCUCACCCCUAAUGCCCUUCAUGGAAAUCCAACAGCUCCAAACGCGUUUCGGCCGCUCGCACGUGUGAGAAAUUUUCGUUCUCAUAGGAUUAUUCGUUUCCUUCGCCUGCAUGCCAGCAGAAUAUUCAGGCCGAGGAUUUUUCCGGGCCUAGCCCAACUAUAAGCUCUCCCAAAACCCAAUCAUAAGUUCAUAACCGUUUAGCGUUUGCUAUUAUUAUAAUUUUUUUAACCAAUUUUCACAUUCAUCAACAUAGGCUGACAGAUUUUGUAGAAAAUAAAAUUAAAUAAAAAUACGAGCUCACGAAAUUCCUUUUCCGAUGUGGGAAUCUAUCUACACCUUUCACGUGCUUUUUUUUUGGUGUGUGUUGGGGGGGAGGGGGGGGGGGGGUGUAAUUCACUUGCUUUUGUUUGCAUUGCCUUAAUGGAUAAAAGUUUGUAGAACAUCGUCUGUUUGGUUAAAGCCGAGCAUGAGUGAAGAAAAAUUAGAAAUAAAUAAUUUCCCAUAAAUUUGCAACAAGUAUUAAUAAAGUGCAUGAAAAAAGACACCAAGAUAUGCCUUUUUUUAAAUGAAAAUAAAUGUGUUAAUUAGUCUAUUUAAAUGGUAUGAUAUUUUGAAAUGAUAGAAGUGAUCUAAAGUUUAAAUCUUUACUCACACUUAAUUUACGGUUGGCGAUUAAUUGACGUAAUAUAUAAUAACGAAUUCGAAAGACAAUUAAAAAUUAAAAGAGAAUAAAAAAGUGCUUUCUUUUUUAUGAUGGUAAUUUGUUUAGAUGAUGAAAACUCUUAGAGUUGUAUUAUCAAUACAUAGUUUCAAGGGUUGGCAAUGUGAAUAAUAUUUAAUUUCCUUUAUAUAGUUAUAUCUUAACUAUCAUUUAAACAGAAGUAAGUUGUAAAAAAAAUGAACCAUUGAGAUUUGAGAGAAUAAAAAACUAAAAAAAAAAAGUUAAAAAAUUAGAUUUCAAUAAAUUUACUUGAGAACUACUUUACUGAUUAAUGAAGAGAAAAUACAAAGAAUAAUGAUGUAUCUCAAUUAAUCAGAUAAAUUUUGUAUUUUUUGUUUAUUCCAGAAUCACGAAACUUCAUUUAAACUUGUUAUUUCAUUGAUAAUAUAUUAAUAUUAAACAAUUAAUGUAGGAGACAUUUUUUUCCAAUUAUGCCCAUAUAUUAAUUAAAGACCACCAAAAAGUUCAGGGAUACUAUAGUAAUUUAAGUCAAUAAUUUCUGUGCUUGAAAUCAGCCAAUCAAACUCAUUUUAGAAUAAACUGAGAAAUCAAAAUCACAUUCUCCGAUUCUACGAUUUCAAUUCAUCUUAUUUCUUCAACUGAAAAAUUGGUUGUAUUUCGUUUUAUUUUUUUUUUAUUUUUAUAUAAAGAUAAAUAUAAAAUAUAAAUGACGAGGAUACUGUAAAAAUAAAAUCAAAAGAAGAGCACAAAUUUUAUUGAAAAUGACUCUUUUCAUCAUUUUGCCGGAGUGAAUGUAUCUACAUAUAAACUAAAGAAGCACAUUUGUUUGUAUUAGUUUUUUUAUUAUAUUUUUAAUAAUAAGUCAUUUGUCACUGAACUUAUAUCAAUUUUUACGAAAAUAAUAGGUGUUAGUUAGUUUAUUCAAAUGGCUAAACCUCUUGGGAUAGAGCUUGUAAUUUAGUGGCUCAUGAAUUGUCUAAAAUAAUAUAGUAAUUUAAACUAACAGUUUCUGUGCUUCAAAUCAUCAAAUCAAACUCACACCUCAGAAAAGCAGAGAAAUCAAACUCAUGGUUUCCGACUCUACGCUUUAAAUUCAGCUUCAUUUCUUCAACUGAAGAAUCGGUCGUCUCUCAUUUUUUAUUUAUUAUAUAAAGAUAAAUAUAUAAAUUUAAAUGGCGAGAAGAGCGGACGAGGAAUACGAUUACUUGUUCAAAGUGGUAUUAAUCGGCGAUUCGGGAGUCGGCAAAUCGAACUUACUCUCCCGAUUUACUCGUAACGAGUUCUGUUUGGAGUCCAAAUCCACUAUUGGCGUCGAAUUCGCCACCCGCACUCUUCAAGUAACUAACUUUUCCUCUUUCACUUCUCUUCAUUUUUAUUAGUUAAUUAAGAUCCAGUUAAUGUAAUUAAUUUUAUUUAAUCUUUUAAAUAAAGUUCUAGAUUAGGCUAACUUAGAUUCAUGUGAAGUUGAAGUGAUUUACUUUCGAUCUCUUUUUGGUCCUAUGUUUAUUUGUACUUACUAUUACUUUUUUUUGGGUUUAAAUUUUCGUUUUUGAAGUGUUUACUGAAUAAAUUUCUGAGCUUUAUUUGUGUAUGCUGAUUGAUUUGUGAUUUUAAUUUUGUGACUUUUUUUUUGGAAUUUAAAUUUGAAUGCUUUUUAAGUUGAAUCUGAAUGUGUUGGGCUGCGAUUUAAUUAAGUCAUCUGUGAGUGCCAAAUUGUGAUAGCUAUAUAUUGGGGUGAAAAUUUGGGAUUUAAAGUUAUGUAUUUAAGAUGCAGUUAAUUCGCAAGUGAAAAUUAUGGGCCGGCAGGUUUUGUCAUUGGAAGACUGUUCUCCACAUGUUGAAGUUAGUGAUGCAAGUUGAAACCAAUCUGUUUAAGCUUGGGGUUUCAUGUCUUGAAUCAAGGCUGUGACUUGGGGUGGGUUGAAAGUAUUAUAGCUUUAGCUAUUCCUGAAGUAAUCUGUUUAGACUCACCGUGAUGAGACCGAGUGCUGUACAGCAAAAUGAAAGGAAGUUGGAAAAUAUUUACUUAGCAUUUCGUGUUACUAAUGUUGAACUAAUAAAACCUAGCCCCUAUUCUAGUGAAUUUAUGUUAAAAAGCUAUGCACGCAUUAAGUUAGUGCGAGAGUCUGCUGAAGCAUAUGUCAGCUGUGUGUUUGGCGCUGAGUAUUCUUCAUUCCACAUUUUGGGUUUUGGUUGACCUCCAGCAUGGCUCAACCCACUUGAGUUAAAAGCCCUAGAGUUACAUUCUACCCAUGAUAUUUGAGUUUAUCAGGUCACCUUAUUUUAAUACUUCUCUGGAAAACAAAUAUAUAUGUUAAAUCAGGUAGGAAAAAUAAAAAGUUAAUUAUUGAGUUGUAAUGGUGCAACUAAGGUUUUGAAACAUUAAGAUCUUUAGCCAUUAUGUUACUAUCCCGUAGUUAUUUAAGUUACAAGAGAUAGUAAAAACUAACAUCAUAUUUUAAUUACUUACACUAAUCCUACAAGUGCUGAUGGUCUAAAGUUGCUGCUGCUUGCACCGAAUCAGUGGUCAUGGGCCAGCCAAGGUUAGGUGAGCCAACUCAUUAGCUUGUGAAACUUAAAGAAGUCUUAGGUUUGGAAAAGAUGGGGCACAGGUUACAAAAAUUUUUUGAGUUUUGGAUUGAAGGAACAAAAUUGUUGAUGUCUAGCUCACAAUAUUUGAAGUCACUCUGUGCUUCAUCGUGUAAAAUGGAUUGAAUUGCUGUAAGAUCAGGUCAAAUUAAAAUGUUUAAACUCAUUUUUAAGAAACGAAUUCUCAAUUGGACCAGCCUUUCACAGAAGCUGAUAUCGCAGAAGCUUUGAGUCAGAUGCAUCCAACCAAAGCCCCUGGCCCAGAUGGUCUCCCAGCAGUAUUUUUCCAAAAUCUUUAGAAUUCAGUAAGCGAAGGAGUUAUAGCCACUUGUCUGCAUAUCCUCAAUGAUGGAGGUAAUAUUGCUCCUUUGAAUCAUACAUACAUUGCUUUAAUCCCCAAGAUAGCAAAACCUAGGACUCUGAUGGAGUAUAGACCAAUCAGCAUAUGUAAUGUAAUUUAUAGGAUCAUUGCAAAGACUAUAGCGAAUAGGCUGAAGCUAAUCUUAGAUCAUGUUAUUUUGCCAACUCAGAGUGCUUUUAUGCCAAAUAGGCUCAUAACUGAUAAUAUAAUUAUUGGGCAUGAGUGUCUUCAUAAGUGGACAAAGCUAAGUUCCAGAGGUGAGAUAGGAAAUUCUCCCGCACGACACAGCAGAAACAAACUUUCCCUUUCAUUUUCUUUUCUCUUUCUCGCUCUCCAAACAGAGCAAAAGGACCGUCGCAAGAUUCUUCACUUCCAUCCAAAAUCAUGAGCAACGAAUAGUGAGCCUCCCUGUUUCCUUCCUUUUUUUGAUAUUAACAUUGUUAACAUAUACUCAUUUUAUUUUGACAAUACUUCAACUUUUUUUAUUUUUUUGCCUUUUCAUUUUUUUUGUUGAAGCAAUUAUCUGUUCAAGCUGUUGCUAAUCGGAGACUCGUCCGUCGGAAAGUCCUGCCUGCUGCCCCGAUUUGCUGUCUGUUGACUUUUCCUUUCCCUUCUUAUUUUCUUUUUUUAUAUUAAUUACUUUCUAUUUUAGCUUUUUGUUCUCUGAAUUUGUGUUAUUAAAAUGAUAAUUUAGAUGAUAAAUAAUUGUUAUUCUUGUAAAUUUCGGUUUUCAUUACAUUAAUUGUUAGUUUUUAGGUUUAUUAAUGUAAUUUUUUUUUUCAAUUUUUCAGGAUGAUUCUUAUGUCACAGCUACAUCAGUACCAUUGGAGUUGAUUUUGUGAGCCUCUCUUCUAUAUAUAUGUAUAUAUGUGUAUAAGUUAUAAUAUGAGUCUAUGUACGUGUAUGUAUGUAUGUGUAUGUAUAUGUGGAAAGAAAUUUGGCAGACUUCAGCAUUUUACUCUCUUUUUUUUUUUUUUUGGCAGAAAAUAAGAACUGUGGAGCUGGAUGGGAAGACGAUCAAACUGCAGAUUGUGAGUCAAAAUUUCCUUUUAUCUUGUAUUGAGAGAAAUUCGAUUUGUCUUAUUUAGUGAAGGUUAUGCUCAAGAACCUUGUCUUAUUUUCUUUGUUUGAAGAGUGAUAUGUUGAAAUGAGUGUAUUUGUCUUAUAAACAUCAUUUAGGUAAUGUCUUAUGUUUGAUUGUUUUUCAUCUGUUUAGUGGGACACUGCUGGACAGGAGCGAUUCAGGACUAUAACUAGCAGUUAUUACCAAGGAGCCCAUGGAAUCAUAGUAAGGAGCCUUCCCGGUUCUUGGUUUAAAUCAGAAAGUUUGUGAUUUACAUGUGACAUCUUAACAGCAUUGUAUGUGUUUAUUAACUUAUUUUUCAUCUUUCAUUAAGCAGUACAUUUUCCAAUAAAUCUGUAUACAAGAUGAUGUAGUCCAAGAAUGGGAGCCAUAAUAUGAUGCAAAUUGUCUAAUAAAUUCUUAUGACAUAUGAUGUUGUCGGAAGUAAAAGUCUUGCAAUGCUGUAUUCUCUUUUAAGAAAGAAUAAGUGGUAAUUUUGUUUUUCCAAUUUUUUAAUUGAGCAACUGUAUGAGAUUUUAAUUAAAUGUGUUGGGAUUUCAACAGAUUGUCUAUGAUGUAACUGGGAUGGAGAGCUUCAAUAAUGUCAAGCAGUGGUUGAAUGAGAUUGACAGAUACGCAAAUGACAGUGUAUGCAAGCUUCUAGUUGGGAACAAAUGCGAUUUAGUUGUGAACAAGGUUGUGGACACACAGACAGCCAAGGUAUAUUCAUGACUUUUGUCGCCUGAACUUUGAAUAUAAUUUUAAACUCUUCUCAAGUGCAUUUGCUUGGUAAGUUUCUGCAUACCCAGGACACUCAAACUUUAGACAGUCUGUAUCUCGAGUUGGAAUCUUUUCUGUCAAUACGACUUGUUAAAAUAAGGGUUAUUAUCGUUUGAAUCAUUCAAGAAUUGCAAUAAAUCUAAAGUCCAUAAAAAAUAUGAUUCCAUCAUUUUACUAUUAUAUCUAGACAAAACCCAUUAUUUUACUACGUUUCAUUGGCACCGAUAGUUGACCUGUUGGCUGACUGAUAAAAUAUCAAUUUUGCACUUUAUAUUAAUUCUUUUUUGGUUAAAAAAUAACACACAAAGUAUUACAAUAUUAUAAAUUCAAAAUAUAAAGUAGUUACAAAUAAUUCCUACUAACCUAUGAAUAUAAUAUUUGAUACCUCUAUUUGUGUAAUAUUUUUCCAAUGGUGAAAUUGUUAUUUUUUUUGUACUAACGGAAAUGUAGUAAAAUCAUAAGUUUUGUAAAGAUAUAGUAGUAAAAUGAUAGACUAAAAUACUUGUUGUUGUUGUUUGAUAUACUGUAAUUCUUAAAGUAGUCAAUUGAUAAUAUCCCCUAAAAUAAAUGUUCGUAAUAUGUUCUCAUUUUAAUGCAACUGAUUGUUUAAUAAAAUUGUAUUUCUUUGUUAAUCUUUUAUCAUGUGCAUGCUCAGUGAGAAUUUGACUUACUAGAACGCAAGUUUGACUCUUCAUUUAAAUGUCUCUUGUAUCAUAUCCUUCAAUGUUGAGUGUGAUUCCAAUAAAAUUGAGUAGGGAGAUCCUUAAAUACCUUUUCCUUUUUUCCAAGGGCCUGCCAAAUUGCUCUAAGUGGUUCUACCCUUUAUCAAUGAAUAAUGAAAAAAAAAUUUUUAUUAAAGCAUUUUGUUCCUUAAAUGGUGACUAAUAGUACCCCUUUUUUUUGGAGAGGAAAGCCAAACAUGCCCAAAGAGAAUCAUUUACUUUCCUCUAAUGUAUUUUCUAAUUCGUUUUGAGCCUUGAAUGUCUGUUUUGGUGCGUAUUCUCAUUCCAUGUCGAAUCUUAUCCAUAUGGACAACCCCACUUACAAAAAAGUCUAAUGAAUCUAUUGAAGUUCAUAUGAGGUUUGUGCUUUAGAUUUAGACCUCUCUCUCUCUCUCUCUCCACUUACAUGUCUUUCACUUACCUGUUUGCAUGCAUGCCCAUGCACACACUUUCAAGAUAAUACACGGUCACUCGUACUUGUGUUUUGGUUGAAUUUCUGGCUGCUAACCUCUGUAAUUCAGUUUGAAACUUGCCACCCUUAGUGCUUCACUCAAAUGGUUGGUUAGGGUGAGAUCUGUAUCGUUUUCCUGGUCUCUUUCCAAGGUUAUCUAAAGGGAUUUGGCAGUCUGAUUCUUUAGGGAAUAUCAUUGCAUAAGAUAUCUAUUUUUUGUUAAUGAAUAAUUUCUAUUUAACUGGUUAUCUAUAUAAAUUGGUAAAUUUUAACUGCAUAAUUUGCAUGCAAUAAGAUUUUAUAAGAAUCUUGUUUUCAACUCAUGACUUAGACUAAUGUGAUAUGUUGAGCAUUAAGCUACAAGAUCUGCACAUCAAAGUGCUUCACAAUGUUAAGGAGAAAGCAUCUUUUUCUGCUUCUUCAUGUGAUUUAAAGUUUCCAAGGUACUUAUCCAAUAAAAUAUCUUUCAAGACUUUGGAAAUGCUUUUAUGUAUGACUGAGAGAAACUUGUUGGGAUGGUUUUUAGCAACAGACGGAGUUAUGGACUUUGUGUCGACUUGUUAUUGAUUAAGACAGUACAUCGGCUGAUCUAUUGGCAUCAAGCAGCAGAUGCAGAAAUUAUGGGUGGCAUACCAUUGUAUCCAAAUAACAUACUACAUUGAUUUUUCUGACUUUCUGUUGGUCUCCGAGUGAAAUGCAGGCAUUUGCAGAUGAACUGGGGAUUCCUUUCCUGGAGACGAGUGCCAAAGAUGCAAUCAAUGUGGAGCAGGCUUUCUUGACCAUGGCUGGCGAGAUUAAGAUAGAGUAAAAUCACUUAACUCUUUCCUUCUUGCCGACUGUUCUUAUUUAACAAUCACCAUUAUUGCUGGUUAUAUGCAUUGUGAUGAAAAUUCUUCAAUGAGUAACUUUUUACCUAAUGUUUUCUGUUGGAACAAAUUACUCUGGUAGAAAAGCCCUACAGGGUUUGGGAAAUCCCAUGAUGUGAUGAUUGUGAGCAUUUUAGACACCGUGUGUGGGUUUAUUUUGUGACUAUAAAAUGUUAAGAUUGUUUCUAGUUUUGGUUUGUAGUGCAUAAAAGGAUUCAAAAUUUGACAUCUGUCUAAAUCAGAUUAAUAACAUGAUAAUGUACAUAUGCAAGAUGUGAGGAAUUGUUUUAUCUCACCUCUAAACUUUAAGAAAUGGAAACAUUAUUAUUCAAAAUAUUUAACAUUUCCAGAAUUGAUAGUUGUCUAUUUGAGCAGUGACUGGUGGUUAUCAUGAACUGAUGUGCGGUUGUGGUUUCAAAUCUUGGUGAAACCUGUUGUCAUAUGCUGAUUAACAUAGAUAGUCUCUGAAACAAUUUGUUGAUUCACUAAUUAUGAGUUCAAAUUUGAUGCAGAAUGGGCAACCAGCCUACUGCAAACAAAUCUUCUGGAACAGUUCAGAUGAAGGGAUAGCCAAUCCAGCAAAACAGCAACUGCUGUGGUUAGCCGAGCAUCUUAUUUUACUUCUACAUGUUAGCUGACUGAUUGUAGACAGUUUUAACUAUGUUGACUGCAUUAUCUUAUGAAUCUUUUAAUCUGUCAAAUAUUUAUUUCCUGCUUUAAGUUCUUUCCCGUUUAUAACAAAUUUAAUUUCUUGCUCCAUUGCAUUCCAAAUUCCUGUCAAUUUACAAGGGAAAAAGAAAAGAGAGACGAAAUGGGAGAAAAUGGUCAAAUUUGUUAGGGGGAGAGAGCUGUUGAAGUAGUUUUUGUUCUUGUUUAUCGUCGUGACCCUCUUGUCGCUUAUCUACGACCUGGAAGUCCGGUCAUAUCGGAUGGGUAAAGUUACCGAAACGGCACCAUUUUGGGUGAAAUAUCAUAUUUAUGUAACACUUUUGAUAAUAUUUUUAUGCAACAAAAAAAUGUUUGCAGUACCCUUUUCACAUCGGAUGAGAGCAGUCUGGAUUCUGGCAUCACAAGCUAAUGCUUUGAUUUGCUUAGUUUGUUUUUUGUUUCUGAUAUUUUCUCGGCAUCGGGUGGGAUAUUGUUUCUCUUUUUUUUUGUUUGUUAUGGAAUUUGGAGAUAGUGUAAAUGUAUGAAGAUGAAAUUGUUGAGUUGGUUUUGUUAUGGAAUUUGGUUUACUUCACUGACCAUUAAUGCGCAAAACCUCGUAAUGACCCUCAAAAAUCCCGUACAUAAUUAAAGAAUUUCAAUUUUAUAUGUACAUAAAUAAAUAACUCUCAAAUAUAUUAUUUGAUAAUCCCAAAAACAACAAUUCACUCUAAUAAAUCUCGUAGUCAAUACAUGGUCUAUAUUGUAAGUGUUUUCGAGACUAAUUCAAAAAGAAAAUACGAAGGAUAUAUAAUUGACUUUUACUUGUUAUAAAGAAUUCUAAAUAAAUUCUUAUACGCAUCGCAGCUAAUUACAGUCUUGGUACUUCAUUAGGUUUUUGUUAAUUUUCUAUACAGUUGUGCUGUGCAUAAAAGUUUUGUUAAAUGAAAUCGAUAGGUGAGGAUUAAUUAAUCAAUUAAUUAAGAUCCAGUUAAUGUAAUUAAUUUUAUUUGAUUUUUUUAAUUCGAGUUCUAAAUUAAUCAAUUAAUUUAGAUUCAUGUGAAAUUGAAGUGAAUUAGUUUCGAUUUGUUUUUCGUUCUAUGUUUGUCUGUGUUUACUCUUACUUUUUUUUUUGUUUAAAUUUUCGUUUUCUUAUUGUUUAAUUAAAAAAUUCGAAAACCCAUUAAAUACAUGUAAGGACUCACUGACGCCGAACCAUAUUAAUUUAAAUUAAUUUUCAACUGAGAUUAGAAUUUUGAAAUUACAUACACAAGCACGCCCAAUUAAAAAGUAGUAAUUAUAAAAUAUUUCAGUACUCGUUUUACCAUCCAUUUGAGUAUACACAAACACGCCCAAUUUGAAAAAAAAAAGUAGUAAUUAUAAAAUAUUUCAGUCGUCCACUGUUCAAUCACCAAAAACCAAUUUACCAUCCAUUUCAACGCCUAAUUUGAAAAAAGAAAAUACUAAUAAUAAAAUAUUCCAGUCGUCCAUCCUUUCACAAAUCAAAAAUAUCACCAAAAACCAAUUUGUCAUCUAUUUCAACAUAAGGUAUAUGGGUUAACAAGUCCCAAUAUCGUCCUCCAUCCUUUCUGCACUUCUUUUUUAUCAAUGGACAUCUCCAGAUCCGUAAUCGCAAAAGUGAGGAAGGCAGGCCCUUCUCCGGAAAGUAUUUGAGCUUGGGACAAUCACAGAGAUACAAAUGAGUGAGGUUUUGAAGAUCAACAAUUGAAGAAGGUAGGCGUUCCAGAUUUGAAAAAUUAUAAAUGCUCAGAGAUGUUAGAGAGGCAGGAAGAGGAAGCGCGGUCCCUAAUCUUUUGUCCUCUAGUGGAAAUGACACCAUGUCGUCAUCGCAUCUGCUGAUUCUAAGAUGUCGCAGAGAGGAGAAUCUGUGAAAUCCCCGUCCCCGCUCAAUCAUUGACUUCCAAAUCUCCAUAUUACCCCAAAUAUUAAGUGACUGAAGGUUGGUGGGAAGGCCAUCUUCUUCUUCAAGGCUUGCAAGCUCAACUCCUCUUACUAUUGUUAAUUCUUGAAGAGAGCUCAGAUUGUGCAAUCCCUUGGGUAAGGCCUCUAGUCUCUUACAAUCAAAUAUCGUCAGCCUCGUGAGUUUCGCACAAGGCAAUCCCCCUUCGGGAAAGGACUCCAGAUUUCCACACCUCUGUAUACUAAUCUCUCGAAGCUGGUGGAGUUUAUGUAAACCAUUCGGUAAAAUUUUCAGAUUUUCACACUCAGAAAUGUAGAUAUCUUCAAGAGAUGUGUUGUUGUCCAACCUUUCUGCUAUUGACUCCAGCUUUGAACAUCCAUUAACAUGAAGGGACUUAAGAGACGGAGGUAGAUUGCCAACUUCAAGGGACUCGAGCGUGGCAGGUAACUCGUUUUUUGAAAAUAUACAUGUCAGUGACGGACAACUGCUAAUACGCAACUGCUCAACAAGAGAUGAGGUGUACCUUCUGCUGCUGUUGCUGCUACACUGGAUGCCCUCUUCCACUGUCAAAGUCCUUAGAUUAUCACAAUUAUGGAUGUUCAACAUCUUAAGGCUCCGUGGUAGCUGGACAGCAGCAAUAUAUGUCAACGAACGACAAUCCUGAAUAGACAAGAUCUCGAGAGACGAAUUGGUGUCGCACAUCCAUGCCUCUGGUAACGAUUUCAGUGCAUCACAAUGCCUAAUCUGAAUUUUCUUCAACUUGGAAGGCAGAGCAACCUUAGGAAAGGAAACAAGGGAACUGCACUUGCAGAUUUCUAUCUCUCUCAAGGAACUGAGGCUGAACGAUGAUUGUGGCAGCUUCACAAGGCCUUCGCAAUUACUCAAUCUUAGAUAUUCAAGUCUGCAUGACAACUGGCAGAGCUGCUGUUGUUGGUCUUUCUCUUCCUCCGCGACCAAGGAUUGAAGUUUGGGACAACUUGUAAUCGUCAGACUUUUGAGAGAGCAAAUGUCUUGCAGUAAUUCGUUAUGGCUCUUCCAUAUACAUGUUUCAUUUUGAAUAUUAUUUAUCUCCAAUUCUUCCAGUUUUGGUAUUCGCGGCUUCAAUGGCCCUGCGAGAAACACUUGAUUUGAUGUAUCUCUACAAACCACUGAAUUCUGUGAGCCGAGAUGAUCAGUUGUACUUCUCCACACAACCUUUUUACAUCCACGAAUUACCAAUUUGCAAAGAGCUGGAUGACUCGCAAUUGAAAUUGACAAUUCUUCACAUUCUCCAAUAACAAGCAUCUCCAAUGCAGGAAGGCAUUCUGGCAAUGUUCCUCGCAGUUUAGAACAUCUUAAAAUGCGAAGCUCUCUCAAUUUAGGAAACCCUUCAACUCCCUGACUAGAUCUAAGAGGAAUCCAGUCUUCCCAUUCUUGCGUGUCUUCAAAAUAAAGAGUUUCCGAAGAUGGAAAAGGAAUCGGGGAAUCAUUACCAUAGAACUCUGAACCCGAACUCUUUACUCUACUCAUUCCACGCACUGCAAGAUGCUUUAGAGAGGGCAGUUGCCCCACUGACGGCAGGACAGUACACAUGCCACAAACUUCAAAAGUUAAGGUCGCUAAAUUUGAGAAUGAUGAAUCUCCCAUCCGAGUUGGACAUUCUUUACCUCCAUAGCCACUGAUACAAAAUUGUUACAGAUUUUCAUGAGGAUUUAGCAUGUCGACCACAUCCUUUUCAGUUUCUGCCUCCCUUGAAGACAAACCAUUGGUACUCCGUGUCCAUCGGAACCUUAACACUUUAAGAUUCUUCUUUCCAUCCAAUUGAGCCUCCUUCGCAUCACCAAUGUCUUUUACGUUCUCCAAUUUUGAAAUGUUAAGUGUCCCACGAAGAUGCGUCAACAAUUUUAGCUCUCGUAUCCCGGAACCACUGUCUUUUCCCACAACAAAAUUACACAGCGUCUGAAGGCAAGUCAACUUGCCAAUUCCUAGUGGCAUCUCCUCCAAUGAAUAUGUAUUUGAAUUAUUGAGAUGAUGCAAUUUGAUGAGAUUUCCCAUGUCUGCACACAACUUCUCUAGUUGAUGACAAUCUUCCAACAAAAGCGUGUGCAAAUUGUAAAGCAUGUUGACUGAUUCAGGCAGAGUUCUAAUCUCAGUUCCAGAUAGGUUGAGGUACCUUAAAUACCUCAAAUCACCAAUUGAAUCCGGUAGCUCAUAGAUGCAAUAUCCACGCAAAGAGAAGACCCUCAACCGUUGGAGUUUGAACAACUUAGGAAGAAUGCUACGAGUCAAGUGUCUAAGCGAACGAUUUGACAAUGUUACUGGUAAAAAAGUUCGCAAAUGGUGGAUAUCAUGUAAAUCCUCAAACCUUUGAACGCCAUCACAACCUCCACGAAUGAAUGACAGGUGACGAAAAUUUUUGGAAAAACUUUGUUGCUUGUUAACCUCUGAGUUAGACUCCAUUGUGAAGUAUAUCUCCCCCGCAGCCCAUUGAGCAAGGUCGUUGACAAGGUCGUGCAUCACAAAUCGUGAUUUAUUGUUGCUUGAUUGCUGGAAAAAAGAUCUUGAACGUAGCUCUUGAAAGAACUUUCGACCUAGAUCUUCAUUAGGAUUCCCUCUCUCUUUGUGAUCCAAGAAACCCGAAGCACACCAUAAUAAAAUUAUCUCCUCCUCUUCAAAUUCAUAAUCCUUUGGAAACAAUGAGCAGUAUGCAAAGCAUUGUUUCAAAGGUGCCGAAAGAUAAUAGUAGCUCACUCUAAGCGCCGGUAUAAUGGCACAUCUCUCUUCUGGUAAAUCCCAUAUCUUGCAACUGAGCACACCUUCCCAAUCACUCCGGUCAAGUUUACCACGUAAGAGACCACCAAGAGUUUUCGCAGCUAAGGGCAAGCCGUUGCAUUUGAUCACUAUCUUCUUGCCAAUUUCCUCCAAUGACUUGUUUGAACUGAAAUCUCUUGUCCCCAAAGCGUGUUGAGCGAACACAGACAGACAAUCAUCAUUUGACAACUUUUUCAAUUGAUAAGCCGGAGCAGUCCCCAUGAUGGCUGCAACCCCUUGAUUACGAGCUGUGACAAUAAUCUUACUUCCCGGUGCGCCAGCUUCAAAUGGAGGUCUGAGUCGAUCCCAAUCAUUGUAAUUCUCAUUCCAAACGUCAUCUAAAACAAGCAAAAAUUUUUUUCCAGAUAGUUGCUUAUUCAAAUCCUCUUGAAGCUUAUUCAAGUUGUGAUUAUCCACGUUCUGGUCAGGAACAAUGGAUAUCAAGAUUGUUUUUGUUAGCCCGAAAACAUCGAAAUCAUCAGAGACACAUGUCCAUGCCUUGAGAUCAAAAUGAUCCUGCACUUGCUUAUCAUUAUAGACAAGCUGAACGAGAGUGGUUUUGCCCAGCCCGCCCAUACCUAUGAUAGGAAUAACAGAGAAUUCACCAUCGUUGCUUAAAUCAUCCCUCAACAGCAGUUCUACAACAUCCUUCUUUUCUGUUUCUCUGCCAUAUACUUUGCCUUCCUUCACCAAAGAAGUUGUCUCUCGCCUUUGCCUGUCUUUUCUGGAUCUCCCAGCUGAACUUACGUUCAAACCGAGCGAGUCUUUCUGUGUUACAAUAUCUUGAAAUCUGUCGUUGAUCUCUUUGAUUUUGGACAUUAUGGCGUAAUCGAACUGAAUCGAUUGUGGAGUAAAAGUGGUGCAGCAAGUAGGAAUGAGCUUCUGAAACUUACUUGUUCUUGUACGACUGCUACUGGGUUGAUCAAGAGCAGCAGCAGGUUCUCCAUUUCCAAGCAGCAACUUCCUCCGGAAAACCUCAGUUUGAAACUCAUCCAACAGGUCCUCAACAUCAUAAGCCAAGAUCUGAAGCUCGCCAAGCCACAACUUCACAGACUGAUCAGUCGUUUUCUUCUCCUCAGCAUCAUCAAGCACCGCCUUGAUCAUCACCAACAUAUUCUUCCACUUCUUUAGGUCGGCCUGGAUUUGCUCUUGGCGUGCAAACAAUCGAAUCCCCUCUGAAGCUAACUUAUUAACCAGCAAAUCAACGGACGCCGUAAGGAUUGCCUCUCCGAUGAUUGACAUUUUUUUUUUGUUUUGCAAAGAAAGAAACAGAAUUUUGAGUUUUGAAAAGCAAAAUGAGAAAAUUGAACAAUAAGUGUGGAGGGUCAAGCAAAAUGCGCGUAACAAGUCUUCCGCUUCUUGUUUAUUCCAGGAAAGUGAGAAUAAAAACAGAGCCCACCACCCAUUAAUAAUUGAGCAAUUCACCAAUCACGAGUCACCACCACUCGUUACCAUGAAUAUAAUAAAUUGCAGGGUCCAGCAACAUUGACCCAGUGUCCGGGUAAAUGCUGAAUAAAGAGGAAAAUGGAAUGUAUCCCCUACGAACCUUCGCUUUACAAGUCUUCAAACUCAUAAACCAAGUUAAAUCAAAACGUUUAUCUCUCUCUCCCUUUUUGCCAUAUAAUUACUUUAUUUAUUGAAUUAAUUUCCAUGCUAAAACGAACACUUAAAAGUGCACUACAAUUUUUUAUAAUCACAAUGGUAAUUUCUACUAUCAUGUUAUUUUAAUGUCGUGUUAAAAUAAAUUAUUACAAAGUUUUUUUUAUGAACACUCUUUUUAUUUAUAAUUUUUUUAAUUUUUAAUAUUUUUCUUACUCUUUUAAUCUUAAUAUUUGUAUUUCGCUCUUCAAAUUUUUAUUAUUAUUUAAUUUUUAAAGAAAAAUAUGAAAAAAAAAUAAAAAAAAUAUUAUACUUAAAAAAUAGUGAAUAUUUUAUGGGUCUAAUACAAACCUGUAUUGUUUUUGACAAUGAAAGAGCACGCGAAAAAUCUCACUCAUAGAAAAUUUAGUGAAAGGCAUUUGAAUGUGUGGCCACAUUUUCCGAACGAAACGAUAAGGCUUUAGCCUUAUAAUUGCAAUUAGUUUGUCUUGUAACUAAAUUAUUGCCGACAAGCACCAUCAUGCUGACAAACCGUGCAUGCACGUCCUCAAUCACCCACGUCCUCUACUUGUGUGCAAUAUUUCCCAUUACUUCCCGUACUUUAUGCAUUAUUGUUUUGUAUGUCUUUUGGUGUUUACGGUGUAGUUAGGGAUGGUAGCGGGUUGGGUCUGGUACCGGUUUGACAUCACCAAACCCGCAUCUAAAAAAAAUUUAAUUACGUAAUUUAAAUUAUAAAUUUAUAACCGUUGCCUAAAAAAACCACAUAAAAUACUUAAUUCUACAUUUUAUCAAUGUAAAUGAGAAAUGAAAAUAUCAACAUUAAAACAAAUACAUAAAAUGUAUCAAUUUAACACCAAUUUUCAAAUUCAAUUACCAAAUAAAUAAGUACAGUGUAGCACUAAAAUAUAAUAUUUAAAUUAAAUUAAUCACAAAAAAUUAAUACAAUACAGUGUAGCACCAAACAUUGUAUAUUAUUAUUAUAAUACAGUACUAAUACAACGCAACAUAAUACAAUACACCAACAUUAAAAUAAUACAAUCUAAUAUAAUACAAUACAGUGUGCGAAAUGCACCGACAUGGUAUUACUUUGUUUGUCUCGUUAUUUACAAUUAUUUAAUCUGUAGACCCACUCAUGCUCCUUCUAUGUAACAUAGAUGCAAUUUGAGGAAGAUUAUCAAUUUUUUCUGACUAAAAAUAAUAUAUACCACUUAUUUUUUAUUGUUUUUAUAAUGUUCAACAAUUCGCUUGAGAUCAAAAAAUUAAAUGAAAAGGAGUAAAUAGAUGAUUUACUUGAUGUUGUAUCUUAGAAAUAUAAAAUAUAUUUAUUUAUUAUUAAAAAUAUUUAAAAAUAAUAAAGAGUACAUAAAAAGUAUCUUAUCCUCAACAACAAGAUCAGACGACGUCAAUUCAGCAAAAUGACUUGAAUAACUUGAAAGUCCAGCAGCCGUCACCUCUUGGCGCACACAUGGCAACGUGCGUGGCUUUGGCAAGAGGUCUCCCAAAAGGACGAUUAAGAAAGAUUGCAGGACAAAUCAUGAAAAUAGUAGUACAGAUAUGCAAUGGCUAAAUUUCCUCGAUUAAGUCCAUCACAAUCAAGUCUUAGAAAUCACACCCCUGUAUUAAUUUCCAGAAAUAUGUUUGUUCCAUAUUUAUCGUGCACGUAUAUAUUGUAUGUAUUGGGAAUAGAAAGAGUGUAUGUAAAAAAUUCUUCAUUCAUCGAUUAAAACUUAAUUUAUGUACAAGGGUUAAGUGUAGUGUUUUUAAAUUUAAAAAGGACAAGUGUCAAUCCACUUAGGCUUGCCUCAAUGGCUAGAGCCACACUCCCUCACAAAGUGGUUCGAUCUCCCACAAAUACAUUAUAGAGGUUUAAUUUAAAUUUUUUUCCUCAAAUUUUGAGUGAAGACAGUUUUUCUUCCAGAAAUAGAAUUUUUCUGAGAGUUUGACGCCCCUCAAAUAUUUGAGAUGAUUAAAAUUUGAGCGGUGCUAUAUAAAAUAUAAUGUAAACUAAUCUAAAUAAUUGUAUAAUUAUAAAUAUAAUGAACAAUAGUCUCAUACAAAAAAAUGACAAGUGUAGUAAGCCCAUUUAAAUUAACUUAUAUUUGAGGGGAAAAUCUCUAUAUAUCAUAGUAUAUAUUAUAUGGGAGCGCCUAAGUUACGAUUAAUGUAUCUUACGUCUUUUGUUUUAUUCUUCUUGGUAGAUUUCAUUUGAGUCCCUUGAUAUUUCUUUAUUUUCUAUAAUUGAGGGAGUAUUUGUCUCCUUCCAUCUCUUCUACACCUAUUUUUUAUUCUUUCCAGAGUUAUAUUUAUUUCUUUUAAUAACAACAAGUGAUUAUCAAACUCAUAUAGAUCUAUGAAUUCAGAAUAUAUUUCUGGUCCUAAAUUUAUCAAACCUAUUCUUUCUUGCUCUAAUAAAUCUAUUUUUUGAUUUAUUAAAUUUAUAUAUGUAUUUACUAUAUUUUCCCAUCCUAAAUGCAUAUGUUCCGUAUUAUUUAUUAAUUCCUGUAUUGUAUUAAUUGCUUGGUUCAUAAUGUUUCAGUUUUAUACCAAUAUAUUAAAAAUUGUAUAAAUUUAUCAAUAAAUUUCAUUUUCUUUUCUAUCAAUAUUUCUCCUCCUGUGGUAUCUAUAUUCCUUUCUAUAAGUUCUUCAGUUAAUUCAAUUUCUAUAUUUCUUAUAUUAUUUUUAUCAGUUUUCAAAGCUUUUACCAAAUUCUUUAUUUCUUCUUUAUUAUAUACCUUUAAUGUAUACAAACUAUUAACUAUUGACUGUAUUGGGUCCAUCAUUUUGUUUUUAUGGCUCUGAUACCAUCUUGCACUGUGUGCUAAAAAAAAAACUAAUAUUAACAAAUUAAUAAAAAAUAAAAAUAAACUAAAAAGGUAAAGAAUGAAAAUAUAACUAAAUAAAAAAUAAUAGAAUAACGAAUUACAGAAAACUAAAAACAUAAAACAAAAAUUUUUGUUCUAUAAGGUAUACAUAUCAUAACUAUUACUGUUAUUUCUUACAUAUAAGGCAGUAACUUGUUCUCCUUCUAUAAUCCUAGGUAUAUUAUUAAGAAAACUAGCAAAAUAAAAAUCAUAAUAAUUAUUAUUAGUUUCUAAAAUAUAUGCAGGAUUAUUAGUCAUAUCAUAAAAUAAUUCUAUCUGUAUAAAGUAUAUAUUAUUAUUUAUUAUACUAAAAUAGUAUCUAAUUUCCCUUUGGGUAUCUAUUUUUAUAAAAUAUCCUGAUUACAGGUACGUGGCUUGUUAUCCCAAAGUACAGAGGAUACUAACGCCCAAUAGGGAUCGUCUAUCCAAUUUACGUCAUGGGUUGCUUGCCGAUAUACCUUACAACCAGUUUAUUUGUUUUAUUUUACUAGAUUCCUAUAUUUCAAGUUCUUCGUUAUCCGAAUUUUCAAAGUAAUUUAUAUAUGAUGGUCCAAUUUCUCGACUUUCAUGUUCUAUAUAUGCCAAAGCUAUGUCAAUUCCUUGCUCUAUUGUUAACAUAAUUAUAUUAUGUUUUAAAUUAUCUGUUUCGAUAUGGUUUAUAAUUUUUCUUUUUAUUUCUUUUGGUAAAUUAAGAGUAUAUACUGCUUGUAGAUCUUCUGUUCUAACUAGCUCUGUUUUACUUAAAAGAUAUGAACUUUGUUUAAAAGAUCCUAAGUUAAAGUCUAUUAUCAUCAUAUAGUCAUUAUAUGUUAUUCUAGUGCUAGAGUUUAUCAUAUAUUCUUUAGAAUUCCCAAGUAAAAUAUUGUUAUUCAUGUUUAAAUUAACAGCUCUUCCUCCAUAAAUCUCCUCAUCAUCAAUCAUCAACAAACUUCCACCAACAGAUAAGGUUUGAGAAUUAUUACCCAGAGUUGUUCUUAUUUCUCUGCCUUCCGAUCCUUUUCCAGUGACCUUCAGCCUGGUUGUCCUUAUUCCCUCAACGGCCUCCUUGCCUCAACGGGAUCAGCGGACUCGAGCGGCCUUACUGUAUGGAUUUUGAUCGUUUUGCUCGAAAAUUUUGAACAAAUUUAGGUUUCUCUUUCCUUUCUAUGGUGUUGUUUUGUUUAUGAUUUCUGAUGGCUUGAUUUCUGGAUUUUGAGCUGAAGAGUUGUUUAGUUCUUCAUUUUUGAGAGAGUUUUUGGAAAAGAUUUCGUAAUGGAAGCUCUGAGAGCCUUCUUUCUUUCUUUUUCUUCUAUUUAUUCAAAAAAAAGAUUACAUUCUUGCCCUCAUAUAAUUGGGCUUCUUACGUCACUGCUGACGAUUUUACAUUAUCCUCUAUGCUUUAUUACAUUAUUGCCCUUAUAUAAUUGGGCUUCUUACGUCACUGCUGAUGUUACAUAUCACUUACUCUUAAUUUUAGCAUCUUUCUUUUUACUUUUUGACAUUUGCUUUGCUUUGUCGGGCAUCUUCUUUAUGAUGUCUGCCACUUCUUGUCGGGCAUCUUCUUUAUGUUGUCAGCCACUUCCAUGAGCUGAAAAGCUUGUUCCAUAGUUUUACUGCUACUGGGAAAACGCAUAGUGCUUAUUUCAUUAAUGAAGUCUAACAACAGAUUUGAUGGUGUAUGGCUGUCUUCAGAUGUUAUGAGAAUGUAGUUCUGGAAUUUGAUGAUGGUUCUGAAAUUUCUUUCGUAUAGAUCCUUGGCUAUGCUCCAUAUGGCUUUUAUUCCUCUGGCUCUUCGUGUUCUGAUCCAAGGUUCAUUUAUAUGUGGAACAUUUGUGUAGUCUGUCCCAACUUCGACCUUGAAAUUCUUAGUGAGAUGACCUAUAGAGAUCAUAUAAAAGGCUUGAUAUUCUACGUUCUGAUAAUAUUCUGAGCUUAUGGUGUAGAAUUUUAGGUAUAUGGGCCUUUUUUGGGCGAACCUUGAUACUUCUUUUAUUAACAAGUCAUCAAGGCUGGCUAUUUCCUGAAGAUUUAUAUCUGGAUAAACUAGAUCUAAAUACUCGUAUUUUGCUAUCUUUCCAACAAGGAGUGGGUCUGCUCCUUUUGUAGCAAUCAUUCUUGGAUACAUAUUUUUUCCUGGUGCUUUGAAAAUUGUAUUCUUGUGGGAACAAGUGGAGUAUACCCAUGUGGAGAAUUGUUUAUAUUCUUCUUCUUUUGGAUUCAGGGGUUUCUCCUCUUCUUCUGUAUAAGGAUUGUUUAUUUCUAUGAACUUUUUUGGAGGUUCUGAUUUUGGAGACUCGACUUCUAUAGAUAUGACUUUAUUAGGAACUGGGUCAGAGAUUGGUUUAUCUUCUCUGAAGGGUCCACUACUGCUUCCGAUAUUUAUUGGGUUAAUGUUUAUUGGGCUCGUGUUUAUAGAGAGAGCUUUUGUUAGGUCGUCUAUGUAUGACUCUAACAAAUUUACUCCUUUUUCAUGAGCCUCAGAAGCUUCUUUCAAAUAGUUUAUUGCAUCAAUUAUAUCAGAUGCUUCUGUUUUGAGCCUUUGUACCUCAGCUUCUAUUUUCCCGAUGAUUCUAUUAACUUCGGGAUUCAUUCUCCAAAUUCUAUGUUCCUGCUUAGGAAAUCUGCAAGAAAAUUGUUAAUUCCUUUUAUAUGCACAAUUUUGAAAUUAUAAUAUGACAGAUAAACUUGCCAUCUAUGCAAUCUUCUGUACUGGGGGUUCAUUUGGUAAAAUCCUAUUAAUAAGGGAGUUUACCCGAGAAUUAUCAGUUUCUACAGUAAAUUGUUUUUGGAGCAAAAAUAAUGAAAACUUUUUAAUCCCUUUGUAUAUUGCAAGGAGUUCUUUUUCAUGUACAGGAUAAUUAACCUGAGCUUGGUUAAACGUUCCACUAGUGUAUCGACAAAUUUCAUUUAUAUCGGUUUUAAGUAUUGCUCCCCAAUAUAGGUCAGACGCAUCUGUUUGUAUUACUAAUCUAUCUUUUUCAUCAGGUAGUCUUAAAGUCGGAAGGUUUUUACAUUCUUCUUUUAAAUUUUUUACAAUUUCUGUAUGUUCCUCAUUCCAUCCCCUAGUAUUAUUUUUUCUUAAUAAUUUUUGGAGUAUAUUUCUCUUUUUUGAUAGGUCUUUUAUAAAUCCUUCUGCAUAAUUCAAACAUCCCAAGAAUUUUUGUAUUUGUUGUUUAUUUUCUAAUUUAUCUGGAAACUCAAUUAUUUUUCUUCCUAUAUGGCUCUGGAGUUUGAUUCCUUGUUUAUCAAGUAUCAUUCCUAAAAAUUCUAUUUUCUUAUGCUCUAUUACUGCUUUUUUACUAGACAGUACUAUCCCUUCUCUAAUACAUGUAUUAGCAAAUUCUUUCAAAUGGUGUCUAUGUUCUUCUAUUGUCUCUGAAGCUAUCAAUAUAUCAUCAACAUAGACUAUAAUGUAAUUGUAGUCUUUAAAUAUUUUAUCCAUCCUACUUUGGAAAAUUUGUGGAGCAUUUUUUAAUCCAAAGGGCAUUACUAACCAUUCAUAAUGACCUUGUGGGGUACUAAAAGCUGUGUAUGGGAUACUAUCAUUUUCCAUUUUUAUUUGCCAAAAUCCUGACUUACAAUCAAAUUUUGAAUAAUAUGUUUUAUUUUUUACAAGAUUUAUCAGUACUUCCUUGUUUGGGAGAAAAUAUCCAUCAAAUUUUGUAUAUUUAUUUAGUUCUUUGUAAUUUAUUACCAUUCUUGCUUUUCCCCUAACUUGUUCUGCUCUUUUCCUAACCAUAAAAGCUGGGCUAUUAUGCGGGCUAUUACUGUUUCUAAUAAGUUUUAAAUUUAAUAAUUCUUUUAUUUGAAUUUUAAAUUAUUCUCUAUCUUCUUCUGUAUACAUCAUAGGUUUAAGUCUUAUAAUCCUAUUUUCAAUUAAUUCUAUUUUUGCUCUAGGAUGAUCUGGUUUCCAUAAUGCUAAAGGAUUCUCUUUAUAAACUUGCUCAAGCUGUGAUUUUAUUGUUUCUAAUUGUAUAUUAUAACUUUGUCCUUUUUGUAUUAAAUAAUGUUUUUCAUAAAUAUACUUAUCACCACGCUGGGCUGGCUGAACUCUGUAGGGUUUGAAUUCGCGAGGGAUGCGUAGAAUAUGAUUACAAGGGGUUUUUAAAGUGAUCAUAUAGGGUGUUUGUUGGUAAUAUUGGAACUGUUGUAUGAAGUCAUUUCCUAAAAGGAUAUCACAAUCCAUAUUAUUGUACUGGAAUAUUUGGUUAAUACGUACUACUUUACUUCCUAGUAAGAUUUCAAAGUUUAAAAUAGAUUGAUUGACAUGUUGUUUAUCUCCUGUAAUACCAAUAAUUAUUAAUUUUCCAUUUGAUUCCCAUUUAUUAGAUAAAAAGGAUUUCAUAAUGGUUAUUUCACUACCAGUGUCUAACAAAGCACAAGUAUCUAUAUCUUUUUCGGUUAUGUUUAUUUGUAUAUAUACAGACAUAGGGUAUUUUACAUAAGCUUGUUUUAACAUGUGUAACAGAUUAUUGUUUGGCCUUGGAUUAAGAAAGUUAUCUUAUUAGGUUCAAUUUUGUAAUACUCUAAAUCAUUUAAAAAACUAUUUCCCAGUACUAUAUGUUUUUCUGGGUCUGUAGUCAUGAAUGAGUCUAUAUAACAGGCUACUAUUAUUCUAAGUCCUUCUAUUAUUAUGGGGACUUUAACCUCUUGUUUACAAAUAUGUUUAUUCCCAUUGAAGUCAGUAUACUCAUAUGGAACUUCCUUUUCUUUUACUAAGAGUCCUUUAUUUUUUGUGUGAUUCAUGUAAUUAUGGCUUGUGCCAGUGUCUAAUAGUAUAGGUACUUUUGCUGUGUAAUCUAUUCCAUUAAAGUAUUGUCCAAGUAUUUUUACCACAUUAUUUGUUGGUACUGAUUUAAUUAUUUGCUUAUCAGUGUUUAAUCUUCUAGAAGAACUUCCUCUUAUUAAGGUUCUUCCAGCAAAGCUUAUAGGAAUAAUGGAGUUUUCAUUACUAUUGUUUAAAAAUUGUUUUUUAUCAUCGAUAUUUAAUUCAUAAGUUAUAGGGAUUUUGUAAUCUUGGAUUACAGGUUCUAUAAAUGUUGCAAUAUCUUCACAAUCUUUAUUUAUCUCGAUGUAAGGUUUAUUACCAUAUAUUUCUCCGUAGUUUGAAUUACAGAAACUAUAUAAAGCUGAGUAAUGUAUUGUCAUUAUUCUAUUACCUUCUUUCAUUAAAUCUUUCUUUAAUAGCUUAAAGUGUAAGCUUAAUGUUUCGUCUAUGUUUUUAUCUUUAAUGUGUACACAAUAUCUAGGAUGACAAAUAAAUAAUAAUUUAGUAUAACAUAAAUUUCCUUCUAUUGUUCCAAGAUGUCCUAUGUUAGGAUCUAUAAAUCUUUGAUCAUGCAAUGAUAAAACUAUUGGGCUAUCUAUUCCUUCUUUAAAAAGAGAUUUUAUUAAGAUUUGUAUUUCAGCAAGAUAUACAUAUUGAAUUUUUUCUUUAGUUGACUCAUUUUUUAUUUUUCUCAAAGCUAAAUCUAUGGAUCUUUUAUUUAUUAAACUAAAUCUAAUGUUUCCUUCGGCUUGUGUAAUUGUCACAGCUUUUUCUUGUUCAUAAUAUUCAUGUAAUAUUAUUCUUUUUCUUUUAAACAUAUCUCUAAAUCUAUGGAUUAUUCCAUACUCUGGUUUUUCCAUAUUUAAUUUUAAAAGUUUAUUAUAUUUUUCUUUGUUAAAAGUAGCAACAAGGCUGUAUCCACUUUUUUUUUCUUCUUUUUCUAUCUCUUCUAUUUCUUCUAUUUUUUCAUUAUCUAAUAACUCUUCUUUACUCUGAUUCAUUUUCAGAUUCUUCAGCCAUAUAAACUUCCUCUCCUAUAUAGUUAGAUAAAUUAUUUAUUUCUUCUAAGUCACUUUCUAUUUUUUCAAAAUCCUUUUUUAAGAGUUUAACUUUUUUCUUUUUUGUACAAUCUGUACUUAUGUGCCCUAUUUCUCCACAAUUCCAACAUUUACAUUUGGACUUAUCUAAUAUUUUUCUCUGGUUUUUAUAUUUUCUUUUAUAAUAUUUUCUUCCUGAUUUUUUAUAUUUUUUCUUAAAAUUAUUAUAUUUUUUAUAUCUCUUUUCUUUAUAAGAUUUUCUUCGUCUUUUAUGAGGUACAUAACAUCCCCAUUGGGUAGGCAUUUCUGUCUUUUCACAACAUAUUUUUGUUAUGUUUUUACUCUUUUUUAUUAAGCUUCUUUGGAUACAAAUUUCACUUAAUCUUGUAUUUAAAAAUCUGAUCCUAGAUCCUAAUGUAUCUGGGAUUCUACUAUCAUUAUUAUUAGUAUGUUUUUCAUAUUCAUUUAUGAAAUAUCCAUUCCAUGGAUAAGGUAAUUUAGAAUAAUACAAAUUCUUAUAAAUGUUCUGGUCUUCAUGACUCAUGAAUUGUGUAUAAUAAUAUUUACUAAAUUCACAUGUAUAUUCUUUUACAAAACACAUAUUACAGAUUGUCAGGUUUAUUAAUUUCAUUCUAGCAUUUAAUUUAUCAUGUUUUGCUUCAUUUUCUGUAUUUUGUAACCAAUCUUCUCCUAAGAAUUCACUAGCAAUGUAUUCGAUUAUUCUUUCUAUACCUAAUCCUUUAUCUUUUCCUAAUGCUAUUUUGGUUGAGUCUUUUAUUAAUUUUUGUGUAUCGUCACUUAAUCCUUUCCACCAAUUAAAUACAUUUCCUGUAAAACUUGCUAUUAGAAUAUCCGUUAAUAUAUUUAUUUUUUCUUCUUCAGUAUCUACAUUCCAAUCAUCUUUGGAUCCAUUGAAUAUAAAGAAUAAUUUCAUUUGCAUUCCCCAUUCUACUAAAGCUUUUCGGGAGUCUAUUUUACAAUCCAAGUCUAAAAAUGCACCUGCAUUGCUUAUUGCCACCAAAUGGUCAUUAUUAGGUUGGUAAUCUUUUUUCCAAGAGGUAUUUUUAACGGGCGGAUAAUAUUCAUAAAAAGGUCUAUUUUUCUUUUUAUUUGUUUCAUAUCUAUGACUAGGUUCUCCAAUAUCAGGUUUUAAUUCUGGACCUCCAGCAACAUUCAUCUUUAUUUGGUAUUCUUUUUCAAAUUCUUCUAAAUCACUAAGGUUAAUAUCACUAAAUUUUUCUGUUAAUUCUUCUAAUGUAUUUUCCAUUAUUCUGUAUCACUAGGUGUGUUUUCUUUUAUCUCUAAUUUUUCUUUUCCCUUUUCUUCUCUUUUUAAUUCUGCUUUUAACUUUUCUGACUCCUCUAAUAUUUUUGGAUGCUGAGUUUUUAUAAACCAGUCAUCAUAACUUCCUGGUUGAGGUUUUGUCAUCUGUUUUUCAAUGCUUGUCCCUAUUAUUCCUGAUUUUAUUAUUUCAAGUUUCUCAACUUUUUUAUUUUUCUUUCGGCUUAUCUGAAUUGUUGAUAAUUCUAUUUUUAUCUUUCCUAUUUCUUGUUUAAUUUCUCUCAUUUCUUCUUUAAGAUUUAAAAGUAUUUCUUUUAACUCGAUUAAUGUAGUUUCCAUAAAAUGUAGGGGUGCUAACAGAUAUUUUUAUUUUUGAGCGUAUGUUACAUCCAACGUAACAUAGGGUUAGCCUAUAUUAUAUAUCCAGUCGUGGGACCCAUAUAUGGUUCCAUGUAAUUCGCACAGUUGAACUGGAGACACUGAUUAGUUCGUUGUCUAUUUACCAACUUAUGUACAACUAAGUAAUUUCAUGCACCAUUUGCGCCUUAUCUAUCCAGCCUGCUUGCAUUGCAUUAACUAAACAUACAAUGAAAUUAACCCUUGUAAUUUCGGCCUUUGCCAUAGUCGUUUUGUUUAUUAGGUUUAUGUUUAUCAACAUGAUAUGUUGUCAACCAUAAUCACAAUCAAGUUGUUAAUUAUUUUUUAAAUAAUGUGAAGGAACAAGAUUUUGGUCUUUGAGUGUGGAGUUAAAAAUAUCUCACCUCAACAUACGGUGUUGUGCUCUCAUCAUCUUAACAUUAUUUGUUAAAAAUUAUGUCAAAGAGGAAAGCAGAUUCAAACAUUACUUCAAUUUUCUUUAAGAGCAUAAAAAUAUCGUUAAUAGGCUACUGUUAUUUGUUAGUACGAUUUCACAAAAGGAAGCUAGAGGAUGAUGAAGCUUUCAAGUCAUGUGUGCAUCAAAGUAAGAAACAGAGCUAACGAGAGAUGGACAAUUUUAAAUAUGUCAGCAUUUUGUCAGUUCUGGCCAUAUUUUGAAAGAUUAGCACCCUAAUUUUCUUUUGAAGCUCCUUUUCUGUCUAAACCUAUUUUAAUUUCCAAAAUAUCUUUUUCCAUUUUUUUAGUUUCUUUCUGAUUCCAAAAAAAAAAAAAUCAGUUUCUUAAACAACUCCAACUACAAAUAUUUUUUUUACAAAUUUUUGAAUUAUUAAAUCAUAUGUGUGUGUAUAAAUUGAAUAGAAUUAAAAGUGGACUCAAAUAGCUAUUAUGUAAUUUUUUUUAUAAUUAAAGAAAAGUUUAGAAUGCAAAAGUGUGUGUGGGAAAACAAAAAAUAUAAAUCGCCUUUGAUAUAAUUAUAUGGUUGUAAAAAGUUAGAUGGAGAAAUAUAGUAUAUAAUUAAAUUUAUUUUGCCUUAAAACGGGUAGGUUUUAUAAGAAUUUUUUUCGAGGAGUGCCAAUAUUUCAACUCUUUUUCAAAUAAAGUGAUGUCCUGGAAUAAAAUCACUACUCUAUCAUUGCUAUUAGUUUGUCUUGUAUUUCAAUAAUUGCCGACAAGUAUUAAUUGUGAAUAUUAUUAUUUUAAAAAUAUUAUUAUUAUUAUCGUCGUUAUUCUUAACAGCAAUGACUAGAAUUAUAAUAAGAACAAUAACGUUAAUACAAUAAUAUAACAACAUAAUAAUAUUUUAAUUGAGAGGAUAAGAAUGAAAUUAUGAAAUUUAGGUUGGGUAAAAAUGGUGAGUAUGAGGAAAUUAAUUUACCAUUUUUUAAGCUAAACAAUUCAUAAAUUCCACAUAUUUAAUUCUUAUUUCUCUUAUAUUUUAACAAGUUAUCAAUCGUUUUAAUAUUUUAAUUAAUAAAAACGGCAUUAACUACGGAACUAAAAGAUCCAAAAAAAAAAAAAAGAGACGCGUGUAUGUAUUGCUUGUGAGAAAUCUCACCCAUGGAAAACUUUGUGAAAGGCAUUUGAAUGUGUGGCCACAUUUAAUGAACGAAACGAUAACUUUAAAAGAAAGUAUGUACUGUGUUAAUUAUUAGGCUUUAGCCUGAUGAUUGCAAUUAGUUUUUCUUGUAAUUAAAUUAUUGCCGACAGACACUAUCACGACCCACGUCCGCUACUUGUGUGAAUGUGUGUAUAAAUAUCCGCAGCAUAUCAUCAAACCUGAAGCGUGAUCAUCUUUAAGUUUUGGUUACAAUUCAUCAUACGUUAGAAGAUAUCUUUUCUAAUUUGAAGAAGAUGGAAACUCCUUGUCCAGGUUCUUAGGCCAUGUUCAGUUGAAUGUCAUUUAUAAUUUUUAUUUUAAAAUUAUGUAUUUAUGAAUACAACUAUUGUUAUAAUUUUUUCAAGUAAGAAUGGAUGCUCUGAGGGUAACCCAAUAACUAUGUACAGUAUUAUUAAUGAUGAGAGCGUGAAUGACAAUUUGGAUUUUAUUCUCGUCCCUCAAUACGGAAGAAAUCUUGACCAUAGCGGUUAAGUGCUAUGUAAUUCUUUCGUAUUAUGUUUAAUUAAUAAUGAAAUGAUGGGUUAUUAUUACCUGUCAAUUAUGUGAGUAUCUUUGUUUGGUUUAGUUCAACUUAUAAAAUUUCUUGAGAUAUACAAGAGAUUUUCAUUAUUUAAUUUUGUGUACCGUGUCUUCUUGUAAAAAGAAAUUAAUAAAAAAAAUAUCAUUGUGUGCAAUGUAUUAACUAAGUUAGUGUAUUCAUGUUAGGUUAAUUGUGCUCUCUCUUCUUGAUAUUUAAAAAAAAAAAAAAAAAGCUCCACAUAUUGUUGGUUAGCUAAUUCUUGCAGCUAGCAAGUGAUCCUUUUCUUUCCCCUACUGCCGUAGCAUCAAAUCCUUACAAUUACAUAUCAAGUGGUAUUCGAGCCGUCAAAUGAUCCAUGGAAACAGGCAACAAAUCAAAUGCUGAAUUUUGCGAAGAGAUUCACGAAAUCCUUACUAUACAUGAGUCUAGUUUUGACCAAGUUCACGUCACCCAUCAGCUGCGGGUUUGAAUGGUACCUCGUGGAUAUUUUGUGAGUUCCCACUAAUAAAAUCACACUUGCAACAAAACUUAAAAAUUUAAAUUACGUAAUUCAAAUUAUAAAUUUAUAAUCGUAGCUUAAAAAAUCACAUAAAAUACUUAAUUCUAGAUUUUAUCAAUGUAAAUGAGAAAUGAAAGUUUUAACAUUAAAAUAAAUACAUAAAAUAUAUCAAUUUAACAUAAAUUCUCAAAUUUAAUUACCAAAUACAUAAGUCUAUCGCAACUCAAAGUGCUUUCAAUUGAAAACGAAAAAAGAGAAAGAGAAAAAAAAGAACUACAAAUCAAAGUAGCACUCAUGACCGAUUUUGCAGUCUCAUUCAAUACCACUAGCACCCAGCAACACGAUUUUUCUAAACAAAGUAUAAAGUACAAAAUUACAAUAAGCAUAUCAGACUCCAUGCUUUAAGUUAAAGAUCCUUAUAUAUUUUUAUGAAUAAUUUUUUAAUGAAAUUUUAUGAUUAAAAUUAAAAAUACAAACAUUCAAAUAAGAAUGUCGGACACUUGCACAACUAUUUACCAAAUUUUUUCUCUAUAAAAAUCGACCUGCAACUUUCAAUAGGUUUAAAUUUAUAAUAACAAACCUGAUUGCAGCUCGCAAAAAUUAUCCGUUGCGGCCAAGACUUUGGAUUUGCGAUGAUUUUGCCACCCUAAGUGUAGUUAGUAUUGUAUAUCAUGUGGCUCUUAUAAAAAGCCUAGAAGUUGUUUGAAUAACGGGGGAGACACAUAUCUCCCAAAGAUUUUCUCUUUUUCAAAUUAUUAUUUUUUCUGUAUUAUUGUAACUUCGAAUCCUUAUAAAUUGCAGAUUGGAGACAUGAACACAAUGUUUUGACAUAGUGGACUUUUGGCUUGUCCAGAGAAAUUUAAGAUAGAUUUUUACGCACUAAGGCUCUAUUUACUAUUGAGGUUUUAGAACUUUUAAGCCACACUAGAAAUUUGUAUUGUUUUGAUAGAGUUGUAGUUCUUGAUAUGUGAUUGGUAUUAAUCAAGUGUUAUGUUUACAAUAGUUAAAGGCAUAUUGAAUCAAAAUCCACUUCUAAGGGCUUGAUUGAGUGAUUGUAAAGUAGGUUUUUAGUUUGCUAGUCACUCAAGUUCAAAUAUUGGAACCACAGAGCUUUAUAGCCAAGUGAGAGAACUUGUGCCCUAAAAAUUGAGGGGUGCAUAUCGAGUUUUACCACCAAUAAAAGUUGGUGUUAAAACUUUAAUUUCCCUCCUAUUGAUGGAUAGGGGUGAUUAGUAGUUUACAUUCCCUCCUAUUAAUAGACAGGGGUUAUUAGGAAUAUUAAAAAAAAGUUCAAAUAUUGAAAAUAUAGGUAUGGGUUAUAAAAUUCAUAAUAUAAAGACACAAAAUCAAGAUAAAGAUUUAAAAAUUUAGAACCAUGAGAGCGUGACUUGUAAGUUUCAAAGAAGCAUGUGCAAAUAUAUGCAUUAUCGAUGCCUAAUUAAGGGUGGACAUUAAGAUCGGGUUAACCCGAACCGAACCGAACUUAAAAUUUAUUUUGGAUUCAAUUUGGUUAUGGUUGAAGCUUUCAACUGAGUUCAAAACUUAAAAAUGAUUGAGUUGUAUUUCUGUUCGAAUUUAACCCCAAAAGACAACUAACCCUAACUAAAAUGUUCGACCGCGGCCUCCUCGUUUUCUUUUCUUCUUCCUCCUCUCGCUCACCCCUAAUGCCCUUCAUGGAAAUCCAACAGCUCCAAACGCGUUUCGGCCGCUCGCACGUGUGAGAAAUUUUCGUUCUCAUAGGAUUAUUCGUUUCCUUCGCCUGCAUGCCAGCAGAAUAUUCAGGCCGAGGAUUUUUCCGGGCCUAGCCCAACUAUAAGCUCUCCCAAAACCCAAUCAUAAGUUCAUAACGUUUAGCGUUUGCUAUUACUAUAAUUUUUUUUAAACAAUUUUCACAUUCAUCAACAUAGGCUGACAGAUUUUGUAGAAAAUAAAAUUAAAUAAAAAUACAAGCUCACGAAAUUCCUUUUCCGAUGUGGGAAUCUAUCUACACCUUUCACGUGCCUUUUUUUUUUUUUUGUAGUGGGGGAUUCACUUGCUUUUGUUUGCAUUGCCUUAUUGGAUAAAAGUUUGUAGAACAUCGUCUGUUUGGUUAAAUCCGAGCAUGAGUGAAGAAAAAUUAAAAAUAAAUAAUUUCCCAUUAAUUUGCAACAAGUAUUAAUAAAGUGCAUGAGAAAAGACACCAAGAUAUGCCUUUUUUUAAAUGAAAAUAAAUGUGUUAAUUAGUCAAUUUAAAUGGUAUGACAUUUUGAAAUGAUAGAAGCAAUCUAAAGUUUAAAUCUUACUCACACUUAAUUUAGGGUUGGGGAUUAAUUGACGUAAUAUAUAAUAACGAAUUCGAAAGACAAUUAAAAAUUAAAAGAAAAUAAAGAAGUGCUUUCUUUUUUAUGAUGGUAAUUUGUUUAGAUGAUGAAAACUCUUAGAGUUGUAUUAUCAAUACAUAGUUUUAAGGGUUGGCAAUGUGAACAAUAUUUAAUUUCCUUUAUAUAGUUAUAUCUUAACUAACAUUUAAACAGAAGUAAGUUGUAAAAAAAAUGAACCAUUGAGAUUUGAGAGAAUGAAAAACUAAAAAAAAAAGUUAAAAAAUUAGAUCUCAAUAAAUUUACUUGAGAACUACUUUACUGAUUAAUGAAGAGAAAAUACAAAGAAUAAUGAUGUAUCUCAAUUAAUCAGAUAAUUUUUGUAUUUUUUAUUUAUUCCAGAAUCACGAAACUUCAUUUAAACUUGUUAUUUCAUUGAUAAUAUAUUAAUAUUGAACAAUUAAUGUAGGAGACAUUCCUUUCCAAUUAUGCCCAUAUAUUAAUUAAAGACCAUCAAAAAGUUCAGGGAUACUAUAAUAAUUUAAGUCAAUAAUUUCUGUGCUUGAAAUCAGCCAAUCAAACUCACUUUAGAAUAAAUUGAGAAAUCAAAAUCACAUUCUCCGAUUCCACGAUUUCAAUUCAUCUUAUUUCUUCAACUGAAAAAUUGGUUGUAUUUCGUUUUAUUUUAUUUUUAUUUUUAUUUUUAUAGAAAAAUAAAUAUAACUGUAAAAGUAAAAUAAAAAGAAGAGCACGAGUUUUAUUGAAAAUGACUCUUUUCAUCAUGUUGCCGGAGUGAAUGUAUCUGCAUAUAAACUAAAGAAGCACAUUUGUUUCCGACUCUACGCUUUAAAUUCAGCUUCAUUUCUUCAACUGAAGAAUCGGUCGUCUCUCAUUUUUUAUUUAUUAUAUAAAGAUAAAUAUAUAAAUUUAAAUGGCGAGAAGAGCGGACGAGGAAUACGAUUACUUGUUCAAAGUGGUAUUAAUCGGCGAUUCGGGAGUCGGCAAAUCGAACUUACUCUCCCGAUUUACUCGUAACGAGUUCUGUUUGGAGUCCAAAUCCACUAUUGGCGUCGAAUUCGCCACCCGCACUCUUCAAGUAACUAACUUUUCCUCUUUCACUUCUCUUCAUUUUUAUUAGUUAAUUAAGAUCCAGUUAAUGUAAUUAAUUUUAUUUAAUCUUUUAAAUAAAGUUCUAGAUUAGGCUAACUUAGAUUCAUGUGAAGUUCAAGUGAUUUACUUUCGAUCUCUUUUUCGUCCUAUGUUUAUUUGUACUUACUAUUACUUUUUUUUGGGUUAAAAUUUUCGUUUUUGAAGUGUUUACUGAAUAAAUUUCUGAGCUUUAUUUGUGUAUGCUGAUUGAUUUGUGAUUUUAAUUUUGUGACUUUUUUUUUGGAAUUUAAAUUUGAAUGCUUUUUAAGUUGAAUCUGAAUGUGUUGGGCUGCGAUUUAAUUAAGUCAUCUGUGAGCGCCAAAUUGUGAUAGCUAUAUAUUGGGGUGAAAAUUUGGGAUUUAAAGUUAUGUAUUUAAGAUGCAGUUAAUUCGCAAGUGAAAAUUAUGGGCCGGCAGAUUUUGUCAUUGGAAGACUGUUCUCCACAUGUUGAAGUUAGUGAUGCAAGUUGAAACCAAUCUGUUUAAGCUUGGGGUUUCAUGUCUUGAAUCAAGGCUGUGACUGGGUUGAGAGUAUUAUAGCUUUAGCUAUUCCUGAAGUGAUCUGUUUAGACUCACCGUGAUGAGACCGAGUGCUGUACAGUAAAAUGAAAGGAAGUUGGAAAAUAUUUACUUAGCAUUUCGCGUUACUAAUGUUGAACUAAUAAAACCUAGCCCCUAUCCUAGUGAAUUUAUGUUAAAAAGCUAUGCACGCAUUAAGUUAGUGUGCUGUGUGUUUGGCGCUGAGUAUUCUUCAUUCCACAUUUUGGGUUUUGGUUGACCUCCAGCAUGGCUCAACCCACUUGAGUUAAAAGCCCUAGAGUUACAUUCUACCCAUGAUAUUUGAGUUUAUCAAGUCACCUUAUUUUAAUACUUAUCUGGAAAAAAAAUAUAUAUGUUAAAUCAGGUAGGAAAAAUAAAAAGUUAAUUAUUGAGUUGUAAUGGUGUAACUAAGGUUUUGAAACAUUAACAUCUUUAGCCAUUAUGUUACUAUCCCGUAGUUAUUUAAGUUACAAGAGAUAGUAAAAAAUAACAUCAUAUUUUAAUUACUUACACUAAUCCUACAAAUGCUGAUGGUCUAAAGUUGCUGCUGCUUGCACUGAAUCAGUGGUCAUGGGCCAGCCAAGGUUAGGUGAGGCCAACUCAUUAGCUUGUGAAGCUUAAAGAAGUCUUAGGUUUGGAAAAGAUGGGGCACAGGUUACAAAAUUUUUUUGAGUUUUGGAUUGAAGGAACAAAAUUGUUGAUGUCUAGCUCACAAUAUUUGAAGUCACUCUGUGCUUCAUCAUGUAAAAUGGAUUGAAUUGCUGUAAGAUCAGGUCAAAUUAAAUUGUUUAAACUCAUUUUUAAGAAACGAAUUCUCAAUUGGACCAGCCUUUCACAGAAGCUUUGAGUCAGAUGCAUCCAACCAAAGCCCCUGGCCCAGAUGGUCUCCCAGCAGUAUUUUUCCAAAAGCUUUAGAAUUCAGUAAGCGAAGGAGUUAUAGCCACUUGUCUGCAUAUCCUCAAUUAUGGAGGUAAUAUUGCUCCUUUGAAUCAUACAUACAUUGCUUUAAUCCCCAAGAUAGCAAAACCUAGGACUCUGAUGGAGUAUAGACCAAUCAGCAUAUGUAAUGUAAUUUAUAGGAUCAUUGCAAAGACUAUAGCGAAUAGGCUGAAGCUAAUCUUAGAUCAUGUUAUUUCGCCAACUCAGAGUGCUUUUAUGCCAAAUAGGCUCAUAACUGAUAAUAUAAUUAUUGGGCAUGAGUGUCUUCAUAAGUGGACAAAGCUAAGUUCCAGAGGUGAGUAGGAAAUUCUCCCGCACGACGCAGCACAAACAAACUUUCCCUUUCAUUUUCUUUUCUCUUUCUCGCUCUCCAAACAGAGCAAAAGGACCAUCGCAAGAUUCUUCACUUCCAUCCAAAAUCAUGAGCAACGAAUAGUGAGCCUCCCUGUUUCCUUUUUUUGAUAUUAACAUUGUUAACAUAUACUCAUUUUAAUUUGACAAUACUUCAACUUUUUUUAUUUUUUUGCCUUCUCAUUUUUUUUGUUGAAGCAAUUAUCUGUUCAAGCUGUUGCUUAUCGGAGACUCGUACGUUGGAAAGUCCUGCCUGCUGCUCCGAUUUGCUGUCUGUUGACUUUUCCUUUCCCUUCUUAUUUUCUUUUUUUAUAUUAAUUACUUUCUAUUUUAGCUUUUUGUUCUCUGAAUUUGUGUUAUUAAAAUGAUAAUUAAGAUGAUAAAUAAUUGUUAUUCUUGUAAAUUUCGGUUUUCAUUACGUUAAUUGUUAGUUUUUAGGUUUAUUAAUGUAAUUUUUUUUUGUUUUUUUUUUUUCAAUUUUUCAGGAUGAUUCUUAUGUCACAGCUACAUCAGUACCAUUGGAGUUGAUUUUGUGUCUCUCUCUUCUAUAUAUAUGUAUAUAUGUGUAUAAGUUAUUAAAUUUAUCUAUGUACGUGUAUGUAUGUAUGUGUAUGCAUAUGUGGAAAGAAAUGUUGGCAGACUUCAGCAUUUUACUCUUUUUUUUUUUUUUUUGGCAGAAAAUAAGAACUGUGGAGCUGGAUGGGAAGACGAUCAAACUGCAGAUUGUGAGUCAAAAUUUCCUUUUAUCUUGUAUUGAGAGAAAUUCGAUUUGUCUUAUUUAGUGAAGGUUAUGUUCAAGAACCUUGUCUUAUUUUCUUUGUUUGAAGAGUGAUAUGUUGAAAUGAGUGUAUUUGUCUUAUAAACAUCAUUUAGGUAAUGUCUUGGUGAAACCUGUUGUCAUAUGCUGAUUAACAUAGCUAGUCUCGGAAAUAAUUUGUUGAUUCAAAAUUUAAAUUAUGAGUUAAAAUUUGAUGCAGAAUGGGCAACCAGCCUACUGCAAACAAAUCUUCAGGAACAGUUCAGAUGAAGGGACAGCGAAUCCAGCAAAACAGCAACUGCUGUGGUUAGCCGAGCAUGUUAUUUUACUACUACAUGUUAGCUGACUGAUUGUAGACAGUUUUAACUAUGUUGACUGCAUUAUCUUAUGAAUCUUUUAAUCUGUCAAAUAUUUAUUUCCUGCUUUAAGUUCUUUCCCGUUUAUAACAAAUUUAAUUUCUUGCUCCAUUGCAUUCCAAAUUCCUGUCAAUUUACGAGGGAAAAAGAAAAGAGAGACGAAAUGGGAGAAAAUGGUCAAAUUUGUUAGGGGGAGAGAGCUGUUGAAGUAGUUUUUGUUCUCGUUUAUCGUCGUGACCCUCUUGUCGCUUGUCUAUGACCUGGAAGUCCGGUCAUAUCGGAUGGGUUAAGUUACCGAAACGGCAUCAUUUUGGGUGAAAUAUCAUAUUUAUGUAACACUUUUGAUAAUAUUUUUAUGCAACAAAAACAUGUUUGCAGUACCCUUUUCACAUUGUGAAGCGCAUGAUCGGAUGAGAGCAGUCUGGAUUCUGGCAUCACAAGGUAAUGCUUUGAUUUGCUUAGUUUGUUUUUUGUUUCUGAUAUUUUCUCGGCAUCGGGUGGGAUGUUGUUUCUCUUUUGAGUUUCUCUUUUUUUUUUUUUUUUUAAUGGAAUUUGGAGAUAGUGUAAAUGUAUGAAGAUGAAAUUGUUGGGUUGGUUUUGUUAUGGAAUUUGGUUUACUUCACUAACCAUUAAUGAGCAAAACCUCCUAUUGACCCUCAAAAAUCCCGUACAUAAUUAAAGAAUUUCAAUUUUAUAUGUACAUAAAUAAAUAACUGUCAAAUAUAUUAUUUGAUAAUCCCAAAAACAACAAUUCACUCUAAUAAAUCUUGUAGUCAAUACAUGGUCUAUAUUGCAAGUGUUUUCGAGACUAAUUCAAAAAGAAAAUAUGAAAGACAUAUAAUUGACCUUUACCAGUUAUAAAGAACUCUAAAUAAAUUCAUAUACGCAUAGCAGCUAAUUACAGCCUUGAUACUUCAUUAGGUUUUUGUUAAUUUUCUAUACAGUUGUGUUGUGCAUUAAAGUUUUGUUGAUGAAAUCGGUAGGUGAGGAUUAAUUAAUCAAUUAAUUAAGAUCCAGUUAAUGUAAUUAAUUUUAUUUGAUUUUUUUAAUUCGAGUUCUAAAUUUAUCAAUUAAUUUAGAUUCAUGUGAAAUUGAAGUGAAUUAGUUUCGAUCUGUUUUUCGUCCUAUGUUUGUCUGUGUUUACUCUUACUUUUUUUUUUGUUUAAAUUUUUGUUUUCUUAUUGUUUACUGAAUAAAUUUCUGAGCUUUAUUUGAGUAUGAUGAUUGAUUUGUGAUUUUAAUCUAAAUAUGUUGGGCUGCGAUUUAAUUGAGUGAUGUGUGAGUGCCAAAUAUUCAAUAACUGAUAAAUUAUAUUUAUAAAUAUUAAUAGUGAUGGCACAUAAACAAUUAAUUCAAGAACUUGCCCAUAGUGAUUAAUUUAAAGAGUAUAAGUAACAUUGCAGUACAGUUAGCCCUUGCGUGUUUAAUUAGCAAUUGAAAACUACUGUUGCUGAUGAGGUAGAACAUUAUAACACUGUUGCUGAUGAGGCAGCUGGUAAUUCUUCUGGUGAAGAUAUUAAGACUAUUAAAGCUGAAAUGUAAUUAGAGAAAUAUAAUGCAUUCCCUUAGUUUGCUUUUUGUUUUUUAUAUUUGUUUGGCUAAUGCUUUGCUUAGAUUGCUUUUUGUUUUUGAGAUUUUAUUGUUAUGGGAUUUGAUUGUAGUGUACAUAUACGAAAAUUAUGUAAUCAAGUGCUUUCAAUAAAUCAUGAUCGAUUUACUAUUAAUUAAUUAAAUUAAAUUUACUCAAAUUACUCAUGUACACGAUCAAAAUAAAUUUAAUUACAUGAUAUAUAUACACGCGCGCACACAUAAACAAAAUGUAAUUAACUUUGAAAUAUAAAAUAUUUAAAAUAAUCACCUUACUAACAAUUCACAAGUUAGAUUUUAUAUAAAUAGACGAAAUAAUGUUAAUCUAGCGAAUCCAGUCAUAAUAAAUUGAUUUUCAUUUAUAUUAAUUAUGUCGAACCAUGUUAUUUUAAUAAAGAGCACUUGAGAAUAUAUAUAUCCAAUAGGUAAAAUUUCAAAACAAUAUUUGCAAAAGUCUGACUAAGAGAAUAUACACGCACGCACGUAUAUAACUGUACAACAGAAGGAUAAAUAAAAGAAAAUGAAGUUUCAACAGCUAAAUAAUGCAAACUCAUUUUUUUAACAAGCAUUUUAUUGUUUAACUAAAAAAUUCGAAAACCCAUUAAAUACAUGUAAGGACUCACCGACGCCGAACCAUAUUAAUUUAAAUUAGUUUUCAACUGAGAUUUGAAUUUUGAAAUUACAUACACAAACAAGCCCAUUUUUUUAAAAUACUAAUAAUAAAAUAUUUCAUUUUUCAUCUAUUACAACAAGAGGCAUAAUCGCAAAAGUGAAAAAUAUUUCAUUUAACAAGUCCCAAUAUUGUCCUCCAUCCUUUCUGCACUUCUCUGCUAUCAACGGACAACUCCAGAUCCAUAAUCGCAAAAGUGAGGAAGGCAGUCAUCCUCUGUUCAAUUAUCAAAAACUCCUUUUACCAUCCAUUUGAACAUACACAAACACGCCCAAUUUGAAAAAAAAAUAGUAAUUUUAAAAUAUUUCAAUCGUCCACUGUUCCGUCACCAAAAACCAAUUUACCAUCCAUUUCAACGCCUAAUUUGAAAAAAGAAAAUACUACUAAUAAUAAAAUAUUCUAGUCGUCCAUCCUUUCACAAAUAGGGAUGGCAAUUGUACCCGCAAACCCGCAAACCCGCCCAAAUCCACCCGCCAAAACCCGCCCGUUGCGGGUAAUUUUAUCCGUUGCGGGCGGGUUUAGUAUUAUAAAUUAAAACCCGCAUAUGGAUGCGGGUGGGUUUGGUAUUAACCUUAUACCCGGUGGAUACCCGCAUGGAUAUCCACCAAACCCGCAAUAAUUUUUUUCAAAUAUUUUUAAUUUAAUUUAAAUAUAAAAAUAUAUAAAGAAAAUAAUGUAAUUAAUCAAAUUACCAAAUAGCAAAAGGCUCAAAGUUGUGUAUGUGUGUAUAUGGCUCAUCUCUUAUUCUAAAGUCAUAACCUAAAGAAAACUAAAGGCAUUUCCCUUCGAAUUAGUAUUUGAAAAUAUUAAUCUUAAUUAUUAUUUUAGGCAUUGUGUUAGAUGGGUGCUUAUGGUGGUGAAUAAAAUAAAUAUAUUCUCUUUGAUCUUGUUUUAAAUGAUAAUAUGAAAUGUAAUUAUUAUUUUUAGAUAUUAGUUUGUGUUUUUUAAAUAGAUUUGUAUAAUUUAUACUUAAAUUUGAGAAUUUGUGUUGAAUUGAUGUGGAAAUUUUAAUUUUUCAUUUACACUGUUUAAAUAUAAAAUUGAAUAUGUUAUAUGGAACUUGAGGUUAUUAUUAUAAAUUUAUAUAUUAAAUAUUUGUGAUUUUAAAUACGGAAACCCGCAAAAAAUCCGUCGGAUACCAUUGCGGGUUUGGUAAUUGUUAAAACCCACUGCGGGUGGGUUUUUUAAAAAAAAUUAAAACCCGCUGCGGGUUGCGGGUGGGUUUUGUAAUUUAAAUUUUGUGCGGGUUUGGGUUUGGUAAUGGCAAACCCGCUGCGGGCGGUGCCCAUUGCCAUCCCUAUUCACAAAUCAAAAACCCAUGUAAAAUCUAUUGCAACAUCGGGUAUAUGGGUUAACAAGUCCCAAUAUUGUCCUCCAUCCUUUCUGCACUUCUCUUCUGUCAACGGACAUCCCACGAUCUGUAAUUGCAAAAGUGAGGAAGGCAGGCCCUUCUCCGGAAAGUAUUUGAGCUUGGGACAAUUAUGGAGUUUCAAUUCAGUGAGGUUUUGAAGAUCAACAAUUGAGGAAGAUAGGCGUUCCAGAUUUGGAAAAUCUUCAAUCCACAGAGAUGUUAGAGAGGCAGGAAGAGGAAGCGCGGUCCCUAAUCUUUUGUCCUCUAGUGGAAAUGACACCAUGUCGUCAUCGCAUCCUCUGAUUCUAAGUUCUCGCAGAGAGGAGAAUCUGUGGAAUCCCCGACCCCACUCAAUCGUUGACUUCCAAAUCUCCAUAUUACCCAAAAUAUAAACUGACUGAAGAUUGGUGGGAAGGCCAUCUUCUUCAAGGCUUGGAAGCGCACCUCCUAUUGUUAAGUCUUGAAGAGAGGUCAGAUUGUGCAAUCCCUUGGGUAAGGCCUCUAGUCUCUUACAAUCAGAUAUCCCCAGCCACCUGAGUUUCGCACAAGGCAAUCCCCCUUCGGGAAAGGACACCAGAUUUCCACACCACUGUAUAGUAAUCCCUCGAAGCUGCCGGAGAUUAUGUAAACCACUCGGUAAAAUUUUCAGAUUUUCACAACUAUGAAUUUCCAGAUUUUCAAGAGAUGUGUUGUUGUCCAACCUUUCUGCUAUUGACUCCAGCUUUGAACAUCCACAAACAUAAAGGGACUUAAGAGACGGAGGUAGAUUGCCAACUUCAAGGGACUCAAGCGUGGCAGGUAACUCGUUUUUUGAAAAUAUACAUUUCAGUGAUCGACAACUGUAAAUUGUUAACUUCUCAAGAAGAGAUGAGGUGUACCUUCUGCUGCUGCUGCUACUCUGGAUGCCCUCUUCCACUGUCAAAGUCCUUAUAUUAUCACAAUCGCUGAUGCUCAGCUGCUUGAGGCUCGGUGGCAGCUGGACUUCAGCAAUAUAUCUCAACGAAUGGCAAUAAUCAAUAUACAAGAUCUCGAGAGACGAAUUGGUGUCGCACAUCCAUGCCUCUGGUAAAGAUUUCAGUGCGUCACAUUCUCUAAUCUGAACUUUCUUCAACUUGGAAGGCAGAGCAACCUCAGGAAAGGAAACAAGGGAACUGCAGCCGUGGAUUUCUAUCUCUCUCAAGGAACUGAGGUUGAGCGAUGAUUGUGGCAGCUUCACAAGGCCUUCGCAAUUACUCAAUCCUAGAUAUUCAAGUCUGCAUGACAACUCGCAGAGCUGCUGUUGUUGGUCUUUCUCUUCCUCCGCGACCAAGGAUUGAAGUUUGGGACAGCUUGUAAUCGUCAGUCUUCUGAGAGAGCAAAUGUCUUGCAGUAAUUCGUUAUGACUCUUCCAUAUAUGUGUUUCAUUUUUCAUAUUAUUUAUCCCCAAUUCUCCCAGUUUUGGUAUUCGCGGCUUCAAUGGCCCUGCGAGAAACACUUGAUUUGAUGUAUCUCUACAAACCACUGAAUUCUGUGAGCCGAGAUGAUCAGUUGCACUUCUCCACACAGCCUUUUUACAUCCACCAAUUUCAAUUUUGCAAAGAGCUGGAAGACUUGCAACUGAAACUAACAAUUCUUCACAUCCUCCAAUUACAAGCAUCUCCAAUGCAGGAAGGUGUUCUGGAAAUGUUCCUUGCAGCUUAGAACAGCUUAUAAUAUGAAGCUCUCUCAAUUUAGGAAACCCUUCAACUCCCUGACCAGAUCUAAGAGGAAUCCAGUCUUCCCAUUCUUGCAUGUUUUCAAAACGAAGAGUCUCCAAGCAUGGAAAAGCAAUCGGGGAAUCAUUCCCAUAGAACUCUGAACCCAAACUCUUUACUCUACUCAUUCCACGCACUGCAAGAUGCUUUAGAGAGGAUAGUUGCCCGACUGACGGCAAGGUAGUACACACGCCGCAAUCUUCAAAUUUAAGUGUUACUAAAUUUGAGAAUGAGCAAUCUCCUAACCAUGUUGGAAAUUUUGUACCUCCAUAGCCACAGAUACCAAAUUGUUCCAGAUUUUUAUGGGGUUUGAGCAUGUCAAGCACACCCAUUUCAGUUUCUGCCUCCCUUGAAGAUGAACCGUCGGUGCUGCAAGUCCAAUUAAGCGAUAAUUCUCUAAGACUCUCCUUUACAUCCAACCGAGCCUCCUUUGCAUCACCAAUGUCUUUUACAUUCCCUAAAUUUGAAAUUUUAAGUGUCCCCUGAAGAUGUAUCAAUGACUUUAGCUCUCGUAACCCAGAACCAUUGUCUUUUCCCACAGCAAAAUUACUCAACGUCUGAAGACAAGUCAGCUUACCAAUUCCUACUGGCAUUUCCUCCAACGAAUCUGUAUUUGAAUUAUUGAGAUGAUGCAAUUUGAUGAGGUUUCCCGUGGCUGCACACAACUUCUUCAGUCGCCGACAGUCUUCCAACAGAAGGGUGUGCAAAUUGUAAAGCUUGCUGACUGAUUCAGGCAGAGUUUUAAUCUCAGUUCCAGACAGGUUAAGGUGCCUUAAAUACCUCAAAUCACCAACUGAAUCCGGCAGCUCGGAGAUGUGAUAUCCACGCAAAGAGAAGACCCUCAACCGUUGGAGUUUGAACAACUUAGGAAGAAUGCUAUGAGCCAAGUAUCCACGCGAACUAUUUGUCAACAUUACUGGUAAAAAAGUUCGCAAAUGUUGGAUAUCAUACAAGCCCUCAAACCUUUUAACGCCAUCACAUGCUCCACCAAUGUACGAUAGAUGACGAAGAUUUUUGGAAAAACUUUGUUGCUUGUUAACCUCUGAGGUAUACUCCAUUGUGAAGUACAUCUCCCCUGCAGCCCAAUGGGCAAGGUCGUUGACAAGGUCGUGCAUCACAAAUCGUGAUUUAUUGUUGCUUGAUUGCUGAAAAAAAGAUCUUGAACGUAGCUCUUGAAAGAACUUUCGACCUAGAUCUUCAUUAGGAUUCCCGCUCUCUUUGUGAUCCAAGAAACCCGAAGCACACCAUAAUAAAAUUAUCUCCUCCUCUUCAAAUUCAUAAUCCUUUGGAAACAAUGAGCAGUAUGCAAAGCAUUGUUUCAAAGGUGCCGAAAGAUAAUAGUAGCUCACUCUAAGCGCCGGUAUAAUGUCACAUCUCUCUUCUGGUAAAUCCCAUAUCUUGCAACUGAGCACACCUUCCCAAUCACUCCGGUCAAGUUUACCACGCAAGAGACCACCAAGAGUUUUCGCAGCUAAGGGCAAGCCGUUGCAUUUGAUCACUAUCUUCUUGCCAAUUUCCUCCAAUGACUUGUUUGAACUGAAAUCUCUUGUCCCCAAAGAGUGUUGAGCGAACACAGACAAACAAUUAUCAUCUGACAACUUCUCUAAUUGAUAAGCCGGAGCAGUCCCCAUGAUUUCUGCAACCCCUUGAUUACGAGCUGUGACAAUAAUCUUACUUCCCGGUGCGCCAGCUUCAAAUGGAGGUCUGAGUCGAUCCCAACCAUUGUAAUUCUCAUUCCAAACGUCAUCUAAAACAAGCAAAAAUUUCUUUUGAGAUAACUUCUUCUUCAGCUCCUCUUGAAGCAAAUUUAAAUCACUGUCAUCAGUAGUCUGCUUAGUAAUGGAUCUUAGAAUUGUUUUUGUUAGCCUGAUAACAUCAAAAUCAUCAGAGACACAAGUCCAUGCCUUGAGAUCAAAAUGACCCUGCACUCGAGCAUCAUUAUAGACAAGCUGAGCGAGAGUGGUUUUACCCAGCCCGCCCAUGCCUAUGAUAGGAAUAACAGAGAAUUCACCAUCAUUUCUCAAAUCAUCCCUCAACAACAAUUCAACAAUUUCCUUCUUUUAUGCUUCCCUGCCAAAUACCUUGGCUUCAUUCACCAAAGAGGUUGUGGGUAGUCUUUGCCUGUCUUUUUUGGACCCCCCAGUUGAACUUUCUUUCAAAUCCAGCAAGUCUUUCUGUGUCACAAUUUCUUGAAAUCUGCCGUUGAUCUCUUUGAUUUUGGACAUCAAGGCAUAAUCGAACUGAAUCUAUUGUGGAGUAAAAGUGGUGCAGCAAGUAGGAAUGAGCUUCCGAAACUUACUUGUUCUUGUACGACUGCUACUGGGUUGAUCCUGAGCCGCAGCUGGAUCUCCAUUUCCAAGCAGCAACCUCCUCCGGAAAGCCUCAGUUUGAAACUCAUCCAACAAGUCUUCAACAUCAUAAGCGAAGUUCUGAAGCUUGCCAAGCCACUUCUUCACAAACUGAUUAGUCGUCUUCUUCUCCUCAGCAUCAUCAAGCACCGCCUUGAUCAUCUCCAACAUAUUCGCCCACUUCAUCAGAUCGGCCUGGAUUUGCUCUUGGCGUGCAAAAAACAGAAUCCCCUCUGAAGCUAACUUAUUGACCAGCAAAUCAACGGACGCCGUAAGGAUUGCCUCUCCGAUGAUUGACAUUUUUUUCUUUUUUUUUUUUUGUUUUGCAAAGAAAGAAACAGAAUUUUGAGUUUUGAAAAGCAAAAUGAGAAAAUUGAACAAUAAAUGUGGAGGGUCAAGCAAAAUGCGCGUAACAAGUCUUCCGCUUGUUGUUUAUUCCAGGAAAGUGCAAAUAAAAACAGAGCCCACCACCCAUUAAUAAUUGAGCAAUUCACCAAUCACGAGUCACCACCACUCGUUACCAUGAAUAUAAUAAAUUGCACCUUGAUAUUUGCAGGGUCCAGCAACAUUGACCCAGUGUCCGGGUAAAUGCUGAAUAACGAGGAAAAUGGAAUGUAUCCCCUACGAACCUUCGCUUUACUAGUCUUCAAACUCAUAAACCAAGUUAAAUCAAAAUGUUUAUCUCUCUCACCCUUUUUGCCAUAUAAUUACUUUAUUUAUUGAAUUAAUUUCCAUGCUAAAACGAACACUUAAAAGUGCACUACAAUUUUUUAUAAUCACUACUAUCAUGUUAUCUUAAUGUCGUGUCAAAAUAAAUUAUAAUAAUUUUUUUUUUACAUAAACACUCUUUUUAUUUAUGAAUUUCUCAAUUUUUAAUAUUUUUUUCACUCUUUUAGUCUUAAUAUUUGUAUUUCUCUCUUUAAUCUUUCUUUAUUACUUAAUUUUUAAAGAAAAAUAUAAAAAAAAAGAAAAAUAUUAUACUUAAAAAAUAGUGUAUAUUUUAUGGAUCUAAUACAAACUGUAUUGUUUUUGACAAUGAAAGUCAAGCGAAAAAUCUCGCUCAUAGAAAACUUUGUGAAAGGCAUUUGAAUGUGUGGCCACAUUUUCCGAACGAAACGAUGAGGCUUUAGCCUUAUAAUUGCAAUUAGUUUGUCUUGUAACUAAAUUAUUGCCGACAAACACCAUCAUGCUGACAAACCGUGCAUGCACGUCCUCAAUCACCCACGUCCUCUACUUGUGUGAACCGUGAUUCUCAAAGACUUCGACAUCGUAUUUCCCAUUAUUUCCCGUACUUUAUGCGUUAUUGUUUUGUGGACUUGACUAGCUUACAGAAUCUGUAAGCUACAGACUGCAGCAUCAGCCGUUGGAUGUGGUUGGAUGUGGAGUGAGAAACUAAACAAUAGAAAAUCGGAUGGUGGGAUGACGGGAGAUGUUUGUUACAGAAUCUGCAGCAUAGACAGGUCCUUGUUUUGUAUGUCUUUUGGUGUUUGCGGUGUAGUUAGGGAUGGUAGCGGGUAGGGUCUGGUACGGGUUUGACAUCACCAAACCCACAUCUACAAAAAAUUUUAAUUACUAAAUUCGCUGUGGGUUAUAUUUAAUUUUAUUUUUUUUUAACGAAGCCCAUUCACUGUCGGUUUGAUUGGUGCCUAGUGGAUAUUUUGCGAGUUCCCACGUAUAAAAUCACACUUGCAACAAAAUCUAAAAAUUUAAAUUACGUAAUUCAAAUCAUAAAUUUAUAAUUGUUGCCUAAAAAACCACAUAAAAUAUUUAGUUCUACAUUUUAUUAAUGUAAAUGAGAAAUGAAAAUAUCAACAUUAAAACAAAUAUACAAAAUAUAUCCAUUUAACACGAAUUCUUAAAUUUAAUUACCAAAUAAAUAAGCCUAUCACAACUCGAAGUGUUUUCAAUUGAAAAGAAAAAAGAGAAAGAGAAAAAAACAAAGAACUACAAAUCAAAGUAGCACCCAUAACCUAUUUCAUAGGCUCAUUUGACACCAAGAUCUUAGAAUUAAGAUCUUCAAUUCACUCAUUACCACUAGCACCCAUUCAAUGUAGUUUGUCUAAACAAAAUAUAAAGUACAAAAUUACAAUAAGCAUAUGAUACUCCAUACUUUAUGUUAAAGAUCCUUAUAUAAUUUUAUGACUAUUUUUAGUGAAAUUUUAUGAUUAAAGUUAAAAAUAAAAAUAUUAAAAUAAGAACGUUGGACACCUGCGCAACUAUUUGCCAAAUUUUUUCUCUAUAAAAAUUCACUUGCAACUUGCAGCAGGUUUAAAUUUAUAAUAUCAAACUUGAUUGUAGCUCGCAAAAUUUUUAGAUUUGCGAUAAUUUUGCCACCCUAAGUGCAGUUAGUAUUGUAUAUCAUGUGUUUCCAAUUGGCUCUUAUAAAAAGCCUAGAAGUUGUUUGAAUAAUGAGGGAGACAAAUAUUUCCCAAAGAUAUUCUCUUUUUCAAUUUUUUUUCUUUUCUCUAUUAUUGUAACUUCAAAUCCUUAAAAAUUACAUAUUAUAGACAUGAACACAAUGUUUUGACAUAGUGGCUUUUGGCUUGUCCAGAGAAAUUUAGGAUAGAUUUUGAUGUACUAAGGCUCUGUUUACUAUUGAGAUUUUGGAACUUUUGAGCCACACUUGAAAUUUGUUUAAUUCUAAUAGAGUUGUAGCUUUCGAUAUGUGAUUGGUAUUAAUCAAGUGUUAUGUUUACAGCAGUUAAAGGCAUAUUGAAUCAAAGUCCACUUUUGAUUGAGAUUUUAAAGUAGGUUUUUAAUUUGAUAGCCACUCAAGUUCAAAUAUUGGAACCACAGUGCACCUUUCACUUGCUAGGCUUUAACCAAACAGACGACGUUAUACAAACUUCUAUCCAAUAAGGCAAUGCAAACAAAAGCAAGUGAAUUAAAAAUAAAUAAUUUCUCAUUAAUUUGCAACAAGUAUUAAUAAAGUGCAUGAGAAAAUAUGUCUUUUUUUAAAUGAAAAUAAAUGUGUUAAUUAGUCAAUUUAAAUGGUACGAUGUUUUGAAAUGAUAGAAGCGAUCUGGAGUUUAAAUCUUACUCUUGACGUAAUAUUUAAUAACGAAUUUGAAGAACAAUUAAAAAUUAAAAAAAAAAUGCUUUCUUUUUUAACGAUGGUAAUUUGUUGAGAUGAUGAAAAUUCUUAGAGUGGUAUAAUAAGUAUUUUUGAGUGUUGCCAUCGCGAAUAAUAUUUAAUUUCCUUUAUAUAGUUAUAUCUCAAGUAACAUUUAAACAAAAGCAAGUUGGAAAUUAAAAAAAAAAUGAACCAUUGAGAGAAUGAAAAACAAACAAAAAAAAAGUUAAAAAAUUGUAUCUCAAUAAAUUUACUUGAGAGCUACUCUACUGAUCUGUGAAGAAAAAACACAAAGAAUGAUGAUGUAUCUCAAUUAAUAGGACAGUUUUUGUAUUCUUCGUUUACUCAAUAAUCACGAAACUUCAUUUAAACUUGUUACUUCAUUGAUAAUAUAUUAACAUUGAACAAUGUAGGGAACAUUCCUUUCCAAUUAUGCCCAUAUAUUAACCAAAGGCCACCAAAAAGUUCAGGAAUACUAUAGUAAUUUAAGUCAACAAUCUCUGUGCUUGAAAUCAGCCGAUCAAACUCACUUUAGAAUAAACUGAGAAAUCAAAAUCACAUUCUCCAAUUCUACGAUUUCAAUUUAUCUUCUUUCUUCAACUGAAGAAUUGGUUGUAUCUCGUUUAGAUAAAUAUAAAAUAUAAAUGACGAGGAGACUGGAAAAGUAAAAUCAAAAGCAGAGCACGAGUUUUGUUGAAAAUGACUCUUUUUCAUCAUUUUGCCAGAGUGAAUGUAUCUACAUAUAAACUAAAGAAGCACGUUUGUUUGUAUUAGCUUUUUUAUUAUAUUUUUAAUAAUAAGUCAUUUUUCAAUGAACUUAUAUCAAUUUUUACGAAAAUAAUAGGUGUUAGUUAGUUGAUUCAAAUGGCAAAACCUCUUGGGAUAGAGCUUGUAAUUUAUUGGCUCAUGAAUUGUCUAAAUUGACACUACCGAAGCCAAAUUAUUGUAUUUGGUUAAAAAAGCUCCUGCUCAGCUUCAACUUUAUUAUUCUAUGAUGUUUGUUAAUAAAUAACAAUUUUAUUGAAAAAAAAAAAAGACCCCUUGUCCUUAUACAAAAGAUUUGGGAUCUGAAUCUGACUCGAAUUUAGCUUGAGGUUGACAUUGUUAGCAUAAUAAUUGAAGAUAGAUUUUUUUAAAUUAAAAAUCAAAAGAUAUAUAUAUUUUUUUGGUUCACACUAGUUAGUUUUAACUAUAGUGAGAUUUAAACAAAAGCGGAAUAAUAAAUCUUAACAUCCUGACUCAUGGAUAACAUCUACAUAAGAUAGUAAAAUCUAUUAUGUCUAAAAUAAGAGGUUUGAAGUUUGAAUUUCGCUUACAUAGGUAGUAAGAGAAUCAAAUUAUUGUUAGAUUAAAGUAAUUAAAACAAUUAUCUGAUGUCCAAAACAACGUAUCAACAAAAUUGAAAUAAAAGAAAAUUGAAGAGAAAAACCAUUGAGAGAACGAAAAAUUAACACAAGAUAAAUUCGAUAACUAAUUGUAUCAGUGUGCGCCAACUCCACUUAUUAAAACUUGGUUAUUUCAUUUUCAUCGAUAAUCAUUUUGACAACGAUUUUUCUUUCUAGCUAUGCCCAUGAACUAAUAAGAGAACUGCCGAAAGGGUUCGGGGAUAAUAUAGUAAUUUAAAUUAACAUUUUCUGUGCUUCAAAUCAUCAAAUCAAACUCACACUUCACAACAACAGAGAAAUCAAACUCACGGUUUCUCUCAUUUUUAAUUUGUUAUAUAAAGAUAAAUAUAUAAAUUUAAACGGCGAGAAGACCGGACGAGGAAUACGAUUACUUGUUCAAAUUGGUAUUAAUCUAAAAAUAAUAAUAUUAAAUAAAACACCUGUAACUUUAAGACAUGCAUAUUCUCAAAGCACAAGUGGAGCCGAGAGGCUGGGAGUCGUAAUGGAAAAAAAAUUAAAACACCAUUUACUAAAUGUUAAAUGUUACUUUUUGAUUAAUCUCAUAAGCAACAACAGUUUGACAUAAAUAUCUUAAAUAAAUAUUUUAAUAAACUUUUUAGACAAUGGUAUUGGAGAUUAUUAUUUUUUAAAAUCUGAGAAUCAACUACGAAUCGAUGGGUAAACUCUAAAAAGACUAAUGGUAAAAUUACCCGCCACCAAAAAUUCGUAACAAAUCCCAAGUACUUAUCAAUAAAAGCAAGCGGAAAGAAGAAGAGGCCUGGCUGGCCAUCCUAAGUACUUAUCCGGGUCAUGGGUCAUGAGUCAUUGCCGUAUAAAAAAUUUUGAAAAUUCCAAAUGAAAAGAUAUUUUGAAAUUGGGCAGCUGGCCUUUUUUCCUUGCUAUUAUCUACAAUAUUUAUUUUUGCAAUCCGCAUGCAUGCUCGGUUAUGAUCACCCACGUGAUCGGUAUUACGUUUUUUUUAUCUUCUUAUUGACAAAUUAUUUAGUGUGCGGACUCCAUUCAUGCUCCCACGUUAAUCUUUCCAAAUUUUGUGCAAUAAAAGUUCGGCCGAUCCGCUAUUCACUUUGCCACAGAAGCGAGACCUCGCAAAAGCAACUUAAUUACUUCUUGAGUUUUAAUUUGGAAAGUGGAGGUUUCUUCUGAUUUGAACAAUAUGGAAACUACCGCUGCAAGUUUUUUUUUUUUUGGGCGAAUUUCAGUUGAAUAUCAUUUAUAAUUCUUAUUUCAAUAUAUUUAUAAAUAAGUUUAAUAAUAUUAAAUUUUCACUUAAGAAUGACCGGUGGGAGGGUCAUGCAGAUGUGCCUGAUUUGGGUGUUGGAAUAUUUAUAGUGGCCCAUGUGCCACAUUAUUGAAUUAGCAAUAAUUUAAAAUUUAAAUGAUAAAAUAAAUAAUGGGCCAAAAUGGUCAAUUGGGAAAAUCUAAUUGCCCACUUUAAUGGAAAGUGGAAAUAAGAGUUUUAUUGAAAUUGAUUUUCUCUCUAUAUAUAUAUAUAUAUCGCGUUAAUUUUCGUUCCAUCAAAAAAGCAAAUCACUCUAAAGGGGUCAAGAGAUAAAAAUUAAUUUUACUAAUCUUUAAUUAUUUACCGUGAGAUUUGAUCAAGAAGAUUGUUAUGGAUCAAGAUAUGUUUUCUCUCAAUUAUGAUGAUGUGAAAAUCAUGAUAUUCUAUGAUCUUAGGGAUUGAAGUUUAUGUAAAUUAAGGUUUAUUUGCUUUAUAAGAGGUGUAAAAAUUCUCAACAACCGGUAGCAGAGCAUGGUUUAAGAAUUUAUGAUUUUCUAUUAAGAUAUGUAAUAACCCUUUCUUAAUUUUCAAUUGUCCUUACGAGUAUAUGUCAAUUUGGAUUUUUAUUCCACAUAUACAUAAUGUAUAAAGAAAGUUACUGGCAUAGAAAUUUUUUGCAAAAAAAAAAAAAAGAAUUCAAAGAUGUUUUUGACUGCUGGCGGCACAUUACAUAAAGAUGAAAUUAGGUUAUCUUUUCUAGUUUUUCAUGAGACACCCUAAGGUUUAUUUAGUUUAUGUUUUUCGCCAAAGUUUAGAAUGUUGUUUCAUUUAAGUCCAAUUGAAUUUGCAACGGCCAUCACAUGCUGUCUUCAAGCCGAAAUUUAGGAGCAAUUGCAUGUGACAUUUCAGUGUAGUCCCUGAUAUUCUAUUUUAUUAAAUUAAAGAUAUGAUUAAUUGGAUUUAGUAUGAUAAAGGCGCCGACUUUAUGUGCAUCAAGCCUUAUAAGUUUUGUUCUCAUAAUUUUGAAUGCUUCCGCUCAUUAAUUAAUGAUCUCCGAAAUUUCUUAAUGUUCCAAUUUUAAUGUUUGAAAUUUGAAUUGAUGGUUGUGGUUUUAUUUACUUUAUUAAAGAAAUUACUUUGUUAUAAAUGUUCAAUUUGACAUUCAUAUUAUGAUAAUUUGUUAGUUACUAAAGUAGCCAAAUUAAAAAGUUUUCAUAGAUGUCAAAUUAAAUUCAAUUUCAAGUUCUCAUAAUUAUUGUGAUGCGUAUCAUUUAAUGACAUGAUGAUCUUGUUGUAUGAGUAUAUUGAAAUUCAUAGAUUAUAAAAUAUUUAGGAAUUGCUCAAAGGUUGAUUAAUUAAUUUUAUAGUAUAUGAUCAUGAUUGUGGGUAAUUAGUAUGCUUGUUUAGAUAUGUUUAGUAUAUCCAAAGAUAGCAAGCAUGUCUAGUUUAUGUAUAGUUGAUUACUGAUUAUGUGAAAUUAAAGUUAAGCAUCAAUUAUGUUUAUUGCAGUGUAUUGUUGUAUCACCAAAUAAAUUAAGCUUCAUAAUUUUAUGUUAGUAAGUAUUAAUAAAUUAAUAUAGGUAACAUUAAAUAAUUUAAAUUAGCUGUAGAAAAUUUUAAAAUAUUUUAUUGAUGAUAAAAAAAUUAGCGAUUAUUAUAUCAUGAAUUAAUUGAUAUGUAAAUUAUUUAUUUAUCAAAAUUAUUUUUCAUUUAAUUAAAUAUUAAUUGAGGUUUAAAAAUUAACAUGGUAUUGUAUUUUAUGGUCCUGACCCCCAUCUCUAAAUUAGAAGCAAUUCUCAAACCCGUCCCAUCUCUAAGGAAAGUUUCGUCUUCAGCAUAAUAACUAUAUAAUAUCAUAAUUCACCCCAAUUCUGUUUUUGAGGUUUUUUGGGGCCCAUACCCGAUCCCAAUUCAUCGCGAGCCAGCACAUGAGUCCUGCUCGCGGAUUACAAAAGCAAAUAUUGUGGAUAAUAGCAAGAUAAAAAUUGUGGCGGGUACAUAACGCGAAACAAAUAAGAUUACAAUUAAAUUAAACGCGAGAAAUUACUUUUCUAGCAAAAGCUUAAUCCAACCCCUCCAUUACUUCUUUUUUUUUUUUUUGGUAAAAAGGGGCUCUAGGCAGAGCUAAAGAACAAUCGAGCGAGAAUGGGCAACCCCAUAAGCAUCCUUAAACAAAAAGGGUCUAGCACCCAACGGGGGAGUAUGGUAGAUAGUAAGACCAAGAGGAAUAGAGAAGGCUAGGCUCGCCAUAUAAUCCGCUGCGAAGUUAGCUUCUCUGUAAAUAUGGGAAACAGAAACUUGCCAAUCCAUCUUUAGAUAAUCCUUGAUAGCUCGAAUCAGAGGAGUAUAGUGAUUGAUUUCCAAUGUUGGCUUGGUCACCAACUGCAGCACACAACAACUAUCUAUUUCCACUUUAAGCUUUCUUAUACCAGAAUUCCAGGCUAGCUGCAACCCUUGAUACAAACCCCAAAGCUCCGCUACUGUAACAGAGCAGGAACCUAUCAUCAUCCCAAAACCACUUAUCCAGCGACCCAUGUGAUCGCGAAUCAAUCCCCCAGCAGAAGAAAUUCCCUCCCUGUUAUGGGCACCAUCCGUGUUCAGAGAGCACCAAGGCCAAUCUGGAGGUUUCCAAGAAAUCCAUCUCAUCACUCUUGUAUGUCCUGAGGUAAGCGGAUGAGAAUGAAUCUUAUGCAUUUCCGCAGUGCGCAUAAAAACAUCCAUUAAAACAGUAUUCGGAUCCAUAGAAACUUGAUUAAAGAUGAAUUGGUUCCUCCAAAACCAAAGUCUCCAGAGAGCAAUACCAAAGAAGAUGGCCCAAUUAGAAACACUCCCUAGCCCUCCGACCAUUCCCAGGUUCGUACGAAGCCAAUCAUGGAGCCGCCAAUUGAAGAAUUGUUGUCGUUUAUUUUCUGGGAGAAUCAGGAGCCAGAAACGCUUAACCAAAGCACAGUCCCGCAAGACAUGCAUAGCAUCCUCAGUCGCAGCCCCACACCGGUCGCAGGAGGUUGAUACCGGGAUGUGACGACGAACUAAUUCGGCCUUAGUUUUCAGACGAUCGUGAAAUGCUUGCCAUAAGAAGAUCCUCACACUUUGGGGACCCUUCCAACUCCAAACCGUACGCCAGAGCCUGUCAUCAUGCAUGGGAGUAUCAUUCGAAAAGGCCAAGUAGGCCGAGUGAGUAGUGAAACGCCCAGAUUUGGAGUGAGUCCAAAACAAAGAAUCCGUACCCUUAUCAGGGGAUGGGGGAUGAAAAGCCGCAAUCUGAAUAAUGAUAUUAGCAGGAAGAAAUUGUUCAAAACGCUCCCAGAGCCAGGAACCAUCUUCUUUAACAAAAUCAGCCACUUUACCGUUUAAGAUAUUGCUAGGAAGAUUAUUGGUUGUAUAAGCCGCAAGAGGGACAUCCUUAGUCACCCAAAGAUCCCACCAAAACCAAACGGAUUUACCAUCUCCCAAGCACCAGCGUCGGCUUGCCAAAACAUCACUCCACACAUUUCCGAUAGACUUCCACAAGUGAGAACCAUAGCGCGUUGGAAUGAUGUAUUCUUUAAUUAUUUUUCGUUAUUUUACUUCCUGUUCAUCAAGUUUGUGAUGUUUACAACAAUUAUUCAUUUGAAAAGUUAUCCAAUGAUGUCAAUACGUGAAAAUUGAGAAUAUGUAUAGCGAAAAAAGUUUUCUUCCUCCUCCCUUAUUGAUUCAAAUUAAAAAAAUUUUAUAACGGAUUUAAUGUGGUUUAAAAGUUCAAUUUUAUAUAACAUUUUAACGACAUAAACGGAACAGAUCAAUCACAUAAUCGAGCAUAAUGAUAAGAAUCUUCUUGCUAUAUGUGCAAGAUGAAUUAUAUAAUCUUGAUUUUGGAAAAUGUGAUCAGAGCUGCAAAAAUGAAGAUUAUUUAACCUUGGAUGACAAUGAUUAAUACCCGUCCAUUUCUCCUAAGCUCUGUUUCUUACUUUGAUGCGCACGUGACUUGAGAGCUUCAUCUUCCUCUAGCUUCCUUUCGUGAAACGUACUACCAAAUAACAGUAGCCUACUAACAAAUUAAGAAAUAAUCCAAUAUCUUUAGUACAAAUCCAAGUAGUCUCAUUUUGACUUUGAGCAAGCUUUUUAAUUCCACACUCAGAGACAAAAUUUUGUGAAUUCACAUUAUUUAACAAAAUAAUUAACAAAUUAAUUGUGAUUAUGGUUGACGAUCAUUUUGAUAAGCAUCAUAAACAAAAUGACUGUUGUAGAGGCCGAAAUUCCAAAAGUUUCGUUGCAUAUUUAGUGAAAUAAUGCAAGGACGAAGUAUCACUUAGCUGUAAGAAUUAGCCACCCAACAAUUUGUGGAGUUUGUUUUAGGUAAAAUAAAUAAAUAAAUAAAUAAUAGAGAGCAUAAUUAAGCCAACAUGGAUAGACUAACUUAAACAAUAUAUUGCACACAAUGAUUAUUUUUAUUAACUUUCUUUUUCAAGAAGACAUGGUACACAAAAGUAAAAAAAAAAAAUCUCUUGUAUAGCUCAAGAGAUUUUAUAAGUUGAAUUAAGCCAACAGAGACACUCACACAAUUGAUAGAUAAUGAUAACCCAUUAUUUUAUUUAACUAAUAUAAUACGGAAAGAGUAACUUGUACUUAACCAGUGUAGUCGGGAUUUCUUCCAUGUUGAGGGACAAUAAGGAGAUCCAGAUUGUCGUUCAUGCUCUCAUCAUUAAAAAUACUGAUCAGAGAUAUUAGAUCACCCUCAGACCACUCGACCUUCCCUAAAAACUCACAACAACAAUUAUAUUCAUUAAUACAUAUAUUAAAAUAAAAAUUAUAAAUGACAUUCAACUGAACAUGGCCUGAGAACCUGGAUAAGGAACUUCUAUGUUCUUCAAAUUAGAAAAGAUAUCUUCUAACUUCUGGUGAACCGUAAUCGAAAUUGAAGUUGCUUUUGUUUCUGGUUUGAUAAUAUGUUGUUGAUGUAUUUAUUUACGAGUCUUCAUAUAGUAUAGUGCUGUAUGCAAUACAGCCCCUUCAACAGUAAAAAGGAAACUUGAACAACCGAUAUUUUACCGGUUGUACAUUUAAUAAAUUUUUAAAAAUUAUUUUUAAUGCAGAAAAAUAAAAUAAAACGGAAAAAAUUAAGGAAAAUUUGUAAAUAUUUAACACAAACAAUAUUUGAGAAAAAAAUAUUUUUUAAUUUCAACAAAAGUUAAAAAAAUAAAAAUAAGCAUGUCUCGACUCUUUUGUUUUAAUGUCAAUAUAUUAGGUGACAUUCCAAGUUAAUUUCACAUAUACCUAAUUUUGAUUAAACUUUCUCACUAGUUGGUUUGCUUAUCUCCACUUUCCGAUCCACUAGUUUUAUGUUUAAUAUUCCCACUAAACUCGUUAAAUACUAAUAUUUUAGGUCAAAAUCCAAUUAAAUUUAUUUCUCGUUAGACAAGUAUCAAUAUUCCGUUAAACUUUCUCCACAUUUGGUUCAUGUGUUUCAACGAUUAUUCUACUAGUUUUUCAUUUAAUAUUUCAACUAGUUUAUCAAGAUUCCAAUUAUAUGGGCUAGAUAUUGAUAUCACUUUUUUUUGUUUGAUUAGUUCUAAAUUUUGGUAAUAGUUUUCCAUCUAUAGGUUCACAUGUUUCAACUUAUUGGUCCACUAAUUUUACAUUUGAUAUUUCUACUAAAUUUGUCAAGUACCAAUAUUUAUUGUUAGCUUCCAAGUAAUUAACAUUAUUCGUUGGAUAAGUUUCAAGUUUUGGUUGUUCUUUCUCUCUUAAUGGUUCACGUGUUUCCUCUAAUUUUUUCCCUAAUUUUGCGUUGAAAAUUGCCAUUAAUUGGUUGAGAUUCCAAUUACUAAGGUUAUGUACUAGGUUUGUUUUCUAUAACUUUAUUUUUUGUUUUGUAGGUCUCUAAUUUUGGUUGUGCUUUCCCCAUUUUUGGUUGACGUAUUUCAAUUGUAAUUCCACAGGUUUUGUGUUCGUUAUUCCAACUAACUUGGUAAAAUUCUAAUUAUAUGGGUUAAAUAUCAAUAUUAAUUUUGCUUGGUUUGAUUAGUCUCAAGUUUUGGUUAUACUUUUUUAUCUUUUGGUUCACAUGUUUCAACUUAUUGGUCCACUGGUUUUGCAUUUCAUAUUUCUAUAAAGUUCGUUAGGUACUAGUAUCAUGGGUUAGAUUCCAAGUAAAUAUCAUUUUUUGUUAAAUGAGUUUCUAAUUUUCAUCAAACUUUCUCUUCUAAUGGUUCACGUGUUUCAUCUAAUUUUUCCCUAAUUUUGUGUUAAAUAUCCCCAUUAACUGGUUGAGAUUCCCAUUACUGAGGUUAGGUACCAAGUUUGUUUUCUAUAACUUUAUUUUUGGUUUUGUAGUUAUCUAAUUUUGGUUGUGCUUUUCUCUAUUUUUUGUUGACGUAUUUCAUUUGUAAUUCCACAAAUUUUGCGUUCGUUAUUUCAACUUAUUCCACAUGUUUUGCGUUCGUUAUUAGAAUAAAAGCAACAUGUUCCAUCAAAAUUUAAGAAUGAUUACUAGUGCUUUCAUGCUCGUGGAGGUGAGAAUGGGAGACGCUUGUUGUCUUAAGUGACUAUUCUUACCCCACUAAAUUUAAUUAAUUUAAUAAUUUAAUAAAUUUAAUCAUUCCUUCUCUAUAUGGUGUUUCCAGCCCUAACGAUUAUUUUCUUAAUAUUAAAAUUGUCAAUAAUAAUAAUUACAAUUAUUAUAACAAAUAGUAAUAAUGAUAAUAAUUGAUUGAGGAUAAAUUAAUAAUUUAUAAUAACUCAUUCUAAUUUAUGUUCACAAAGUAAACAUAUUAAUAGCGAUAUAGAAUAUUCCAAUUGUGUUUCAUUCAUCCAACAAAUAUCAUAUUUUGUUUGUUAUUCUUCAUUUUUAUUGUAGCCCAUUCUAAUUCUAUUUUUUUUUAAAUUUUUGUAAAUUUCAAUUAUUUAUUAGUGAACACAUCAAAAAUUUAAUAAAAAUCAAAUUUCACAUUAGAAAGAGCAUGCAAGGUAGACUUUUGUAGGGUUUGCAAAUCAUAUUGUAGGUAUUUGGAAAUUCACAAAAAGUAAAUAAUGUUAUGUACAUAAAUAAGUUCUUGUUUAUAACGUUUUGCUGUAUUUCACAAAAAGUAAAUAAUGUCGUGUUUGGAUGCUAGGAUUAAGUAUGGGAUUGGACUAAUUUUGGGAUUAAAUAUUUAUCCAAUGUUUGUCAAGCUUAGUUGGAUUGGAUUAAGGGGGUAGUAAUUUAAAUUUAAUCCUAAAAUCAUGGGAUUAAUAAUCCUAAUUUACGCAUGGAUUUAGUUGGGAUAAGAUUAAUGAAAAAAGUUGUCCAUUUAUGAGAUUUUUAUUUAUAUCAUUUUUUUAUUUGCACCUAAUAUUAAAUAAUUAAUUAAUUUUUAUUAUGAUUUACUUAAAACUUAUUUUUAUUUAUUAGCUAUGAUCUAAUUAAAUUAAUAUCUUUACUUGUAUUAACUCUAGAGAUUAAAUUUUCACCACUUAUAUAUUUAGUAAUUUACCGAUAAAAUUAAAUGUUUAAUUAUUUAUUUCGCAAACACACCAAUAUUACAUAAUUUCCCUAUUAUUGCCAUCGGUUCCCAAACAUCCAAGAGCCGGUCGGCAACAAGAGAAAAAAUAGGGGUGACAUAACGACGACUAUGUAAUCAUGGCCAAUAAAUUAUUUCACAGUACCUAAUUAUAGCAACGAUUAAAUGCAACCUGAAAUAUGUUGUUGAAGUCAUAGUUAUGGAAAAUUUUACAAACUUCAAAUAAGACCAAAAAAUUACAAAGAGUAAUGUUAAAUAUCCCAAUUAAAAUUGUGCCACUAUUCAAUCACAAAUGUAGGAUAGGUGACUAUAAUUUUUCUAUAAGUAAUGCUUUGGUACUUUUAACAGUGUGAUGAGUAAACGUUAAUUUUUAUAUUUUAACUCAUGAUCGUUAAGAGAAAUUAAAUUUGGGGUGUGUUUUUCAAAUAAACGUGACACUUCAAAAAUAUAUAUCUCAUCCUUCUCCCCGUUCCUCAUCAAAAACCACUUUUUCCAAUUUUCUCCCACAGGAUGCAGGAAUGAAGAAUGCAUGGAAGGAGAAAUUACCUAUCCAAACAUCCAUAUAUGGAAAUCAUCAACACAAACCACAAAAUUAAGCUAUCUUAUGAAAAAUGACCAUAAUGCAUAAUCAAAAUAUAACAAGUAUUGACAAAUUUGAAAACAAAAUACAUAAUAAUCAUAAUUUCUGGGCAUAAAACCAUGGGAUAAUCACUAAGGAGGUGGUGGAGAUGAAGAUGAGGAUGGCGGCGAAAUCCCAAGAGUGCGGUAGAUGAGCUGCUGGUCAUCUAGAAUCUGCUGUUGCUGUGCAAAAAUACUCUGCUGCUCAGAAUGGAAGUGAUAGUGGAACGCUGCAAACCGUGCCUGAAGUUCGUUUGGUUGUAUAGAUAUGGAACGGAUUAAAACCGUCCCUUUAUAUAGGUAAUGAGUAACUACCUUAUCUUUUUAAUAAUUAAAAGAAAAGUAUUCCUUUAAUUAUUGGUAGAAUAUAUUUUCCAAUUCACUAUAAAAAAUAAAUACUACUAGGGUGAAGAAUAUAAGUAUAAAUUGAAAUACAAAAUUUUUUCACUUUAAGCGUUUUCUCAAAUUUUUUCCCAUAAGAAACUCAAAAAUGUAUUAAUGAAUAAGUUGUAAAACAGAAAGUGGACAAGCCGUCCGCUUAAAAAACAAAGUCUAACACUAUUUGUGCCAUACGAAAGUGUACCCAAUCACCCCUAAAGUGUUUUUUCAACUUUUUCUCGUAUUUGUCUUUUAAGAAUACUUAAUAGAUUAGAUAUUGUAAUAUAAAAAUUGAAGACAAAAACAAACAUGAAUGAUGUAUCAAUAAAUUAAUGGAGAUCUAUUACUACAUUUGGAGUAAAAUUAUGAAUAAAUUAACAUAGAUAAUGAAUUUAUGCCUGUACUCUAUAAUGCAAAUAAUAUUAUGUUUUUAAUUCAAUUUAGCACCCUACAAGAAGAGAUUACCUUAUCGCUUCCAAUCCUUCCUCUAGAUCUAAGCCACUUCAUGAACUUCUUGAUCCUUGAUUCGUUCCAAAAUGUGAUAGGAAGUAUAUUCCUAUAAGGCUGAAUGUUGUCAUAUGCAACAUUAUGGAGAUAAAAGAUCUGCAUGAGCAACUUAUAAUUAAUAAGAAUAAUAUUAUUCAUGGUAAGCAUAUGCUCAGCUUUAGUUGCAGAAACUAUGUCACCUGUAGGAAGUGCAAACAAAUUCCAAUGUAUGCUGCUUGUUGUUUCCAUUAUUUCAUUGUCACCAGAAUGUGAGUUUGAAUUACCCAUCCUUUUAUCUCUCUUUUUGUACCUUGCCUUUUGUUCGGGAGGAAGUUCUUUGUUCCCAAUAUUUUUUCGUAACUGUCAAAAUGAUAAUGAAUAUGUCUUAAAACAUAAAAAACCCACAAAAUAAUAUCUGUACAUGCUACAUUUAAUGAAUAUACUAACCCCAAUCGUAAGGACAAAUCUAAAUUUUCACUUCUCAAACGCUUAACUUCUUCAUUGCUGCAAAAACAUAACAUCUAAUUACUGAUAUUUGGUAUGGGCGUGUUUCUUUCCCGAUAGGUAAAUCACAACGACUAUUUACAAGUAAGAGACAAAUCCAUAAGUUGAAGAAGUUGGAACUGCAUCCUGACCAUUUGCUUUUAGAAUAAGAGCACUUUUUUUUCUGUAAGCCCCCUGGUAGUUGUUUACGCUUUCGUCGGUGACUGUCCAAGAAAAAUUUUAAAUAAUUAAGUGAAGGAUAAUUAUUCCAUCAAUAUGUGUUAAUGUUUUUUAAAAAAAUGAGCUCCCCCACCUGCUAUUCAAAGUCACUGUGUAGUCCUUACUUUUUAAUCUAUUAAACAUUCCAUAUAUGGUGGAAUUCAAGCACAAAUUAUAAUUUUAUUUUCCUCAUUUAUACCAAAGAAAAAGAUGAUAAGAAUAACAAAGGAAAGAUCUUUAUUUUUGCCCAAGACUAAGACCUCUCACACACUCACAAUAAAUGAAUGACAGAGUGAAAAAAAUUGUAUAUAAUAAAGGGAUGGGAUCAAGAGCUCUCAUUUCUUACUACAAAAUUUACGAAAUCUAAAUAUUUCAACAACAUAAAAUUUAAUGGAUAAUGAUCUUUGCUGCAUACAUUAAAAUCAUGACUAUUACCGUGCCCUCAACUUUGCAUCAUACAAACAAAUUUCAUCAUAAAACAAAGUACAAUGCUUUUUUUUUUAAUAAAGAAAUACAUUAAAGGUGUUAUGGCAAAACGUGUUACUUCCCUUUCUUGAACAAGAAUUAAGCAACCCACAAAACCAGAGCUUACAGAAACAAGAUUAAGAAAGAAAAGAACAAAGAAGAAUCAAGCAUUCAAAGACUCACUACACACCAAGAACUAACGUGGUUCAGCUCCACAAAGGAACCUACAUCCACGGCUGUAAAAGCCAGCAAGGGCAGAAGCUUUAUUGAACUUGAAGAUGAUGGAUUACAAUUGAGUCACCACUACAGAUUAAACCUUUCUAAGCUUUAGCGUUUUUCUCUCUGUAAUACUUAAGUGUUUCUCUCUUGUGUGUACCCUCGUAGGCUAGCUUAGAGACAGCUUAUAUACAUGUAUGCUCCUCACGUGUGUAUCCACUUGCAACAAAUCAGUCUGUUAUUUAACUAACUAAUUCUCUCUGCUUUUGGAUCCCACUUACGCCAGCUCACCUGCCACAUCAUAAAGCCCAUAACAGAUUAUAACUAACUUCGGCUUCACAAAAGGCUGCUGUGAAUGAGUAGGGGAUGAUGGGUUGUAACCAAGAUCAAAAUCAAUGCAUUGAAACCAAUAUGACAAACUCCAUACUAUGAAUUAUUAUAAACACCUAAUAAAGGGUUAGUAUAUCAGAGGGAUUGGUACCUAGAAUGUACUUCAGCAAAACAGGACCCCUGAAAAUAAGAAAGAAAAGUUUUGCUCAACAUUCCAAAAAAAUAGAAGAAAGUAGAGCAUCUUGUCAGCUCUUUUUAAAAAAUUAUAUCGUUGUAACUUACACAAAAUUCCACUUAGCGCAAUCGUAAGAUUAAGAUAAAGGCCUGCUUGCUGCACCAGCUUGAUAAACUUCAGCAGAUCAGAAUUCCCCUCCAAGUAAUACUAAAACUAAUUAAAACAAAAACAAAAACAAAAAAACAAAAAUAGCAAAACAUUUACUAAAGAACUUAUUUAAAAUAUUACCCUAGAUUUGAGACUACAAGCAAACAGGGCCUUCUGAUAAAAACAAAUUACAUGCCAUAAAUAAAAUUAUUACAAGCCCACCAAAGAAAUUUUCAGGGUUAUAGUGAUUACAAACCUUCCCUAACUUUAUUUAUCUUCACCAAUGAAAAUAGGUCAACAUUUAACAUUCUUUUACAACCAAGUACACCAAGUCUUACAAUUAAAGGUUUAAGGUUACAAAGCAUAGUUACUUAAGACUCUUAGCUUUAUCGUAAGGCACCUUAGAAAAUUCUAUUACCACACAAAAACCUGGGCCUAUUUCUUAUAAACACGGCAAGAAUCACAUCCAAGGUCAAGCAAAUUCAACAACAAGCCCAUACGGCAUAUACCCAGCACAUACAUUGGCCGAUUUGAGGCACAAUACAAUAGAAUAUUAUCAUAAAACCACCACAAUAUCACUGGAUUCGAAUACAGGAACAAUAGAAAUUUAAUUGUUCAAUUAAAUCAUUACCCCAAAUCACGAAUACCAGCGAGACUACAUUAAUUCAUGCCACUGGCAGCAGCACAUUCUUUAAUAAAAUCCUUCAAACAUAAAAAAUCAGCUACAUGCGAAUCUAGAAUUUAAAAGGAAAUAUACAAUAAUUUUUUGAAGAGAAGAAAUGCCUUUCCACUUAUAUUCAAGAUAAUUCAAGAAAAUGACAGGCCCCAAUUCGCAGCUCAUCAAAACAAACCCCAUUACUUGCAGUUGCUUGAUGCUCGAUAAUGUUACCUCUCUCUUUUUUUUUUCAAUUUAUAAUUUUUUCUUUUUUGUGAAUAACGGAAUCUCAAGAUAAAAUAUUGCAGUAUGACUUAAUUGUAACUCUAUCGGUUCAAAAAUAAAAAUGAGAAGCCCUAGCAAUUAUCAUUCGAUUAUCAAUCCCUAGAAAUCAUCUCAAUAUUUCAAGUAAUAAUUUCUCAAUUGCAAAAUCAAAUUAUUGAAACUGAAAUUUCAAGUAAUAUUAAUAAACUAAACUGAAACUUCAAGCAUAUUUAAAUGACAUAAUAAGAUUCUUAAUCAUAUAUUAAAUUAGAGAGAGAGCUCACCGAAACUAUUGGAUGACAUAAGAGAGAGAUACAGCAAGAGAGAUGAUUUACGACAGUGAAAAUUUGAAGCUAUGACUGACGAAAUGAAGCUGAACGCGAGAAAUUGAGCGACGAAUUGAAGCGAGAGUGACAGAUCGAGUAAGCCUGAGUAAAUGGCACUCUUUCGACUACAUCUUUGCUCUUUGCUGUGAUGGGUGGUGAAUAUUCUUGAAUACCAAGUUCAUUGAUCCAAAAUUCUGGAUGUAGGAGAAAACAAUAGCAGAGAGAAUACGAAGGCUGUUAUUUUGAGGAGGAGAGAGAGGCAUCACAAUCCAACGGUUGUGAUUUUUUAGAUAAGUCAAGUGAUGACAUAAUAACUUAAAAGCUUCAUCUUCCUCUAGCUUCCUUUCGUGAAACCCGAAGCAAUUCCUUCCAUCUCUACGAUAUUAACAAAAGCCAAAAUUUUCAACCAUAAUUACAAUUAAUUUGCUACUUAAACAACGUGAAGUUACAAAAUUUUGGUUUCUGAAUGCGGAGUUAAAAACCUCUAACAUCAAUAUAUUGGGAAUUGUGCCCUCAUCGUCUUAAGAUUAUUUGUUAAUUAUUAUGUAGAAAGGAAAAAAGAUGGAUGAUUUCAAUUUCCACCAAUCGAUAUGCAUGCACGAGUCUGAACUGAGACUGAGAAGACUAUUAGUACAGAGACGGAGGAAAAUAAUCUGCUGAAGCACCGAGUGGCCUAUUUGGAUUUUUCGGAGAAGGUUGAUCUUUAAAGUUCAUUGUUUAUUCAACCAAUCAUAAACAAUCUUUUGUAUUAAAAAAAAAAAAUUAAAAGUUCCAGAUGAAAUGGUAUUUUGAAUAUUAUCUGCAAUAUUCACGUGAUUGGUACCACGUUUUUUAUUUUCUUAUUAACAAAAUUAUUUAUUUCGUAGGGACCGUAUUCUCGCUUCCAAGUUUCUCAUACAUAUGCAAUUUAACCAUUGCGGUUAAUUAGCAUUUGAGUUUUGACUUGGGAAGCGGUAGGGAUGGGAAUAAAAUUCGGAUCCGCAUGUUAAAAAAUGCAGAUUCACAUGUAAGAAAUUAAAUCUGCACGGAUCCGAAUCCGGAUUCAAAUACAAGUGCAUUCAGAAAAUCAGAUAUCCGGAUCCGGCUAAUUUUUUUAUUAAAUUAAAAAAUAUAUAUUAACUUUAACUUAAAAACAAAUUUAACCCAACUCUCACAUUCACACGCGCUUACAACACUUUACCAGCAGCCACAUCCCACAAACCCCUAACACCCAAAUACCCCCAAUUCCGUAGGAUGUCGCCGUCUGCCUCACGGCCUGGCCUAAGCCUCGUGUCCAAGCCUCGAUCUAAGUCGGUCUAUGUCGUUGCGCGCUGAACGCCUCGAUCUGAGUCGGUCGCUGCCGCUGCACGCUGCACGCCUCGAUCUGAGUAAGUUGCUGCCGCUACACGCUCGAUCUGAGUCAGUUGCUGUCGAAUCCUCGCCAUCGAAGAAGCCUCUUGCUGUCGAAUCCUCGCCAUCGGAGAAGCCUCGUCUAAGCACUUUAAUUAAAAUGGUAUUGGCAAGCCUUGUUGAAUCCUUUGGCCUUUGUUGAUUCAAUUUAGUUUAAUUUUGAAUAAAUUUCUUUGCUGAUUCGUUUCAUCACUUUAAUUAAAUGCAUUAAUUUUCAAUAUAAUGUAAAUGUUUAAUAGGUUUUGGGAUUAAGUUUUAAUUUGGAAAAUUGUUGAAUUUUUAAAUUAAAAAUUUAAAUCAAAUCUUGGUGAAACCUGUUGUCAUAUGCUGAUACGUCACUGUACAGUAAAAUUUGUUUAUUCAAAAUUUAAAUUAUGAGUUCGAAUUUGAUGCAGAAUGGGCAACCAGCCUACUGCAAACAAAUCUUCUGGAACAGUUCAGAUGAAGGGACAGCCAAUCCAGCAAAACAGCAACUGUUGUGGUUAGCAGAUCAUGUUAUUUUACUACUACAUGUUAACUAUGUUGACUGCAUUAUCUUAUGAAUCUUUUAAUCUGUCAAAUAUUUAUUUCCUGCUUUAAGUUUUUUCCCGUUUAUAACAAAUUUAAUUUCUUGCUCCAUUGCAUUCCAAAUUCCUGUCAAUUUACGAGGGAAAAAGAAAAGAGAGACGAAAUGGGAGAAAAUGGUCAAAUUUGUUAGGGGGGAGAGAGCUGUUCAAGUAGUUUUUGUUCUCGUUUAUUGUCGUGACCCUCUUGUCGCUUCUCUAUGACCUGGAAGUCCGGUCAUAUCGGAUGGGUAAAGUUACCAAAACGGCAUAAUUUUGGGUGAAAUAUCAUAUUUAUGUAACACUUUUGAUAAUAUUUUUAUGCAACAAAAAAAUGUUCGCUGUACCCUUUUCACAUUGUGAAGCGCAUGAUCGGAUGAGAGCAGUCUGGAUUCUGGCAUCACAAGCGAAUGCUUUGAUUUGCUUAGUUUGUUUUUUGUUUCUGAUAUUUUCUUGGCAUUGGGUGGGAUAUUGUUUCUCUUUUGAGUUUCCCUUUUUUUUUUAUUAUUAUGGAAUUUGGAGAUAGUGUACAUGUAUGAAGAAGACGUAAUCAAGUUGUUUUGAUAAAUUCCCCUGGUCGGUUUACUUCACUAACCAUUAAUGCGCAAAACCUCCUAAUGACCCUAAAAAAUCCCGUACAUAAUUAAAGAAUUUCAAUUUAAUAUGUACAAAAAUAAAUAACUCUCAAAUAUAUUAUUUGAUAAUUCUAAAAACAACAAUUCGCUCUAAUAAAUCUCGUAGGAAAUAUAUAGUCUAUAUUGUAAGUCUUUUCGAGACUAAUUCAAAGAGAAAAUACGAAGGACAUAUAAUUGACCUUCAUCUGUCAUUAAGAACUCUAAAUAAAUUCAUAUACGCAUCGCAACUAAUUACAGUCCUGAUACUUCAUUUGGUUUUUGUUAAUUUUCUAUACAGUUGUGCUGUGCAUAAAAGUUUUGUUAAAUGAAAUCGGCAGGUGAGGAUUAAUUAAUCAGUUAAUUAAGAUCCAGUUAAUGUAAUUAAUUUUAUUUGAUUUUUUUAAUUCGAGUUCUAAAUUAAUCAAUUAAUUUAGAUUCAUGUGAAAUUGAAGUGAAUUAGUUUUGAUCUGUUUUUCGUCCUAUGUUUGUCUGUGUUUACUCUUACUUUUUUUUUGUUUAAAUUUUCGUUUUCUUAUUGUUUACUGAAUAAAUUUAUGAGUUUUAUUUGAGUAUGAUGAUUGAUUUGUGAUUAUAAUUUGUGACUUUUUUUUUUGGAAUUUAAAUCUGAAUGCUUUUUAAGUUGAAUCUAAAUGUGUUGGGCUGCGAUUUAAUUGAGUGAUGUGUGAGCGCCAAAUAUUCAAUAACUGAUAAAUUAUAUUUAUAAAUAUUAAUAGCGAUGGCACAUAAACAAUUAAUUCAAGAACUUGCCCAUAGUGAUUAAUUUAAAGAGUAUAAGUAACAUCGCAAUACAGUCUAGCCCUUACAUGUUUAAUUAGCAAUUGAAAACUACUGUUGCUGAUGAGUUAGAACAUUAUAACACUGUUGCUGAUGAGGCAGCUGGUAAUUCUUCUGGUGAAGAUAUUAAGACUAUUAAAGCUUAAAUGUAAUUAGAGAAAUAUAAUGCAUUCCCUUAGUUUGCUUUUUGUUUUUUAUAUUUGUUUUGCUAAUGCGUUGCUUAGAUUGCUUUUUGUUUUUUGAGAUUUUAUUGGCUUAGUCAUGGGGUAUUGUUUUCUCUUCUAAUUUCUAUUUUUGUUGUUAUGGGAUUUGAUUGUAGUGUACAUAUACGAAAAUUAUGUAAUCAAGUGCUUUCAAUAAAUCAUGAUCGAUUUACUAUUAAUUAAUCAAAUUUAAUUUACUCAAAUUACUCAUGUACACGAUCAAAAUAAAUUUAAUUACAUGACAUAUAUACACGCGCGCACACAUAAACAAAAUGUAAUUAACUUUGAAAUAUAAAAUAUUUAAAAUAAUCACCGUACUAACAAUUCACAAGUUAGAUUUUAUAUAAAUAGACGAAAUAAUGUUAAUCUAGCGAAUCCAGUCAUAAUAAAUUGAUUUUCAUUUAUAUUAAUUAUGUCGAACCAUGUUAUUUUAAUAAAGAGCACUUGAGAAUAUAUAUAUCCAACAGGUAAAAUUUCAAAACAAUAUUUGCCAAAGUCUGACUAAGAGAAUAUACAUGCACGCACGUAUAUAACCGUACAACAGAAGGAUAAAUAAAAGAAAAUGAAGUUUCAACAGCUAAAUAAUGCAAACUCAUUUUUUUAACAAGCAUUUUAUUGUUUAAUUAAAAAAUUUGAAAACCCAUUAAAUACAUGUAAGGACUCACCGACGCCGAACCAUAUUAAUUUAAAUUAGUUUUCAACUGAGAUUUGAAUUUUGAAAUUACAUACACAAACAAGCCCUUUUUUUAAAAUACUAAUAAUAAAAUAUUUCAUUUUUCAUCUAUUACUACAAGAGGUAUAAUCGCAAAAGUGAGGAAGGCAGUCAUCCUCUGUUCAAUUAUCAAAAACUCCUUUUACCAUCCAUUUGAACAUACACAAUCACGCCCAAUUUGAAAAAAAAAAGUAGUAAUUUUAAAAUAUUUCAAUCGUCCACUGUUCAGUCACCAAAAACCAAUUUACCAUCCAUUUCAACACCUAAUUUCAAAAAAGAAAAUACUAAUAAUAAUAAAAUAUUCUAGUCGUCCAUCCUUUUACAAAUAAAAAAUAUCACCAAAAACCAAUUUCCAAUCUAUUUCAAAACAAAUUUUGCCAAAGUCCUCCUCGGCUAAUUAAUUCAUACAUUAAUACAGUCCUCCUCUGCUGAAUAAUGCAAACCCGUUACGUUAUUCUACCAUUUCUUUUUAAAGCAUUCCCCCCAUUUAAUAAAAAAAUUCGAAAACCCAUUAUAUGCAAUACAAAAUGCCCACCGACACCAAACCAUAUUAAUUUAAAAUAGUUUUCAAUUGAGUUUUGAAUUUUAAAAUUACAUACACAAACACACCCGAUUUAAAAAUAAUAAUAAUAAUGCUAACAAUAAAAUAUUUCAGCCGUCCUAUGUGUUAUCGCCAAAAACGGAUUUCCAAUCUAUUACAACAUAAGGUAUAUGGGUUAACAAGUCCCAAUAUUGUCCUCCAUCCUUUCUGCACUUCUCUGCUAUCAACGGACAUUCGUCGAUGUAUAAUCGCAAAAGUGAGGAAGGCAGGCCCUUCUCCGGAAAGUAUUUGAGCUUGGGACAAUCCCCGAGAUACAAUUCAGUGAGGUUUUGAAGAUCAACAAUUGAAGAAGAUAGGCGUUCCAGAUUUGGAAAAUUGAAAAUCUCCAGAGACGUUAGAGAGGCAGGAAGAGGAAGCGCGGUCCCUAAUCUUUUGUCCUCUAGUGGAAAUGACACCAUGUCCUCAUCGCAUCUGCUGAUUGUAAGACGUCGCAGAGAGGAGAAUCUGUGAAAUCCCCGUCCCCGCUCA
Molecule: long non-coding RNA, 180906 nt
Filed under: Citrus x clementina
Lineage: Eukaryota; Viridiplantae; Streptophyta; Magnoliopsida; Sapindales; Rutaceae
Description: Citrus clementina (C. clementina) long non-coding RNA (CCLE_LNC002302)
Source: RNAcentral